AUCAGUAGUGGCGCCUUGGCGCGCAGGUGUCCGGCUUGAAGGAGAGCGGGCCGGCGGCGUACACGACGUUCUCGUACCCCUCGCCGGACCACCGCUUGCCCUCGUGGCGGAGCGGCGCACCCUCGAUGCCGUAGUUGACGUUGGUGAGGUCGUCGCACUUGCGGUCCGGUGACGCGAGCAGGCGCACGAAGCAGGCCUUAGCGGGGUCCCCCAUGUAGUAGUCAGCCUUCUCGGCGACGUCGAACUCGGCGAGGAAGUAGCCCUUGCCGUCGGCGACGGGCGUCCGCGACACCAUGACGCGGUUCUUGGCGUCGCGGCAGGUGACCAUCACCUUCGCCCCCGGCAGCGGCGUCGCGCCGUCCAGGCACCAGGAGUUCUGGUGUGUGCAGCUCUGGCAGUACACCACGCCCUCCACCUUCAGCAUCACCUUGUCGCACUUGGCAGCCGGUGCCGGCGAGGGGGUCUGGCUAUAGCCGUGGGCGCUGGCGCCGGUGGCGGCGAGGAGGGACACGAGGACGAUGGCGAGGGGGAGGUAGGCCGCCAUUGCUGGAAGCGAAGACUGGCACUCCGUACGUGCGUGCUCAAUCGAUGGAGAUGGUCGCAGCUGGCUUUGGUUGUGUGUGGAAACGGCGGGAGGCGUCGGGUUCAUAUAUAGACGCGGUAAGGUGGCCAGGUGAGGGGUUACGGAGAGUAUUAAAAUGGUGUAGACGUGCGGCCAUGUAGGUGACCGGCCGGCAGGCCGGCAACGGCCAACGUGAGGGCCAGUUUGUCUCUCAGAUUGUCGGUCUUGGAACAAUUAAUGGAGAGAUUACGUUAAUACAAAAUCAUUGCACACGAUCGGAUGAUUAGUGUGUCAGUGUGUGGCGUUCGAUCGGCAGCAAAGAUUUCAGAUUGCGUGCGUGAUGAUCCCUUUGUUUUCAAUUGAGAUUUCGAUGUGUUAUUAAAUGGGUAUGAUUAAGGAAUAUACAAAGGAUGUAGGCAAAUCGAACACCAUGGAGGCAUCGUAUCAAGGAACAAACAACAACUCGUGGUACGGUAGCCAGGAGGCAUGAUGCACCCAGCAUAAACUCAUUUUUUUAAAGGAGAAAGACCCCCAGCCUGUGCAUCGAUGGAUGAAGUCAUUUUAUUAAUUAUUCAUGAGGAUCUUACAAAGUAAUACGUUAGUGCGUCUGAAGCCAUCAUCUUGACAACAUAUGCCACUACUCCUAUCCUUGAUGAAGGUGUGCCGAUAAUCCGAACCAAAUACCAAACAGACUUCGCAUCAUAACCUAACAUCUAAAACCGAAGGCCCCAACCGAACCACAGUGUCUGGUCUGGAAAGCACACCAGUCUGACGCACUCUCAGAAGUCGUCGUCAUCGUCUUCCACCGAUCUAUCUUCAGACCUUACCGAUGCAUCGAGCUUGCCAAGCCUACCAGCCGUCGACGCCACCACGAUGUCAGACAACGGUAGCAUCGUGCGCUUGCCUAUCAUCACACGCCCACCGUCGAGACCUCGCUGCUUCAUGCGGCCGAGACACGUUGUUGUUCACGUGCCAGAUGCCACGCCGCUCAUCCAAUACGAACACCACCUAUUGUCACUGGGCCCCGUCCCCUCAACCUGCGGUUUCUCUAACUGAGCACUUGAAUGCCCCAGGGGGCGCCUCCAAGAAAAACACGACACAUACAGUGUCGUCGACGCCCAAUCUGAGAAGAUUUAUUUUUUGUGGAUAACUCACACAAGUUAUUAAAAUAUUUUUACCGUAAUUAUAAAUUAGAUGAACUGUCACAAAAGUCCUUCACUCUAAGAAAACAUCACAAAAUAGUACUAUCAUUUUAGAACUCGUAUCCCGGUUUCGGUGCUAGUACGUAAUAUGUUGCAUAUUGUUUGUUUGAUUUCAUGCUUAGUGGGGUGGCACACUUUUAAUUGAUUAGGCUUUAAGCUUUGGUGGCGUGAUAAAGUUAUUUUAAUUCUCUAUUUUUAAAUAGCUAUAAUCCACUAGCUAAUUUUUAUUUUCAUGCAACAAUGACACAUUAUCAAAUUAUACAUGGAGUCAUAAGUUAAACAAGCCCGACGGGAGGAGUUUGGCUAUUCGUCUACCGAACAUUUAAUAUAGAGAGUACCAUUACAUUAUCAUUGCACAAGGCAUGUUCACUAUUCACCAUGAACUGAACCUCUUCUAAUUUCUCCAUGACAUGAAACAUUAUUUACUUUCGAUGUAAUUAUUAUUUAAUUUUAUGUUAUUUACUUGCAACUCUUAAUCAUGUUCCAUUCUGUUACGCGAUUAUUCUUCCAUCAUCGCUAUCAUAACCCUUUCACGUACGAAAUUAGACAAUUCACUUGAGAUUAGUGACUGCUCGAGUGCGAAGAAACGCUCACAAUGAUGCUCUCAUGUGCUCUUUGUUGAGAACGAUAUACAAACUGGGAUAAUACUUCCAUAAAAGUGUGCUUCAACCAGUCAUGUCCACUUGUAGGACAUCAAUUAUUAUUUAAAACAAAUCUAACAAAAGGUAAAAUAUUGAAAAUAGACUCGAUGAUUAUAUCCACCAUAAUGCUAAAUGUGAACUAAGAAAAAAUCAUGAAAAAAGUCGCUUCAUAUCUUUUUAGGCAAAAAAAAGUUGCUUCACAUGUCAAAACAUAAAAUGGACUUGGCCAAAUACCGCACCAACAAACUAAAUAGUGGGCUUCAUGUAAUCCCUAGUCAGAAGUCAUACUUAGUCGUCUAGAUGCAGUUAGGCAAUCGAAUCAAACACGGCCUAUUAUUAUUUAUAAAAUAAUAUUUGGCCCAUGUUUGUGAGAUUUCUUUCUUUGUAAUUUGUUGGGGAACAUAGUAAUUUUAAGAAAUUUCCUAUGUCACACAAGGAUCUACUAUGGAGAAACCAGCAACGAGCAAAGGGGUAGAGCAUCUUCAUACCUUUGAAGAUCGCUAAGCGGAAGUGUUGCUAGAACGCGGUUGAUGGAGUCGUACUCGCAGCGAUUCAAAUCGCGGUGGAUUCCGAUCUAUGCACCGAACAACGGUGCCUCCGCGUUCAACACACGUGCAGCCCAGUGACGUCUCCAACGAUUUGAUCCAACGAGGAGGGAGGAGGGGUUGAGGGUGAGAUCCAGCAGCACGGCGGCGUGGUGACGGUGGAGCUACGUGGCACUCCGACAGGGCUUCGCCAAGCAGUACGGAGGAGGAGGAGGAGUAGGGCUGCGCCGAAAGAGAGACAAGUUGUGUCUCAAAACAACCCCAAACCCUCCACUAUAUAUAGGAGGAGAGGGAGGAGGGUGCCCACCCUUAGGGUUUCCACCCUAAGGGGUGCCGCAGCCCUAGAUGGGCAAGGGGGCGGCGUCCAAGGGGUGGAGGAGGUGGCGCCCUAGGGUGGGCUAGCCCACCACGCCUAGGGUUAGCCCACCACCCUCUCUCAUGUGCCUUAGGCUGAUGGUGGUGGCGCACCAGCCCACUUAUGGGUUGGUGCCCAUCCACUUUUGGCCCAUGUACCCCUUCGGGGCUGGUGGCCCUUCCCGGUGGACCCCGGAACCCUUCCGGUGGUCCCGGUAUAUUACCGGUGACGCCCGAAACACUUUCGGCGAUCAAAUCCUCACUUCCUAUAUAUGAAUCUUUACCUUCGGACCAUUCCGAAGCUCCUCGUGACAUCCGGGAUCUCAUCCAAGACUCUGAACAACCUUCGGUAACCACAUACACUAUUCCCAUAUAACCCUUGCGUCAUGGAACCUUAAGUGUGUAGACCCUACGGGUUCGGGAAGUAUGAAGACAUGACUGAGACACCUCUCCAGUCAAUAAUCAACAACGGGGUCUGGAUAUCCAUGUUGGUUCCCACAUGUUCCACGAUGAUCUCAUCGGAUGAACCACGAUGUCGGGGAUUCAAUCAAUCUCGUAUGCAAUUCCCUUUGUCUACCGGUAUGAUACUUACCCGAGAUUUGAUCGUCUGUAUCCCUAUACCUUGUUCAAUCUCGUUACCGACAAGUCUCUUUACUCGUUCUGUAACACAUCAUCCCGUGACUAACUCUUUAGUCACACUGAGCUCAAUAUGAUGAUGGAUUACCGAGUGGGCCCAGAGAUACCUCUCCGUCACACGGAGUGACAAAUCCUAGUCUUGAUUCGUACAACCCAACAAACACUUUCCGAGAUACCCAUACUGCACCUUUAUAAUCACCCAGUUACGUUGUGACGUUUGAUACACACAAAGUACUCCUAUGGUAUCCGGGAGUUGCACAAUCUCAUGGUCUAACGAAAUGAUACUUGGCAUUAGAAAAGCUUUAGUAGACGAACAACAAGAUCUAUAGCUAUGCUUAGGAUUGGGUCUUGUCCAUCACAUCAUUCCCCAAUGAUGUGAUCCCGUUAUCAACGACAUCCAAUGUCCAUGAUCAAGAAACCAUGAUCAUCUAUUGAUCAACGAGCUAGCCAACUAGAGGCUCACUAGGGACACAUUGUGAUAUAUAUAUUCACAUAUGUAUUACGGUUUCCGGUUAAUACAAUUAUAGCAUAAAUAAUAGACAAUUAUCAUGAACUAGGAGAUAUAUUAAUAACCACUUUAUUAUUGCCUCUAGGGCAUAUUUCCAACAGUCUCCCACUUGCACUAGAGUCAAUAAUCUAGUUACAUUGUGAUGAAUCGAACACCCAUAGAGUUUUGGUGUUGAUCAUGUUUUUCUCGUGAACGGUUGUGCGACAUUCAAAUCCGUGUGUACUUUACAAAUAUCUAUAUCUCCAUCCUGGAUGUAUCCACGAAUGGAGUUGAAGUGGCACUUGAUAUGUUUGGUCUUCUUGUGAAACCUGGGUUCCUUUGCAAUGGCAAUAGCUCCAGUGUUGUCACAAAACAGAGUCAUCGGGCCCGACGCACUUGAAAUCACUCCUAGGUCGGUGAUGAAAUCCUUCAUCCAAACUCCUUCUUGUGCUGCUUCCGGAGCAGCUGUGUACUCCGCUUCACAUGUAUAUGCCACCACGAUGCUUUGCUUGCAACUGCACCAGCUUACUGCCCCAUUAUUCAGAAUGUACACGUAUCCGGUUUGUGACUUGGAGUCAUCCGGAUCUGUGUCGAAGCUAGCAUCGACGUAACCCUUUACGACGAGCUCUUCGGCACCUCCAUAAACGAGAAACAUAUCUUUAGUCCUUUUGAGGUACUUAAGGAUGUUCUUGACCGCUCUCCAGUGAUCCACUCAUGGAUCACUCUGGUACCUCCCUACCAAACUUAUGGCAAGGUUCACAUUAGGUAUGGUACACAACAUUGCAUACAUGAUAGAGCCUAUGGCUGAAGCAUAGGAGACGGUACUCAUCUUUUCUCUAUCUUCCGCCGUGGUCGGUCAUUGAGUCACACCCAACCUCACAUCUUGUAAUACAGGCAAGAAUCCCUUCUUAGCCUUCUCCAUAGUGAACUUCUUCAAUAUCUUCUCAAGGUAAGUGCUUUGUGAAAGACCAAUGAGGCGUCUCGAUCUAUCCCUAUAGAUCUUGAUGCCUAAUAUGUAAGCAGCUUCUCCACGGUCCUUCAUUGAAAAACUCUUAUUCAAAUAGGCCGUUAUGCUUUACAAUAGUUCUAUAUCAUUUCCCAUCAACAAUAUGUCAUCUACAUAUAAUAUGAGAAAUGCUACAGAGCUCCAUCAUACGUCUCCAACAUAUCUAUAAUUUUUGUUGGUUCCAUGCUAUUAUCUUGUCAAACUUUGGAUGUUUUGUAUGUCUUUUAUAUAUUUUUUGGGACUAACUUAUUAACUCAGUGCCAAGUGUUAGUUCCUGUUUUUUCCGUGUUUUGACCCUUUUCAGAGGAGAAUAUUAAACGGAGUCCAAACGGAAUAAAACCUCUGAAAAGAUUUUUUUUUUUCGGAACAGAAGAUACGCAGGGAACUUGAGAACCAAGGCAAAGGACCCCGGGGGAGGUCACAAGCCCCUAGGCGCGGCCUGGGGGGCCAUGCCUAGCAGGCUUGUGGGCCCCCUGUGGCUCCUCUGCCCUACUUCUUCCUCCUGUAAAUCCCCGAAAAAUCCAAAACCACGGGAGAGAGCCACGAAAAUACUUUUCCGCUGUCGCAAGCUUCUGUCUCCGCAAAAUCCCAUCUGGGGCACGUUCUAGUGCCCUGCCGGAGGGGGGAUUCGGACACGGAGGGCUUCUUCAUCAACACCAUUGCCUCUCCGAUGAUGCGUGAGUAGUUCACCAUAGACCUUCGGGUCCUUAGCUAGUAGCUAGAUGGCUUCUUCUCUCUCUUGGAUCUUCAAUACAAAGUUCUCCAUGAUCUUCAUGGAGAUCUAUCCGAUGUAAUCUUCUUUUGCGGUGUGUUUGUCGAGAUCCGAUGAAUUGUGGAUUUAUGAUCAGAUUAUCUAUAAAUAUUAUUUGAGUUUCUUCUGAUCUCUUAGAUGCAUGAUUUCAUAUCCUUGUAAUUCUCUUCGAGUUGUGGGUUUUGUUUGGCCAACUUGAUCUAUGAUUCUUGCAAUGGGAGAAGUGCUUGGUUUUGGGUUCACACCGUGCGGUGACCUCACCCAGUGACAGAAGGGGUAGCGAGGCACGCAUCGUGUUGUUGCCAUCAAGGGUAAAAAGAUGGGGUUUAUAUCUAUUGCACGAAUUUAUCCCUCUACAUCAUGUCAUCUUGCUUAAGGUGUUACUCUGUUUGUAUGAACUCAAUACACUAGAUGCAUGCCAGAUAGCUGUCGAUGUGUGGNGCCACGAAAAUACUUUUCCGCUGUCGCAAGCUUCNGUCUCCGCAAAAUCCCAUCUGGGGCACGUUCUAGUGCCCUGCCGAGGGGGGAUUCGGACACGGAGGGCUUCUUCAUCAACACCAUUGCCUCUCCGAUGAUGCGUGAGUAGUUCACCAUAGACCUUCGGGUCCUUAGCUAGUAGCUAGAUGGCUUCUUCUCUCUCUUGGAUCUUCAAUACAAAGUUCUCCAUGAUCUUCAUGGAGAUCUAUCCGAUGUAAUCUUCUUUUGCGGUGUGUUUGUCGAGAUCCGAUGAAUUGUGGAUUUAUGAUCAGAUUAUCUAUAAAUAUUAUUUGAGUUUCUUCUGAUCUCUUAGAUGCAUGAUUUCAUAUCCUUGUAAUUCUCUUCGAGUUGUGGGUUUUGUUUGGCCAACUUGAUCUAUGAUUCUUGCAAUGGGAGAAGUGCUUGGUUUUGGGUUCACACCGUGCGGUGACCUCACCCAGUGACAGAAGGGGUAGCGAGGCACGCAUCGUGUUGUUGCCAUCAAGGGUAAAAAGAUGGGGUUUAUAUCUAUUGCACGAAUUUAUCCCUCUACAUCAUGUCAUCUUGCUUAAGGUGUUACUCUGUUUGUUAUGAACUCAAUACACUAGAUGCAUGCCAGAUAGCUGUCGAUGUGUGGAGUAAUAGUAGUAGAUGCAGAAAGUAUCGGGCUACUUGUCUCGGACGUGAUGCCUAUAUGUAUGAUCAUUGCCUUAGAUAUCGUCAUGACUUUGCGCGGUUCUAUCAAUUGCUCGACAGUAAUUCAUUCACCCACCGUAAUAUUUGCUAUCAUGAGAGAAGCCUCUAGUGAACACUAUGGCCCCCGGGUCUACUUCACAUCAUAUUUUCAGCCCUACACUUUUACUUUGUUGCACUUUCCGCCUUCAGAUCUCACCUUGCAAUCAAUCGUGAAGGGAUUGACAACCCCUUUGUAGCGUUGGGUGCAAGUUUGCUCUUUUUGCGCAGGUACGGUGGAGACUUGGCUUGAUACUCCUACUGGAUUGAUACCUUGGUUCUCAAACUGAGGGAAAUACUUACUGCUACUGUGCUGCAUCACCCUUUCCUCUUCAAGGGAAAAACCAACGCAAGCUCAAGAGGUAGCAAGAAGAAUUUCUGGUGCCGUUGCGGGGGAGCAUCAAGUGAAGCUUAUCCAAGUAACCGUCGCAAACUCAUCUCUUGCAUUUACUUUUUUGCCUCUCGUUUUCCUCUCCUCCACUUCUGAAAAACAAAAAUUUACAAAAAUAUUUGCCUUUUUCAUUUGCCCUUUUCUUUCGCUUGCUUUCUGUUCGCUUGUGUGCUUAUCUGCUUGCUGAAGUCACCAUGACUGAAAACACCAAACUUUGUGACUUCUUGAAUACUAAUAAUAAUGAUUUUAUUAGUACUCCGAUUGCUCCUGCCACUAGUGCGGAAUCAUAUGAAACCAAUGCUGCUUUGCUGAAUCUUGUUAUGAAAGAGAAAUUCUCCGGCCUUCCUAGUGAAGAUGUCGCAUCCCAUCUUAAUACCUUCAUUGAGUUAUGCGAUAUGCAAAAGAAGAAAGAUGUGGAUAAUGAUGUGACUAAAUUGAAGCUAUUUCUGUUCUCAUUGCGAGAUCGAGCAAAAACUUGGUUUUCAUCUUUGCCCAAAAAUAGUAUUGAUUCUUGGAACAAGUGCAAACAUGCUUAUAUAUCCAAGUAUUUUCCACCGGCUAAGAUUACCUCUCUCCGUAAUGAUAUCAUGAAUUUUAAGCAACUAGAUCAUGAACAUUUUGCACAAUCUUGGGAGAGAAUUAAAUUGAUGAUUAGAAAUUGUCCCGCUCAUGGCUUGAGUCUUUGGAUGAUUAUACAAAUCUUCUAUGUUGGUUUGAAUUUUUCUUCUAGAAAUAUUUUGGACUCCGCCUCCGGUGGAACUUUCAUGGAAAUCACAUUAGGAGAAGCCACAAAACUCCUAGACAAUAUCAUGACAAACUAUUCUCAGUGGCACACUGAAAGGUCACCUACUAGUAAAAAAGUACAUGCUAUAGAAGAAAUUAACUCGUUGAGUGCUAAGAUGGAUGAGUUAAUGAAAUUGUUUGCUAGUAAAGGUGCUCCUUUAGAUCCAAAUUAUAUGCUCUUGUCUUCCUUGAUUGAGAGUAGCAAUGAAAGCUUGGAUGUUAAUUUUGUUGGUAGGAAUAAUUUUGGCAACAACAAUGCUUUUAGAGGAAACUAUAUUCCUAGGCCUUUUCCUAGUAAUCACUCUAAUAACUUUGGCAACUCCUACAACAAUGCUCAUGGAAAUUACAAUAAAUUACCCUCUGAUCUAGAGAGUAAUAUUAAAAAGUUUAUCAACUCACAAAAGAUUUUCAAUGCGUCCAUAGAAGAAAAACUACUCAAAAUUGAUGAUUUGGCUAGGAGCGUUGAUAGAAUGUCUCUUGAUAUUGAUGCCUUGAAAGUUAGAUGUGCUCCUCCCAAGAUCAAUAUGGAUGAAACUUUGAAAGCUAUGCAUGUUUCCAUGAAUGAGAGUAAAGAAAGAACCGCCCAAAUUCGUGCUAGACAUGAAUGGCUUAAAAAGGCGUGUUCUCGUGAUGAGAAUCGCGAAGAUCAUAAAGUGCUUGGUGUGACUCCCAUUGAAUCCUUGUUUUCUAGUAUCAAACCUAAUGAUGAUGCGGCUGGAUAUGAAUCCACUUUGGUUGAAAAACGCCUCAAUGAUUCGGAGUCCAUCUAUCUUGAUGCUGAAAGCAUUGAAAGUGGAGUAGAGGAUAUCAAAACUUUGAGUAGUAAUGAAACUACUACUUUGGAUUUCAAGGAAUUCAAUUAUGAUAGUUGCUCUUUGAUUGAAUGUAUUUCCUUGAUGCAAUCCAUGCUAAACUCUCCACACGCUUAUAGCCAAAACAAGGCCUUUACCGAUCAUAUCGUCGAUGCUAUGAUGAAAUCUCUUGAAGAGAAACUUGAAUUGGAAGUUUCUAUUCCUAGAAAACUUCAUGAUGAGUGAGAACCUACUAUCAAAAUCAAGAUCGAAAACUAUGAAUGCAAUGCUUUGUGUGAUUUGGGUGCUGGUGUUUCCGUGAUUCCAAAGCCUUUAUGUGAUGUUCUAGGCUUCAAUGAGAUUGAUGAGUGCUCUCUUAAUUUACAUCUUGCAGGUUCUACUGUUAAGAAACCCAUGGGAAGGAUCAAUGAUGUUCUUAUUAUUGGAAAUAGGAACUAUGUACUCAUGGAUUUCAUUGUGCUUGAUAUUGAUUGCAAUCCGACAUGUCCCAUCAUUCUUAGUAGACCUUUCCUAAGGACUAUUGGUGUUGUCAUUGAUAUGAAGGAAGGGAAUAUUAGAUUUCAAUUUCCAUUAAAGAAGGGCAUGGAACAUUUUCCUAGAAAGAAAAUAAGAUUGCCUUAUGAAUCCAUGAUGAGGGCUACUUAUGGUUUGAGCACCAAAGACGACGAUACGUGAUUCUAUCGCCUUAUGCCUAGCUAAGGGCGUUAAACAAUAACGCUUGUUGGGAGGCAACCCAAUGAAUUUAUCUUUGAUUUUUGCUUUCUGUUUUGUUGCGUCCACACCAUCAUAAUUCUGUUAUGAUUGUGUUUUUUGUGUUUCUUUUUGUGUUUGAGCCAAGUAAAACCUUUACGACUAGUUUUGGUGAUGGUUGUUUGAUCAUGCUGGAAAAAGACAGAAACUUUUCGCUCACGAAAUUAUUUUUCAUUUUUAUCCAGAAAGAGAUUUUGAGUUGAUUCUUUUUUCUUCUGGUUGAUAUGCCAAUUUCCCAAAUUUUCGUAAUUUUCCAGAAUUGUUGAGAUACCAGAAGUAUACGAAGUAUACAUAUUGCUACGGACUGGUCUGUUUUUGACAGAUUCUGUUUUUGUUGUGUUGAUUGCUUAUUUUGAUGAAACUAUGGAUAGUAUCGGGGGGUAAUAGCCAUGGAAAAGUGAUAAUACAGUAAUAUAACACCAAUAAAAAUAGAAAUCAAGUUUUAUACAGUAUCUAAAGAGGUGGUAGUUUGUUUUCUUGUGCUAAUGAUAUCAUGAGUUUCUGUUUAAGUUUUGUGUUGUGAAGUUUUCAAGUUUUGGGUGAUGUUCUCAUGGACAAAGGGAUAAAGAGUGGAAAGAGCUCAAGCUUGGGGAUGACCAAGGCAUCCCAAGCCAAUUUCAAGGACACCAAAAAGCCUAUGCUUGGGGAUGCCCCGGGAAGGCAUCCCCUCUUUCGUCUUCAAUCCAUCGGUAACAUUACUUGGAGCUAUAUUUUUAUUCACCACAUGAUAUGUGUUUUGCUUGGAGAGUCGUGUAUCAUAGGAGUCUUUUCUUUUUGUUGUGUCACAAUCAUCCUUGUUGCACACCUUUUGAGAGAGACAUGCACUCAUCGUGAAUUUGCUAGAAUACUCAUUGAGCUUCGCUUAUAUCUUUUGAGUUAGGCAAUUUAGCUCACAUGUGCUUCACUUAUAUCUUUUGAGCUAGAUAACUUUGCUUUGUGUGCUCCACUUAGAUCUUUUAGAGCACGACGGUGUCAUAUUUUGGAGAAAUAAGAACUCUCGAUCUUCACUUAUAUCUUUUUGAGAGUGCUCUCUCUGAGUAACUUGGUAGUUGGCUUGUGCUAUGAAAGUAGUCCUAAAGAUGAUAGGCGUCCAAAGAGGAUACAAUAAAGCUUCCAUAUUCUUGUGCAUUGAUUAUAAAGAGAAGUCUGAUUCCUCUAAAUUAGUUUUGAGACAUGGAUUUGGUAAUAUUAGGAGACAUGUUAGUAGGGUGUUGUGAAUCUAGAAAUACUUGUGUUGAAGUUAGUGAUUCCCGUAACAUGCACGUAUGGUGAACCGCUAUGUUAGGAAGUCGGAGCAUAAUUGAUUUAUUGAUUGUCAUCCUUUGUGUUGCGGUCGGGAUCGCGCGAUGGUUAACACGUACCAACCCUUCCCCUAGGAGUAUGCGUUUAGCACUUUGUUUCGAUUACUAAUAACAACUUUCGCAAUAAGUAUGUGAGUUUUUCAUGACUAAUGUGAGUCCAUGGUAUAGAUGCACUUUCACCUUCCACCAUUGCUAGCCUCUCUAGUGCCGUGCAACUUUCGCCGGUACACAAAACCACCAUAGACCUUCCUCAAAACAGCCACCAUACCUACCUACUAUGGCAUUUUCAUAGCCAUUCCGAGAUAUAUUGCCAUGCAACUCCCACCGUUUCGUCUCAUGACUUGUGUCGUCACUUUCAUAUUGACAUUGUAUGAUCGUAAGAUAGCUAGCGAGUCAUACCUGAGCUAGAUCGUUGCACAUCCCGGUACACUGUCGGAGGCAUUUCCUAUAAGAGUCAUCAUUGUUCUAAGCAUUGAGCUGCGAGUAAAUAAAAGUGUGAUGAUCAUCAUUAUUAGAGCAUUGUCCCAUAUGAGGAAAUAAAAAAAAGUAUGCCAAAGUUGCCCACACAAAAAAUAUAUGGAAAGAGGUCAAAGAGCCCAAACAAAAAAAAGAGAAAAAGAGAGAAUGGACAAUGCUACUAUAUUUUUUCCACACUUGUGCUUUAUAAUAGCACCAUGUUCUUCACGAUUGAGAGUCUCUUGUUUUGUCACCACCAUAUACUAGUGGGAAUCUUCAUUAUGUAACUUGGCUUGUAUAUUCCAAUGAUGGGCUUCCUCAAAAUUGCCCUAGGUCUUCGUGAGCAAGCAAGUUAGAUGCACACCCACUAGCUCUCCUUUUGAGCUUUCACACACUUAUAGUGUUGGAAUUAUGCCCUAGAGGCAAUAAUAAAUAUAGUUAUUGUUAUAAUUCCUGUAUCAAGAUAAUCGUUUAUUAUCCAUGCUAUAACUGUAUUGAAUGAAGACUCAUUUACAUGUGUGGAUACAUAGACAAAACACUGUCCCUAGCAAGCCUCUAGUUGGCUAGCCAGUUGAUCAACGAUAGUCAGUGUCUUCUGAUUAUGAACAAGGUGUUGUUGCUUGAUAACUGGAUCACAUCAUUAGGAGAAUCACGUGAUGGACUAGACCCAAACUAAUAGACGUAGCAUGUUGAUCGUGUCAUUUUAUUGCUACUGUUUUCUGCGUGUCAAGUAUUUAUUCCUAUGACCAUGAGAUCAUAUAACUUACUAACACUGGAGGAAUACUUUGUGUGUAUCAAACGUCGCAACGUAACUGGGUGACUAUAAAGAUGCUCUACAGGUAUCUCCGAAGGUGUUCGUUAAGUCAGUAUGGAUCGAGACUGGGAUUUGUCACUCCGUGUGACGGAGAGGUAUCUCGGGGCCCACUCGGUAAUACAACAUCACACACAAGCCUUGCAAGCAAUGUGACUAAGUGUAAGUUGCGGGAUCUUGUAUUACGGAACGAGUAAAGAGACUUGCCAGUAAACGAGAUUGAAAUAGGUAUACGGAUACUGACGAUCGAAUCUCGGGCAAGUAACAUACCGAAGGACAAAGGGAAUGACAUACGGGAUUAUAUGAAUCCUUGGCACUGACGUUCAAACGAUAAGAUCUUCGUAGAAUAUGUAGGAUCCAAUAUGGGCAUCCAGGUCCCGCUAUUGGAUAUUGACCGAGGAGUCUCUCGGGUCAUGUCUACAUAGUUCUCGAACCCGUAGGGUCUGCACACUUAAGGUUCGACGUUGUUUUAUGCGUAUUUGAGUUAUAUGGUUGGUUACCAAUGUUGUUAGGAGUCCCGGAUGAGAUCACGGACGUCACGAGGGUUUCCGGAAUGGUCCGGAAACGAAGAUUGAUAUAUAGGAUGACCUCAUUUGAUUACCGGAAGGUUUUCCGAGUUACCAGGAAUGUACCGGGAAUGACGAAUGGGUUCCGGGAGUUCACCGGGGGGGCCACCCACCCCGGGGAAGCCCAUAGGUGUUGGGGGUGCCGCACCAGCCCUUAGUGGGCUGGUGGGACAGCCCAAAAGGGGCCUAUGCGCAUUGAGAAGAAAAUCAAAGAGAAAAAAAAGGAGGAGGUGGGAAAGGGAAGAAGGACUCCACCUUCCAAACCAAGUAGGACUCGGUUUGGGAGGGGAAUCCUUCCCCCCUUGGCUCGGCCGACCCCUUGGGGGUUCUUGGACCCCAAGGCAAGGCUCCCCCCUCUCUCUCCUAUAUAUAGUGGGGUUUUAGGGCUGAUUUGAGACAACUUUGCCACGGCAGCCCGACCACAUAUCUCCACGGUUUUACCUCUAGAUCGCGUUUCUGCGGAGCUCGGGCGGAGCCCUGCUGAGACGAGAUCAUCACCAACCUCCGGAGCGCCGUCACGCUGCCGGAGAACUCUUCUACCUCUCCGUCUCUCUUGCUGGAUCAAGAAGGCCGAGAUCAUCGUCGAGCUGUACGUGUGCUGAACGCGGAGGUGCCGUCCGUUCGGCUCUAGAUUGUGGGACUUAUCGCGGGACGGUUCACGGGGCGGAUCGAGGGACGUGAGGACGUUCCACUACAUCAACCGCGUUCACUAACGCUUCUGCUGUACGGUCUACAAGGGUACGUAGAUCACACAUCCCCUCUCGUAGAUGGACAUCACCAUGAUAGGUCUUCGUGCGCGUAGGAAAAUUUUUGUUUCCCAUGUGACGUUCCCCAACAUAUAGCUCUAAGUGCAUCCAUUUCAUGGUAAUCCCCAUUCUUUCACAUUGAUAUCUAUUAAUGGGCAUCUCCAUAGCCCUUUGAUACACCGAGUCAAUGUGACCAUCUCCUCCUUUUUGCCCCACAACCUCCACCACACUCUAUUUCACCUAUAGUGCUAUAUCCAUGGCUCACGCUCAUGUAUUGCGUGAGAGUUGAAAAAGGUUUGAGAAAUUAAGAGUGAGAAAACAAUUACUUGGCUAAUACCGGGGUUGUGCAUGAUUUAAAUUCGUUGUGUGGGGAUGAUGGAGCAUAGCUAGACUAUAUGAUUUUGUAGGGAUAACUUUCUUUGGCCUUGUUAUUUCGAAAGUUCAUGAUUACCUUGCUAGUUUGCUUGAAGUAUUAUUGUUUUCAUGUAAAUAGCAAACUAUUGUUUUGAAUCUUACGGAUCUGAACAUUCAUGUCACAUGAAAGAAGUUACAAAGGACAAAUAUGCUAGGUAGCAUUCCACAUCAAAAAAAUAUUCUUUAUCACUUCCCUACUCGAGGACGAGCAGGAGUUAAGCUUGGGGAUGCUUGAUACGUCUCCAACGUAUCUAUAAUUUUUGUUGGUUCCAUGCUAUUAUCUUGUCAAACUUUGGAUGUUUUGUAUGCCUUUUAUAUCUUUUUUGGGACUAACUUAUUAACUCAGUGCCAAUUGUCGGUUCCUGUUUUUCCGUGUUUUGACCCUUUUCAGAGGAGAAUAUUAAACGGAGUCCAAACGGAAUAAAACCUCCGAAAAGAAUUAUUUUUUUUCGGAACAGAAGAUACGCGGGGAACUUGAGAACCAAGGCAAAGGACCCCGGGGGAGAUCACAAGCCCCCUAGGCGUGGCCUGGGGGCCGCUCCUAGCAGGCUUGUGGGGGCCCUGUGGCUCCUCUGUCCUACUUCUUCCGCCUAUAAAUCCCCGAAAAAUCCAAAACCACGGGAGAGAGCCACGAAAAUACUUUUCCGCCGCCGCGAGCUUCUGUCUUCGCAAGAUCCCAUCUGGGGCACGUUCUGGUGCCCUGCCGAAGGGGGGAUUCAGACACGGAGGGCUUCUUCAUCAAAACCAUUGCCUCUUUGAUGAUGCAUGAGUAGUUCACCAUAGACCUUCGGUUCCAUAGCUAGUAGCUAGAUGGCUUCUUCUCUCUCUUGGAUCUUCAAUACAAAGUUCUCCAUGAUCUUCAUGGAGAUCUAUCCAAUAUAAUCUUCUUUUGCGGUGUGUUUGUUGAGAUCUGAUGAAUUGUGGAUUUAUGAUCAGAUUAUCUAUGAAUCUUAUUUGAGUUUCUUCUGAUCUCUUAUAUGCAUUAUUUCAUAUCCUUGUAAUUCUCUUCGAGUUGUGGGUUUUGUUUGGCCAACUUGAUCUAUGAUUCUUGCAAUGGGAGAAGUGCUUGGUUUUGGGUUCAUAUCGUGCGGUGACCUCACCCAGUGACAGAAGGGGUAGCCAGGCACGUAUCGUGUUGUUGCCAUCAAGGGUAAAAAGAUGGGGUUUAUAUCUAUUGCAUGAAUUUAUCCCUCUACAUCAUGUCAUCUUGCUUAAGGCGUUACUCUGUUUGUCAUGAACUCAAUACACUAGAUGCAUGCUCGAUAGCGGUCGAUGUGUGGAGUAGUAGUAGUAGAUGCAGAAAGUAUCGGUCUACUUGUCUCGGACGUGAUGCCUAUAUGUAUGAUCAUUGCCUUAGAUAUCGUCAUGACUUUGCGCGGUUCUAUCAAUUGCUCGACAGUAAUUCGUUCACCCACUAUAAUAUUUUCUAUCAUGAGAGAAGCCUCUAGUGAACACUAUGGCCCCCGGGUCUACUUCACAUCAUAUUUUCAGCCCUACACUUUUACUUUAUUGCACUUUCCGCCUUCAGAUCUCACCUUGCAAUCAAUCGUGAAGGGAUUGACAACCCCUUUGUAGCGUUGGGUGUAAGUUUGCUGUUUUUGCGCAGGUACGGUGGAGACUUGGCUUGAUACUCCUACUGGAUUGAUACCUUGGUUCUCAAACUGAGGGAAAUACUUACUGCUACUGUGCUGCAUCACCCUUUCCUCUUCAAGGGAAAAACCAAUGCAAGCUCAAGAGGUAGCACUCCCACUCACUUUCUUGUAAAUACAAGCUUCUCCAUAAGUCUGUACAAAUCCAAACGCUUUGAUCACCUCAUCAAAGCGAAUGUUCCAACCCCGAGAUGCUUGCACCAGCCCAUAGAUGGAGCGUUGGAGCUUGCAUACCUUGUUAGCAUUGCUAGGAUCGACAAAACCUUCCGGCUAUAUCAUAUAAAAAUUUUCCUUAAGAAAGUCGUUCAGGAAUGUUGUUUUGACGUCCAUUUGCCAGAUUUCAUAAUCAUAGAAUGCGGCAAUUGCUAACAUGAUUCGGACCGUCUUCAGCAUCGCUACGGGUGAGAAGGUCUCAUCGUAGUCAAUCCCUUGAACUUGUCGAUAACCCUUAGCGACAAGUCGAGCCUUAUAGAUGGUCACAUUACCAUCCGCGUCAGUCUUCUUCUUGAAUAUCCAUUUAUUCUCUAUGGCUCGCCGAUCAUCGGGCAAACCCACCAAAGUCCAUACUUUAUUCUCAUACAUGGAUCCUAUCUCGGAUUUCAUGGACUCAAGCCAUUUGUUUGAAUCCGGGCCCGCCAUCGCUUCUUCAUAGUUCGAAGGUUCACUCUUGUCCAACAACAUGAUUUCCAUGACAGGGUUGUCGUACCACUCUGGUGCGGAACGUAUCCUUGUCGACCUUCGAGGUUCAAUAGCAACUUGAUUCGAAGUGUCAUGAUCAUCAUCAUUAACUUCUUCUCUUGCAAGUGCACGCGCUUCACAAACAUUUUCUUGCGCUGCGCUACUCUCCGGUUCAAGAGGAGGUACAAUUACCUCAUCAAGUUCUAUUUUCCUCCCACUUACUUCUUUCGAGAGAAGCUCUUUCUCUAGAAAGGAUCCUUUCCUAGCAACAAAGAUCUUGCCUUCGGGUCUGGAUAUCCAUGUUGGUUCCCACAUGUUUCACGAUGAUCUCAUCGGAUGAACCACGAUGUCGGGGAUUCAAUCAAUCUCGUAUGAAAUUCCCUUUGUCUACCGGUAUGAUACUUACCCGAGAUUUGAUUGUCGGUAUCCCUUUACCUUGUUCAAUCUCAUUACCGGCAAGUCUCUUUACUCGUUCUGUAACGCAUCAUCCCGUGACUAACUCCUUAGUCACAUUGAGCUCAGUAUGAUGAUGGAUUACCUAGUGGGCCCAGAGAUACCUCUCCGUCACACGGAGUGACAAAUCCCAGUCUUGAUUCAUACAACCCAAUAGACAAUUUCAGAGAUACUCGUAGUGCACCUUUAUAAUCAUCCAGUUACGUUGUGACGUUUGAUACACCCAAAGUACUUCUACUGUAUCCGGGAGUUGCACAAUCUCAUAGUCUAAUGAAAUGAUACUUGACAUUAGAAAAGCUUUAGCAGACGAACAACACGAUCUAGAGCUAUGCUUAGGAUUGGGUCUUGUCCAUCACAUCAUUCCUCAAUGAUGUGAUCCCGUUAUCAACGACAUCCAAUGUCCAUGAUCAGGAAACCAUGAUCAUCUAUUGAUCAACGAGCUAGCCAACUAGAGGCUCACUAGGGACACAUUGUGAUCUAUAUAUUCACACAUGUAUUACGGUUUCCGGUUAAUACAAUUAUGACAUGAAUAAUAGACAAUUAUUUUGAACUAGGAAAUAUAAUAAUAACCACUUUAUUAUUGCCUCUAGGGCAUAUUUCCAACAUAAUUGCAACUAUUUUGCCCUUAUCCAUGGUAUUUCCUAUUCACCAUGUAACGCGGGGGCUCCCAAGCAAGGACCUCCUAUGUGCAAGGCGGCUGGGCCGACCCAUUGAGAGGCGCCGCGAAGUGUGUCUGCAGCAUAAAAAUCGCAAAAAUAAAAUUGAAGCAGCGAGGAAUUGAACCCAUGACGUUGAUUUCCACCACAAGUGUUGCUAGCCACCAUAGCAAGUCACUACAUAUGAACAAUAGCGCAUCGAUACACUAUUUCAGAACUUACUAUUGCGGGAUAUUCCCCUUUGAAAGACUUUUCUUUCCUUUAAAAACAAAAUUGGAAAGAAAAUUAGGGGAAAGCAAAAAAAGGCAAAUAAAUAGAAACAUAAAGAAAAAGGAAAAAUUAACUUGGUAAAAAAUAAAACAAAAAAGGAAUGAAAAUGGAAAAAUAAGGAAAAACAUAAAUUAAAUAAAAAUCGUUAACUUUUUUCGAAAUUAAAACAUAUUUUGUAAUUCCAAAUCAAAAUUUGGAAACACAAAAACAACUUAGGAAGAAAAUUUAAAACACGAAUAUUUUUUGAAAUUUGUGAAGAAGUUUUGAAGCGGGAACAUUUUUUGAAACUCCUAGAAAAUCAAAUCAUGAACAUGUUUAAAAUUUUGCAAACAUUUUUUGACAAAUGGGAACUUAUUUUAAGUUUUGAAUUAUUUAAAAAUAACCCUAAGAAUAAUGGAAACUCCUGCCAAAAUAUUUAUGAAAACACAAAUAUUUUCUAAAUUUCUGACAUAUAAUGGAAACUCCUGCCAAAAUGGAAACAUGAAAAAAUGGAUAAAAAAUAUUCAUCUAUUUUUUAAAGCAGAAACAUUUUUUGAACUUCCAAACAACUUUUUGAAAAUUUGUGAACAUUUUAAAGAAAACAUGUCGAACAUUUUUUGAAAACAAGAACACUUUAUGAAACAUGUCGAACUUUAUUUAUUUGAAAAGUUGUGAAAUUUCAGGGCAGAAAUAUUCCGAACUUUUUGUUUUUGCAAAAAUAGAGAAUAUUUUCUGAAUAAGCGAUCUAUUUCUGAAUUUAUGAACAAAACCAGAAAACAUGAACAUUUUUUUGAAAUUUCUAUGUUGUUGUAAUGGAAACAUUUUUUGAAACUUCAAAAAAUGAAAACGGGAAAAUGUUUUGAAAAUAUGAACAGUUUUUGAAAUGGGUACAUUUUCUGAAAAGUUAUGAAAUUUCGGAGCAGAAACAUUCCCAACUUUUUUUGCAAAAACACAAACCAUUUUUUGAAUAAGCAAAAAAAAUUAGUUCACGAACAAAUAUGAAAACAUGAAAAAAAUACAAUUUUUCUGAAGUGGGAACAUUUUUUGAAACUUCAACAAAAUGAAAAUGUGAACAUCAUUUGAAAUGGGAACAUUUUUUGAAAAUAUGAAUUUUUUUCGAAAAGUUGUGAAAUUCCGUUGCAGAAACAUUCAGAAAUGUUUUUUGCAAAACCACAAACAAUAUUUUGAAUAAUCAAACAUUUUUCAAAAAAGUGACCAUUUAUAAUUUGUGAACAAAAAUUUAAAAAUGGUUUGGGAAAAACAUUGCGAACAAUAAUUUGAAAUGCAAACAUUUUUUAAGUUGCUGAAUAUUUGUUAAAAAUGAAAGAUACUUGAAAAAGGAAAGAAAAUAAAAAGAGAUAGAAAAAUGAGAAAACAAAAAAAGAAGGAUACUUGAAAAACAAAAAAGAAUAAGGAAAGAAAAAUUAAAAAUAAAAAGCAAAAAGAAACAGGAAAAACAGAUUCAUGAGCUUCUAAAAUGUUCCCAAACCAGAACUUUUUAGAAAAAAAUAAAAAAACAUUUCUCGAAUUUAAAGAACAUUUUUUGAAAAACCUGAGAAAAAUUGAAAAUUCAAAACUUUUUUAUAAAAAGCAAAAAUAUUUUCAAAUUUGAAGCACAAUUUUUGAAAUUCCGAAAAUAUUUAGAAAAUCCAGAAGUUUUUUUGAGACAUAAAAAGGAAAAAGAAGUAAAAGAAUUAGAGAAGAAUAAAAAAAUAAAAAUAAAACAGCUCAGGAAAUCUUCUACAAGUUUCCUAAAACCUGAAAACACUGGAGAAGGCCCGAUGGGUCGCUGCUCAGUCGCUUGCGGCCCGACAGGUUGACGCAACUAGCGAGAAAUAGCAUAUUUCGGGUUUUGUCGGUAGUUUCUAUGCAGCAUUAUAGGGGGGAAUUUGAGGGUUUGCCACACAUUUCCCUGCACUUUGAGGAUUUGCCCUCUUUUUUAUUGACAUUGAUGAUUUGCCACAACUUUACCAAAAACUUGAGGAUUUGCUCGUGACAAGAUGAGCCUACCAUGACAUGACGAAAAUACCCUCAAACUACCAGCUAUCUGGUGGCGCACAUCCUUGGGAUGACUCCGCGCGAGGCUGGUAGUGACCACGCACACGGCCUCGGCUAGCAGCAUGGCCAACAUGGCGAGGAAUGCUCUCACCGUGGAGGUGGGAGACCAGCCGGGCAGCAAUAUCGGGCGAAUGCGUCGCACGCAGCGAGCAGCCGUUGCCGGGGACGCACGAAUCCACUCCAAUAAGUCAAUCCGGCAGCCGUCAAGCUCGCGGUCCGUUAUGGACAACGACGACCAUUGGCCGGCCUCCAUGAACAUCAUGUCACGCUCGAGCCGGACGGACGGACAGCGAAUCUGUGCCUAGUGCUCUGUGUGCGCUGUGUGCGUGCGUGCUCUAGCACUUGGGCGUGCGCGAUGUGCUGGGCGUGCGUGUGCAUGGGCGUGCAUGCGUGCGUGAGUGCUCUUGCGUAUAUUGUGUGAAUGCAUGCUCACCUGGGACCUGGGUGUGGUGCGCGCUCUGUGUGUGUUGUGUGCGUGCAUGUUCUACCAUCUGGGCGUCCAUCUAAUGCUGCUGCUACUGCGACAUACACAGAGAAGGACGUCAUUGUCUGCACUCCAUCCCUUUCCGAUGUGCCCUCACCGAGCUCGCGAUGGACAGUCACCACCGUGACCGGACUUGUAGUGUAGACGACACCCUCCGCCCGCCACAUCCAGCACAAGCACAUGAGUAGCAGCAGGUCAGCGAACUCCGAGCGUGGUGACUGAAGGAGCACCAACAGCACAACACAUGGCAGCAGGUGAUGAGCCAUGGCGAGUGUUGCUGCGGGUUUUGACAAGAGUGGCGUUUUGAUCAUCCAAUCAGUAUAGUGUAACGCCAAAUCAAAUAGAAAGGGCAAAUCCUCAAGUUUUUGACAAACUUGUGGCAAAUCAUCAAUGUUAAUAAAAAACAGGGCAAAUGCUCAAAGUGCAGGGAAAGGUGUGGCAAACCCUCAGAUUCCCCCAUUAUAGGCGGCCGUUAACAAUCCGACACCUGAAGUGCUAUUAGCAUGGGCUGGUCCACUGAAGUGUUGUUGAAUUUUAUAUUAUUAUUUUUUGGUUUUUCCGUUACGAAAAAAAUAUAAAAUAAAAAAAGUUUACAGAUUUAAAGAAAAAAGUUCAUCCAUUUGAAAAAAAAUCAUAUCUUUAAAAAAUGUUUAUCAAUUUCGAAAAAAUAUCAUUAAUUUUAAAACAAGUUCAUUGAAAAUAAAAGAAAGUUCAUCCAAUUUAGAAAAGGUUCAUUAAAACUUUAAAAAGUUUAAUAAAUUUGAAAAAAGAUCAUGAAAAGUAAAAAAAAGUUUAUGUAUUUUUAAAAAAAGUUCACUGAACUGAAAAAAGGUUCAUAAAUCUGAAAAAUGUUCAACCAUUUUCAAAAAGAUGUUCAUCAAAUUUCCGGAAAGUUUAUAAAUAUUCAAAAAAUUCAUCAAUCUUAAAAUUUAUUUGUUGGAGUUUUAAAAAAUUCAUCGAUAUUAAUGUAAAUUCGUAGAAUAAAAAAAAACGUUUCAAGUGCCUAGAUGGGCCGGCCGAGUUCAAACGCUACAGGCGUCAGUUAACAAAAAUGCAUAUGAACUGACGCCUCUGGCGCCAAAUAGGAAAUGCCUGCCAAGCAAACACGCCCCAUCCACUCCGCAUAUUUAGGCCGACUCACUUUGGGCUUCUGUAAUGUUGUUUCUGCUACUAUAGGGAGAAACCUUCGCUGGACCAGUUUUCUUUUUCUUUUUUUUAUGUUUCCCUUUUGCCCCUUUUAUCUUUUCUCCAUAUUUUUCUUGUUCUUUUGUAUACUUUUUAAUUUGUGUAAUUCAUAAUUUUAAAACUUGGAACAUUUUUCUAAAUCAAAGAAAAAGAACAAAUACAUGAGCAUAUUUUGUAAUUCGAGAUUUUUUGAAUUGAUGGUAAUCAUUGAACUUUUUCAAAAUUCAUGUAAAUAAUUAAAAAAUCACUAAAUUCAGAUUUUAAAAAGCAUGAUGUUUUUAAAAAUCAUAAAUAUUUUUAAAAUCUUUGUGAUAAAUUCAUGAUAUUUAAAGCUUUGUGAUAAAUUUACAAACAAUUUUUCUGAAUAUUUUACUAGAAAGUAGUAUGUAUUAGUAGGAAAGUUGCUGAAAUUAAAUAUGUAUGGAUGCUAGCUUGGCUAUCACUUUAUCGCUAAGCACCACCUUGAGAGAGGUGCGUGAUUGCUCGCCCCCACAACCUCCUGAACACUCCCAAAGACCCUACUAGGCAUGAACCCCAUAUUGGGGUCAUGCCGAUCCAAAGACUUUCAGAAUGACAACUACAGAGGUUGCCUUGGAAUCUUUGGAAUCGGUUUUAAGUCUUUUCCAUGGAUACUUUUUCUGACCUUUUCAUGUCUAUAUAGAUGGCGCCGACGAUUAUACUGCAAAUGUUUCCCUAAACCUACUACGAAGGUUAGGAAGUUUGAUCCAAAUUAACAUGAAUUGUGUGACAAUGCAAGCAUUUACUACAUCUCUCAAUCCUGCCUCCUGACGUGAAUGUUGAGGAAAACUGCAUGUGUUUCUUGGAGGAAUCGGCUAGGUAGAAUUUACCCUCAUUAUAUGAAAUUUGGGGAAUUCGAUUAUUAUUUUUGCCACGGUUUACUUUGCAUUUUGACAAUUUGCCACUGGUCGCAUUGUAAUUGCCUUUUAGCCACUAUUCACAUUGGGGAUUAGACUUGGACGUUUGCCCUCUUACAGGUCGGGCCCGCUUGAAAUCCCGGUUUUACCCCCGGCCAGCCUCCCUGCUCUUCCUCGAGGCGACACACCGGUGGACGGCGACGGUGGUAAUCGACGGCGGAGGCUCCCUCCCGGCAACAACGACAGUGAGUCUCCUCUCCUCUCUCCUCUGCUGCUCAUCCACAUGUCCCACGGACGACCUAGGGUUAGGUUUAAGAGUUUGUCGCCGCCCCGUGCGCCUGCUGGCCGCCCCCGCCGCCGCUAGGCCGUCUCCUGCGUCCUCGACCUGGCCGCCUCCCCUAGUCGUCUUCCGCGUGCACAAACUGGCCGCUGCCCCUAUUCGUCUCCCGCGUCCACAACCUGGCCCAGCCCCUGCCCCUGGCUUGCUGCUGCUUGCUUGCUACUGUUCGAUGCUUCCUUGCUGAUAACAUACAUUGCCCGAUUUUGGUGCAGACCAUUGGAAGCUAGGGUUCAUCACUGCACAUUGGGGAAUUUCGUGUGAAGGACCACUUCUUCAUUCAACAUGUACAAGUGACAUUAUAGUAACUAGUUUUGGGCAUUUACCAUCAAAUACAUUCGAAAGAAUUGUUUUUGAGGCAAAAUGGGCAAACAAUCAUAGUCCAAUGUAAAAAGUGAUAAAAAUGCAAUUGCAAUGUAACUAGUGUUAAGUUGUCAAAAUGCAAAGUAAAUCGUGGCAAAAAAUAAAAACUCUCCAUUGAAUUCUGUAUCAAUACGUAAUGGCCAAGAGCUCCACAUUUCGUGAAUCUGUGCGUCUUCUAAAAUAUAGUAUAUUUUAUGAACCUAUCACUUUCUGAUGGGGAUGUGUAUUUAUACUGCUCCUUAUUUUGAACUGUAUGUAUUAGUUCUUUAUUGUCUGGUAUUUGUUCCUCUUAAAAUAUCUCAUUUUCCACUUGGACUGUUAAUGCUCGUGGGCUCGUGGCAUAUGAUGUGAAGUUGUGUUCUGUUUUCAUCAAUGCAUAGUUCUUGAAGUGCGUAAGCUGCAUUUAAAGAUAUUAGUAAUGACCUUUUUCUAUAAUCACUGCAUUGUUCGACUCCAACUCCCAUAUCUUUUAAGAUAAUAAAGUGCUUACAAACCAAAAAUAAAGUUUAUGUGGGGUGAGAUCAUAGUGAGGGUAAGUGUACCAAAUAGAUUCGUUUCUACUGAUCAAAUAAAAAAAAUUGUGUUGCUCAUCGAAGUGCACGAACAACCUUGCAUAGUUAGUUUGAGACAGCCAUAAUCAUCUUGAGUUUGUGUGCUCACAUAAUUCUGCUCCCAAAUAGAAAAAUAUUUAUAUGAUUCCUGUUAGCUCAAAGUAUGUUAAUUUUUGGCCUCAAAAUUUCAUUGCCUCUAAUGGUCAGGUUGACCUGAGCCCAGCCUAUCAUACGUGCCUCGUUCUCAGCAGCUGCAGACGUUCCCUAAGAAAAUAGGCAAGCACUGCCGAGAAAUCGAUCGAGGACCGGGGUUGCUAAGGGAAACGAGAUGAGCGGUUGAUCGGGAUGGAGGUUGUGGUGCGGAAGAUGCAGCAGCGGGUGAGGAAGGCACGGGAGGAGACGGAGCGAUGGGAUGACCUCAACUCCCGCCUCCUGUCCCAGUUCUCCAAUGCUGCCGCCAUCAUCACCCGCCUUCUGGUACCUUUCAUUCUCAUCAGAUCCUUCCUUGCGCUUAUCUGCAUCCUACUUGUACGCAGCAGCUUCAGUGAUGCGCUGCGCGUGAUCAAUUCUGCAGCUGUAAUGGGGUUUGAGAAAUUUAAUAAAUGUGCACGGUUCACUGUAAGGUGGUUACAGUAGCGAAUUUUAUUGGUUUCAGUUAAAGAGCAGGCCAAAAUUUAGGAAUAGGGAUACCUGAUACUGCUGCUAAUAUGCAAGCUACACAGAAGGUGCUCAUUUAAUGUUAGUGACUAGUAGCUGCGGAGCUGCAUUGUGGUGUUGGAUUCUCAUGUAUCUGGUGGAUUUAAGAUCUUACCCUGUGUCAUGUGUUGACAAGGUACUUGGAGAUGCUAAAAAUCAUGGUAUCCUGCGGUGUGUGCCCAACAUCAGGGAGGAUCUCUUGGGGGCACAGAUGAGGAGCCUGGAGCUCAUAUUUGUUUCAAUGAGGGAGACUCUGUAAGCUGCUGUCACUGUUGUUACAACCGCUUUUGGUUUGGUCCAACUCUAGAAGCAUAUGCAACGGAAUUGUUUCGAGUUGGUGUUACAAUGUUGCUGCAUUUUUUUUCAGGGAGGAGUUCAGUGGCAUUGCCAAAGGUUUGAGCAAGGUACUGCGCGAUGCUAAUCAGAUGGUGAGGGGUGGAUUGGCACUCACUGGGAAACAAUUGCAGUUACAAGUGGGAAUUUUGCCAACUAUUGCAGACUGCUUGGGUGGGCUACAAACACUGUCUGAAAUGCACCAGGCUGAGUACGAAACAAGUGACAUACCUUCGCCAAACCUACUCUGUUUUUAGAACAUCCUCAUUUUCUUAAUAAAUAAUACAAAGCUUACUCAUUUGACUGUCGCGCUAUUGCUGAUAUGUAUAUUUGCCACCUCAUAUAUGGGAAUCACCUAUUUAAACCAGUACCAUCUCUCUUGUAGCAUUUUGUUUUUGCUGGUGUCAUAUGUUUAAGAUAUUAUUUGCUUUCUUUUCUGACAAUUCAUUGAUAUGCAUCUUACUCUUGUUAUCAUAGCAGAAGCUACUUCUUUACUGAUAAUACAUUGAUAUGCCAGGUAUGCGCUAAAAUCAUCAAUCAUCUCUUUGUUGACAUGGAAAAGCAGGCAAGUUGGAAUUUAUGGCCACUAAACUGUCCUUAGAUUUGUUCCCGAUAAUUCUGUAUCUCUGUUAGUUUACCCAAUACUAAUCCCCCUCCCGUCCCUUAAAACCAGCAGUUGGCCAAAUCUCGAUCCUUAUGUUUCUCCAUUUACUUUUGGUGCCCUUUCUUUUGCAGUUCAAGUGAAAUCGCUGCAAUGCGUCAACUCUUGGUAGACCAACCAAACAUACCGAAAGAUGAAGGUAAGAAAUGAAACAAUAAAACUGAAGAUAUGGUUUUUAGUGAUGGUUUGGUCUGAUGCUAUUUCACUCUAUCUUCCUCAUUUUGCAGUGCAAUCUGUCUUCGACAUUAUAUUUGCAGAUGAAAUUUGCUAAGUUGAGCAUGCAUCCUACUAUUGGAAGCCCUAUUGCCAAGACAUGUUGAAGCAACUGUAUUUUGAUCUACUCCUUCCGUUCAUAAAUAUAAGCUUUUCUGACCUUUCUGUGAAUCGGAUAUAUAUAGACACGUUUUAGUGUCUUUGUUCACUCAUUUCACUCGUGUAUGUAGUCCAUAUUGAAAUAUCCAAACCAUGGUAUAUUUGUGAACGGAGGGAGUACUUUCUUAUCUGAACAAAGUGUUGAGUAAAUAGGCAAUUUUCCGAGUACAUUAAUCCACAAAAUAAUAACUAGCAUGUCAUUGACUAGACUAAUGACAAUACUGAUCUUGAGCUAACCUAGCACAUACUACGCAUAUGGUGGAUACAUCUAUGCAAACAAGUAGUACUGCUAGAAUAAAUACGAACAUGAGGAUAAACGAGUCAUACCCUCCAAUCGACCAGUUGGCCGUAGCAGCGGCGGCGGCGGCAGUAUCCUCUGCCGUCUUCUUCUCGGCUUCCUCGCGGAGACGAUCAGCUUCGCUUGGUGAAGACAUGGCGAUGACGAGGGCGACGCGGACGUAGACGAAGCAGACGGACGGAGGCGAGCAGUCGCGUGAUCGCUCCCCAAAAACCUAAUCGCCCCUCUCCCGUACAGGAACUGGAGAGGCGAGGUUUCGGAGGCCUGCUCUCCCGUUGACCGUGUACGCGGUAAACGGGACGGAGUCGCCGGCGGCAGCAGCAGUGAAGGAACGAAGGCGUGAGGCAGAUGUGAUCUGAUUCUCGUGACGGCUAGGGUAGGCGAUCGCGUGCUUAUAAAGGCGGCUGGGUGGAGAGACGUGGGCCAAGCCCACGUCCGAGUCGGUAACAGCCACGAUCCGACGUCUCGGAUCGUUCCUUGUCCGUUACGUAUUCUCCGUUCCUGACCGGCAAAAAUAAGCGCGUAGGUAUGAGCUCGGCUCGGCUCAUUCCCGCAACCCGCGGCGCGGCGCGGCGCGGCGCGUCGAGGCGUGGCGUGGCGAGGCGGACUGCGGAGGAGGAGUGCGCGAGGGCACCUUCUCUUCUCACUCUCCAAUAGCAUGUGGAAGAGAGACCCUUAUAAAGGGGUCCAAACUCUCCUCCACUAGCGGGGUGGGACUAAACUCCCACCACCUUGCCAUGCCACCACCUACAUGGGCCCUUGUAGAUUUUCUGAAAUUCUCUAAUGGGCCUAAGGCCCACCUCCAAAUUUCAACAAUCCCCCACCAGAUCUCAAGGGCACAUCGUGUUCCCUCGUUCCAAUCACUGUUUUAAUAUACCACCAUUUCAGUGAAGACCUAUUAAGGUUGAGCUUCACCUAGAACAAGUAGCUACACUCCUUUACAACUGAACAAUGGACUAUGCCUUGAAUUGUCAGCUUGGUGUAAAAGAGCUUCACCACAAGUCUUACUAGUACUAGACUGCCGAAGGUGACCCCUCGGGUGGAGCAUAUUAGUCACACUCCUGGCCUAUUCAUGAGUUUACUAGAGAUCACCCAAACCUCAUAGACUGUGACCAGCAGUCAAGCUCAUAUAGGUGUGUUCCUCCAAAGAUCGCUCUGUAGGACAGCAUCUUGCUUACAUGUAAGCUUUAGAACACAUUAAGACAGUAGUCAUCCUACCGUACAGUAUCCGAGAGUAUUGCAUCUCCAACGGAGUGGGUUAGUAAAGUUACUCUCCUCAGUUCACCACUGGCUUGUUUUCCCAGGUCCUACUUCACGGGUUCUCCGAUCAUAUAGGUUAGGUUACUACCAUGGCAACUCAUGUGGGUCUCAUACCCAUCUCCCUCGAUGCACUAUCUAUCACAACACGUGAUAGCCCUUUAGUAAAGGGAUCUGCCAGAUUCUUAGCCGUUUGGAUAUAAUCCAACGCUAUCACUCCGGAGUUUCUCAAACGUCUGACAGACUUCAAUCUCAUUCUUAUAUGUUUGUUGGACUUCAUAUUGUCCUUUGAACUCUUCACUUUAACAAUAACCGUCUGAUUAUCGCAGUUCAUAAGGAUAGCCGGAACCGGCUUCUCAACCACAGGUAAGUCCAUCAAAAGAUCUCGAAGAAAUUCUGCUUCGACACCAGAUUUGUCUAAUGCUGUUAAUUCUGCUUCCAUUGUCGAUCUUGUUAAGAUCGUUUGCUUGCAAGACUUCCAGGAAACAGCACCACCCCCAAGAGUAAACAUAUACCCAGUAGUGGCCUUCAUCUCAUCAGCAUCAGAGAUCCAAUUCGCAUCACUAUACCCUUCAAGUACCGAUGGGAAUCCCGUAUAGUGAAGCCCGUGGUUGACAGUACCUUUCAAGUAGCGCAUAAUUCUUUCAACAGCACGCCAAUGAACAUCGCCCGGGUUUGCAACAAACCGGCUAAGUUUGCUCACAGCAAACGCGAUGUCAGGCCUCGUUGCGCUAGCUAGGUACAUAAGUGAACCGAUAAUUUGAGAGAAUCUCAAUUGAUCUAUAGCCGUGCCUUUAAACUUUCGAAUAAGCACACUAGGAUCAUAUGGUGUUUGACAAAUUUUGCAGUCUGAAUAUCCAAAGCGACUCAAAAUCUUAUCAACAUAGUGGGAUUGCAGAAGUGUAAUCCCACCCUCAUCAUCUCUCAACAGCUUGAUGUUCAAGAUAACAUCAGCCACCCCAAGGUCCUUCAUCUCAAAGUUUUGAGACAGAAAAGACUUAACCUCCUCAAUUACUUUGAGGUUGGUUCCAAAUAUCAGUAUGUCAUCAACAUACAAGCACAAUAUAACUCCUUCGCCCCCACCAUGGCGAUAGUAUACACAUUUGUCAGCUUCAUUAACAACGAAGCCAACAGAUGUCAGAGUUGUAUUAAACUUCUCAUGCCAUUGCUUAGGUGCUUGUCUCAGACCAUAUAAAGAUUUCAGCAACUUACACACCUUUCCUUCCUGACCUUCUAUCACAAAGCCAUCUGGCUGUUGCAUAUAGAUUUCCUCAUUUAGCUCUCCAUUCAGGAAAGCCGUCUUAACGUCCAUUUGAUGAACGAGAAGACCAUGAGAGGCCGCCAAUGAGAGUAGUACUCUAAUGGUGGUCAGUCUAGCCACAGGUGAAUAAGUAUCGAAGAAAUCUUCCUCUUCUUUCUGGGCAUAGCCCUUGGCCACAAGCCUAGCCUUGUACUUUUCAAUCGUACCGUCGGGCCUAAGCUUCUUUUUGAACACCCACUUGCAUCCCAAUGGUUUGCAACCAUAGGGACGAUCGGUGAUUUCCCAUGUCCCGUUAGCCAUGAUGGAGUCCAUCUCGCUACGGACAGCAGCUUUCCAGUAAUCAGCAUCUGGAGAAGCAUACGCUUCUGAAAUAGAAGUGGGAUUAUCAUCCAUGAGGUAUACGAAGAAAUCAUCACCAAAGGUCUUUGCAGUCCUUUGUCUCUUGCCCCUACCACGGGCUUCCUCGUCAUCCUCCUCAGGAUUUUCAUCAUGUGUUUGUUCAUAAUAUUCCAUAGGAAUGGCAGGCUCAGGAGUUAUCUCAGAUUCCUGUCUAGAAGUGCUUUGCAUAUCUCUCAUGGGAAAUAUAUCCUCUAAGAAUGUAGCAUCCCUCGACUCCAUUAUUGUACCGACCUUCACGUCAGGUACCUCAGAUUUCACUACUAUAAAUCUAUAGCCUACGGUAUUCUUAGCGUAUCCCAAAUUAACGCAAUCCACAGUCUUUGGUCCAAGCUUACGCUUCUUGGGGAUCGGUACAUUGACUUUCGCCAAGCAGCCCCAAGUACGUAAGUACGAGAGUGUCGUCCUUCUCUUCGACCACUCCUCGUAGGGAGUGACCUCAUUAUCUUUUGUAGGAACUUUAUUCAGGACAUGACACGCGGUCAAUAUAGCCUCCCCCCACCAUGCCUUGGAUAAACCCGAUGUAUCUAACAUGGCGUUAACCAAAUCAGUUAGAGUACGGUUUUUCCGCUCGGCAACCCCGUUUGACUGGGGUGAAUAGGGAGGCGUCCUCUCAUGAAUAAUGUCGUGUUCCGCACAAAAUGAAUCAAAUUCGUUUGAGAAGUACUCUCCACCACGAUCAGACCGGACUCGUUUAAUUUUCUUUUCAAGUUGAUUCUGAACUUCUGCCUUAUAGAUUUUAAAGUAGUGUAGAGCCUCAUCUUUAGUAUUUAACAGAUACACAUAGCAAAAUCUAGUGGAAUCAUCUAUCAAUGUCAUGAAGUAUUUCUUUCCACCUUUAGUCAACAUACCAUUCAUCUCACAAAGAUCAGAAUGUAUGAGUUCUAAUGGUGCCAAGUGUCUCUCCUCUGCAGCCUUGUGAGGCUUGCGAGGUUGCUUUGCUUGCACACACGAGUGGCACUUAGAACCUUUGGCUAAAGUGAAAGUUGGGAUUAAAUUCAGUUUUGCUAGCCGCGACAUAACACCGAAACUUAUGUGACAAAGACGUGAAUGCCAAACUUCAGAUUCAUUAACACUCGAAUGAAUAUUGUUCACGACUUCAUUACAAAAAUCUGGUAGAGAAAGGCGGAACAGACCUUCGCAUUCAUAACCUUUUCCAACGAAAAGUCCAUAUUUCGUAACUACUACUUUAUUAGACUCGAACACCAACUUAAACCCUUCUCUACACAGAAGGGAGCCACUAACGAGAUUCUUCUUGAUGGCGGGGACAUGCUGCACGUUCUUCAGCUGCACGAUCCUUCCCGAAGUAAACUUCAGAUCGACCGUGCCAACACCAAGAACAGAAGCACUCGCGCCAUUCCCCAUCAAUACGGACCCGCGACCGGUGGCCUGAUAAGAAGAGAACAAAGAUAAGUCAGCACACACAUGAAUAUUUGCAUCCGUGUCCACCCACCAAUCGGUGGACUCACAAACUGUAAAUACAGUAAGUAAAUUACCGUACCCAGAUGCACCACUUUCAUUGUUGCCCACAAUCAUGUUUGCAGACUUGGAGUCCUGCGCCGGCUUCUUGUACUUGUUUGGGCAUUUGUUCGCCCAAUGUUCCUCUGAACCACAAGUAUAGCAGCCAUCUCCCUUCUUAUUCUUCUUGAAGGGCUUCUUCCCCUUCUUCUUGAAGUCGGUAUUCUGUUGGACAGAGUUCUUUCCCUUGGGCUUGUGAGAAUUGAAGUUCCUCUGAUGUACCAUAUUGGCAGCAGAAGUGCUUUCCACCGCUUUUCCAUUGGAGUCCUUUGCUCUCGAGUUCUGCUCAACACUCAGAUGGCCGAUGAUGUCCUCUACUGAGAACUCACGCCUCUGAUGUUUCAGAGUAGUAGCAAAGUUCCUCCAGGAAUUAGGGAGCUUAGCAAUUAUACAGCCCGCGACAAACUUGCCCGGCAAAUUGCACUUAAGAACCUCAAGUUCCUUAGCUAUGCAUAUUAUCUCAUGAGCUUGUUUCAAUACAGAACGGUUGUCAACCAUCUUGUAAUCGUGGAACUGCUCCAUGACAUACAUCUCACUCCCAGCAUCGGUGGCCCCGAAUUUAGAUUCGAGCGCCUCCCACAAGUCCUUGGCAACAUGCAUAUGUAAAUAUGCAUCAACCAGCUUAUCUCCGAUCACGCUAAUGACUGCUCCAAGGAAUAGGACGGUGGCCUCCUUAAACAUCUUCUCCUGUUCAGGAGUGAUAGUUUCCGUAGGAGUGACACCGGCUACCCAGAACACGUUCAUAGACGUGAGCCAUAAGGUGGUUCUCGUUUGCGAACGCUUGAAAAAAGUACCGGUAAACUUAUCCGGUUUCAGUGCAGCAGCAAAACCAUUACUCGAAAAAUUCCUACAGACAUUAGGUUUUUGGAUUGUUGAGUAAAUAGGCAAUUUUCCGAGUACAUUAAUCCACAAAAUAAUAACUAGCAUGGCAUUGACUAGACUAAUGACAUACUGAUCUUGAGCUAACCUAGCACAUACUACGCAUAUAGUGGAUACAUCUAUGCAAACAAGUAGUACUGCUAGAAUAAAUACGAACAUGAGGAUAAACGAGUCAUACCCUCCAAUCGGCCAGUUGGCCGUAGCAGCAGCAGCGGCGGCAGUAUCCUCUGCCGUCUUCUUCUCGGCUUCCUCGCGGAGACGAUCAGCUUCGCUUGGUGAAGACAUGGCGAUGACGAGGGCGACGCGGACGUAGACGAAGCAGACGGACGGAGGCGAGCAGUCGCGUGAUCGCUCCCCAAAAACCUAAUCGCCCCUCUCCCGUACAGGAACCGGAGAGGCGAGGUUUCGGAGGCCUGCUCUCCCGUCGACCGUGUACGCGGUAAACGGGACGGAGUCGCCGGCGGCAGCAGCAGUGAAGGAACGAUGGCGUGAGGCAGAUGUGAUCUGAUUCUCGUGACGGCUAGGGUAGGCGAUCGCGUGCUUAUAAAGACGUCGGAUCGUUCCUUGUCCGUUACGUAUUCUCCAUUCCUGGCCCGGCAAAAAUAAGCGCGUAGGUAUGAGCUCGGCUCAUUCCCGCAACCCGCGGCGCGGCGCGGCGCGGCGCGGCGCGGCGGGCGGUGGAGGAGGAGUGCGCGAGGGCACCUUCUCUUCUCACUCUCCAAUAGCAUGUGGAAGAGAGACCCUUAUAAAGGGGUCCAAACUCUCCUCCACUAGCGGGGUGGGACUAAACUCCCACCACCUUGCCAUGCCACCACCUACAUGGGCCCUUGUAGAUUUUCUGAAAUUCUCUAAUGGGCCUAAGGCCCACCUCCAAAUUUCAACACAAAGCAUGAAAGAGGCUGCAGUUUCAGGUUUAAUGGUCUCAAUUGCUAUAGCACCGUGACAAAGCUGGAAUUAAUUUUCAGAACCAUUUAGCUUGUAUAAACCUUCAAGCAGCGUUAAAGAUAAACUGAGCGUAAAUAAUUCAGAUGGGAUGCAAAUCAACACUCACCGUCUGAGUUCAAGUUUUUUCCAAAUUCCACUAAAAAAUGUUGCUAUAGAGUGGAUGCUCGUCGUUUCUGGUCACAUUUUUCUCUUGGACCAUGAUAUGUGUUGACUGUUAUAGGAAUAUAUAAAUAGAAAUUACCAAAUGACCUCCACUGAUUGAGCCCGAGCACCCAACAGCGAGUUGUGACUGAGUGAACUUCCUGCUCGAGACAUGUUAGUUGAGGCUACCUGUACCGGUGUAAAUUCCUUAGGUUUUCUUAUCCGUGCCGUGAGAAAGAACAAGGGAAAUCCUCCCCUGUCCCAGCCGAUCUCCCCCAUAUUUGUGUGUUGCCGAUCACAAUGCCAACCUCCUCCAUCUGAAGAAGAAAGUUAUCGGGCCCCAACCGCAUGACAGGUAGUGGUGGAGAAAGAAGUUAUCAGGUGAGAAGAGGAAAUCAACAAGGGAAAAAAUCAGUUUGGUUAAAGCCAACUGGAGUGUAGGCGGGAAAUUUAGUGUCCUUGAAUUAGAUUUUGUAGGGUAGAUUUUUUUUGUCCCCUCAGUUUCAAAAUAUACGGUAUACUAUUAUUUUUAAAGUCAAACUUCUCUACCUUGAACCUAACGUAGUGAGAAAAAUAUCAAUAUCUACCGUAUCAAAAUAGUACAAUUAAAUUCGUAAAAUAUAGUUUCAUAUUUUGUUUAUUUGUAUUGUACAUGUUGAUAUUUCUCUCUUUAAAAUUGGUCAAAUAUAGAANGAACUAAGAACCCAUCAUUUGUGUGACUUACAAAAAUAUACCUUUUUAAAAUAGUUUUUAAGGCUUAUAGAUCGAAUCUCUAAAGGCCCUAUCUCCCUCGUAGUGUGUUGACGUGAUAAGACCCUGAUCUUAUGAAUUUUGCUCUGAGCUUCGGCAUAUGUUUUGUGAACGGUGACGACAACCCUGUGAAGUAUGCUUUGGUUAAAGAUACUCUUCUUCUAUUCUUCUGUGAUAGGGUGCUCAUAGUCUGUUUCCUGUGAGUUUGGUGACGAAGUACACUUCGGCAACUUUUGUUCCAAGGGUCAAUGGAUGUGUAUUUGGUCAUAACACGUAAUAUGAUCUUAUAUUUUCAUCGGUUGGGUGGGCGGUUUGUGCUUCUUUUCAAAAUCUUUGAGGCUAAUUUAGUAUGCAGGCCUUGUCUUCUAUAGUUCUUUCCCUGGAAAAGCUUUUCUAUGGUUUCUUCACUAAUGUUAUGGUGGAGUGCAGAUAUGCAAAAGGUGAAAACUGGAGACACCGACUUCAAAGAACCACAUGUAGCUUUUAGUCAUGGAUCUUUAUUCUUCGUUUGUUUGUUCAAUCUAGACAUCUUCCCUAACAUUCCCUAAAUAAGCCACAAAUAUUUGAGAGGUGUGUCCUACAUGCAAGACCCGAUGUGAAGUUGCACUAGUCUUGUUCAUUAAUGCAUGCCGUGUAAGUGAAAAAUGUCUUUCAGCUCCAGCAAAAAUAAUAGAAUUUGUCUUCUAAAAUUAAGAUUCAGAUUAACUGCAAGUUUCUUAUUUAUUUUUCUUGUAGAGAAAUGUUACGACUCACUUCACGGUUGCUGAAUUGCGUCAUGGUUAUUAUAUGAAUUUCUAAUUAAAGAUGAGUCAUAUAAAAUUGAAACAGAUCAAACAAACAAUACAACACACAAUUACUUUUUUGAUAAGACAAAUAAACACGUAAUAUUUUUUUGAGGGGUAAACACACAAUUUUUUUUGAGGCAAGGUAAACACACAAAUUGAUUGGACGGUCAUGUAGUGGGCUUCACACGUCAAAACAUCUAAAUGGGCCGAGCCGAAUGCAGUCGAAGGAGAAGGCCUGCCGGAGUCGGUCAGCGCAACCGAAUCAAACAGGACUCUUCAAAAUAAAAAUCCGGCCCAUGUUCGCGAUGUUUCGCUCUUGCAAUCGGCAAUCGCGUCGCGACUGUUUUGCCCUAAUCCACAGCGGGCGCCUCCCCCCCUGCAUCGCGAAUACUCUGCUCCGCCCUCGCGGCCUCUCCAACACUCCCAAACCCUAGCUUGGCGUGACCCCAUGUCGGGGUCGUACGGAUCCGACGACUACCGCGGCGGCGGCGGCGGCUACGGCGGCCGAGGUCGCCUCAGGAUCCUCGGAAUUGGUUUUGUCUCCUCUUCCUGGAUCGUUUAUCUGACCUUUUUCGUGUCUGCGUAGGUGGCGGUGGUGGUGGCGGCGGAGGCGGUCGUGGGCGCGGCGGUGGUGGAGGAUAUGGCGGCAGCGGUGGAGGCGGAGGAGGAUAUGGAGGUGGCGGCGGUGGGGGAGGGUACGGCGGCGGCGGGAGAGGGGGUGGUGGUGGUGGAGGAGGCUACGGCGGCGGUGGCGGAGGCGGCGGGAGAGGUGGCGGGCGCGGGGGAGGACGCGAUGGUGACUGGACUUGCCCUGACGCAAGGUGGGUAUCGAAUUCUCGCUAUCUCGCUCUAGGAUUUGGUGUUGGGAUCUUCUCAACUGUCGUGGGGAUUUAGGCUAGGCAGAACUUUCAUGACAUUUUAUUGUUGGGAGCUUAUGCCGUAGCGCGGUCACUGGAAUUUCAAACAUCACACCAUUCUGAUGGUUUAGUUUCAACUUCUGCUAGAUGCCCUAUGGCCUUAAAAUCAUAACUUAUGAUCCUUGAUAUUCAUGUCUGUAAUUUACAUUUGAGAUUAUUGCCGGGCUAUAUGUUGAUAUACUAGCAUUAUUUGCCCUGGUUAUUUACUCUGUUAUAUAUAUAUUUUAUUGGUUGUUACACCAGAGCAUAUACAUUUAAUUUACCAUUGUAUUUCUUUGCGAUGUUGUUCAGUUAUUGGAAACAUCGGUGGGCUCUAGUUUUGUAAACACUACCAGGUGUUUUCAUGCUGAGUGUAUUAUCUUCUAUGCAAUCGUUGAGACUAAACGUAUAUGAAUUCUUGUUGCAGCUGCCUUAAUGUGAACUUUGCAAGGAGGACUGAGUGCAAUAAGUGUGGGGCAGUUAACCCAAGUGGAGGUGGAGGUGGUGGCGGCGGCGGUGGGUACGAUAGGUCUGGUGGAGGUGGAGGGUACAAUCGUGGUGGUGGUGAUCAUGGUUCAGGAGGCGGUGGCUACAGCAGAGGUGAUGGAGAUUACAACUCUGGUGGUCGUGAUGGUGGUGCCGGAGGAGCAAGAGGAGGGUAUAAUCGUGAUGGUGGGAGUGGCCGUGGUUUUGAUGACCACCGUGGUGGGAGCGGUGGCAGUUAUGGGGGAAGAGGCCAAGAGAACAACCAAGGUGACGGUGGCUAUGGACAGGCUCCCCCUAAAGGCCCUCCAUCCUAUGGCGGUCCUCCAGGUGACUACGCACCGCCCCCAAGUUCCUAUGGAGGCAACAAUGUGUACAGUUCAGAGUCUGCAGUGCCACCCCCUAACAGCUAUGGCGGCGGUCGAGGCUCUUACCCACCAAGCUAUGGUGCCCCACCUCCGAACCCAUAUAGUGGCGGUGCCCCAGGUGGGCAAGGAGGCUUGCCACCUACAUAUGAUGGUGGUUAUGGUGCUCGGUCUGUGCCUGGGGGUGGAGGCGCAGGUGGUGCUCCACCACCUUAUCAAGGUGGUGGCGGCGGUUAUUCUGCAAAUGCUGCCCCUGAACCUACUACAAAGGUUAAGCAGUGUGAUGCAAACUGUGAUGAUUCCUGCGACAAUGCAAGGAUUUACAUCUCAAACCUGCCUCCUGAUGUGACUGUUGAGGAACUGCAAGAGCUUUUUGGAGGAAUUGGCCAGGUAUAAUUUACCUUCUCUUGAAUUCUUUAUCAAUCUGUAAUAGCCUAGAGCUCCACAUGCUGUGCAUCUGUGCGGCCUCUAAAAACAUAUUUUGUGAAGUGCUGCUUAAUUUGAACUGUAUGUAUCAGUUCUUUAUUGCCUGAAUUCCGUGUUUGUGUUCCUCUUAAAGUAUCUCAUUUUCAACUUGGGCUGUUAAUACCUGUGCCCUAUGAUUUCAAGUUGUGUUCUGUUUUCAUCAAUUCAUACUUCAUUUUAAGUGUGUAAGCUGCACUUAUUGAUACUAGUAAUAAUCUAUUCUGUAAUGCAUGGUUGGACCCCAUCUAUCGUUCUUUUAAGAUAAGGUGCUUACUAACCAAAUGUUAAGUUUAUGUGUGGUGAGAUCAUAGCGAGGGUAAUUGUACCAGAUAAACUUUUUUCCACUGAUUAAAUAUGAAAACAUGUGUUGUUCAUCCAAGUGCAUGAACAACUUGCAUAGUUCGUAAUAAUCAGCUUGACUCUGCUCACAUAGUUCUACUCCAAAAUAGGCCAAUUUUUUUUAUCUCUGUUACCUAAAUAUAUGUUGUAGUUUUCUACUUCAAAACUUUAUAGACAUCCUGAGUCGGUCAGGUAAAAUAUCUUUGCCACAUAUCUUUGCCCAAGAACUCGCGAGAUGGCACACCCAUUGCUGUUGCUAAUCUUAGAGAAUAGAAUACUGUUAUUUUUCAAUUAUGUCGAGCACUUGUUGGUCAUUUUAUUUUGUUCUUUCAAUACUUGCAACUACUUUUUUAAAGGUUGGAAGGAUCAAGCAAAAACGUGGCUACAAAGACCAGUGGCCCUGGAACAUAAAAAUCUACACUGAUGAUUCUGGAAAAGCCAAAGGAGAUGCUUGCCUUGCUUAUGAAGAUCCUUCUGCUGCUCAUUCAGCUGGUGGAUUCUACAAUGGUAUGUUUAGUGCUGGGGUUGCAGCGAUGCAUCACAUUUUUCUAUCUAACACUGCUUUCCACUUCAUAAUGCAUAUAAUCUUCUUCCAUUUCAGAUUAUGACAUGAGAGGCCGUAAAAUUAGUGUUGUGAUGGCUGAGAAAUCAGCACCUAGAGCUCCUACAUCUGGUCAUGGGUAAGUACAUCUUGCUUGUUUAUCUGAUAAACACAAAUUCUGUAAUCUAAUGUCUACUCUGGGCCAAUUAUACCCUUUGGCCCCUGCUACAGUUUGAUAUCUCAAUUUGCAUUUUCCUAGCAUUGUCAUAUUAUUUUGUCCCGUGUCAUUGUGUUAUUUUACAGGCCUCUUCAAACUAUUUUGCGGAUAUGAUAGUAUUCCAUGACUUGUCUGGUUGUUGCAUUUUGGCCUGAAGAGUACAGAAUAGAACCAAACCAAGUUAACCUGAUUCAAAUUAUGUAUCAGACAUUGUUGGCAUGCUGCAUAUGCCUUUGAUGACCAGAUAAAGUCUGGAGUCAUUGCUAAGUACAGUUGACCAAUAUGCGGUUUUUCUUUUAAGCAGCUGAGCCUUUAAAUUAGCAUAUAUCUGAUGUAUCUCCAAUUGAGCAUUACUAAAAUCAUGAUUGGUUGUAUGAUGCUAACAUAUAACCUGUUUGCCGCAUUACUUGUUGUGCAGAGGUGGACGUGGUGGUGGAGGCGGCUAUGGCGGGGAUAGACGCAGAGAUGGAGGAGGCUAUGGCGGGCCUAACAGAAACCAGGGCGGUGGUUCACGAUCGCGACCAUACUGAAAACAGUCAUAUAAUUACUAAGAUUGUCAUCUGCAAGAAACCAUUUAUAUUCAUGUUCUCUCUGGACUUGUACUCAUACAGGAGAGCGUAAGGUAGGUUGUCUGCUUUCCCUGGACUUCUGUUCCAUUGUCUUAUUCCAGUGUUGGUCGGAUGUUUGUUUGUCAAAAGUGAUUGAUCUAUGUUGUGUGAAUUUUUCCUUAGAGGCAGCUGGAUAACCUCCAAAUGCUGAUAUGUUUGAGAUGUUAUUACAGGUGAGUGCCGAUCUAUUAUGAUUAUGCAAUGCUUUGCUAUUAUGGUGACUGGUUUCACCAUAUAUUAUUUUUCCUUUUUUGAUCUAAUGCUUACAUUCCACAUGGUAUUCAGCCGGUGGAUCACUGCUGUAAGCUUUGGAUUUUGCUUUGGAGAACAGGUAGGGCGUUUUUGUUGUGUGGUUGAUUCGCUCCCAGGAUAGUCUGCUAGUGACGUGGUUCUGUGAAUCUUAGAUGUAUUGAAGAAUCUUCAUAGACUUGCACCUCAGUGAUUAUUUCCAUCUAUUUGUAAAAUUUAAUUUACUUGAAGUAAAGCCUGUCUGAAUAUGAGGUAAUUAGCAGCUUGAUAUUACCUUGUCUUAGAUUUGACUAGAUACAUACUUAUUUAGAUAAAUAUAAAACAAGAAUUUAGAUAAACAUCCAAACAAGCACUAGCAUUAACGGAAUUUUCUUUAUCUACUCCCUUUGAGCUUCUGUCUGCUAGCCGAACUUCAGUGGCACGACAUUGCUAUCUGCUCUUUCAGACAAUCCUGAAGCUGCAGAUCCAGCUUCAGUUCAGUUGGCUCGAGUUUCAUCAAUUCAUUUCUUUCCUUGUUUGGUUCUUCUCUUAACAAUAAACUGCAGCUGACAUACUUGAGUUUCACCCGGUGAUGUUUUGAGCAACUUAUGGUACUUGAGUAAAGUAUCACUUAUUUCUUGAUUGUAGCCAGUAGAAGGUUGUGCAAAUGCGAUCUAUGCGUUACUAAAAGGAUUACCUUAUAUGCAUCAGUAUAUGUUACUACUUUCAUUGCCCUCCUCUAUGUUACCACGAGUGGACGUAGAAACCAUCACGGAAGUCGGCUCACAGAUAAAGUGGGUGUUUUGUACACGUAAAAUACACUAGUGUAGUGAGUCAACGUUAUGGAAACACGUCUACAAAAUACGUGCAAAAUUAUCGCAACUCUUUCACUUACACAAACUGCGUGCUUACGUCUCGCGUCUCCGAGAAUUUUUCACUGAAGGAUUUAUGUCUUCGCCGGAUUCUCGGAGCAAGGGCGUUCGUCCUGCUUCAUGCGGCAGUUCCAGGAAGCUGGCUCGCGCAGAGCUUCCGCACGGGGCCUAAAACAGGGAGAGUACGCGUCUUUAAAUAAAUUUUGACCCAUGAAGUGAGGAGAGCAUUUUUCGCUUUUUUUUUAGCAGAGUACAAUCAAAGUUGCUCACAUAUGAGCACAUACUCAUCCGUAUGAACGCACGCACUCACAUCCUACCCCUAUGAGCACUUUUAAAAGAAUAAGCCGGCACAUUAUCUUAAGAUUGACGAAGUCGUCACCGACGCCUUCGUUGUUGAUGGGAACGUCUCCUCCCAUUAAAAGCACAUCGACGGAAGAUCUGUAAUAAAUUUAGAAAAAUACAAGCACCAACGUCAAGUCUGAAACUUGAACUCUGAUAGGCAGGGAAUACCACAGUCCUCCUAACCAUCCAACUACGACAAGCACCGGAAGCCAAUCUUUGUUUCCUUCUUGUCUUUCUAUGCAAGCCGAAGCUUAAAUAAAACCAAUUUUUUUUUACCUGAGGCACCAGCAUAAACACCUAUGUUGUACAGUGCAUUAUGAAAUCUCCAACGCGGAUCACAAAACCGUUGGUAUGCAACUGGGAAUGCGUGGUACUGCAAACUAAGGUAAACCAGCCCUUCCCCUCGAAAAACUUCCUCCUCGUGCACGAGCGACGCGACCAAAAAUUCGUUGGGCUCCCAACAAGCGUUAUUGUUUAACGUCUUUAGCCAGGCAUUGACAAUUCAAUGAUGCUCACAUAAAGGAUAGCAAUCGGACACGAAGAAAACAUCAUGAAACAUGUGACAAACAUAUCUAAGUCUGACAUACUUCCUAUGCAUAGGCAUUUUAUAGAAAAACAGAUUGUCUUGACAAUCAAUAGUUAUCAUAUGCAAGGAAGAAGAAUGAGAUAAUAGCAAUCUCAACAUAACGAAAGGGUGGUUUAGUAACAUGAAAGAUUUUACCACAAUAUUUUUCUCUCUCAUUACAUGUGGGAUCAUAUUCAAAUUCAACAAUAUAGCUAUCCCAUAGGAUAUUCUUUUCGUGAUCCACAUGCAUGCAAAGUUGACACUCUUCAAAAAUAGUGGGAUUAUCAUCAACUAAAGUCAUGACUUCUCCAAUCCCACUUUCAAUGUUAUUGCAAACAUCAUAUUCAUCAUGAGGCUUAAUUUUUUUUUCAAGAUCAUAAGAAAAAUCAUCACCCCAAUAAUGAUCAUUGCAACCAGUAGUGGACAUAACAAAACUAGCAUCCCCAAGCUUAGGGUUUUGUAUAUUUUUAACAUGAUUGUCAAAUAGAAUUUAUAAUGAAACCAUUGCAAUCAUGUUUUUCAUCCAAGGAGCCCUCGUGAAUCACUUCAUAUAUUUUUUCCUCGCAAUUUUCAGAUUCACGCAUCUCAAGCAAAACUCCAUAGAAAAAGUCAAGUGCACUCAACUCACUAGCAAUUGGAUCAACAUAAUUGGAUCUCUUAAAGAGAUUAGCAAGUGGAUGAGGAUCCAUAUCAAUAGAUUUUCAGCAAGCGAAGAUGCAAGCAUAUUGAAGGCACAUAGCACACAAGCGAACAGAAAGCAAGCGAAAGAAAAGGACGAACCAAAAAGGCAAAUAUUUUUUUGUAAUUUUUUGUUUUUAAGAAGUGGGGGAGAGGAAAACGAGAGGCAAAAAAGUAAAUACAAGGGAUGAGUUUGCGACACUUACUUGGAUGAGUUCUUGACUUGAUCCUCCCCGGCAACGGCGCCAGAAAUUCUUCUGCUAUCCCUGGCAACGGCGCCAGAAAUCCUUCGACUACGGCGACAGAAACCUUCUGUCGUCUCUUGAGCUUGCGUUGGUUUUUCCCUUGAAGAGGAAAGGGCGAUGCAGCACAGGAGCAGUAAGUAUUUCUCUCAGUUUGAGAACCAAGGUAUCAAUCCAGUAGGAGAAUCUCGUCAAGUCUAGAGUAUCUGCGCAAACACAAAAGAGCUUGCACCCAACGCUAUAAAGGGAUUGUCAAUCCCUUCAAGAUUGAUUGCAAAGUGAGAUCUGAAGGCGGAAAGUGCAACGAAGUAAAAGUGUAAGGCUGAAAAUAUGGUGUGGAGUAGACCCGGGGGCCAUAGUGUUCACUAGAGGCUUCUCUCAAAAUAGCAAGUAUUACUGUGGGUGAACAUAUUACCGUCGAGCAAUUGAUACAACCGCGCAAAGUCAUGACGAUAUCUAAGGUAAUGAUCAUACAUAUAGGCAUCACGUCCGAGACAAGUAGACCGAUAAUUUCUGCAUCUACUACUAUUACUCCACACAUCGACCGAUAUCGAGCAUGCAUCUAGUGUAUUGAGCUCAUGACGAACAGAGUAACGCCUUAAGCAAGAUGACAUGAUGUAGAGGGAUAACCUCAAACCAAUGAUGAAAACCCCAUAUUUUUACCCUUGAUGGCAACAACGCGAUGCGUGCCUCGCCACCACUUCUGUCACUGGGUGAGGUCGCCGCACGGUAUGAACCCAAAACCAAGCACUUCUCCCAUUGCAAGAAUCAUAGAUCUAGUUGGCCAAACAAAACCCACAACUCGAAGAGAAUUACAAGGAUAUGAAAUCACGCAUAAGAGAGAUCAGAAGAAACUCAAAUAAGACUCAUAGACAAUCUGAUCAUAAAUCCACAAUUCAUCGGAUCUCGACAAACACACCGCAAAAGAAGAUUACAUCGGAUAGAUCUCCAUGAAGAUCAUGGAGAACUUUGUAUUGAAGAUCCAAGAGAGAGAAGAAACCAUCUAGCUACUAGCUAUGGACCCGUAGGUCUAUGGUGAACUACUCACGCAUCAUCGGAUAGGUCAUGGUGUUGAUGAAGAAGCCCUCUGUAUCCGAAUCCCCCCUCCGGCAGGGCAUCAGAACGUGCCCCAGAUGGGAUCUUGCGGAGACAGAAGCUUGCGGCGGCGGAAAAGUAUUUUCGAUGAUCUCCUGAUUUUUUCUGGGAUUUUAGGGAAUAUAUAGGCGCAAAACCUAGGGCAGAGGAGGUCCAGGGGGCCCACAAGCUAGGGAGGCCCGGCCUCCCCCCUGGCCGGGGCUAGGGGGCUUGUGGGAUCCCUGGGGACUCCCUGCCUUGGUUCUCAAGUCUCCCAAUCUUCUUCUGUUUCGGAAAAAAUCUUUUCGGGGAUUUUAUUCCGUUUGGACUCCGUUUCAAAUCUUCCUCUGAAAAGGGUCAAAAACACGGAAAAAACAGGAACUGGCACUUGGCACUGAGUUAAUACGUUAGUCCCAAAAAAGAUAUAAAAGGCAUACAAAACAUCCAAAGUUUGACAAGAUAAUAGCAUGAAACCAUCAAAAAUUAUAGAUACGUUGGAGACGUAUCAAUCGCCGUUCACUUUCUGCUUACUGUGUUUUUCUUGGUGGUUCUCUCAUUGCUUGGAAAACGAAGAAAUAGACCACAGUUUCACGUUCGAGUGCAAAGACUGAGUUGCGACUGAUGGCUCUUUUGACGACAUAAGUGACUUGGUUACGGUGGUUACUUCAGGAUUUUGGUGUUUCUGUCACUACACCUACUAGGCUCUUAUCUGACAGUACAUGUGCUAUCAGCAUUGCACGCGAUCCUGUGAAGCAUGAGCUCACCAAGCACAUUGAUGUUGAUUCUUUUUAUGUGUGUGCUGGUGUGCAGGAUCAGGUUAUUGCUCUUCAGUAUGUGCCUUUCGAGUUACAGUUGGCGGAUUUCCUGACGAAGGCCCAGACUAGAGCGCAACAUGGCUUAUAUCUCUCCAAACUCAGUGUUGUUCAACCACCAUGAGUUUGAGGGGGGUGUUAGAGUAUAUAUAAUAUAGCCAUGUACCCCUUUGUAUUUAUCCCAUUGUAUAAGGGGUUCUCUGCAUAUAGUCCACACAUGUACAUGUAUAUAUAUUGUCCUAUGGCCUCAUGGGAAUACAAGUUGCAUAUUCCUAACAGUAGUAAACCGUGAGCCACGAGGACUCGGCAAUCUCAUGACCUUGGUAUCGAGUCUAACUAAGUUAAUAGGUGAGAUAGGGUUAAGUGUUUGAGUUUGCAGCAAUCUAAGCAUAUAUGGUGGCUAACUUACGAAGAACAGAAAUAUGAUAUGGUGGACUACGUAAGACGGUCGAGAUAUAAGGAUGAUCACUAAGUGAUACUGAACACCUACUUACGUCAUUCAUAACCCCACCGCGUUCUCGAUCAGAGAAGGAGCUCUGAAAGAGACAGUCACGGUUACACACUCAGUUGGCAGGUUUUUAUUUAAGUUACUUUAAGUUAUCUAGAACCGGAUGUUAACAAAAUAUCCAUGAUUGCCAUAUAACCGCGGGUACAGCUUUCCGAAAGAUUUAACCCUGCACGGGUGCUCCAACUAGUCCAUCACAAAUUACCACAGGCCGCAUAGUAACCCUCUACCACAAAACUCAUGAUCUCGUCGGAUUCCUUAGUGGAAAACCUCAACUUUGAGAAGAUCCAAAGUCUCACCGGAAUCCCAGUGUGUAAGAUAUAUAGCUAAGGUAAGACAAGUCCGGCAAGACCUCUCGACGUGUCGACGAACCCGAUAGGAGCCGCGUAUCUCGUUCUGGGGACACGACGGAUGAGCACUACGUACAGUGGCGGGAUAGACAUCCCCCGAGUUGCCCCGGGUGUCCCCGCAAGUGGCUCUGGUUUGUACCAACACUCAUGAGGAGCACUGGCCCGGGGGGGGGAUUGAUUAGAUUCCUCGAGGUAGCUAUUCCCCAUGUUUUAUUAUUAUUAAGUUGUUAGCAAAUUAACACCAAAGUUGGGUCUUUCCAGACAGGCCUUAACACUAAACGAUUUAUCAAGGGGGUCCCCAUAACAACCCCGAACAUGUUAGGAGCGCUCAGUUAUGGAAUAAAACACCGGUAGCCGAAACUAAGGCAACAACAACGGAACAAAUCACCCGACAAAAGGCUAGGCCUCCCGCUAUUUACCAAGUAUAUAGGUGCAUUAAUUAGAUAGAAAUUUAAAUACGAUGAUAUCAAUUGCCCAUGUAAUCACAUGGAUCAGCUGGCACCUGCAACUAGCAACGCUAACAAAUUAGUGGUUGAGCAAGCCUAACUUAGCCAAACAAUAUUUGCUAGGAGGGGAGGUGUUUGAGGUUUUAUGGAAAUGUUAGAUGGCCUAUAUAUCAUGUGGUAGGCACCGGAGAUGUAACGAUAGAAACGAAUCACUAAGCAUAACAAAGCUAGAAACAGUGUCAAGGUCACAAUCAUCUUGCCUGUGGUUUCUCCAGAGUGGAACUGUUCCUGAUCUUCCCGCACGAACUCACCGGACUCCUCGAACUCGUUUCCGCCCCCAGUAGCUACCCAAAAGAAACAAACAUCUAAUAAACACCAGCAACAGAUGAUGCAACAGGCAAUAUGAUGCAUGUAUGCACAACUCCAAACAAGCACAGAAAACAACCCUACUCAGACUACAAAGUGCCACCUCACCACAAAGUGACUUUUUCAGAACUGCUCAAAACUGAAUUCCAGUACCGGCAUUGGAUUCCUUGGAUUUUUUUUACCCCAAAUACAUAUAUCAUACCGCCAUAUUUGCAUGCAGAAAAACACCACAAAUAGCAAAAGAAAAACUACCCAGAAUCAAGCUAUUCUAUUGUCAAGAACAUGAACUGUUCUUGAGCCUGCCAAAUUUGGCAUAUGUCAGAUUAGGCAGAUUUCAUUUUAGGAAUUAUUCCAAAGAUGGAAUUUAUCACAUCACAGAAAUAAAUAAAGGGAAAAAUAAAAUAUCAACUAAACCUAAAAAGAUAGGGGGGCACUGGUCAUAGGUACUAGGGUCCCUAGUGCACGACAUGUGGGCCCUGGCCCCACUUGUCAGUGGCACACACAACACAACACACCACUGAUACAUCCCAAACGUAUCUAUAAUUUAUGCUUGUACCAUGCUCUUUUGGGUGACAUUGUUAUGUGUUUUGCUACACUUUCAUACCUUUUUACACAUAUUUGGACUAACCUACUAACUCAGUGCACCCAUUACCAGUUUUUGUGUGUUGAUGUCUCUGAAUUCCAGGUUUAUACCCAUACUUACAGUGCCCGAAAAGUUCCACAGAAAAUAUAUAAAAAUCAGCGUUCCAGAAGACUGCACACUCCCGAAGGAGAGCCAGAGGGGGGCCACACCCCACCCAGGCGGCCACCUGGCGCGGCCUAGGGGGAGGUCGUGCCACUAGGCUGCCUGGGCGAGUGGUACCUCCCCUGGUGCCCCCCUUUGGCCCUAUUUUUACACCUGUGGAGGAAACCCUGAUUGUAGAACCCUUUUCUCCAAAAGCAAUUCCGAUCUCCGCUGCCAUCGCCAACAAGUUUCGGGGAACCAGAAUUCCUCUGUCGGCACCCUUCCGGGACGGGGAAGUGCCCCCGGAUUCAUCUCCAUCGACGUUUCUUCCUCCCUCCAUGAAGCGAGAGUAGUUCCUCCUCGGGGCUGACGUCUUCUACAAUAGCUAUGUGGUUAAUUUUCUCUCCCAUGAUGUGAUCUUGAUUGUGAUCAUAUGCUAUGUUAAUCUAGGGUGAUCCCAUGAUGUUUCCCAUUCUUCUGUGUAUUGGAUUGAUGUAAUCACUUGAUCUUAUCUAGUAUAGUCUCCGAGACCAUGGUGAUAGCGGUCUAUUGGACAUGGAUUAGAAGAAUAUUUUCAUGAGUGAUUUCCCCUUUUGUGAGUUGAUUGAAGAUUGAGAGUCUCUUGGUGCUUGUCUUUGACUAUCCGUGAGACAUGUUAUAGUGAUUGUGGUACUCUCUUUGGAUGGUUGCAGUGACAUUGGGAAAUCCAUAGAUGAGAACUACGAACACUGAGGUGUGCUUUUGUAGCCUACAUAAUUCUCGUCCUCCCUUGAUCACAAAGGAAUGAUCUCCGAGUACGUCUCCAUUGCAUGUUUUAGUGGAAAUAUCAUGUGAUUAGACUAUGUUAAUGUUGUUGGGAGUUUCCACUAGUGAAAGUAUGAAGCCUAGGCCUUGUUUCUCACCAAUGUUACACCGUUUGUGCUCACUUUUGUCACUUGCUACCUUGCUGUAAUUUUUUAUUACAGAUUUAUAUUACCUUGCUUUGCCACACCUAUCACCCAUAUUUUACCAUCUCUCCGCUGAACUAGUGCACCUAUACAAUUUACCAUUGUAUUAGGUGUGUUGGGGACACAAGAGACUUCUUGUUUCUUAAUUGCAGGGUUGCUUGAGAGAGAGAGACCAUCUUCAACCUCUACUUCCCCGAGUUCGAUAAACCUUAGGUCAUCCACUUUAAGGAAAUUGUUGUUGUCCUACAAACCUCGGCGCUUGGAGGCCCAACAUAGUGUACAAGAAUAGAAGCGUGCAUAGACAUCAAGCUAUUUCUAGCGCCGUUGCCGGUGAGGUGAGUGCUUGAAGGUAUAUCUUUGGAUCUUGCAAUUAAAUCUUUUCGCUUCUUGUUUUUAUUUUCACUAGUUAGGCUUAUGGAAAACUGCAGUCUUAGUUCACUGCUUGGGGAACUCUGCUUUACCACACCCAUGGUAGAGAAGUCUCCUCCACCUACUAAAUGUAUCCCAUUCGAAAUACCACUUGUGAUAAUUGAAAUAAUUAGGAAUGAUUGUUAUGCAGGAGAUGGAACAGUCAAUCCUAGUAUUCAUUUGUUGAAACUUACAGAACUUUGUGUAUUGUUUAAGAUUUCAGGUUUGACAAGAGAUGGAGUCAUCAGGAAAUUAUUUGCCUUGUCACUGAAAGGAAAAAAUAUUGGAAUGGUAUAGGCUACUAGAUAAUUCUCACCUACGGGAUUGGGAGGAGAUCUAGUCUCUCUUUUACUCCAAGUUUUAUCCUCUUCAUGAAGUCCAUGAGAAUAGGAAUUAUGUUUAUAAUUUCUAUCCUCAUGACGGAGAGAGCAUAGCUCAAGCUUGGGGGAGACUGAAAACUUUAAUGCUAAAAUGUCCUAACCAUGGGCUCCCCAAAGAUAUGAUUAUUACUAAUUUCUAUGCGAGGUUCUCUCGACAGGAUAAAGACUUGCUCGAUGCUUCCUCUAUGGGUUCUUUGACAAACGAAAGGAUUGAUGCUAAACGGGAACUCCUUGAAAGAAUUCAAUGCAAUACUGAAGAUUCGGAGAUCGACAAAGGUAAAGAGUCAGGUAUAAAUUAUGAGUAUGAUUGCAUUAAGGCCUUUGUUGAAACUGCAAGUUUUAAUAAGUUUAGUGCUAAGUUUGGGCUUGAUUCUCAACUCCUUGUUGAUUUCCUAAAAUCUUUUGCUUCACAUCUUAAUAUGCCUAAGGAGAAUUGGAUCAAGCAUCAUGAACCUUUUAAAGAGAUUUGCAAAGAAAAUGAAAUUGUUAAUGAUAAAUGCAACGUGCAUGAUCCAAAUCCUGAAAAUGAAGUUUUAUAUAAGCAUGUUAAUUUUUCUGGAGUGGAUAGACCUUGUGAAAGGCCUAUGAUUGAAGACGAGAAGUAUUGUAAGCACCAUAAGCAUGAAAGAACAAUCACUUGGGUUAGAGAUUUAAAUGAAAUUGCUAAAGAAUUAUGUGACCUUUAUCCUUUUACUUGUGAACUUUAUGGUAUAGAGGGUCACUUUAAUUUUCAAUGCAUGCACUAUCAAAUAACUGUUAGCCAGUUGUGUGAUAACAUGAUCACUUCUGAUCUUUAUGAUGAAAUUAUGUUAUUUUUGAUGUGUGAAGAGUUAUCAAAAAGAACUUCUUAGCUAGAUGAUAAUGCCUUAGGAAUAAACAACACUUUGCAAAAAUCCCAUCUCUAUUGUGUUGUUAAUUGCCAUGAAAAUGAUUACAUAAGUAAGAUUAGAAAGGAGGGAACUUUACCAAAGCAUAAAAAUGUCUCUUAUGUUUCCACUAAUAAAAAGGAGAGUUUCUCGCAUGUUUCCCCUAUUGUUUCUAAUGAUAAACCAGAAUAUGUGGAGAAGAUUUCUCUCCAACCACUCCCUCCUAAGGUGAAGAAGAUGAAAAAGAAGAGGAGGAAGAGGAACAAGAAGGAAGAAGAAUGGGUAUCAACCUCGCUUGAGCAUAUGAUACGUCUCAAACGUAUCGACUUUUCCAAACACUUUUGCUAUUGUUUUGGUCUCAUUCUUGCAUGAUUUGAACGAAACUAACCCGGACUGGCGUUGUUUUCAGCAGAGCUGCCUGUAUGGUUUUCUUAUGUGCAGGAAAAAUGGAUUUUUAGGUGUCCCGGAAAAUUCCAAUAAAAAUAGAGAAAAAUCCAUGCAUCAGGAGGAACCAUUGGCCAGAACAUGGCCCAGAGGGGGUCACCGGGCCUCCACGCGACCUGGUGGCGCGACCUACCCCCUGGCCGCGCAAGGAGGCCGCCUAGGUGGGGCCCACCCCCUCUGGUGCCCUACCUUGGCUCCUAUUUUUACCCGUGAUGGAGAAAUUCUAGAACAGAAGUCGUUUUGCAAGUUCUCAACGCGCAGCCGCUGCCACCCUCGCUUCUUCUUCGGGAGAGCUAAUCUGGAGGCUGCCUUGGCCUCCGGAGAGGGGAAAUCGUCGCCAUCGUCAUCACCAUCACCACUCCAUCACCCUUCCAUGGCUUCCCCUUUCACGUGUGACUAAUUCCCUGCUCUAGGUGAUGGGGAUGGUAGGGAUUGGAUGAGUUAGAUCAUGUAAUAGUUCAUCAGACUGUUGGGGGCAUGUUGCCUAUCAUCUACUAUGGUGUUUAUCAUCUUUGCUACUACUUGUUACUCUUAAUGCUUGUCACAUUGGGCCCGAGUGCCAUGAUUUCAGAUCUGAAUACCUUAUGUUUUCAUGAAUAUAUUUGUGUUCUAAGAUCCUAUCUAUGAGUAGUAUGCACCUAUUAUAGUCCGGAACCAGCGAUCCCAAUGGUGACAGCUUGGGACACUAAAGGGGAUAGACUAUGAUUUGAGGAUUCCAUGUAUCCAUUGAUUGUUAAUGCUUUGUCCCGGUGCUCUUUGACAAGAGCACCUUAAUCUCCGUAAGUUCCUUUUGGCCCCGUUGGUAGCGGGAUGGUAGGACAAAAGAUGUUGUGCAAGUUCUUAUUGCAAGCACGCACGACUACCUUGGGAUACAUGCCUAAUGUUUGAUAUUUGCCUAGAUGAUCAUUACUUUCCUAUGUGCCUUGCCCCAAGUUAAAUACAUGAUAUCUCUCAUCCAUGACCGACCAUCCAUCUCCCUAGCCUACAGUGUUUUAAUCCUGCUGGUUACAAGUUGCUUUACUUUUGCUGUUUUACUUUCGUUGCUUUGCCACCUUUAUUUCUGUUGCCACCAUCACCCAUAUCACCGUUGCUACUAAUAUUUCGUUGACAAUCAAGUAUCUUUCACGUGCGGUUGAAUUGACAACUCAACUGUUAAAACUUAUAAAUAUUCUUUGGCUCCCCUUGUGUCGAAUCAAUAAAUUGGGUUAUCCUACCCGCGAAAACUGUUGCGAUCGCCUACACUUAUGGGUUAUCAAAACUAUUUUCAGGCGCCGUUGCCGGGGAGCAUAGCUUUAUUUACAAGUCUACUUGGAGUUAUUUUUCUUACUGCGAUUUAUCCACUAUGGGUAAGAAAGGAGACCCCAAGGUUCCAAUUUUACCAUCUACAACAAGAAAAGGUAUUGUUCUUAGCACUAGUGAUACGCUUGAUUCACCUUCCGUUAUGAGUAAGUUUGCUUCACCACCACCACAUGCUACUUCUACCGAAUUCGUUACUAUGUCUGAUACUUUUGAUGAUGCUUCUACUACUCUUGAUGAGACUGGUUUACUUGGUUAUUUUAUUGAGUCUCAAAUUGCUAAGGUUGCAAAGCAGUCUGGAAUUGAAAUUCCUGUUACACGCUACCCCAUCGGUAGAUCCUUUGGUUACCUAGACUUGAGUGGUCUCAGGGAAAUAAUUCUUGAUGAUGAUUUGUGCAGGGAGCUUACAGAGUGUGCUGACUCUAACCGUGCUUCUGUUAAGAAGCUGCUUGAAAAGCAUUCUAUGAAGAACAAAUUUACUCCUAAUCCUAAAUUUGCUUCAUCUCCUAUUUGCAUUGAGGAUGCUGAUUUUGAUUUCCCUGUCGAUCUUUCACUUAUAUCCACAGUUGAAGCUGACCCCUUUUAUGGAAGAGAAAAUGACGAUGCUAUUGCACACCUUACCAAACUCACUGAGUUGGGUGGCUUAUUCACUACAAAGGACAAGAAGAGAAAUUAUUAUGUUACUAAGCUACUUCCUUUCUCUUUGAAGGAAAUGCUAAAGCAUGGUAUGAUGCACUACCAUGUGGUUCCAUUAAGAGUCCUCAAGAUUUAGCUAAAUAUUUUGUUGCCAAAUAUUUUCCUGCUCGUAAGCAACAUGCUGCUUUACAAAGAGUAUAUAACUUUAAACAGUUGCAGGAUGAGCACCUCCCUAAAGCUUGGGGGAGGUAUUGCACUUUACUCAAGGCUAGACCGGGACAUGGAGUCCCUAAGAAUGAAUUGCUUGAUAUAUUUUAUGUUGGUCUAACCGAUGAAUCUAGAAACUAUUUGGAUAGUUGUGCUGGUUGUGUUUUCAGGGAAACAACACCGGACGAUGCUGAAGAACUAAUUGACAAGAUAACUAAGAAUCAUGAUGAUUGGUCCGUUCAUGAACCACCUCCACCACCAAAGAAGAGGGGUAUGCUUUUUCUUGAGCCCUGAAGUUAUGCAAGAAGCCAAGAAGUCUAUUAAAGAGAAAGGUAUUAAAGCUGAAGAUGUGAAGAAUCUACCUCCUAUUGAGAAAUUAUGUGAACCUACCACUCACCCACCUAUGGUAGAGGUACACUCUCUUUUAGAAUUCAAUGCAAGUGACAUCCCUCAUGGUAAGCCUCCUGAUCAAUGUUUAGAUGAGCUUGAUAAUUUCAUUCUCAAGCAAAGUCAUUUUAAUGAGAGGAUUAAAAGCCAAUUGCAUGAUAAUUUCCUUGCUAUCGAAAGUGUGCUUGAUGUUUUAAGUAUAACUAUUAAUGAUGUUAAAGGUCUUGUUAAGCAUUUUCAUAUGGUUCAAACUUAGCUUGAAUUUUUUUUCUAAUGUGCAAAAAGAUUUGCUUGCUAACAAUGCCAAACAAGUUGAUACAUAGGCAUAUGGUAUAAAGACCCGAGGUGGUACACACACCCAGGACCCCCUCUAUCCGGAGGGGCAUCCAAAGAGGAUCGAGCAAGAUUCUCAAUUGCAGGAAGAAGACGUUGUCACCUCCCCGAAGAAGAAGAAGAAACACAAGGAAGUUGAUAACUCAAAUGAUCCCAUAAUUGAUGAAGAAUCGAGGUCUUUACAGCCUUUUAUGAUGACAGCAUGCUCUCCAUGUUUCACUUACCACUGUCUGCUCAAGCUUAUCAGGAACUGCUUUUGGUCCAAUCUUUGCUUCAGGACCUGGAUCUUGAUCAUCAGGCCUCUGACAGAUGGGUAUGGGGAAAGGAUGCUAAGGUCUACACAGCCAAGAGCUACUACGCUCAUAUUCAUAGCAGUAUUAUACCAAGCCCUUUACUCAACUGGAUCUGGAGAAGCUGUUGUACCAUGAAGAUUAAGAUGUUUGCCUGGAUGCUCAUCAUGGACAGGCUAAAUACUCAAGAUAUGCUUGAACGACGUCACUGGAAUGUUUCUGACUCCAACCUUUGUGUUCUAUGUCAUGCUCGAGUCAAGGAAGACAGAGAUCACUUAUUCUUCAACUGUCUUUUCAGUACCAGGGUCUAGAAUUACCUGCAGAUCACAUGGCAGGGUCCAUCCAUGUGGAGUGCUGUUGUUGCUGCUAAAAGGGACUUUCAUAACCCUUUCUUUGCUGAGGUGGUCUUCACUGCAUGUUGGAACAUCUGGACUAUCAGAAAUGCAAAGGUCUUCAACCAGGAGCAGCCAAAGUUCAGAAAAUGGAGAUCUGGAUUCAUUCAUGACAUUUCUCUGUUAGCUCAUAGAAUUAAGGCUAGUUUGAGGGAUGAUCUCCUUAAAUGGGUUUCCUUUUUGCCUCCUUGAGGUUUGUAAUCCUUCCUCCUCUUCCCCUUUGUACAUUCUAAUCUCCUCUUGUACAUAUUGCUCUCAUAUAUGGGAAUAAAGGAAAAAUGGCUGUGGGGGGUUUUCCUUACAGUAGCCGGUCAAAAAAAAUUGAUGAAGAACCUAUUGUUGAUCCUAAUAGUAUAUCUAUUUCCGAUGUUGAAACCGAAGAUGGUGCUGAACCUGAUAAACAUAAUGAGAAGAAUGAUCCUCCUGAAGUACAAGAAGAAGAAGCACCCGACAAGCGCAAGAGAUAUACUAGAGAAGACUUUGUUGCAAGAAGACAUGGGAAGGAAAGAGAACCAUGGGUACAGAAAUCAAUGCCCUUCCCAGGUAAGUCUUCCAAAACCAAAGAAGAAGAGCAUUACAAUAAAUUUUGUGAAUGGAUGAAACCUCUUUUUCUUCAAAUUCCUUUGACUGAUGCUAUUAAGUUGCCUCCGUACUCGAGGUAUAUGAAAGAUAUUGUUACUAAUAAAAGAAAAGUUCCUAAUGAGGCAGUAUCUAGUAUGCUUGCUAAUUACUCUUUCAGUGGUAAGAUACCCGAGAAGCCUGGUGAUCCAGGUAUACCCACCAUUCCGUGCUCCAUAAAAAAUAAUUAUGUUAGAACUGCUUUAUGUGAUCUUGGUGCAGGAGUGAGUGUUAUGUCUUUCUCUCUUUACAAAAGGCUUUGUCUAGAUAAAUUAAUCCCUACAGAUAUCUCUAUUCAAAUGGCUGAUAAGUCAACAGCCAUUCCUGUCGGUAUUUGUGAGGAUGUUCGUGUUGAAGUUGUUAAUUGCUUGAUCUUACUGACUUUGUUGUGCUUGACAUGCCCGAGGAUGGGAGCAUGUCUAUUAUUCUUGGUAGACCUUUUCUUAACACCGCGGGUGCUAUUAUUGAUUGCAAUAAAGGAAAGGUGACUUUCAAUGUUAAUGAGAAGGAGCACAUGGUAUAUUUUCUGAAUAAGAUCGAUAAAAGGCAUGGCCUUAAUUCUAUUGUGAAUAUUGAGACCGUGAAGGUUGGAGAGUGGGAUUGUCCUCUACAUGUGCACCACAAAUACAAAACCAUUAUGGUGGGGAAAAUGUCCAUUAAAAUAAAGGUACCUGAUUGCUUUAUAAGAAGUGAAACUUUUUGCUCGAUAUAACACCUGUUUGGUAGUAAGACUUGAUCAACCUUGCUAACAAAUAUGUUUUAUGUGAGUAAAAAGAGAAGCUUGUCAUGUUUUCAUUUCCUUUAUCUUUCAUCCUCCUUGCUGUACCAAAGUUUUAUGAUUUUGAAACUUCAUAUGUUUAACCAUUGCUUUGAGAUUUCCGGAAGUUUUGCAGCUUUCGAUACUUCGAAAAAAAUUCAAAAGAGAAGUUGUCAGAAAAAUUGUAAUAAAAAUUUCCAUCGAAAAAGAGACACAGGGGCACCUGGGGCCAACCAGGGGGCCACCCCUGGUCCAGGUGGCCAGGUGGCGCGGCCUGGGCCCACCUGGUUCCCUUUCCAUGUACUUCUUCCCUUCUCACUCUCUCACUCCAAAAAUCCCAAUUUUUCUCCCGGAUCUCGAGUUCUUGUUGUUCUUGGUGGCAAAUUUUGAUCUCUCUCUACGACCCAUCAUUUGCAUUGAGAAUUUUGAGCAUUUGCUCCUUGGUAUGUGACUCCUCCACUCCUCCAAUUAGAAUUUUGAUUGGUAGUCUUAUUUGUGAGUAUUUAGGAGUUCUUGGUGUUUUUCAUAUGAGCUUGCAUGCAUGUUUAGAAAUUUAUUUAUGAAGUUUUGACGCAAGUUUAUGCAUCAGGGAAGUGAGUAGAAUAGUUUGGUCCAACUCAUUUUGCUUAAAUCUUCAUUUUUGUGAUGUACCAAAAUUUUUAGAAAUGAGUUUGUUUGGAAAAGCAAAAGGAUGGCUUGGGAAGAAGAGACCCGAGCCUACCGAUAGACUAACUAGAGUUGCAGCUUCACCCUCUACUGUGAGGACAAGUUACAAUGAUGAUAUUGUGCCACCGGAGUUGCUCCACGAGAUGGAAACGACACGUGCCAUGACAUACCCGUGUUCAGAUUUCCUUGCGGCCGCAUGUAUUAAGGAUGAGUUUGAUAACCUCUGUCCAGCUGCAGGUUUGACACUUCUUGUAACACGACGUGCGCCACAAUACCCAAAACUCACCUAUUAUUUUGUCAACUGGUUUAGAUAUAAUGAUAAAACUUCCAUGAUUGAAUUCAAAUUAUAUGAGGAUGUCUUUACCAUGUCUUUGGCAGAAUUUUGUGACGUUAUAGGUGUGCGGAAUGUCGGUAAGACGACCAAAAUGAAAGUUCAGCCCUACGAGCUGAAAUCCCUAUUCGCUUCCCUUUGCAGCAAGGAUCCGCAAGACAUUCACCGAGGAAAGAUUUCCAACAUCUUGUUUCCCCACAUCAGGUAUUUCGCAUACUAUAUUGCUCGAGGGGUGUUAGCUCGUGACAACACGAGCAACAUUUCGGCUCCGGAUCUUGCUAUCUUGGCAGCCGCCCUCUUAGGAGAUAACACGUAUAACAUUGGUGCUUUGAUUGCUCGUCGCCUCGUCGCUAACAGCGGCAAAGGGACUCACUUUGGUGGCAUUUAUGCCACGCUUAUCCUCGAGCACCUCGAGCGCACUCUACGUGCGGAUGAUACGUCUUUUUCAUUCAUAAGCUUUGAUCUUACCGCUAUGAAGAGGCAUGAGUUUGUUACUAGGACUUCUGAGUUUGAUAACCUUGUUUAUAUUAUGAGGUUCGGCAAGCUUACUACUCGCGAGAUCCGUCUACGUGCACCACUUUUGUUUGAUUACACUAGCAGGAACGAAUUGUCCUUCACCUCAAUUGAGUUGGACGAGUUCGUGAUCCAGCAGCAGUUCCACAACCCCGUGGAGGGGGUUGUUCCCAAGGAAGAGGAGCCUUCUUCUUGGGAGUAUAGCCGGGCAUCAGUCUAUGCGCCCGAGGCCCCGUACGAUUCUUGGAGCUACCAGUACCACCCCGGAGCCGGAGGGAGCUCCUGGAGCCCGCAAUAGCCAAGCCCAACUUAGUCCAAAAGCCUAAGCUUGGGGGAGUACGUACCCUUCUCCACUUUCAUUGUAUCAUCCGUGGUUUCCUUUUUAAUAUUUUCCGAGUUUUUGCCUGUUCUUUUUUAUUCUUUCUUUGCAAAAACAACAAAAAUAUUUCUCUUUUCUUUUGCUUUUGUUUAGCCUUUGGAAAACCCAAAAAGAUUUCCUUUCUCUCUUUAGUUUGCUUUGUUUGCAGAGUUCAGCUCACAUCCAUGGUUGCAAUUGCACUUGAUUAUAUCUAUCUACGUUCGAUCGUGCAAGUGACGAUGCAAUAAUGAUGAAGAUAAACGGAAGGGAUGCAACAAGGAAAGCCGGUAUGAACUCUGUUUGUUUCUACUUUUGUACAUAUGCCUGUACUUAUGAUCCACAGACGAGCUUGUAGCAACAUAGUGCUAUGUUUACAAUGCUUUCCCAGUAGUUCAUGCUUUCUUUUUGACUUGUCUCAAAUAGCUGGAGUGCAUAAUGUGUUAUUGAAAUGAUUUGCAUGCAUUGCAUUGUUCAUGGUUUGGCAUAUUGAAGUGGUAUUUACCUUCAGAGAGUUUUUGGAUUGACUUGGCACAUGCUUACACAUGUUUAUGACUAGAAGUCUAUCAAGCCUUGAUGAUCUUUUUAUUUCAGAAUAGUUAUAUCACUUUCAUGCCCGAUUCAAUGUUGCUUUGUUGCUCUGCAUGAUUAUGACUGUUAUUGCUCUCUAGUUGGUUGCUUCCCCAUCUUUUGCUAGCCUUCACCUGUACUAAGCGGACUGGCUGCUUGUGCAUCCAAAAUCCUUGAAACCAGUUGUGCCAUAUGAGUCCACCAUACAUACCUAUAUGCGGUAUUUAUGUGUCGUCCUAAGUAAAUUUGCAUCUGCCAUACUCUAUAUCUUCAAAUAAAUAUUUUGUUUUGUAUGCCUGAAUCACUCAUGUAGCGACUAGGGGCUAUCAGUAUCUUCCAUGCUAAGUGGGUUAUUCUCAAGACAUGUGUUGAUUCACUAUCAUUCACGAGAAAGUGGGUGGUAACCGGGAUGCCUAGUUCCAUGCUCAAAAGUCAAAUCAAAUUUAAUGAAACAAAACUCCCCCAGGAUUGUUGUUUGUAUGGACGGUACCCGUGGAUUCGGCCCGCUAUGGAAUGUGAUCGAUUGGUGGAGGGGAGUAAAAACUUUACUUUUCUAUUUGGAAACCGCCUAUAAUGUAUUUAGCAUGGAAGAUAUUGAGAUCUCUUAGUUGUUACGUUGACAAUGAAAGCAUACCACCCAAAAUUUUGAUUCAUCCAUGUUUUAAAAACUCAAGCUCUCGCACCUCUGCAAAUAAAUGCUUCCUUCUGUGAAGGGCCUAUCUAUUUUACUUUACUAUUGAGUCAUCCUCUUCUUAUAAAAAAGCACCAACUAUUGAGAGCAUAAUUGUCAUUCUGAGUGUAAUGUGCAUUGUCCAAAGUACCACAUUGUCUUCUGCAUGAUUGUGAUAUUACUCAUUUUGGAAUAUUUAUUUCUAGUCUCCUUUAAGACUCCGAGGGAGCGUGUGCAUUUAUGUUUUUCUUCACUCAUGGGGGCUAGCGAGAUGCCACUCUAAUAUGUCCAAGUCAUGUGCAUUGUGAUCUCAUCAUGAUUUUCAGUUGCAUAUUAUUCAUUCUUAGUUGUUUGAAACUCUUCACAUGAUCGAAGAAUUGCUUCGUGCAUUGUCUUUGUAGCAUUGCUUCAAUACUUGUCGGACUUGUUCGUAGUGCAUGCUUAUAUACAUCUAAUGAAGCAAAAGAGUUUGUCAAAGUUUUCUUUGUUGCGUCUAGUUCGUUGAACUGAAUUGCCUGAGGACAAGCAAUAUGCUAAGCUUGGGGGAGUUGAUACGUCUCAAACGUAUUGACUUUUACACACACUUUUGCUAUUGAUUUGGUCUCACUCUUGCAUGAUUUGAACGAAACUAACCCUGACUGGCGAUGUUUUCAGCAGAGCUGCCUGUAUGGUUUUCUUGUGUGCGGGAAACAUGGAUUAUUAGGUGUCCUAGAAAAUUCCAAUAAAAAAUAGAGAAAAUCCACGCAUCAGGAGGAACCCUUGGCUAGAAGAUGGGCCAGAGGGGGUCACCAGGCCUCCAGGCGACCUGGUGGCGUGACCUGCCCCUUGGCCGCGCAGGGAGGUCGCCUGGGUGGGCCCCACCCCCUCUGGUGCCCUAACUUGGCUCCUAUUUUUACCCAUGACUGAGAAAUUCCAGAACAGAAGUCGUUUUGCAAGUUCUCGACGUGGAGCCGCCGCCACCCUUGGUUCUUCUCUGGGAGAGCUAAUCUGGAGGUUGCCUUGGCCUCCGGAGAGGGUAAAUCGUCGCCAUCGUCAUCACCAUCACCACUCCAUCACCCUUCCAUGGCUUCCUCUUUCACGUGUGAGUAAUUCCCUAUUGUAGGUGAAGGGGAUGGUAGGGAUUCGAUGAGUUAGAUCAUGUAAUAGGUCAUCAGAUUGUUGGGGGCAUGUUGCUUAUCAUCUACUAUGGUGUUUAUCAUCUUUGCUACUACUUGUUACUCUUAAUGCUUGUCACUUUGGUACCGAGUGUCGUGAUUUCAGGUCUGAAUACCUUAUGUUUUCAUGAAUAUAUUUGUGUUCUAAGAUCCUACCUAUGAGUAGUAUGCACCUAUUAUAGUCCGGAACCGGCGAUCCGAAUGGUGACAGUUUGGGACACCAAAGGGGAUAUACUAUGAUUUGAGGAUUCCAUGUAUCCAUUGAUUGUUAAUGCUUUGUUCCGGUGCUCUUUGACAGGAGCACCUUAAUCUCCAUAAGUUCCUUUUGGCCCCGUUGGUAGCGGUAUGGUAGGACAAAAGAUGUUGUGCAAGUUCUUAUUGCAAGCACGCACGACUACCUUGGGAUACAUGCCUAAUGUUUGAUAUUUGCCUAUAUGAUCAUUACUUUCCUAUGUGCCUUGCCCCAAGUUAAAUACAUGAUAUCUCUCAUCCAUGACCGACCAUCCAUCUCCCUAGCCUACAGUGUUUUAAUCCUACUGGUUACAAGUUGCUUUACUUUUGUUGUUUUACUUUUGUUGCUUUGCCACCUUUAUUUCCGUUGCCACUAUCACUUCCAUAUCACCGUUGCUACUAAUAUUUCAUUGCCAAUCAAGUAUCUUUCAGGUGCCAUUGAAUUGACAACUCAACUGUUAAAGCUUAUAAAUAUUCUUUGGCUCCCCUUGUGUCGAAUCAAUAAAUUGGGUUAUCUUACUCGCGAAGACUGUUGCGGUCCCCUACACUUGUGGGUUAUCAGUAUAUUCCUCACAUCAACUUUUAUCCUAACGGACAUAAAUUUAUGGAGGAUGGUGAGCUUGAUUGCAUUCAUUAUUAUCUUGAUGAUAAGUAUGUAGGUACUAUUGAAGAUGAUUUUGAUUAUGAUAUGCAUGUUACUUAUUGUGAUUGGGAAUAUGAUGAUAAUGCUACUUAUGAUCUUGAAAAUCUUUUUGGUACCAACUCUGAAAAUGAUGAUAUGGAAAGCUCUAAGCUUGGGGAUUAUAGGAUUGCAAGUCCUUUACCCAUUAGUGAGGUGAUAAUUGAUAAUUCUUUUGCUAGUAAGAAUAAACACAACAUGUUUACAAAUGUAGUUGCUAGCAAUAAUAAUGCUCUUCUCUACCAUGAUGAUGUUAUAACUCCUAUAUAUAGUGAUUGUAAAGAUACCUAUGACAUAAGGAGAAAUUAUCCAUAUGAAACUGGUCAUAAUCAUGGAGGGAAUUACUCCCUUGCUGAACACCAUCUCCCCAAUACACAAUUAAUCUAUAGUGUUCAAGUUGUUUAUGAUAGUCCUACUCCCACUAUUACCAAUGAGAAAGAUUAUGCUUAUGUGGAGAGUAAGAGUACCUUUUUGCAUGUGGAUCAUGGUAACAAUGCUUUAUGUGAUACUUAUAUUGUUGAGUUUAUUCAUGAUCCCACUUAAAAUUAUUAUGAGAAGGGAACAUAUGCUUAUAGAUAUUUCAAUAAUAUCAAGUUCCCUCUCUUUAUGUUGAAGGUUUUGAAGCUGCACUUGUUUUGCCUUCCUAUGCUUAUUGCUUUAUGCUAUUGAAGUAUUCCUAUGCAUGGGAAGCAUGUUAGACUUAAAUGUGUUUGGUAUUUGUUUCUUGAUGCUCUCUUUUGUUCUACAGCUCUUAUUCCUACGAGAGCAUCAUUAAAAUCUUAAGUCUAUCUUUAUGGCUAUAAAGAAAGAGCUGUAGGGAGACGACCCUUGUUAUCUUUACUUUUAGUUUUUACUUUCAGUUUUUAGUGGUCUUGAUGUUUAUUACUACUGUAGAAACAUAAUUGUAUCUUUAUUUUUAAGCUUUCUGGCGUCUGUUCUAAGUUUUUUGAUUUGAGUUGCACAAGUGCCCUAAAAAAAUUAUUUACUACUUGUUGGUUUGUUUUUCACAGAUUCUGCCACGUUUUGCGUUUUCAUCGUUUUGCAAAUCUUAAGCUUGCUUUUUCUUUGCAAAAACUUUUUGGCAAUCUUGAGAAACAGUAGCUCCUCAUGAAAAUCUUUAUUUUCAGUGGAUAAAAAAUAUUUUAUUAUGGGUACUAACCACUCUAAUCAGCUUAUGAUGAGUUUCGUAUGAAGGGAGUUUUCAAGUAUGCGAUGGAAGAUGAUGAAAGAAGAUCCAGGAGUGUCAAACGCUCCAUCUUGGGGAUGCCCCCAUGCACCCCAAGAAAUAUCCAAGGAUACUCAAGUGUCUAAGCUUCACGAUGCCCCCGUGCAUCCCCUUCUCCAUCAACAAUCAUCAGUUCGUCCUUCUACAUGCUAUAUUUUUAUCUCUUCAUGUGUUAUGUGCUAAACUUGGAGAAUCUCGCUCUUUACUUUUUAGUUUGCUUUAGUUUUGCUUGUUGUUCAUAAAAAGUUGGACCCUAGCCUUCAUUGUUUGGGAGAGAAACAUGCUCCACUCCACCCUAGAUCACAAACAUAGGUUUUCAUGCUUAUCUUCUUGUGUUUUUUAAUCUUUUCAUAGUUCUUGUCAUGCUUAGCUCUUAGUUUUCAUGCUUAUCUUUCUAAGAGCUUUUAUUUAGGUUGCUUUUGGAACUCUCUUGAGUUAUCAUGCUUAUCUUGUUUAGAGAGUUGGCUUGUUGCACGGGGUUGUCUUGCAUGAGUAGGUAAUUGAGGUUGCUAUUUAAGUAUAGUAGUAACUUGCAAUACUUUUGAGGUAUUGAUUUGAGUAAUGUUUGGACUUUUGGUGUCAAGAGCUUGAGAUAUUAGUGAUAGGUGUUGUAUUUUGGGCAAUCCGUGUGUAUUUUUGAAACUAAAAAAAUUAGUUGAGAACUCUAGCUACUAGAUGGAUCGCUAACUUAUGGAGGGGUUGGAAUAUAUAGAGUACCCUCACGUUAUCAUGGGUCGAGGAUGCACAAGGAUAACCAAACCCCCAAACACUCCUCCUUGGGGUACUUGUCUCUUUGUGAAUCUCCUGACUAGAUAGAGAGUUACCGAUAAUAAGUGUUGGAAAUAUGCCCUAGAGGCAAUAAUAAAUUAGUUAUUAUUAUAUUUCCUUGUUCAUAAUAAUCGUUUAUUAUCCAUGCUAGAAUUGUAUUGAUUGGAAACUCAAAUACAUGUGUGGAUACAUAGACAACACACUGUCCCUAGUGAGCCUCUAGUUGACUAGUUCGUUGAUCAAAGAUGGUCAAGGUUUCCUGGGCAUAGGCAAGUGUUGUCACUUGAUAACGGGAUCACAUCAUUAGGAGAAUCAUGUGAUGGACAAGACCCAAAUUAUAUACGUAGCAUAUUGAUCGUGUCAUUUUAUUGCUAUUGUUUUCUGCGUGUCAAGUAUUUAUUCCUAUGACCAUGAGAUCAUAUAACUCACUAGCACCGGAGGAAUACCUUGUGUGCAUCAAACGUCGCAACGUAACUGGGUGAAUAUAAAGGUACUCUACAGGUAUCUACGAAGGUGUCCGUUGAGUUAGUAUGGAUCAAGACUGGGAUUUGUCACUCCGUGUGACGGAGAGGUAUCUCGGGGCCCACUCGGUAAUACAACAUCACACACAAGCCUUGCAAGCAAUGUGACUAAGUGUAAGUCAAGGAUCUUGUAUUACAGAACGAGUAAAGAGACUUGCCGGUAACGAGAUUGAAAUAGGUAUGCGGAUACUGACGAUUAAAUCUCGGGCAAGUAACAUAACGGAGGACAAAGGGAAUGACAUAUGGGGUUAUAUGAAUCCUUCACACUGAGGUUCAACCAAUAAGAUCUUCGGAGAAUAUGUAGGAUCCAAUAUGGGCAUCCAGGUCCCGCUAUUGGAUAUUGACCGAGGAGUACCUCAGGGCAUGUCUGCAUAGUCCUCGAACCCGCAGGGUCUGCACACUUAAGGUUUGAUGAUGUUUUAGUAUAGUUGAGUUAUAUGUGUGGUUACCGAAUGUUGUUUGGAGUCCCGGAUGAGAUCACGGAUGUCACAAGGGUUUCCGGAAUGGUCCGGAAACGAAGAUUGAUAUAUAGGAUGGUUUCAUUUGGUCACUAGAAAUUUUCGGGCAAUUCCAGCAGUGUACCGGGAGUGACGAAUGGGUUCCUGGAGUUCACCAGGAGGGGCCCACCCACCCGGGAGUGAGCCCAAGGCAUUAGGGUGGCGUCACAAGUCCUUAGUGGGUUGUUGGAGUCAGCCCAAGGGGCCCAUGGCGCCACAUAAGAAAAUACCAAAGGAAAAUAAAAGAAAGAGGGAGGUGGGAAGGAACAGGAGGACUCCUCCUUCCCAAACCGAAUUGGUCCUCCCUUGGCCGGCGCACCUUGAGGCCUUGUGCCUCAAGGCUAUCCCUCCCCCUCCCUCCUAUAUAUAUUGGUGGUUUAGGGCUGAUUUGGAACACAACUUUGCCACGUGCAACUCAAACCUACACCUCGUAGUUCUUCCUCUAGAUUAGGUUUCUGCGGAGCUCGGGCGGAGCCCUGCAGGAAUAGAUCAUCACCAACACCGGCGCACUGUCAUGCUCCCGGAGAACUCAUAUAAUUCUCCAUCUCUCUUGCUGGAUCAAGAAGGCCGAGAUCAUCGUCGAGCUGUACGUGUGCUGAACAUGGAGGUGUCGUCCGUUCGGCGCUAGAUCGGAAUGGAUCGUGGGACGGAUCGCGGGACGGUUUGUGGGACGGUUCGAGGGACGUGAAGACGUUCCACUACAUCAACCGCGUUUCUUAACGCUUCUUGUUGUGCGAUUCACAAGGGUACGUAGAUCUAAUCUCCACUCGUAGAUAGACAUCACCAUGAUAGGUUUUCGUGUGCGUAGGAAUUUUUUUGUUUCCCAUGCAACGUUCCCCAACAGUGGCAUCAUGAGCUAGGUUCAUGCAUAGAUGUUAUCUCGAGUAGAACACAAAAGGUUUUGUGGACGGUGAUGUUCGAUUUGCUGCCCUCCUUAGUCUUUUCCCGAUUCUGCGGUACUGUUGGAUUGAAGCGGCCCGGACCGACAUAACUCGUACGCUUACGAGAGACUGGUUUCAUCGAUUGACAUGCAACGUCGUUGGAUAAGGAUGACUGGCGGGUGUCAGUUUCUUCAACUUUAGUUUAAUUGGUUUUGACCGAGGCGAUCCUUGGAGAGGUUAAAUAGCAAUUUGCACAUCUCCGUUGUGGUUUUUACGCAAGUAAGAUGCGAUCAUACUAGAUACCCAUAGCAGCCACGUAAAACGUGCAACAACAAAUUAGAGGACGUCUAACUUGGUUUUGCCCGGUAUGCUUGUGAUAUGAUAUGGCCAAUGACGUGAUGUGAUAUAUUGGAUGUAUGAGAUGAUCAUGUUGUAAUAGUUAAUAUCGACUUGCACGUCGAUGCUACGACAAUCGGCAGGAGUCAUAGGGUUGUCUUUAAACUAACGUUUGCGUUUUCAGAUAAGAUUACUAUAUUUCUAGGUCGUAGCUUUAGUAGUAAUAGCAUAGAUAGCACGACAACCUCGAUAGUGACACGUUGAUGGAGAUCAUGAUGAUGGAGACCAUGGUGUGCCGCCGGUGACAAGAAGAUCCUGCCGGUGCUUUGGUGUUGGAGAUCAAGAAGCACAAGAUGAUGGCCAUAUCAUGUCACUUAUGAAUUGCAUGUGAUGUUAAUCCUUUUAUGCACCUUAUUUUGCUUAGAACGACGGUAGAAUUAUAAGGUGAUCUCUCACUAAAAUUUCAAGAUGAAAUUGUGUUCUCCCCGACUGUGCACCGUUGCGACAGUUCGUCGUUUCGAGACACCACGUGAUGAUCGGGUGUGAUAGACCCAACGUUCACAUACAACGGGUGCAAAACAGUUGCACACGCGGAACACUUGGGUUAAACUUGACGAGCCUAGCAUGUACAGACAUGGCCUCUGAACACAAGAGACCCAAAGGUCGAGCAUGAAUCGUAUAGUUGAUAUGAUUAGCAUAGAGAUGCUUACCACUGAAACUAUCCUCAACUCACGUGAUGAUCGGACUUGAGUUAGUGGAUUUGGAUCAUGUAGCACUCAAAGGACUAGAGAGAUGUACUUUUUGAGUGGGAGUUAUUAAGUAAUAUGAUUAAUUGAACUAAUUAUCAUGAACAUAGUUAAAAGGUCUUUGCGAAUUAUGAUGUAGCUUGCGCUAUAGCUCUACUGUUUUUAUAUGUUCCUAGAAAAAAUUUAGUUGAAAGUUCAUAGUAGCAACUUUGCGGACUGAGUCCAUAAAACUGAGGAUUGUCCUCAUUGCUGCGUAGAAGGCUUAUGUCCUUUAUGCGCCACUCGGUGUGGUGCACCUCGAGCGUCGUCUGUGGAUGUUGCGAACAUCUGACAUACACGUUUUUGAUGACUACAUGAUACUUCAGUGCGUAAAACUUAAUGGCUUAGAAGCAAGGCGCCGAAGACGUUUUGAAACGUCAUGGAACAUAAGAGAUGUUCUAAGAGAUGAAAUUGAGAUUUCAUGUUCGUGCCCUUGUUGAGAUGUAUGAGACCUCCGACAAGAUUCUUUGUCUACAAAGUAAAGGAGAAAAGCUCAAUCAUUGAGCAUGUGCUCAGAUUGUCUGAGUACAACAAUCACUUGAAUCAAGUGGGAGUUAAUCUUCCAGAUGACAUAGUGAUGGUUCUCCAAAGUCACUGCCACCAAGCUGCUAGAACUUCAUGAUGAACUAUAACAUAUCAAGGAUAGAUAUGGUGAUCCUUGAGCAAUUCGCAAUGUUUGACACUACGAAAGUAGAAAUCAAGAAGGAGCAUCAAUUGUUGAUGGUUAGUAAAACCACUAGUUUCAAGAAGGGCAAGGGCUAGAAGGGAUAAUUCAUGAAAUGGCAAACCAGUUGCUGCUCUAAUGAAGAAACCCAAGAUUGAACCCAAACCUGAGACUAAGUGCUUCUGUUGUGAGGGGAAUGGUCACUGAGGCAGAGCUACCCUAAAUACUUGGUAGAUAAGAAGGCUGGCAAAGUCGACACAAGUAUAUUUGAUAUACAUGAUAUAGAUGUGUACUUUACUAGUACUCCUAGUAGCAUGAGGGUAUUGGAUACCGGUUCGGUUGCUAAGUGAUUAGUAACUCGAAAUGAAAGCUACGGAAUAAACGGAGACUAGCUAAAGGCGAGGUGACGAUAAGUGUUGGAAGGGUUUCCAAGGUUGAUGUGAUCAAAACAUCGCACGCUCCCUCUACCAUCGGGAUUGGUGUUAAACCUAAAUAAUUGUUAUUUGGUGUUUGCGUUGAGCAUGAACAUGAUUGGAUCGUGUUUAUUGCAAUACAAUUAUUCAUUUAAAAGGAAUAAUAGUUAUUCUAUUUGCUUGAAUAAUUAUCCUCACUGGUUUAUUGAAUCUCGAUCGUAGUGUUACACAUGUUCAUAAUAUUGGUGCCAAAAGAUACAAAGUAGUAAUGAUAGUACCACUUGCUUGUGGCACUGCCACUUGAGUCAUGUCGGUAUAAAGUACAUGAAGAAGCUCCAUAGUGCUGGAUCUUUGUACUCUCUCAUCUUUGAAACAUUUGAGACAUGCAAACCAUAUCUAUUGGUAUAAACGCAUGAAGAAACUCCAUGCAGAUGGAUCGCUUGGACUCACUUGAUUUUGAAUCACUUGAGACAUGCAAAUCAUACCACAUGAAACAAGAAAGUAACUUAUUGGAAGUAAUACUUUUUUUAUGUGUGCAGUCCAAUGAGUGCUGAGGCACGCAGUGGAUAUCAUUAUAUUCUUACUUUAGUGACGAUUUAAGUAGAUACAUGAGUAUUUACUUGAUGAAUCAAAAGUCUGAAAUAUUGAAAAGUUCAAAGCUAUUUCAGAGUGAAGAUCGUCGUGACAAGAGGAUAAACUGUCUAUGAUAUGAUCGUAGAGAUGAAUAUAUGAGUUGCGAGUUUUGGUACACAGUUAAGACAAUGUGGAAAUUGUUUCGCAAUUCAUGCCACCUAGAACACCAUAGUAUGAUGGUGUGUCUGAAUGUCAUAGCCGCGCCCUAUUGGAUAUAGCGCAUACUAUGAUGUCUCUUAUCGAAAUAUCACUAUCGUUUAUGGGUUAUGCAUUAGAGACAACCGCACUCACUUUAAAUAGGGCACCGCAUAUUUUCGUUGAGAUGACACAAUAUGAACUAUGGUUUGGAGAAACCUGAGCUGUCGUUUCUUGAAAGUUUGGGGCUGCGACGCUUAUGUGAAAAAGUUUGUGUCUGAUAAGCUCGAACCCAAAGCGGAUAAAUGCAUCUUCAUAGGAUAUCCAAAACAGUUGGAUACAACUCCUAUCUCAGAUCCGGAAGCAAAGUGUUUGUUUUGAGAAACGGGUCCUUUCUCGAGGAAAGGUUUCUCUCGAAAGAAUUGAGUGGGAGGGUGGAACUUGAUAAGGUUAGUGAACCGUCACUUCAACCAGUGUGUAGCAGGGCGCAGGAAGAUGUUCAUGUGGCGCCUACACCAAUUGAAUUGGAAACUGAUGAUGGUGAUCAUUGAGCUUCGGAUCAAGUUACUACAAACCCCGUAGGUCGACAAGGUUGCGUACUACUACAGAGUGGUGCGGUAACCCUGUCUUGGAGGUCAUGUUGUUGAGUGAUGACCCACAAGUGUAGGGGAUCUAUCAUAGUCCUUUCGAUAAGUAAGAGUGUCGUACCCAACGAGGAGCAGAAGGAACUGACAAGUGGUUUUCAGCAAGGUAUUCUCUGCAAGCACUGAAAUUAUUGGUAACGGAUAGUUGUGUGAUAAGAUGAUUCGUGGCAAGUAGCAAGUAACAAUAGUAACAACGAUGCAGCAAGAUGGCCCAAUCCCUUUUGUAGCAAGGGACAAGCCUGGACAAACUCUUAUAGGAGGUGAAGUGCUCCCGAGGACACAUGGGAAUUUCUGUCAAGCUAGUUUUCAUCAUGUUCAUAUGAUUCGCAUUCGCUAAUUUGAUAGUUUGAUAUGUGGGUGGACCGAUGCUUGGGUGCUGCCCUUACUUGGACAAACAUCCCACUUAUGACUAACCCCUCUCGCAAGUAUCCGCAACUACAAAAUAAGAAUUAAGACAAAGUCUAACCAUAGCAUUAAACUAGUGGAUCCAAAUCAGCCCCUUACGAAGCAACACAUAAACUAGGGUUUAAGCUUCUGUCACUCUAGCAACCCAUCAUAUACUUAUUACUUCCCAAUGCCUUCCUCUAGGCCCAAAUAAUGGUGAAGUGUUAUGUGGUCGACGUUCACAUAACAACACUAGAGGAAAAACAACAUACAACACAUCAAAAUAUCGAACGAAUACCAAAUUCACAUGACUACUUAUAGCAAGACUUAUCCCAUGUCCUCAGGAACAAAAGUGACUACUCGCAAAGCAUAAUUAUGUUCAUGACCAGAGAGGUAUUGAAUAGAAUUAGAGAUCUGAAGAUAUGAUCUUCCAUCGAGUAAUCCAACUAGCAUCAACUACAAAGAGUAAUUAACACUACUAGAAACCUUACAAGUACCAAUCGGAGUCGCGAGACGGAGAUUGGUUACAAGAGAUGAACUAGGGUUUGGAGAUGAGAUGGUGCUGACGAAGAUGUUGAUGGUGAUGAGUCCCCUCCGAUGAGAGGAGUGUUGGUGAUGAUGAUGGCGACGAUUUCCCGAUCCGAGAGGGAAGUUUCCCCGGCAGGACGGCCUUGUCGGAGCUCUAGAUUGGUUCUGCUCAAGUUCCGCCUCGUGGCAGCGGCGAUUCCUCCCGGAAGCCUCCCCUUGAUUUUUUCUGGAACGAAACCCUCCUUAUAGAGAAAGAUGGGAGCCAGAGGGGCAACAACGGGCCCACAAGCCACCUAGGCGCGGCUAGGGGGGUAGGCCGUGCCUGGCAGGCUUGUGGCCUCCUGGUGGCUCCCCUUUGGUGCUUCUUCCGCCCAGUAUUUUUUAUAAAAUCCAAAAUAAUUCCUCGUUGAUUUUCACGCAUUUUGGAGUUGCGCAGAAUAGGUAUCUCAAACUUGCUCCUUUUUCAUACCAGAAUUCCAGCUGCCGACAUUCUCCCUCUUCAUGUAAACCUUAUAAAAUAAGAGAGGAAAGGCAUAAGUAUUGUACCGUGAAGUGUAAUAAGAGCCCAUAAAGCGAUAAAUAUCAACAUAAAAGCAUGAUUCAAAAUGGACGUAUCAUUGAGAAAUAAUGAACCUACGAGCUAUGGAGAAGCGAUGGUGGGGCCGGAUUCCGACAAAUGGCUGGAGGCCAUGAAAUUCGAGAGAGGAUCCAUGUAUGAAAACAAAGAGUAGACUUUGGAAGAACUACUUGAUGGUCAUAAGACUAUUGAAUAAAGAUGGAUCUUUAAAAGGAAGACAUACGAUGAUGGUGAAAAGUCACUAUUAAGAAAAGCUCGACUUAUCGCAAAGAUGUUUCCGACAAGUUCAAAGAGUUGACUAUGAUGAGACUUUUUUUACUCGUAGUGAUGCUAAAAGUCUGUUGGAAUUAGGUUAGUAGUUGCUGCAUUAGUUAUGAAAUAUUGCACAUAGGAUGUCAAAACAUUUUUUCCUCGACGAUUUCCUUGAGGAAAGGUUGUAUGUGAUACAACCAGAAGGUUUUUUCGAUCCUAAGGAUACUAACAAGUAUGCAAGCUCCAGCGAUCCUUCUAUGGACUGGUGCAAGCAUCUUGGAGUUGGAAUAUAUGCUUUGAUGAGAUGAUCAAAGAUUUUGGGUUUGUACAAAGUUUAUGAGAAACUUGUAUUUCCAAAGAAGUGAGUGGGAGCACUAUAGAAUUUCUGAUAAGUAUAUGUGGUUGACAUAUUGUUGAUCGGAAGUGAUGUAGAAUUUCUGUGAAGCAUAAAGGUUGUUUGAAAGGGGGUUUUAAAAAGGAAGACCUGGAUAGAGCUACUUGAACAUUGAGCAUCAAGAUCUAUGGAGAUAGAUCAAAAUGCUAGACAGAACUUUCAAAUGAAAUGCAUGCCUUGACAAGUUUUUGAAGGAGUUCUUGGCUGUGUUGUAAGGUGUGAAUUUGAGUAAGACUCAAAAGCCUGACCACGCAGAAGAAAGAGAAAGGACGAAGGUCGUCCCCUGUGCCUUAGCCUAAGACUCUAUAGUAUGCCAUGCUGUGUACCGCACCUGAUGUGUGCCUUGCCACAAGUCUGUUAAGAGGUACAGAGAGUGAUCCAGGAUUGAAUCACUGAACAACGGUCAAAGUUAUCCUUAGUAACUAAUGGACUAAGGAAUUUUUCUCGAUUAUGGAGGUGGUUAAAGAGUUCGUCGUAAAGGGUUACGUUGAUGCAAGCUUUGACACUAAUCCGAGUAACUAUGAGUAAUAAAACGGAUUCGUAUAGUAGAGUAGAUAUUUGGAGUAUUUCCGAAUAGCACGUAGUAGCAGCAUCUAUAAGAUGACAUAAAGAUUUGUAAAGCACACAGGGAUCUGAAAGAUUCAGAACAAAACCUCUCUCACGAGCAAGACGUGAUCACACCUCAGAACUAUAUGGGUGUUAGAUUCGUUAAAAUCACAUGGUGAUGUGAACUAGAUUACUUACUCUAGUGCAAGUGGGAGACUGUUGGAAAUAUGCCCUAGAGGCAAUAAUAAAUUAGUUAUUAUUAUAUUUCCUUGUUCAUAAUAAUCGUUUAUUAUCCAUGCUAGAAUUGUAUUGAUUGGAAACUCAAAUACAUGUGUGGAUACAUAUACAACACACUGUCCCUAGUGAGCCUCUAGUUGACUAGUUCGUUGAUCAAAGAUGGUCAAGGUUUCCUGGCCAUAGGCAAGUGUUGUCACUUGAUAACGGGAUCACAUCAUUAGGAGAAUCAUGUGAUGGACAAGACCCAAAUUAUAUACGUAGCAUAUUGAUCGUGUCAUUUUAUUGCUAUUAUUUUCUGCGUGUCAAGUAUUUAUUCCUAUGACCAUGAGAUCAUAUAACUCACUGGCAUCGGAGGAAUACCUUGUGUGCAUCAAACGUCGCAACGUAACUGGGUGACUAUAAAGGUGCUCUACAGGUAUCUCCGAAGGUGUCAAUUGAGUUAUUAUGGAUCAAGACUAGGAUUUGUCACUCCGUGUGACGGAGAGGUAUCUCGGGGCCCACUCGGUAAUACAACAUCACACACAAGCCUUGCAAGCAAUGUGACUAAGUGUAAGUCACAGGAUCUUGUAUUACAGAAUGAGUAAAGAGACUUGCUGGAACGAUAUUGAAAUAGGUAUGCGGAUACCGACGAUCAAAUCUCGGGCAAGUAACAUACCGAAGGACAAAGGGAAUGACAUACGGGAUUAUAUGAAUCCUUGACACUGAGGUUCAACCGAUAAGAUCUUCGGAGAAUAUAUAGGAUACAAUAAGGGCAUCCAGGUCCCGCUAUUGGAUAUUGACCGAGGAGUACCUCGGGGCAUGUCUGCAUAGUUCUCGAACCCGCAGGGCCUGCACACUUAAGGUUUGAUGAUGUUUUAGUAUAGUUGAGUUAUAUGUGUGGUUACCGAAUGUUGUUCGGAGUCCCAGAUGAGAUCACGGACGUGACGAAGGUUUCUGGUAUGGUCCAGAAACGAAUAUUGAUAUAUAGGAUGGUUUCAUUUGGUCACCAGAAAGCUUCGGGCAAUUCCGGCAGUGUACCGGGAGUGACGAAUGGGUUCCGGGAGUUCACCGGGAGGGGGCCACCCACCUGGGAGUGAGCCCAAGGCACUAGGGUGGCGCCACAAGUCCUUAGUGGGCUGGUGGAGUCAGCCCAAGGGGCCCAUGGUGACACAUAAGAAAAUACCAAAGGAAAAUAAAAGAAAGAGGGGGGUGGGAAGGAAGAGGAGGACUCCUCCUUCCCAAACCGAAUUGGAGGAGGAGUCCUCCUCCUCCCUUGGCCGGCGCACCUUAAGGCCUUGUGCCUCAAGGCUAUCCCUCCCCCUCCCUCCUAUAUAUAUUGGUGGUUUAGGGCUGAUUUGAGACAUAACUUUGCCACGUGCAACUCAAACCUACACCUCGUAGUUCUUCCUCUAGAUUAGAUUUCUGCGGAGCUCGGAUGGAGUCGUGCAGGAAUAGAUCAUCACAAACACCGGCACGCCGUCAUGCUGCCGGAGAACUCAUCUACUUCUCCGUCUCUCUUGCUGGAUCAAGAAGGCCGAGAUCAUCGUCGAGCUGUACGUGUGCUGAACGCGGAGGUGCCGUCUGUUCGACGCUAGAUCGGAACAGAUUGUGGUACGGAUCGCGGGACAGUUCGAGGGACGUGAAGACGUUCCACUACAUCAAUCGCGUUUCUUAACGCUUCCCGCUGUGCGAUCUACAAGUUUACGUAGAUCUAAUAUCCACUCGUAGAUGGACAUCACCAUGAUAGGUUUUCGUGUGCGUAGGAAUUUUUUUUGUUUCCCAUGCAACGUUCCCCAACAAUAAGUGCAUGAGUUCUUCGGAGUAAUGUGAGUAUUCGAUUGUUGGCACUUCCACCAUCCAUAUUUUGCUAGUCUCUUCGAUACCGUGCAUUACCAUUUCUCAUCUUGAGAGUUGGUGCAUACUUCGCCGGUGCAUCCAAACCCUUGACAUGAUACGCUCUGUCAUCAUAAGCCUCAUUAUAUCCUUCCUCAAAACAGCCACCAUACCUACCUAUUAAGGCAUUUCCAUAUCCUUUCUGAGAUACAUUGUCAUGCAACAUCCACCAUCUCAUGACUUGAUCUUCAUGUCAUACAUGCUUUUGCUUGAUCGAGGAGACGCAUGCUAGUUGGGCUUUGCCCUUAUUAUUGCUACAUGACGCGCUAGUAUUAUUGCAUAUCCUGCUACACUGGCACAUGCAUACAUCAUGAUAGUUUUCAUUUAUCUUUAUGUUGAGUACUUCUUAUAAAGAGUGAAUAUCUUCUUUUUAUUUCUUGUAAAAUAUGGAGUGUUGCCCUUAAGUGAGGAAAAAUCCCAAAGAGGAAAAAUUAAAAUAUCCCAAAAGAGGACACAUGAAAAGAUCCCAAAGAGGACAAAUGAGGGAUAAAUAGAAAGAGCCAAAGAGGCCACAAAAAAUUAAAAAUAAAAAAAGGAAAGAAAAAAAGAGAAAAAAGAGAGAAGGGGGCAACACUACUAUUCCUUUCGAAAGAUCCACACUCGUACUCCAUUGUCAUAUUUGUACUCCAUAGAGAUUAUCAUUCAUGCAUAACUAUGUGGGGACCCUUACACUAUAGAACUAUUAUUAAGUUAUUCCUAUGUUUUGUUAUUAUUAAGUUGUUAGCAAAUUAACACCAAAGUUGGUUCUUGCCAGAGAGGCCUUAACACUAAACGAUUUAUCAAGGGGGUCCCCAUAACAACCCCGAACAUGUUAGGAGCGCUAAGUUAUGGAAUAAAACACCGGUAGCCGAAACUAAGGCGGCAACAACAGAACAAAUCACCCGGCAAAAGGCUAGGCCUCCCGCUAUUUACCAAGUAUAUAGGUGCAUUAAUUAAAUAACAAUUUAAAAAGGAUGAUAUCAAUUGCCCAUGUUAUCACAUGGACCAGCUGGCACCUGCAACUAGCAACGCUAACAAAUUAGUGGUUGAGCAAGCCUAACUUAGCCAAACAAUAUUUGCUAGGAGGGGAGGUGUUUGAGGUUUCAUGGCAAUGUUUGAUGUCCUAUAUAUCAUGUGCUAGGCAGCGGAGAUGUAACUAUAGAAACAAAUCACUAAGCAUAACAAAGCUAGAAACGGUGUCAAGGUCACGAUCAUCUUGCCUGUGGUUUCUUCAGAGUGGAAUUGUUCCUGAUCUUCCUCACGAACUCAGCGGACUCAUCGAACUCGUUUUCGGCCCCAGUAGCUACCCAAAAGAAACAAACAUCUAAUAAACACCAGCAACAUAUCAUGCAACAGACAAUAUGAUGCAUGUAUGCGCAGCUCCAAACAAGCACACAAAACAACCCUACUCAUACUACAAAGUGCCACCUCACCACAAAGUGACUUUUACAGAACUGCUCAAAACUGAAUUCCAGUACCAGCAUUGGAUUCCUUGGGAUUUUUUACCCCAAAUCCAUAUAUCAUAAUGCCAUAAUUGCAUGCACAAAAACACCACAAACAACAAAAGAAAAACUACUCAAAAUCAAGCUAUACUAAUGUCAAGAAGAGGAACUAUUCUUGAGCGUGCCAAAUUUGGCAUAUGUCAGAUUAUGGAGAUUCCAUUUUAGGAAUUAUUCCAAAGAUGGAAUUUAUUACAUCACAGAAAUAAAUAAAGGGAAAAAUAAAAUAUCAACUAAACCUAAACAGAUAGGGGCCCACUGGUCAUAGGUACGAGGGUCCCUAGUGCAUGACAUGUGGGCCCUUGGCCCACUUGUUAGUGGCACACAUAGCACAACACACCACGCAUACGUCUCAAAUGUAUCUAUAAUUUUUGAUGGUUUCAUGAUGUUAUCUUGUCAACUUUGGAUGUUUUAUAUACCUUUUAUAUAUUUUUUGGGACUUACUUAUUAAUUCGGUGCCAAGUGCCAGUUCCUGUUUUUUCUGUCUUUUUGACUCUUUUCAGAUCCGAUUUUGGAACGGAGUCCAAACGGAAUAAAAUCCCCGAAAUAAAUUUUUCCAUAACAGAAGAAGAUCGGGGGACUUGAGGGCCAAGGCAGGAGGCCCACAGGGAACCCACAAGCCCUGUUGCCGCGGCCAGGGGGGCCCGCGGCGACCAGGCUUGUGGCUUCCCUGGCGCUCCCCUGCCCUAGCUCUUUGGCCUAUAUAUUCCCUAAAAUCCCAGAAAAAAUCAGGCGUCCACGAAACCACUUUUCUGCCGCCGCAAGCUUCCUUUUCCGCGAGAUAUCAUCUGGAGACCCUUCCCGGUGCCCUGCCGGAGGGGACUUUGGAGCUGGAGGGAUUCUACAUCGACAUCAUCGCCCCUCCAAUAACUCGUGAAUAGUCCACUUCAGACCUACGGGUCCGUAGUUAGUAGCUAGAUGGCUUCUUCUCUCUCUUGGAUCUUCAAUACAAAGUUCUCCAUGAUCUUCAUGGAGAUCUAUCCGAUGUAAUCCUCUUUGGCGGUGUGUUUGUCGAGAUCCAAUGAAUUGUGGAUUUGUGAUCAGAUUAUCUAUGAAUUAUAUUUGAGUCUUUGCUGAUUUCUUAUAUGCCUGAUUUGAUAUCCUUGUAAGUCUCUCCGAGUCUUGGGUUUUGUUUGGCCAACUAGAUCUAUGAUUCUUGCAAUGGGAGAAGUGCUUGGUUUUGGGUUUUGGUUUUGGGAUUCCUUGUUUCUCAAACUUAGGGAAAUACUUACUGCCGCAGUGCUACAUCACCCUUUCCUCUUCAAGGGAACACCAACGCAAGGCUCCGAGGCCGCGGGGGAAUCCUUUGCAUAUUUGCCAAGGAUGUCCAUGUAGGCGUAGCCAGCAGCAGAAGGAUUCCUGGCGCCGUUGCUGGGAAAGGUCUUUUGUUGCCGUAGAAGAAGGAUAUCUGGCGCCAUUGCCGGGGAGGACAGAUCAAGUCAAGAUCUAUCCAGGUAAGUGUCACAAACUCAUCUCUUGCAUUUACCUUUUUUUCCAGUUGCCUCUCGUUUUCCUCUCCCCCACUUCACAUUUGCCGUUUUCAUUUGCCCUUUGCCAGUUUUCUUGCUUGCUUGUGUUCUUGUUGGUUUGUUGAAGUCAUCAUGGCUGAAAACACCAAACUUUGAGACUUCUCGAGUACUAAUAAUAAUGAUUUUAUUAGUACUCCGAUUGCUCUCGCCACUAGUGCGGAAUCAUAUGAAAUCAACGCUGCCUUGCUAAAUCUUGUUAUGAAAGAGCAAUUUUCUGGCCUUCCUAGUGAAGAUGCCGCAUCCUAUCUCAAUACCUUCACUGAACUUUGCGAUAUGCAAAAGAAGAAAGAUGUGGAUAAUGAUGUUGUUAAGUUGAAGCUUUUUUCCGUUCUCUUUGCGAGAUCGUGCGAAAACUUGGUUUUCUUCUUUGCCUAAAAAUAGUAUCGAUUCUUGGAAUAAGUGCAAAGAUGCUUACAUAUCCAAGUAUUUUCCGCUGGCUAAGAUUAUCUCUCUCCGUAAUGAUAUCAUGAAUUUCAAGCAACUUGAUCAUGAACACGUUGCACAAUCUUGGGAGAGGAUGAAGUUAAUGAUUAGAAAUUGUCCCGCUCAUGGCUUGAGUUUGUGGAUGAUUAUACAAAUCUUUUACGUUGGUUUGAAUUUUGCUUCUCGCAAUAUCUUGGACUCCGCCUCAGGUGGAACGUUCAUGGAAAUCACGUUAGGAGAAGCUACAAAACUCCUAGACAAUAUCAUGACCAACUACUCUCACUGGCACACUGAAAGGUCACCUGCUAGCAAAAAGGUACACACUAUAGAAGAAAUUAACUCGCUGAGUGCUAAGAUGGACGAGUUGAUGAAUUUGGUUGCUAGUAGAAAUGCUCCUUUAGAUCCUAAUGACAUGCCACUAUCUUCCUUGAUUGAGAGUAGCAACGCUAGUUUGGACGUUAAUUUUGUUGGUAGGAACAAUUUUGGCAACAACAAUGCUUUUAGAGGAAACUAUGUUCCUAGGCCUUUUCCUAGUAACUCCUCUAACAAUUAUGGCAAUUCCUACAACAACACUUAUGAAAAUCAUAACAAAUUACCCUCUGAUUUAGAGAGUAAUAUCAAAGAGUUCAUCAACUCUCAAAAGAUUUUCAAUGCGUCCAUAGAGGAAAAACUACUCAAAAUAGACGAUUUGGCUAAGAGCGUUGAUAGGAUGUCUUGUGAUAUUGAUGAUUUUAAAGUUAGAUGUGCUCCUCCCAAGGUCAACUUGGGUGAAACUUUAAAAGCUAUGUGUGUCUCCAUGAAUGAGAGCAAAGAAAGAACCGCCCAAAUUCGCGCUAGGCAUGAAUGGUUUAAAAGGGUGCGUUCUAGUGAUGCAAAUCACGAAGAUCUUAAAGUGCUUGGUGUGGCUCCUCUGGAAUCUUUGUUUUCGCGUGUCAAACCUAUUGAUGAAGGGGCUGGAUAUGAAUCCAAUUUGGUUGAAAAACACCCCAAUGAUUCGGAGUUCACCUAUCUUGAUGAUAAAGGUGUGGAGAGUGGAGUAGAAGAAAUCAAAAUAUUGGGUAGUAAUGAAACUCCCACUUUGGAUUUCAAGGAAUUCAAUUAUGAUAGUUUCUCCUUGUUUGAAUGCAUUUCUUUGAUGCAAUCCAUUGCAAACUCUCCACAUGCUUAUAGCCAAAGCAAAGCCUUUACCGCACAUAUCGUAGAUGCUAUGAUGAAAUCUCUUGAAAAGAAACUCGAAUUAGAAGUCUCUAUACCUAGAAAACUUCAUGAUGAGUGGGAACCUACUAUCAAAAUCAAAAUCAAAAACUAUGAAUGCAAUGCUUUGUGUGAUUUGGGUGCUAGUGUUUCCACGAUUCCAAAGUCUUUAUGUGAUAUUCUUGGUUUUCAUGAGAUUGAAGAGUGUUCUCUUAAUUUGCAUCUGGCGGAUUCUACUAUCAAGAAACCCAUGGGAAGGAUCAAUGAUGUUCUUAUUGUUGCAAAUAAGAACUAUGUACCUGUGGAUUUCAUUGUAUUUGACAUAGAUUGCAAUCCUUCAUGUCCCAUUAUUCUUGGUAGACCUUUCCUAAGGACUAUUGGUGCUAUCAUCGAUAUGAAGGAAGGGAAUAUUAGAUUUCAAUUUCCUCUAAAGAAGGGCAUGUAGCAUUUUCCUAGAAAGAAAAUAAGAUUGCCUUAUGAAUCUAUGAUGAGGGCUACUUAUGGUUUGAGCACCAAAGAUGACUAUACAUGAUUGCAUCACCUUAUGCCUAGCUGAGGGCGUUAAACAAUAGCGCUUGUUGGGAGGCAACCCAACGAAUCUAUCCUUUUUCUUUCUGUUUUGUGUUUUCCACACUUUCAUAAUUCUGUUAUGAUUGUUUUUUUGUGUUUCUUUUGCGUUUGUUCCAAGCCAAACCGUUAUGAUUAGUCUUGGGGAUGAUCGUUUGGUCAUGCUGGAAAAGACAAAAACUUUCUGCUCACGAAAAGUAUUUUCAUUUCUUUUUUCGUAAGAGAUUUUGAGUUGAUUAUUUUUGCUGCUGAUUGCUACGCAAAUUCUUAGACUGUCGUAAUUUUUCAGAAUUUUUUAAGUACCAAAAGUAUACGAAGUAUACAGAUUGCUAUAGACUGGUCUGCUGUUAACAGAUUCUGUUUUUGUUGAGUUGGUUGCUUAUUUUGAUGAAACUAUGGAUAGUAUCAGGGGGUAUUAGCCAUGGAAGAUUGAAAAUACAGUAACCCAACAUCAACAUAAGUAGAAUUUAAGUUUGCUACAGUACCUAAGGAAGUGGUGGUUUGCUUUCUGAUACUAAUGAUAUCACGAGUUUCUGUUUAAGUUUCGUGUUGUGAAGUUUUCAAGUUUUGGGUGAAGUUCUUAUGGACAAAAAGAUAAAGAGUGGCAAGAGCUCAAGCUUGGGGAUGCCCAAGGCACCGGAAAUUUAUUCAAGGAUGCCUAAAAAUCCUAAGCUUGGGGAUGCCCCGGAAGGCAUCCCCUCUUUCGUCUUCAAUCCAUCGGUAACGUUACUUGGGGCUAUAUUUUUAUUCACCACAUGUUAUGUGUUUUGCUUGGAGCGUCUUGUAUCAUAGGAGUAUUUUAUUUUUGUUGUGUCACAAUCUUCCUUGCUGCACACCUAAAGAGAGAGACAUGCAAUCACCAUGAUUUUGUCGAGCUUCACUUAUAUACAAUUCAACUCACAUGUGUUUCAGUUAUAUCUUUAGAGCUAGUUGAUUUUUGCUCUAUGUGCUUCACUUAUAUCUUUUAGAGCACGGAAGCGCGUGGCUUGGUAGUUGGCCUAUGCUAUGAAAGUAGUCUCAAAAGGGGUAGUUAUCCUAAGGGAUAUGAAAACUUCCACCUUCAUGUGCAUUGAGUAGUUAGAGAAGUUUGAUUCAUCUCAAUUAGUUUUGAGUUGUGGUUGUGGUAAUAUUGAAGUUAUACUAGUAAGGUGUUGUGGAUCUAGAAAUACUUGUGUUGAAGUUAGUGAUUCCCGUAGCAUGCACGUAUGGUGAACUGCUAGGUGAUGAAGUCUGAGCAUGAUUAGUCUAUUGAUUGUCAUCCUUUAUGUGGCGGUCGGGAUCGCGCGAUGGUUUAUACCUACCAACCCUUCCCCUAGGAGUAUGCGUUGAAUGCUUUGUUUCGAUUACUACUAAAACUUUUGAAACAAGUAUAUGAGUUCUUCAUGACUAAUGUUGAGUCCAUGGUUUAGAUGCACUUUCACCUUCCACCAUCACUAUCUUCUUUAGUGCCGUGCAACUUUCGCCGGUGCAUAAAACCCACCAUUAGCCCCACUCAAAACAGCCACCAUACCUACCUACUAUGGCUUCUUCAAAGCCAUUCUGAGAUAUAUUGCCAUGCAACUACCACCAUGACAUGUGCCACCACUUCUACAUUGCCAUUGCAUGAUCAUAAGAUAGCUAGCAUGAUGUUUCCAUUGAUGUCUAAGCCAUCCUAGAUCAUUGUCACGGUACACUACCGAAGGCAUUCCAUAUAGAGUCAUCAUUGCUCUAAGUUUUGAGUUGUAAGUGUGAUGAUCAUCAUUGAUGGAGCAUUGUCCCAUGUGAGAAAUAAAAGAGGCCAGCGAAGCCCAUUUACAAAAGAGGCCAAACAUGCCCACCAAAAAAAAGGAGGCCAAAGAGCCCACCAAAAAAAUGAGAGAAAAAGAGAGAAGGGACAAUGCUACUAUCUUUCCACACUUGUGCUUAUUAAGCACCAUGAUAUUCAUGAUUGAGAGUCUCUCCUUUUGUCACCACCAUAUAGCUAGUGGGAAAUUUUCAUUAUAUAAUUUGGCUUGUAUAUUCCAAUGAUAGGCUUCCUCAAAAUUGCCUUAGGUCUUCGUGAGCAAGCAAGUUGGAUGCACACCCACUAGUUUUCUUUAAGAGCUUUCACAUACUCUUAGCUCUAGUGCAUCAUUUGUAUGGCAAUCCCUAUUCAUUCACGUUGAUAUCUAUUGAUGAGCAUCUCCAUAGCUCGUUGAUAUGCCUAGUCAAUGUGACCAUCUUCUCCUUGUUUUCCUUGCAACCUCCACCACACUCCAUUCCACUUAUAGUGCUAAAACCAUGGCUCACGCUCAUGUAUUGAGUGAAAGUUGAAAAGUUUGAAAAAGUAAAGGUGUGAAAACAAUUACUUGGCCAAUACCAAGGUUGUGCAUGAUUUAAAUUCGUUGUGCAAGGAUGGUAGAGCAUAGCCAAACUAUAUGCUUUUGUAGGGAUAACUUUCUUUUGGCCUUGUUAUUUUGAAAGUUCAUGAUUACCUUGCUAGUUUGCUUGAAGUAUUAUUGUCUCCACGUCAAUAGCAAACUAUUGUUUUGAAUCUGAUGGAUCUGAACAUUCAUGUCACAUAAGAGGAGUUACAAAGGACAUCUAUGCUAGGUAGCAUGAAAGCAUCAAAAAUUCAUUCUUUAUCACUUCUCUACUCGAGGAUGAGCAGGAGUUAAGCUUGGGGAUGCUUGAUACGUCUCAAACAUAUAUAUAAUUUUUGAUGGUUUCAUGCUGUUAUCUUGUCAACUUUGGAUGUUUUAUAUACCUUUUAUAUCUUUUUUGGGACUAACUUAUUAAUUCGGUGCCAAGUGCCAGUUCCUGUUUUUUCUGUGUUUUUGACUCUUUUCAGAUCCGAUUUUGGAACGGAGUCCAAACGGAAUAAAAUCCCCGAAAUAAAAUUUUCCAUAACAGAAGAAGAUCGGGGGACUUGAGGGCCAAGGCAGGAGGCCCACAGGGAACCCACAAGCCCUGUUGCCGCGGCCAGGGGGGCCCGCGGCGACCAGGCUUGUGGCUUCCCUGGCGCUCCCCUGCCCUAGCUCUUUGGCCUAUAUAUUCCCUAAAAUCCCAGAAAAAAUCAGGGCGUCCACGAAACCACUUUUCCGCCGUCGCAGGCUUCCGUUUCCGCAAGAUCUCAUCUGGAGACCCUUCCCGGUGCCCUGCCGGAGGGGACUUUGGAGCUGGAGGGCUUCUACAUCAACAUCAUCGCCCCUCCAAUGACUCGUGAGUAGUCCACUUCAGACCUACGGGUCCGUAGUUAGUAGCUAGAUGGCUUCUUCUCUCUCUUGGAUCUUCAAUACAAAGUUCUCCAUGAUCUUCAUGGAGAUCUAUUCGAUGUAAUCCUCUUUGGCGGUGUGUUUGUCAAGAUCCGAUGAAUUGUGGAUUUGUGAUCAAAUUAUCUAUGAAUUAUAUUUGAGUCUUUGCUGAUUUCUUAUAUGCAUGAUUUGAUAUCCUUAUAAGUCUCUCCGAGUCUUGCAUUUUGUUUGGCCAACUAGAUCUAUGAUUCUUGUAAUGGGAGAAGUGCUUGGUUUUGGGUUCAUACCGUGCGGUGACCUUUCCCAGUGACAGAAGGGGCAGCAAGGCACGCAUCGUGUUGUUGCCAUCAAGGGUAACAAGAUGGGCUUUCAUCAUAGAUUUAAGAUUGUCCAUCUACAUCAUGUCAUCUUGCUUAAGGCGUUACUCUGUUCUUAUGAACUCAAUACACGAGAUGGAUGCUGGAUAGCGGUCGAUGUGUGGAGUAAUAGUAGUAGAUGCAGAAAGUAUCGGUCUACUUGUUUUGGACGUGAUGCCUAUAGAUAUGAUCAUUGCCAUAGAUAACGUCAUGACUUUGCGUGGUUCUAUCAAUUGCUCGAUAGUAAUUCGUUCACCCACCGUCUACUUGCUUUCAUGAGAGAAGCCACUAGUGACACUACGGCCCCCGGGUCUAUUCACAACUAUCGUCUCCACUUUUACUUUUACUUUUCUUUGUUUACUUUUUUGCUUUCAGCUCUCACUUUGCAAACAAUCUAUAAGGGAUUGACAACCCCUUCAUAGCAUUGGGUGCAAGCUCUUUGUGUUUGUGCAGGUACUUGUGACUUGAGGCGAUCCUCCUACUGGAUGGAUACCUUGGUUCUCAAACUUAGGGAAAUACUUACUGCCGCAGUGCUACAUCACCCUUUCCUCUUCAAGGGAACACCGACGCAAGGCUCCAAGGCCGCGGGGGAAUCCUUUGCAUAUUUGCCAAGGAAGUCCCUCUAGGCGUAGCCAGCAGCAGAAGGAUUCCUGGCGCCGUUGCCGGGGAAGGUCUUUUGUUGCUGUAGCAACCACUCAUACGUCCCAAACGUAUCUAUAAUUUUUGUUUGUUUCAUGCUCUUUUGUGUGACAUUGUUAUGUGCUUUGCUACACUUUCAUACCUUUUUACACAUAUUUGGACUAACCUACUAACUCAGUGCACCCAGUGACAAGUUCUGUCUGCUGAUGUCUAUGAAUUGCACGUUUAUACCCAUAUUUACAAUGCCCGAAAAAUUCCACAAAAAAUAUAUAAAACAUCAGCGUUCCAAAAGACUCCAAACGCCCGAAGGAGAGCCAGAGUGGGGCCACCCCCCAUCCAGGCGGCCACCUGGCGCGGCCUAGGGGGAGGUCGCGCCACCAGGCCACCUGGGCGAGUGGGACCUCCCCUAGUGCCCCCCUUUGGCCCUAUUUUUACCCCCGUGGAAGAAACCCUGAUUCCAGAACCCUUUUCUCCAAAAGUAAUUCUGAACUCCGCCGCCAUCGCCAACAAGUUUCGGGGAACCAGAAUUCUUGUGGCGGCACGCUGCCGGGACGGGGAAGUGCCCCCGGAUUCAUCUCCAUCGACGUUGUUUCCUCCCUCCAUGAAGCGGGAGUAGUUCCUCCUCAGGGCUGAGGUCUUCUACAGUAGCUAUGUGGUUAAUUCUCUCUCCCAUGAUGUGAUCUUGAUUGUGAUCAUAGGCUAUGUUAAUCUAGGGUGAUCCCAUGAUGUUUCCCCUUCUUCUAUGUAUUGGAUUGAUGUACUCACUUGAUCUUAUCUAGUAUAAUCUCCGAGACCAUGGUGACAUCAGUCUAUUGGAUAUGGAUUAGAAGAAUAUUUUUAUGAGUAAUUUCCUCUUUUAUGAAUUGAUUGAAGAUUGAGAGUCUCUUGGUUCUUGUCUUUGACUAUCCUUGAGAUAUGUUGUGGUGAUUGUGGUACUCUCUUUGGAUGGUCGCGGUGACAUUGGGAAGUCCAUAGAUGAGAACUACGAACUAUGAGGUGUGAUUUUGUAGCCGUACAUAAUUCUCGUCCUCCCUUGAUCACAAAGGAAUGACCUCCGAGUACGUCUCCAUUGCAUGUUUUAGUGGAAAUAUCAUGUGAUUAGACUAUGUUAAUGUUGUUGGGAGUUGCCACUAGUGAAAGUAUGAAGCCUAGGCCUUGUUUCUCACAAUUGUUACACCGUUUGUUCUCACUUUUGUCACUUGCUACCUUGCUGUAAUUUUUAUUACAGAUUUAUAUUACCUUGCUUUGCACACCUAUCACCCAUAUUUUACCAUCUCUCCGCUCAACUAGUGCACCUAUACAAUUUACCAUUGUAUUAGGUGUGUUGGGGACACAAGAGACUUAUUGUUUCUUAAUUGCAGGGUUGCUUGAGAGAGAGACCAUCUUCAACCUCUACUUCCCUGAGUUCGAUAAACCUCAGGUCAUCCACUUGAGGGAAAUUGUUGUUGUCCUACAAACCUAUGCACUUGGAGGCCCAACAUAGUCUACAAGAAUAGAAAUUUGCGUAGACAUCAACCACAACAUACAGAAAAAUAAAAGGGGCAUGACGGGGGAUCAAACCCGCCACCUCUGCCUCAUACUGCAGCGCACCAGCCACUAGGCUGAGUCGACUCAGCUGCAUUAAGAGGGGAGCCAAACCCUAUACACUAACUAUACUAACAGUGCAAUGACUACGUGUGAACAGACCUUCCCCUGCAACGGCACCAGAAGAAUGCUGCUAGCACUCUCUGGCAAUCGAAACUAGAAGAAUGUUGUUGACGGCCCACCAGCGCGUGGGAUCGUAGCAGUUUUCAAGGGUAGAGUAUUCGGCCCAAAUUAGUUGAUCACCAAACAGGAGGUGAGAGAAUACUCUCGAGUAUUAGCACCUGAAUGUGUCAGAUUCAACCACACCUGAAAGAUUAGUAUCUACAAGCAAAGUAGUAGCAGCAAAGUAACGAGUAACAGCAGCAGAGCAAGACAAGUUACAACAGCAGUAGGACAAACUCGUAGGCGAUGGGUCGGUGAUUUUUUUGGAUGAUAUUCAUCAUGCAGCAGUUAUAACACGGAGAGAUAUGUGGCUAGCUCUCGUUCGUCAAUGUGAUGUAGGCAUGCAUUCCGUGUGUCGUCAUACGUGCUUAGGGAAAAGAACUUGCAUGACAUCUAUUGUCCAUCCCUCCCGUGGCAGCGUGGUCCAAAAGGAAACUACAGGAUAUUAAGGUUCUCCUUUUAAUAAAGAACCAGACCAACGCAUUAGCACUUGGUGAACACAUGAACUCCUCAAACUAUGGUCAUCACCGGGAGUGGUUCCGGUUAUUGUCACUCCGGCGUUGCCGGAUCAUAACACAUAGUAGGUAACUACAACUUGCAAGAUCGGAUCUAAAACACACAUAUAUUGGUGACAACAUAAUAAUUUCAGAUCUGAAAUCAUGGCACUCGGGCCCUAGUGACAAGCAUUAAGCAUGGCAAAGUAGUAGCAACAUUAAUCUCAGAACAUAGUGGAUACUAGGGAUCAAUCCCCGUCAAAACUAACUCGAUUACAUGAUAGAUGUCAUCCUACUCAUCACCGCCCAGCGAGCCUAUGAAUAGAUUACUCACGAACGACGAAGAGCUUCAUGGAAUUGGAGAGGGAAGAAGGUUGAUGAUGACGAUGGCGACGAUUUCCCCUCUCCGGAGCCCAAAACGGACUCCACAUCUGCCCUCGAGAUGAAGAACAGGUUGUGGCGGCGCCUCUGUAUCGCAAACGCGACGAAAUCUUCUAUUCUUAUUUUUUCUGGGAUGAAAGUGAACUUAUAGAUCUGAGAUUGGGGGCGGCAGAGCCACGUGGGCCCCACAAGCUUGCGCACCGCCACCAGGGGGUGGCGGUGGCAGGGCUUGUGGCCCACUGGCCCACCCCUUCAGGUGGAUCUUUGCGCAGGUAUGUUUCAUAUUUUCCAAAAAUGUUCCCCGUAAAUUUUCAGGAUGUUUUGAGAACUUUGAUUUCUGCACAAAAAUAACACCAAGGCAAUUCUGCUGAAAACAACAUCAGUCCAGGUUAAUUCCAUUCAAAUCAUGGAAAUUAGAAUCCAAAACAAGGGCAAAAGAGUUUGGAAAAGUAGAUACGAUGGUGUAACAUCCCAAAUUUUGGAAUGUUAAAAUAAUUAUUAGAAUGAUUGUUUGUUUGAUUGAGUGAUUGCAACUUGAGUGAAAAUUUGAAACUUUUUAAAAAAAUUGAAUGAGAGGGAAUAAAAUGACUUUCGCCUUCUCCGAUGAAUUCAAAUUCAAUCAUUUUAAAAAGCAACGUGAGGAGAUGACAUGACUUCUUCAACUAUAAAGAAUUUGAACGGAGAUAUUUGCAUUGAAUUCUUUUGCAUUUCCAUUCGUUUUCUUCGUGCAACAAAAUGCCGGGAAAUACAUUCUAGAGCAGAGGAACAUGACCCUCGAACCCACGGGCAUUUUGAAAGUUAUUUGAACCCUCAAACUUAGAGGGUCAUUUGAAAAUUAUUUGCAAAAGAAAAUAAACCUUUUUGGCAAUUUUGUGAAAAUAAUUUUUUCGGAAAUUUUUAUUUUUGCCGGUGGAAAAUGCCCAUCAUCUAUAUUUUAUUUUUCUGAUAAUUUUAGUAUAUAAAAACUCUUUAUUCCGAAUUGAUUUGAUUUCCUUUUUAACGUUUUAGUUUCCUAGUUUUGAAAAUAGGAAGGAGAUCACUUUUAUUAGGAAAUACCCCCUGGCCCAUUAAAGACUUACCUAUUCUAGCCCAACAGGAGAUCAUCUCCUACCUCCAUCUCUUCUCCCACAUGACAAAAACCUUCCAUCCAUGGAGGAAGGAAUCCCCUCCUUCCCGAUCUCCCUCCUCCUUCCUUCCGGACGCCAUCCGAGACCGCCUAUAAAUUCCCACCGCCCCCCUCUCUCCAUUUUUCCCGAGAGAACCCCCUCUCCUCGCCUCUAGCUCGCGCACCACCACCACCCCGUCGGCACCAGAGAAACUCCUCCACCUCGCCAGAGAACUUCACCCUUCGGUCAUCCCUGCACCUCCUCCACCUCCACCACUUCGGCCACCACCUCCCCACCUCGGCCCCCUCCUCCACCACCUCUCCACCCCACCUUCGGCCCCUGCUGCCCCAUCCCCCAGCGAGCAGCAGCACACCAGCAGUUUCACCUCCACCUCGCCACCAGCACCUUUCCCACCUCGCCCUCUACAGCCACCCCUCCACUUCGCCACCACCCCCUCCCUGGAGCCCCCCCUUCGCCCCCCUUCCCCACCCCUCGCCGGCCCCUCCCCCUUCCCCACCGGCGACCCAGCCUCCCUCGGCCACCAUUGGCAGCCACGGGAGCAGCCCCAGCCGAAGGUAACCCCCACCUCUCUGUUGUUUUCUUUUUUUUCGUUUAUAACCCUUAGAUCUUUGUUCUAGGGUGUAGAUUAGAUCCUACAUAACCUUUCGGUUUAGUUUAGAAAACCAGCGGUUUUAUUUCACUUAAUCAAUUAGCCAGCGAGUUUUGUUAAGACUAGGCCGUUUGCUCCUAAGUUUGCAGCAAACGCACUCCGCAACCUAUAGUAGCAUGCCACGUGUACCCCCUAUUUGUAGAUAGUUAGCUUCAGUUUUUUCUGUCAAAAUUGCAAAAACAGAAAGUUUAUGUUUUGUUUUGGCCACAACUUUUUAUCCCGAAGUCCAAUGACAUUGAUUCUUAUUUCAGUAGCUCACAAAUUUCCUGUAGUUUUUAAAAACAUAUAAUUUGUCUAUGUUUGAAAUUUUCAAAUAUAAGUUAGAUCAGAUUUAGUUUAAACCUUGUUUUGCCUAUUCCAGGAGUUUAAAAAUAGCUUUUAAUUUGAUUCCUUUUGGUACUGAUCACUAGUGAUCUUAUGUACCAGUGGUAAAAAUUUCAGAUUUGUUUGAGUAUUUUAGCUCACUGUUUCUUGUGAAACAAUUUCUGUUUCACCUCUUUUAGAAUUUCGGCUAAUUCCUUUUCUAUUUUUGUUUUAAAAUAUUUUCUUUAUUAUUUCAGAAAGAUUAUUAUGUUUUGUUUCUGUUAGAUAACAGUAGUUUUGCAACAAGUUUUUAUUUUAUUUUUAUUUGUUUUCAUGAAAUCAAUUCUAGUUCCUUAGUAACUUGCAAUUGGUUUCCGCAUUGUUUCAAAACCCGUUUGGGAAUACUUUCAAAAAGUUUUGUGAAAAAUACUUUAUUUUAUCUUAGUUAAACUUAUAUCUUAGUUCCUUGUUAUUAUUUUCUGUUAGACAAAACUAUUUAGUGUUUGACGUAGUAGAAGACUCCCUAGUUUUAUUUGAAGUUUCUUUCGGAUUCCUAUUCGCUCUCUCUUUUGUUUUGAUUGUUAGAAUGCUUGCUAGUAUGAGUGCUUAUGUGAAUGAUAUGUUUGUUAUAUAGAUUUCAUCGGAGAGUGACGAGUAGUCUAUCAAGUUAUUUCUCGAGAAAUUCUUCUUCGUCAACAUCACCAGGCAAGUCACUUUGAUCAUACUAUCACCUAUGUUUUAUGCAUCGUAGUUCUACCAUCCUAUGCCCAAUUGCAUGCUGCCUAGGUACUUGGAAACUUUAGUAUAAGUUGUAGUAUCCUGUGGUAGGCACACAACAACCCCGAUACUUGGCCCCGGGACGACAAUUUCUUAAUGCUAUGCUUGAAUAGACGGGUUAUCGGUUGAGUGUAUAUCACGAGUGAUGUGAGGUUGAUAUAAUAAUCAAGACCGGCUAAGACAAGAUUUUCAAGACCUCGGACGCAAUGCAACUCUGGGUGAAGGACGGUUGAUCGGCUCCCUGGAGAACCCAGUGGAUGCCCGGGAUGCUGGAGAGGCCAUGUCAUCCUGCGGAAAGCUUCACCCAGGCUCACAGAGACGGACGGAUAUUUUCAAGACCCAAAGCUUACCUGCACAGCCACAAGUCAUUAUGGGCUCUGGCUUGGUUGGACAACGCGGCGACUCUGGACAGGCGGUGCUAGCAGAUGUAGACGAACGGUAGGAAUGGAUGGGCACCGACAGGGAUUCAGAGGGACCCGUUGAAAGACCAUGUUUUGAUCAUCCGGUCUUCAAACACCCUGAAGUGCGAGGACAUACACGGAGGCGAUCAAAUCUUGUGGGGAACGUGUGCAAAACUCUGCAGAGUGCCCAACCUAAUCGAUUAGCCGUGUCCACGGUCAUGGACAACUUGAGCCAAAGGAACUGAAGUUAUCUGGAUUUCUCAACACCAUUAUAUAUAUUUGAUGAGGGUAAUAUUGACAACUCGGGUACGAGAACUGGUUGGCGGAACCAUCUCGUUAACAACCAACAAUGUAGUAACAUUUUGCUUUUAGCCCUCUCUUGAUGUAGGAGAAAACUUGCUUUUCGCUAAAAACUUAUAGCCCCACCUACCAUAUAUGCAUAUAGUAUAGAGGAUUACUUUUCACCCCUCUCUUAUGUGACUUGCUGGCAUAUUCAAUAUGCUGACCUACACGGCUGCAACGUCUUAUGUUGCAGAUAUUUUUUUUCUUCGACGAGUAAGAGUACGAUUCAGGGUUACGGUCUACACUCAACUUGCCGUUGGUGUUUAUUGGGACUCCACUCCCUUGACUGCUUCCGCUGAAAUAUUUAAGGUAUAUAUCAGUUUUACGCUAUUUACAUGUGAUUGCACUUUGAUAUAUACAUUGAUGUACUGUGUGUGCCAGCAUACUGAUCCAGGGAUGGCACAGAAACACAGAGGCUUGACUCGUCUUGAGUCGGGUCGCUACAGAGAUGGUAUCAAAGCACAUGUUGACUGUAGGACGUGACCCUAGAAACUGGAAACUUCUUAGGAUAGGAUCUCUCAAAAAAAAUUAUUUUCAAGAACAUUCUUUACCUCUCAUCUCUUCUGACUUCAUCAAAUGUUCUCUCUCACCUCCAAUAGUUAGACAAUACCCUUACCCCUUUGACCACAUGAAGGAUCAACCGACUCCCACUUCAAAGUAAAGAGGAUUUCAUCAUGCAAUUGAAGCAUUGAAGCUACACCAAUUGAAGACUCUCAAGACCUGAAGAAUUCGAAGAUCUUGAAGCAUUCCAAUAUUUAUAUGUCCAUUAGAAGUCCAAACCCCUGUUAUAUACCCACGUUAGAUACGAUGAUUUGUGAGCCGUCAUUGGUGUGUGUUUUUCGACAGCCACAAAUAAAACCUAUUCUCAAAAAUAUUGUUUGUAUUGUGUGUAUCUCCCUCCCUCUCUUACCCGUCUCAUCCACAAAACCUCAACCCUACCAGAUGGAGUUUGAAGCUGGACUUGUAGUCUCUGGACCAAUGACCCAGCUGGAAGCUGAGAUAUGGAUUCAGAACAUGGAGAACCACUUCGGGAGCAACUUGAUCUCAAGGAAGUAUGAAGUGGAACACGCUCUCCAGUACUUUACCCAAAGUGCUGCUAUCUGGUGGAAAAUGCACUAUGCCAUACAAGGAUUUAGUGGAGCAGAAAGUUGGGAAGAAUUCAAGAAGACUCUGUUAAGAUCCCGUCUCAUUCAGAAGAGCUAUGAUAAUCCGAUGAAGAAGCCUUGUGCAUGCAAGAUCUGUGGAGAAAUAGGACACACCCAGGAAGAACACAAGGAUGGAUGCACUCAUUGUGAUGAAAAUCACCCAGCUGAGGAAUGCCCAACUAGUCAGGUGACUUGUUUCUUUUGUGAAGGAACCACCCACUACCCUGCUCAAUGUCACAUUUACCCCAAGGUACAACAAGUUGUCCAGCAGCAGAAAGAAGCCAUGAAGGAAACCCUCAAGAAGAAGAUUCUAGAAGAACCGGUGAUGAACGAAAAUAUUGAAGACCCUGAUGGGCAAGGUCUGACCCGAUUUUUCUCCAAUGCAUGCUACAAAUGUGGAGAAGAAGGACACUAUUCACAGGACUGCACGAAGAGAAGCCAAGAGUAUCUGGGAAACUUCCCGACGAAAAAAGUGGAGUUUGAUCCACUUGAAAUAGAAGAACUGGCCAAAAUAAAGGAGUCCGGAAAGAAGAAAAAGUACCCUCGGAAGAGCCAAAUCUCUGUAGAUAUAGACCCGAGUCAUGUCAGAUGUUACAAGUGUAUGAAAUUUGGCCACCACAAAUACAUGUGCUCAGGAAGGAAGCCGGGAAUCCAAGGAGCAAAAGCAGAAGCUAAGAAGCCUCGAGACUUGUCAGAAAUCAUUUGCUUUUGUUGCAAGGAAGCAUGACAUUUUGCUAGCGAUUGUCCACAAAGGAAGAAAGCUAGAAUGGAGUAGUUAAGUUUUGACCAUGGCAAUAAGUGUAAUCCGAAGCACUCUUGUUUUUCAUAAGAUCAUGAAGUGAAAUUUUUGUAACAGAAGUCCCUGAGAUUGUAAUAACAUCAUGAAUAAAUGGAAUUUAUUGUCUCAUGAUUGCCUAUGUUGAAACUGUAUGCGUUGUUUCUCUACGAGCAAAGAUCUCUGAACAUUAUGAAGAUAUGAGAAAAUAUGGUCUAUGCAGGCAUGAGUAUAAUUCAUUUUAAGUGUGGUAGUAAUCGGUAAACCCACAGGAUCCACUGAGUAGGAAUGUACCAGGAAUACCUGAGUGAAGUGCAUGCGGAGAUGAUGGAGAUGAAGCUCAUGACCACCAUGAUGAAGCAAAAUAUGGAUGAUUUCAAGGAGCACCUCGGAAAGUUCCAGUGGAGCUAAAGUACCUCCAAGAGAGGCAGAUGAAUAAAGUUGGCAGAAAUGCUUGACCAUACCGAACAAUGUGGAUGGCAGCAAUUGUAAUAGAGUACCUUUCGAAUUGAAGUUUUUGAGAAGAAAGCAAGGAUGUAAUAAAGGAUUGAUUAUGAAAUGCAUAUGAUUUAUGGAAGAAGCUAUGAUGGAUCAGCAAACGUUUUCUUAGGAGCAUACGAAAACCUGAGAGUUGUGAAGAUACGAUAGAUGCUUUGUUUAGCUUGCAGAACCAAUGGAUUAUCCGAACUUCGUUCGUGGACAAGAGAAAUUCUGCAACGCUUGUGAGGAUGCCCAAGUGUUAGAAUGCGAGAUUCGCUAAACCUUAUACAGAGAAAUGAUUUGGGUGCGGAAUGGAUUGAUCACCAUGACGACUUACUCUUAUCAUUUAUCUUGCUAUUCGGAAUGGUAAAUCUGAGAGACUUACCCAUAUAGAGAGACGACGUUCUUUGAAGCUUUUGUUUAAGUCUUAGAAUGGUACAAGGAAAGCCCAUGUACAUGGCACUUGUUGUCACGCGUAGGAAAUUUUACGGUGAGGAUGAAGCCAAGACCCUUCUUUCUGCAGGAUAACCACAAAUGUAGACCACCAUGAGAACCAUCGAUAUGUUAUUUAGAAUUGACCUCGAGACUGUCAGUUAAGAAGACCCUGUGACGGAAGAAGCUUAUAUCAACGGGAGAGCAUCACCAAAGCAUUUAAUAUGAAGACUGUGCGAUGUCAGUUGCCAAAACCCCAGAAGAUCGUUAAAGCAUUUUGAGGGACCAGUAUCUCUCAUUUUAAGUGUGGCAGCAUCCCACUUUGCAAGAGAUUGGAUUGCUAGAAGACCCCCAAACCCUAACCUUUCUUUCUAGCCUCUUCGAAUCUCGAGGACGAGAUUCAUUUUAAGUGUGGUAGAUUUGUAACAUCCCAAAUUUUGGAAUGUUAAAAUAAUUAUUAGAAUGAUUGUUUGUUUGAUUGAGUGAUUGCAACUUGAGUGAAAAUUUGAAACUUUUUAAAAAAAUUGAAGGAGAGGGAAUAAAAUGACUUUCCCCUUCUCCGAUGAAUUCAAAUUCAAUCAUUUUAAAAAGCAACGAGAGUAGAUGACAUGACUUCUUCAACUAUAAAGAAUUUGAACGGAGAUAUUUGCAUUGAAUUCUUUUGCAUUUCCAUUCGUUUUCUUCGUGCAACAAAAUGCCAGGAAAUACAUUCUAGAGCAGAGGAACAUGACCCUCGAACCCACGGGCAUUUUGAAAGUUAUUUGAACCCUCAAACUUAGAGGGUCAUUUGAAAAUUAUUUGCAAAAGAAAAUAAACCUUUUUGGCAAUUUUGUGAAAAUAAUUUUUUCUGAAGUUUUUAUUUUGCCGUGGAAAAAUGCCCAUCAUCUAUAUUUUAUUUUUCUGAUAAUUUUAGUAUAUAAAAACUCUUUAUUCCGAAUUGAUUUGAUUUCGUUUUUAACGUUUUAGUUUCCUAGUUUUGAAAAUAGGAAGGAGAUCACUUUUAUUAGGAAAUACCCCGUGGCCCAUUAAAGACUUACCUAUUCUAGCCCAACAGGAGAUCAUCUCCUACCUCCAUCUCUUCUCCCACAUGACAAAAACCUUCCAUCCAUGGAGGAAGGAAUCCCCUCCUUCCCGAUCUCCCUCCUCCUUCCUUCCGGACGCCAUCCGAGACCGCCUAUAAAUUCCCAUCGCCCCCCUCUCUCCAUUUUUCCCGAGAGAACCCCCUCUCCUCGCCUCUAGCUCGCGCACCACCACCACCCUGUUGGCACCAGAGAAACUCCUCCACCUCGCGAGAGAACUUCACCCUUCGGCCAUCCCUGCACCUCCUCCACCUCCACCACUUCGGCCACCACCUCCCCACCUCGGCCCCCUCCUCCACCACCUCUCCACCCCACCUUCGGCCCCUGCUGCCCCAUCCCCCAGCGAGCAGCAGCACACCAGCAGUUUCACCUCCACCUCGCCACCAGCACCUUUCCCACCUCGCCCUCUACAGCCACCCCUCCACUUCGCCACCACCCCCUCCCUGGAGCCCCCCCUUCGCCCCCCUUCCCCACCCCUCGCCGGCCCCUCCCCCUUCCCCACCGGCGACCCAGCCUCCCUCGGCCACCAUUGGCAGCCACGGGAGCAGCCCCAGCCGAAGGUAACCCCCACCUCUCUGUUGUUUUCUUUUUUUCGUUUAUAACCCUUAGAUCUUUGUUCUAGGGUGUAGAUUAGAUCCUACAUAACCUUUCGGUUUAGUUUAGAAAACCAGCGGUUUUAUUUCACUUAAUCAAUUAGCCAGCGAGUUUUGUUAAGACUAGGCCGUUUGCUCCUAAGUUUGCAGCAAACGCACUCCGCAACCUAUAGUAGCAUGCCACGUGUACCCCCUAUUUGUAGAUAGUUAGCUUCAGUUUUUUCUGUCUAAAUUGCAAAAACAGAAAGUUUAUGUUUUGUUUUGGCCACAACUUUUUAUCCCGAAGUCUAAUGACAUUGAUUCUUAUUUCAGUAGCUCACAAAUUUCCUGUAGUUUUUAAAAACAUAUAAUUUGUCUAUGUUUGAAAUUUUCAAAUAUAAGUUAGAUCAGAUUUAGUUUAAACCUUGUUUUGCCUAUUCCAGGAGUUUAAAAAUAGCUUUUAAUUUGAUUCCUUUUGGUACUGAUCACUAGUGAUCUUAUGUACCAGUGGUAAAAAUUUCAGAUUUGUUUGAGUAUUUUAGCUCACUGUUUCUUGUGAAACAAUUUCUGUUUCACCUCUUUUAGAAUUUCGGCUAAUUCCUUUUCUAUUUUUGUUUUAAAAUAUUUUCUUUAUUAUUUCAGAAAGAUUAUUAUGUUUUGUUUCUGUUAGAUAACAGUAGUUUUGCAACAAGUUUUUAUUUUAUUUUUAUUUGUUUUCAUGAAAUCAAUUCUAGUUUCUUAGUAACUUGCAAUUGGUUUCCGCAUUGUUUCAAAACCCGUUUGGGAAUACUUUCAAAAAGUUUUGUGAAAAAUACUUUAUUUUAUCUUAGUUAAACUUAUAUCUUAGUUCCUUGUUAUUAUUUUCUGUUAGACAAAACUAUUUAGUGUUUGACGUAGUAGAAGACUCCCUAGUUUUAUUUGAAGUUUCUUUCGGAUUCCUAUUCGCUCUCUCUUUUGUUUUGAUUGUUAGAAUGCUUGCUAGUAUGAGUGCUUAUGUGAAUGAUAUGUUUGUUAUAUAGAUUUCAUCGGAGAGUGACGAGUAGUCUAUCAAGUUAUUUCUCGAGAAAUUCUUCUUCAUCAACAUCACCAGGCAAGUCACUUUGAUCAUACUAUCACCUAUGUUUUAUGCAUCGUAGUUCUACCAUCCUAUGCCCAAUUGCAUGCUGCCUAGGUACUUGGAAACUUUAGUAUAAGUUGUAGUAUCCUGUGGUAGGCACACAACAACCCCGAUACUUGGCCCCGGGACGACAAUUUCUUAAUGCUAUGCUUGAGUAGACGGGUUAUCGGUUGAGUGUAUAUCACGAGUGAUGUGAGGUUGAUAUAAUAAUCAAGACCGGCUAAGACAAGAUUUUCAAGACCUCGGACGCAAUGCAACUCUGGGUGAAGGACGGUUGAUCGGCUCCCUGGAGAACCCAGUGGAUGCCCGGGAUGCUGGAGAGGCCAUGUCAUCCUGCGGAAAGCUUCACCCAGGCUCAAAGAGACGGACGGAUAUUUUCAAGACCCAACGCUUACCUGCACAGCCACAAGUCAUUAUGGGCUCUGGCUUGGUUGGACAACGCGGCGACUCUGGACAGGCGGUGCUAGCAGAUGUAGACGAACGGUAGGAAUGGAUGGGCACCGACAGGGAUUCAGAGGGACCCGUUGAAAGACCAUGUUUUGAUCAUCCGGUCUUCAAACACCCUGAAGUGCGAGGACAUACACGGAGGCGAUCAAAUCUUGUGGGGAACGUGUGCAAAACUCUGCAGAGUGCCCAACCUAAUCGAUUAGCCGUGUCCACGGUCAUGGACAACUUGAGCCAAAGGAACUGAAGUUAUCUGGAUUUCUCAACACCAUUAUAUAUAUUUGAUGAGGGUAAUAUUGACAACUCGGGUACGAGAACUGGUUGGCGGAACCAUCUCGUUAACAACCAACAAUGUAGUAACAUUUUGCUUUUAGCCCUCUCUUGAUGUAGGAGAAAACUUGCUUUUCGCUAAAAACUUAUAGCCCCACCUACCAUAUAUGCAUAUAGUAUAGAGGAUUACUUUUCACCCCUCUCUUAUGUGACUUGCCGGCAUAUUCAAUAUGCUGACCUACACGGCUGCAACGUCUUAUGUUGCAGAUAUUUUUUUCUUCGACGAGUAAGAGUACGAUUCAGGGUUAAUGUCUACACUCAACUUGCCGUUGGUGUUUAUUGGGACUCCACUCCCUUGACUGCUUCCGCUGAAAUAUUUAAGGUAUAUAUCAGUUUUACGCUAUUUACAUGUGAUUGCACUUUGAUAUAUACAUUGAUGUACUGUGUGUGCCAGCAUACUGAUCCAGGGAUGGCACAGAAACACAGAGGCUUGACUCAUUUUGAGUCGGGUCGCUACAGAUGGAGACGUAUCAACUGCCCCAAGCUUAAAACCUUGCUUGUCCUCAAGCAACUCAGUUGACAAACUAAGAGAGAAAGAAAAACUUUGACAAACUCUGUUUGAUCUUGUUGUUGCAACUAUGUCUAACUCAUAACCAAAAUUUCUGCAAGAUGACAAGUUAACCACAUAAGUAAGUGACACAAAGGUCUCACGGUAAACUAAUAUCAAUGGCAUAAUCAGCUAACGAGCAAAUAAUAAUGAGUUUCAAAUACCAACACUUCAAUCAAAACAAGCAUGAAGCAAUAUGAAUAGGUGGUAUCUCGCUAGCUCUUUCUGAGACCGCAAAACAUAAAUGUAGAGCACUUUCAAAGAUGAAGGGCUGACUAAACAUUGUAAUUCAUAGCAACGAAGAUCCAGUCAUAGUCAUACUCAAUAUCAAUCAAAAGCAAAGCAUAAGAAUGACAGAGGUGCUCUCUAAUUGGUGCUUAUAUAAGAAGAGGAUGACUCAAUAGGAAAAUAAAUAGACACGCCCUUCGCAGAGGGAAGCAUUGAUUUGAAGAGGUGCCAGAGCUGAAGCUUUGAAAACAGAGAUAAUAAUUUUGGGUGGCAUGCUUUCAUUGUCAACGCAAUGACCAAGAGUUAUCAAUAUCUUCCAUGCUACUCAUGCUAUAGGCGGUUCCCAAACAGAAAAGUAAAGUUUUAACUCCCCCACCACCAAUCAAUCACACUCCACGGCUAGCCGAAUCCUCGGGUACCGUCCAUACUAACAUCAAUCCGGGGGGAGUCUUGUUUUACAGUUAUGUUUUUGAUUUAAGCGUGGAACUGGGCAUUCCAAUUAUCGGCCUCUUUCUCGUGAAUGACAGUGAAUAAACACAUGUUGAGGAUAACACUCCUAGCAUGGAAUAUACCAAUAGCCCCCUGUCACCACAUGAGCGGUUCGGGCAUGCAAAACAUAUUAUUUCUUGAAGGUUUCGAGAGUGGCACAUGCAAAUUUACUUGGAACGGCAGGUAGAUACCGCAAAUAGGUAAGUAUGAUGGACUCUCGUGGAAAAACUUUUGGGUUUAUGGAAGUGGAUGCACAAGCAGUAUUCCGCUUAGUACAAGUGAAGGCUAGCAAAAGACUCGGAAGCGACUAACUAGAGAGCGACAACAGUCAUCAAGAUGCAAUGAGUUUGACUAACAUUAAAUGCAAGAAUGAACAGGAUAUAAAUCACCAUGAACGCGAACAUCAUAGAGGCUAUGUUGAUUUUGUUUCAACUACAUGCAUGAACAUGCGUCAAGUCAAACCACUUGAAUCAUUCAAAGGAGAAUACCAUCCUAUCAUACUACAUCAUAGUCAUCUCAAAAUCUAUGUUGGCAUUCAAGACAAACCAUUAUAAACUCUCAGCUAACUAAGCAUGGCAUCAGAAACUAUGCUCUCUAAGUUGUCAUUGCAAACAUGGUUCUCUCACAACAAAGCUGAAUCUAGGUCGACAAACUAGUCAUAUUUACAAAAACAAAAUAGAUAGAGUUCAUACCAGCUUUUCAGUCUCAGUCACUUCAUCAUAUAUCAUCAUUAUUGCCUUUCACUUGCACGAUCGAACGAUGAGAACAAUAAUAAGAGUGCCCGUGCAUUGGACUAAGCUGAAUCUGCAGGCAAACACAAAGGAGAAGACAAAGUAAUAUGGCUCUUUGAAAGCUAAACAGGUAUGCAAGCAAAAGCCACUAAACAUUGAAACCAAUAUCUUCUACCUUGACCCAAACAAAAAGAAAACUAUUUACACGGGAAAGCUCCCAACAAGCAAAAGAAGAAAGAAAAAUCUUUUUGGGUUUUCUCAAAAGGACAUAAAACAAGAAAACAAGAAAACGAAAAUAAACUAGCAUGGAUAAUACAGUGGCAAAGUGUAAACACCGGCUAACAAAGUGAAAGCAUAAGCAUGAAUAUAAAAUCGGUGAGGAACACGUACUCCCCCAAGCUUAGGCUUUUGACCUAGCUUGGUCUACUCCCAAGGUGGGAAAUAACCAGCUCCAGGAUACUCCGGAGCAGACUAUGGAUGCCACUUGUGUGUGAGCUCCUCUGGCUCCCACUGAUAAACUGGCGUCUCGUACUCGACUAGCGGCUCGGGCACGGGCGCCUGUGGUUGCGUCAAGCCCCAAUAUGUGUAGAUGUCCGAGGGCAUAAUAGUGUACUUGCCUGCAUGAAGAUCGAACAAAGAAGGAGCAGGCAAAGUAAUAGUCUCUCGAGUACCCUGACUAAAUACCAGGUUAUAAAUCAUCCGUCUACUAGCAUCUCUAUCCAGAAAAUCAUGGCGAACCAUGCUGUCAUAAUCCAGAUAUUUCUCAGGGAGAAGCAUCUCUCCUUCCUCUCCCAGUCUAAUGGGUAUCUCAAAGUGUCUGGCAAGACGGGUAGCAUAGAUACCUCCAUAGACGACACCCUUGGAACGGUUGGUGUUCAACCGCUGGACUACUAUAGCACCUAGGCUAUAAGUCUUAUCGUUAUAAAGGCCUUCGCGCAAAACCGCAAGGUCUAGAGAACUAAGUGAUCCAGCCUACCCAUGGCCAAUCAAACAUUUUCCCACAAAUAGUGAGAAGUACCGAAGCACAGGAAAAUGUAUGCUAGCAAUUCUAGCACGAGAUACUCCUCUCUCCUCUCCAACAGCAAUAGUACCAAUGAAAUCCUCCAAGUCCCGUGGACGAGGGUCACGGAUAUCCCCAACAUAAGGUAAUUUGCAUACAUUGCAAAAAUCCUGUAGCGUCAUGCACUGGGGAACAUCGUAUAUCAUGAACUCAACCAUGGGAGGAUUCUUCCUCGGAUAAAAGUUGAAGCUUUGUACGAAAAUAUUGGUGAGGAGGAGGUAUUGUGAGCACUUAUCUUCAACGAACGCAGUAAGACCUGCGUUCUCCACCAAGUAAUAAAAGUCUUCAUAAAGUCCGGCGACACGCAAAAAAAUUCAUCACUUGGCCACUCGCACGCUCGAACUUCUGUGACUCGAGGGACUACGUGCUUGGGGUGGUUCUUCUCCUCCUCCUUGGGGUUACGGCUUGAAGAGCCUCUCAAGAACCUCCUCAUCUUUUCCUUUUUCUAGCUCUGAAAUUCUGAAAUUUUUAGAGACUUCGAAAGAAAAGUGAAUAAAGACUAACCCAACUUGUAGCAACUACUCCUACUAGUGCCUAGAGACCGUAUCACGCACAAAAACUACUUGGGACAAGAUAAAAUCAACAUUUCUAGCUCAAGAACAGGGUCACCAAGGUAGCAAGAAUGUGCGAAGGAUAAAGCACUAGAGAAAAAACUAAUUGGACCAAUGGAGGAGUCACUUACCAAGGAGUAAUUUCCCCAAAACGGUUCGGAGAAUUGUGCUUUGAGCAAGGAGAUCGAAAAUCACAGCCAAAUGAGCAAGAACAUGGGUUUGAGCUGCGAAACAAUUUUUUUCUGGAGGUGGAAGAAGAGGCUGGGAGCUGGAAUGAGUGGAGGGGGUCCCUGUGGGCCCCACAAGCUUGCCCUCCGCCACUAGGGGGGAUGGCGGUGGCAGGGCUUGUGGCCCACUGGUCUGGCCCCCAGGCCAGCUCUUAGGCCCAGAAAUUUUCAAAUAUUCUAGAAAAAAUCAUACUAAAUUUUCAGGACCAUCGGAGAACUUUUAUUUUCGAGGUAUUUUUCUCCGGGACGCUAAAACAGAAAACAGGAAAAACUAAACUAAUUCUAUCAUUUUCCUUCUAAGCAACAGAAAAUGAAAGCUUAAACAGAGGUAUGUGACUCUUUGAUUCAUCCAUUUCAUGGUCGUUGAAAGAAAUCCGUCAAUGGGGUUGAUCAAGUCCUCAUGACAAAACCUUCUCGAAUCGCAAGAGAGAACGGAGAAUUUUUGAAUAGCCACUAAGUCACCUCAAUGGGGAUAUGUAUCUCCCCAACAAGCAAAUCAUACUUCAUCUUGACACGAGGAAUAGGGCAUUCAAAGCUCCCAAUAAGAAUCGAUGAAGUCUUUCCGAUAGCAUUGAUGCAAUGUACUUGAUAUCGUUUCUUCGAAAAGUGCAUUGUGUGCUCAUUACCGUUGACAUGGAAAGUGACAUUGCCUUUGUUGCAAUCUAUAACAGCCCCUGCAGUGUUUAAAAAGGGUCUUCCGAGGAUGACAGCCAUGGCAUCGUCCUCGGGAAUAUCCAAGAUAACAAAGUCUGUUAAGAUAAUGGUGUUGGCAACCACAACAGGCACAUCCUCUCAAAUGCUGAUAGGAAAAGCAGUUGAUUUGUCGGCCAUUUGCAGAUAAAUUUCAGUGGGUGUCAACUUAUCCAAUUCAAGUCUAUGAUAAAGAGAGAGCGGCAUAACACUAACACCAGCUCCAAGGUCACAUAAGGCAGUUCUUACGUAGUUUCUUUUAAUGGAGCAAGGUAUAGUGGGCACUCCGGGAUCACCAAGUUUCUUAGGAGUUCCACCUUUGAAAGUGUAGUUGGCAAGCAUGGUGGAGAUCUCAAGAUCUGGUAUCUUCCGUUUAUUGGUCACGAUAUCUUUCAUGUACUUGGCAUACGGAGAUAUCUUGAGCAUAUCAGUUAACCGCAUCUGCAGAAAGAUGGGUCUUAUCAUCUCAACGAAGCGCUCAAAAUCCUCAUCAUCCUUUUUCUUGGAUGGCUUAGGAGGAAAGGGCAUAGAUAUCUGAACCCAUGGCUCCCUUUCUUUACCAUGCUUCCUAGCAGUAAAGUCAUUCUUAUCGUAUUUCUUAGGUUGUGGGUUAUCAGGAUUAACCGUAGGUUCAAUCUCCACAUCCUCAUCAUUGCUAGGUUGAGCAUUAUUAUGAACAUCACUGUCCAUAUUGUCACCAGGUUCAUGUUCAUCACCAGAUUGUGUUUCCGCAUCAGACGCAGAAAUAUCAUUAGGUUCUUCAGGUGUGAUAGUAUUUGGUGAACUGGCAUGUAGGUUUCUAUCAUCCUUCUUCUUCUCCUUAGGAUGACUAGGUGUAUCAGCAUUGUUUCCUUGAGAAUCUAGAUCAAUUCUCUUAGGAUGGACUUCAAGAUACAAAGGUUCGUGAGUCAUUUUGCCUCCUCUAGUAAUGACUUUGACAAAGUUGUCAUUUAAUUCACUGAGCAAGUCAUUCUAAGCUUUAAGUACUUGUUCUACCUGAGUAGUAAUCAUAGAGGCAUGUUUACUCAGAAGCUUCAGAUCAUUGACAUUUCUGUCUACACAAGCACUUAAAUGGCUAAGCAUACGAGUACUUUGUUCCAAAUGUCUGCUAACAUAAUCAUUGAAACUCUGUUGUUUGGCAACAAAGUUGUCAAAUUCAUCAAAGCAUAGGCUAGCAGGUUUGUCAAAAGGAUUAUCACUCUCAUCAAACCUACGCAGAGAAUUCACUUCUACUACUUGUAUCGGGUUAUCGAGACCAUGGAUCUCUUCGAUAGGUGGUAUAUUUUUGACAUCUUCAGAUCUAAUGCCUUUCUCUUGCAUAGAUUUCUUGGCUUCUUGCAUAUCUUGCAUAGAUUUCUUGGCUUCUUGCAUAUCUUCAGAUCUAAUGCCUUUCUCUUGCCUAUUUUCUUCGUAGUUAGCUUAGGAGGUGGUUCCGGAAUAGUCCAAGCAUUAUCGUUGAUCAAGAUGUUAUUCAGUAGGGUCUCAGCUUGUUCUACAGUUCAUUCCCUAAAAACACAACCGGCACAACUAUCUAGGUGGUCUCUAGAGGCAUCAGUAAGUACGUUAUAGAGGAUAUCAAGUAUCUCGUUCUUCUUAAGAGGGUGAUCAGGCAAAGCAUUCUGUAGCUGGACGAGCCUACCCCAAGCUUGUGGAAGACUCUCUUCUUGGAGUUGAGCAAAGUUGUAUAUUUCCUGCAAGGCAGCUUGCUUCUUAUGGGCAGGGAUAUAUUUCUCACAGAAGUAAUAGACCAUAUCAUGUGGACUACUCACACAUCCAGGAGCAAGAGAGGCGAACCAGGCUUUAGCGUCAUCCUUUAGAGAGAAAGGAAACAGCUUAAGAAUAUAGUAGUGGCGGAUCUUCUCCUCAUUAGUGAAAAGGGUGGCUAUAUCAUGUAGUUUGGCAAGAUGGGCUACGACCGUCUCAGACUCAUAACCGUGAAAAGGAUCAGAUUCGACUAGAGAGAUUAUCUUAGGAUCGACAGAGAAUUCNNNNNNNNNNNNNNNNNNNNNNNNNNNNNNNNNNNNNNNNNNNNNNNNNNNNNNNNNNNNNNNNNNNNNNNNNNNNNNNNNNNNNNNNNNNNNNNNNNNNGUUGUUACUCAUGUAGUUGUCAGUUGUCUUCACAUCCACAUGAGCCUGAAUGAGGGUCUGCUAAGCCUCCAAGUGUAUCUCGAGUAUUCAUUCGGAGGAAGCUUUUACUUAGGCGACUCUGAGUCACCGCUAAGUCCCUCGAGUGUGACUUUUGGUGCGCACUCGGAGCGAGUUUUUACUUAGGCGACUCUGGGUCGCAGCUAAGUCCCCGAGUGUGACUUUUAGUGCACACUCGGAGCGAGUUUUUACUUCGGCAACUCUGGGUCGCAGCUAAGUCCCCGAGUGUGACUUUUAGUGCACACUCGGAGUUAGUUUUUUAGACCGGAGUCUGCAAACGCGGAAGAAUUUUGAAUCGACAAGAAAUCAAUCUGCUUUGUAUUACUUCGAUGAUACUUGUCCUUUACAUUGUUUCCGUCGGCGGUUAUGUGUAGAAGUGCUUUAGUAGAUCUCCAUUCCAUGCUCGCGGCUCGUACAUUUCCCUAUCGAGGUUGUAGAGUCGAUAUGCUCCGUUGUUCAGCACCUUAGAAAUGAUGAACGGUCCUUCCCAGGCAGGAGCCAACUUGUGUGGUCUCUGUUGAUCCACUCGGAGCACCAGGUCGCCUGCUUGGAACGUGCGGCUCCUCACGUGUCGCGCAUGCAGUCGUCGCAGAUCUUGUUGAUAAAUUGUUGAAUGGAUCAGUGCCAUCUCGCGCUCCUCUUCUACACUCCAUCUUGCCUGGCUUGCUCUGCUUCGGCUUCGGAGAAGAGUUCGACUCGUGGAGAGUUGUGAAGAAAGUCACUCAGAAGGACUGCCUCUGCUCCAUAAACGAGGGAAAACAGGGAUCACCCUGUCGAUCUAUUCGGAGUUGUGCGGAGGCCCCACAGCACCGAAGGCAGCUCGGUGACCCAUGCUCAGCGGCAUGUACAAUUUCUCGCAGGAGUCGAGGCUUCAACCCUUGAAGAAUAAGUCCAUUCGCCCGCUCUGCUUGCCCGUUUGUUUGGGGAUGCGCAACAGAUGCAAAAUCCACUAGGAUACCUUGGCCUACGCAAAAACCUUUGAACCUGUCCGAGUCAACGUUUGUGCCAUUGUCGGUGAUUAUGUUGUGCGGAACCCCGUAUCUGGCGAUGAUGUCUCUGAUAAAUUUGAUGGCCGUAAGGGCAUCAAGCUUCUUGAUAGGCUUGGCUUCAAUCCACUUGGUAAACUUGUCGACUGCUACCAGCAGAUGGGUGAAUCCUCCUUGGCCUGUUCUGAAUGGUCCGACUGUAUCUAAUCCCCACACGGCGAAUGGCCAAGCAAGAGGAAUUGUCUUCAGCGCAGACGUUGGCUUGUGGGACUUGUUUGAAUAGAACUAACAACCUUCGCAACGGUCGACCAUAUCUUUUGCCAUUUCAUUCACCUGCAACCAGAAGAAACAGCUCUGAAUGCUUUGGGGACGAUUGCCCUUGAGGAGGCAUGAUGACCGCAGGUUCCCAAGUGAAUUUUUUCCAAGAUUAACUGCCCCUCCUCAGGAGAGAUACACCGCUGAAGGACGCCUGAAACACUUUCCAUGUAUAACUGGUCAUCAAUGACGGUGAAGGAUUUCGACCUGCGAACGAUCUUCCUAGCUUGGACUUCGUCUUCUGGUAACUCUUGCCUCACGAUGUACGCAAUGAACGGCACAGUCCAUUCGGGAAUGACAGCUAGAAUCUCCAUGAUCAAAUCAACCACAGCGGGGACCUCGACUUCAGUCUGAUCUGUUGAGCUCUUCGGGUGUACUGGUUCCUCUGUAAAAGGAUCUUCUUUUACCGAGGGGAGGUGUAGGUGCUCGAGGCAGACAUGACUCGGGACCGGUCUCCGAGUGGAUCCAAGUUUGUCAAUUCAUCUGUUGCUUGGUUUUUCAGUCGGGGAACAUGGUGAAGUUCCAGACCUUCGAACUUCUUCUCGAGCUUCCUUAUUGCGUUGCAGUAUGCAGUCAUGGUGGGGUUCCUUACAUCCCAUUCCUUCAUUACUUGAUUAACCACUAGAUCUGAGUCGCCACAGACCAUCAGGCGACGGACGCCGAGUGUGAUGGCCAUGUGCAACCCGUAAAGGAGAGCUUCGUACUCUGCUUCGUUGUUGGAAGAAUCAAAAUGGAUCUGCAACAAAUACUUGAGUUUAUCACCUUUUGGGGAUAUGAGCCCUACGCCGGCGCCGGAGCCAUUCAACAUCUUGGACCAAUCGAAGAACAUGGUCCAAUGAGCCGAGUAGAUGUGAGGCGGUUGCUAUUGUUCUACCCAUUCUGCUAUCAAGUCAGCAAGAGCUUGAGACUUUAUAGCUUUUUUGGCUUCGAACUUGAUGUCGCAGUAUAGCAUCUCCAUUGCCCCCUUUGCCACUCGGCCUGAUGCGUCCCGAUUGUGGAGAAUUGCCGACAACGGAGCACCAGAUAUGACACAUACCGAGUGGUUUUGGAAAUAAUGAGCCACCUUCUUUGCAGUCAUGUAGAUCCCAUAAAUAAGCUUCUGAUAAUGGGGAUACCUCUGCUUGGAAGGAGUCAGGACUUCGGAAACAUAAUAUAGUGGCCGCUGAACCUUGUACGCUUUGCCUUCUUCUCCGUGUUCGACUGUCAGAACGGUGCUGACGACUUGAUUUGUAGGCCGCGAUGUACAGAAGAAGGGGUUCUUUACUGAGCGGGGCAGUAAGAACCGGCUGGGUGGAAAUCAGGGCUUUGAGGUCAUCGAAUGCGAUUUGGGCUUCGUCUGUCCACUCGAAGGUAUCUGGCUUCUUCAUGAGUCGGUACAGAGGUAACGCCUUCUCGCCGAGUCGAGCGAUAAACCUGCUCAAAACCGCUAGGCAACCUGUGAGCUUUUGAACAUCAUGUACUCUUACCGGCCGCUCCAUUUGAACAAUGGUCCCGAUCAUUUCGGGGUUGACAUCGAUCCCUCGUUCGGAAACAAAGAAACCGAGUAACUUCCCGUUGGGAACGCCGAAUGAACAUUUGGCUGGGUUGAGCUUGAUAUCGUACCUACGUAGGUUGGCGAAUGUUUCUGCAAAGUUAGUCAGCAGGUCCGAACCUUUGCCUGACUUGACGACGAUAUCAUCCAUAUAUGCCUCCACAUUUCGACCGAUCUGGUCUAGAAGGCAUUUUUGGAUCAUGCGCAUAAAAGUUGCUCCUGCAUUCUUCAAACCGAAUGGCAUAGUGAUGUAACAGAAGCACCCGAACGGGGUGAUGAAGGCCGUUUUUAAUUCAUCUGGACCAUACAGACGGAUCUGAUGAUAGCCCGAAUAGGCAUCAAGGAAGGAUAAGCGCUCGCAACCCGCGGUCGAAUCAACGAUUUGAUCGAUGCGGAGGAGCGGGAAGUGGUCUUUCGGACAGACCUUAUUAAGAUGCUUGAAAUCGAUGCACAUACGGAGAGACUUAUCCUUCUUGGGCACCAUGACAACAUUAGCGAGCCACUCGGAGGGGUGCACCUCGCAAAUGAAGUUGGCUGCCAAAAGUUUAGCCACCUCCUCUCCGAUUGCUUUCCUCUUGUGUGCAGCGGACCGACGCAGGCGUUCUCGGACGGGCCGAGCGGCAGGAUCCACAUGCAGUCGGUGCUCAGCCAACUCCCUGGGUACACCUGGCAUGUCAGCAGGCUUCCAUGCAAAAAUGUCCCAGUUCUCAUAGAGGAAUUGGAUGAGCUCGGCUUCCUAUUUUGGAUCAAGAGUGGUGGAGAAGUUUGUCGGGGCGGCGGUGUCGUCCGUCGGGUGGAUGCUGACUUUCUUCGUGUCUCCCGCCGACUGGAAUGCGGACUCGGAAGCUGGCUUCUUUGAACGCAUCAGGUCAGCGGGGUCGGCGGUCUUCUUGUACUCAUCCAGCUCGAGUAUAGCCAUCUGAGGAUCAGCAAUUCUCGACCCCUGCUGCAGACACUCCUCGGCCCGCUGCCGAUUUCCUGUGACAGUAAUCACACAUUUGGGACCGGGCAUCUUCAGCUUCAAAUAGACGUAACAUGGACGGGCCAUGAAACGCGCAUAUGCCGGACGGCCCAGAAUCGCAUGGUAUGCACUCUAGAAGUCUACCACCUCAAAUGUUAACUUCUCUUUACGGAAGUUCUUGUCAGAGCCGAAAACGACAUCCAACGCAAUCUGGCCGAGUGAUUUGGCCUUUCUUCCCGGGACGACUCCGUGGAACUGCAUACUGCUCUCGCUAAGUCUGGACAUCAGAAUGCACAUUCCCUUGAGAGUGUCGGCGUACAUGAUAUUCAAGCCGCUGCCGCCGUCCAUGAGGACUUUGUGCAGCCUAACUCCUUCCACCACCGGGUCGACGACCAGAGCUUGCCUCCCUGGGGUGGGUACGUGUGCUAGGUGGUCUGACUGAUCAAAGGUGAUUGCAGUCUGUGACCACUUGAGGAACGUGGGAGUGGAUGGGGUUGCCAUGUUUACCUCCCUGUUGACCAGCUUCAGUCAACUUUUGCUUUCCACAUCAGCAAAAAUCAUCAAUGUUGCAUGGACUUGGGGGAACGGAUCCUCCUUGUCCUCAUCAUCCUGCUCGGUGUCCUUCGCACUCGGCUAUCCUUCACCGAAUCCUUGGAUCAGGAGGCGACACUUCCGAGUGGUAUGCUUCGACAAUAUGACAUUGCCUUCUUCAUCCGUCUUCGUGUGGAUUGGACACGGAUAAUCUAGGAUGAAAUUUCCUGACUGCCUCUUCUUGGGGGUGUACUGUGCUUUCCCCUUGCCUUUGAACUUGGCAUUUGUAACGGCUGCUGCCUCUGCCUGCGGAGUGGAUUGAGCUUUCUGCUUCUGCUUCCGAUUGUUGUUCCCAUCUCCAUCGGCGACUGACUAAUGCUUGCCGCUACGUAUGCGGUCCUCCUCUUCGCCAUUUGCAUAGCGCGCGGCUAUCUCCAUCAUCUUGCUCAUGGAGAUGUCGCCUGUCCGACCAAACUUCCGGUACAGAUCUCUGUACCGAACGCCUGCUUUGAAGGCGCAGACUGCUUGGUGCUCUGUGACGUUCUCCACCGUGUGGUAGAGGGUCGUCCAGCGCUGGAUGAAAUCGCGCAAGGGCUCGUUUUGCUUCUAGACACAGUGUUGAAGCUCUACGAGACCAGCAGGGCGUUUGCACGUACCCUCGAAGGUCCUCAUGAAGACUUGGGACAGAUCUGCCCAGUUGUAGAUGCUUGAUGGGGCUAACUGGUUUAGCCAAGCUCGCGCCGAACCGUCGAGCAUCAGUGGGAGAUGUUUCAUGGCGACAUGGUCAUCUCCGCCACCGAUCUGGACCGCCACUCUGUAGUCGUCCAACCAAGUUUCUGGUUUGGCCUCUCCUAUGAAUUUGCUGAUUCCCGUCACCAAUCGGAAGUUGGGAGGGAUGUCAGCUGAGCGGAUGGCCCGACUGAAGCACUCGGGGCCAGAAACAACGGUCCUGCUUCCACUCGGAUGGUCUCUAUCAUGACCAUCACGGUGGGCUCGACUUCUGUCGACAUUCUUCUGGGCAAUGUACCCUCUUGCAUGAGGCCUUGGAUCAUGCGCGGCACCGCCCGAACGACGAUCAUCGUAAUGCCGGGGCCUGUAAGGCCCACUUCGCGGAGGAGUACGCGAACGGUGAUGAUCUUCAGGAUGAGACCGAAUGGGAAGCGGAUUCCGACUUGGGUCCCUGGAACGGCUGCCCCCUCUGCGUCGUUGGUGAGAGUCGGGACUGAAAACCGACCGAUGCGUGUUCGCUUGAACAGAACUGUUGUGGAUCCUGUUGUGUGACUGGGAGACCACCGAAUUUUGCUGCUGCGCCGUAUGCAACAAAGCACGAAUCUGCUCGAUUCCUCUACCAGCCUCUGAAUCAGUCGGCUGGAGAGAAUCGGCUAUUCUGGCGGCUCCAGCCAAGUUGAGGAUGGGUGUGCGGAACACCUCGGCGUUGCUCUGGCGAGUGCGCCGACUGGAAGAACGAUGGUGCUGACAACGAGCGCCGGAUGAUUCUCUGAACUCACGCUCGUUCCGGCCAGUCCUGAGGGGACUUUCGUGGGAAUCGGCCAUGAGCAUUUCGGCUGCAGGCCCGUGACCCGGAUACUCGGAAGGUAGUUCAGUAGGAACUGACUCCAAGUACUGGGAUGACGGCGGGACCACAACCGAUUCGAUCACCGCCACUUGAGAGGACGCGUUUUGUCGUGCUUGGGCGUGUCGCACCCAACGCUGAAGCCGCGGACGCGGGAUCGCUUGUUGCGGCGUGUGAUGGGGGCGAAGAUCGACACCGGGGUCGAUGGCUGGAGAAGAAGAACGCCGCGGCAACUGGCACGGAAGUGCGUAGCCCCGCGACUGGGAAGCGCCUCGACGUCGAGCGGCGCAUCCCGAAGCCAUGCCGAAUCGUCGGCGAUGAAGGAGAGUGCGCCGAAGAGGAUCUCGUGACCCAUGCACAGAUCUCCGCCGGAUGACAUGACGAAAAGAUGAAAUCGCAAACUCGCCGGAAGUCACUUAGACGCCUGCCCCACGGUGGGCGCCAACUGUCGUGGGUAUAAGUCUGACAGUAGAAGUAUGGGGUACGAAAGUAUAUGGGCAGAGCCUUAGCUACGGCGAGGAUGUAUGAGUUCAGGCCCCUCUACGGUGGAGGUAAAAGCCCUACAUCUCAGUGCUCUUGGGAGCUUUGUGUCGAGUGUAUUGUGGAUUACAGCAAGUGCCAACCCUAGUACCAGUGGUGAAGGGCGGCUUAUAUAGAGUGCGCUGUCCUUCAUAAUGGCCCGGUGGACAAGGGUGGAGUAGUGGCGAGUAAACGCUUACGUUACCAGUAACGUAAGCUUUAAAUGCUAAUAAUGGUAUAUGAAAACGUAUGAUCGUUGCCCUCCUGGGAGGUUACGAUGUACAGAGUGGAUUCCAGUCGGUAAGUUAGAUAUGCUCCGAGUGGAUCGUCACCGACUGGAUGAUGGGGGUGCCCACAGUUCAGUCGGAACUAUCUAAGGGCCUUGUCUUCUAUGAAGGGUAGUCCUUGGGUAGGACCUAUAGGGUGGACCUAUGACCCUACCCUGGGACUAUAACCCCAUCAGUCGCUCUCUAGUUGGUCGCUUCCCAGUCUUUUGCUAGCCUCCACUUGUACUAAAGGGAAUACUGCUUGUGCAUCCACUUCCAUAAACCCAAAAGUUUUUCCAUGAGAGUCCACCAUACCUACCUAUUUGCGGUAUCUACAUUCCGUUCCAAGUAAAUUUGCAUGUGUCAUUCUCUAAACCUUCAAGAAAUAAUAUGUUUUGCAUGCCCGAACCGCUCAUGUGGUGACAGGGGGCUAUUGGUGUCUUCCAUGUUAGGCGUGUUAUCGUCGACAUGUGUUUAUUCGAUGUCAUUCACGAGAAAGGGGCCGGUAAUUGGAAUGCCCAGUUCCACGCUUAAAUUGAAAACAUAACUGUAAAACAAGACUCCCCCUGGAUUGAUGUUAGUAUGGAUGGUACCCGAGGAUUCGGCUAGCCGUGGAGUGUGAUUGAUUGGUGGUGGGGGAGUAAAAACUUUACUUUUUCUAUUUGGGAACCGCCUAUAGCAUGAAUAGCAUGGAAGAUAUUGAGAACUCUUGGUCAUUGCGUUGACAAUGAAAGCAUGCCACCCAAAAUUAUUAUCUCUGUUUUCAAAGCUUGAGCUCUUGCACCUCUGCAAAUCAAUGCUUCCCUCUGCGAAGGGCCUGUCUAUUUAUUUUCCUGUCGAGUCAUCCUCUUCUUAUAUAAGCACCAAUUAGAGAGCACCUCUAUCAUUUUUAUGCUUUGCUUUUGAUUGAUAUUGAGUAUGACUAUGACUGGAUCUUCGUUGCUAUGAAUUACAAUGUUUAGUCAGCCCUUGAUCUUUGAAAGUGCUAUGCAUUUAUGUUUUGCGGUUUUAGAAAGAGCUAGCGAGAUACCACCUAUUCAUAUUGCUUCAUGCUUGUUUUGAUUGAAUUGUUGGUAUCUGAAACUCAUUAUUAUUUGCUCGUUAGCUGAUUAUGCCAUUGAUAUUAGCCUACCCUGAGAGCUUUGUGUCACUUGCUUAUGUGGUUAACUUGUGAUCUUGCUGAAAUUCUCGUUAUGAGUUAGACAUAGUUGCAACAACAAGAUCAAACAGAGUUUGUCAAAGUUUUUCUUUCUCUUUCAGUUUGUCAACUGAGUUGCUUGAGGACAAGCAAGGUUUUAAGCUUGGGGGAGUUGAUACGUCUCCAUCGUAUCUACUUUUCCAAAAUCUUUUGCCCUUGUUUUGGACUCUAAUUUGCAUGAUUUGAAUGGAACUAACCCGGACUGACGCUGUUUUCAGCACAAUUGCCAUGGUGUUGUUUUUUUGCAAAAAUGAAAGUUCUCGGAACGUCCUGAAAAUUUACGGAGAAUAUUUAUGGAAAAUAUGAAAAAUACCUGUGCAAAGAUCCACCUGAGGGGAUGGGCCAGUGGGCCACAAGCCCUGUUGCCGCGGCCCCCCUGGCCGCGGCAACCAAGCUUGUGGGGCCCACGUGGCUCUGCCGCCCCCAAACUCAGCUCUAUAAACUCCCUUUCGUCCCGAAAAAAAUCAGAAGAGAAGAUUUCAUCGUGUUUGCGAUAUGGAGGCGCCGCCACAUCGUGUUCUUCAUCUGGAGGGCAGAUCUGGAGUCCGUUUUGGGCUCCGAAAAGGGGCAAUCGUCGCCAUCGUCAUCAUCAACCUUCUUCCCUCUCCUAUUUCAUGAAGCUCUUCAUCAUUCGUGAGUAAUCUAUUCGUAGGCUCGCUGGGCGGUGAUGAGUAGGAUGAGAUCUAUCAUGUAAUCGAGUUAGUUUUGACGGGGAUUGAUCCCUAGUAUCCACUAUGUUCUGAGAUUGAUGUUGCUACUACUUUGCCAUGCUUAAUGCUUGUCACUAGGGCCCGAGUGCCAUGAGUUGAGACCUGAAAUUAUUAUGUUGUCACCAAUAUAUCUGUGUUUUAGAUCCGAUCUUGCAAGUUGUAGUUACCUACUAUGUGUUAUGACCCGGCAACCCCGGAGGACUAUAACCGGAACCACUCCCGGUGAUGACCAUAGUUUGAGGAGUUCAUGUGUUCACCAAGUGCUAAUGCGUUGUUCCGGAGAACCUUAAUAUCCCGUAGUAUCCUUUUGGACCCCCGCUGCCACGGGAGGGAUGGACAAUAGAUGUCAUGCAAGUACUUUUCCCUAAGCACGUAUGACGACACACGGAAUGCAUGCCUACAUCACAUUGACGAACGGGAGCUAGCCACAUAUCUCUCUGUGUUACAACUGUUGCAUGAUGAAGAAUCACCGACCCAUUGCCUACGAGUUUGUCCCACUGCUCCUGUUACUUGCUCUGCUGCUGCUACUGUUACUUGCUACUGUUGUUACUUGCUUUGCUCUGCUGCUAUUACUACUGUUGCUGCUACUGCUACUUGCUUUGCUGCAGCUACUGUUACUUGCUACUGUUGUUACUUGCUUUGCUCUACUGUUGUUACUACUGUUGCUGCUACUGUUACUUGCUGCCACUGUUACUUGCUUUGUCCUGCUACUACCGUUACUACUGUUGAUGUUGUUCCUUGCCACUGCUGUUACUCGUUACACUGGUGCUACGUGCUACAAUACUUUUCUGGCGUCAUUGAUACAACCGUUAGGAAUAGUCUGCCGUCAACAGAUCAUUUCUGGCACCGUUGCUAUCAUACUACUUUGCUACUGAUACUUUGCUUGCAGAUACUAAUCUUUCAGGUGUGGUUUAAUCUGACACAUUCAGCUCCUAAUACUUGAGAAUAUUCUUUCACUUCCCGUCGGGCGAACCAACAAAUUUGGGUUCAAUACUCUACCCUCGAAAACUGUCGCGAUCCCACGCGCUGGUGGGCGAUUGCAAGACAAUUUAAUUGUUGAGCAAUUGGGACGAGUUCUUUUCUGACUCCGUUGUCGUAGAGGUAUCAAGUCAGGAAUAGUUGCACGUCAGCAGGCAUCCUUGAAGAGAGUGGGCCAAUAGAAACCUGAUUGCAAUACCUUAUGAGCAGUUCUAUCUCCAGCAUGGUGUCAUCUGUAGGCUUCGGAAUGACACUUCUGCGGGAUCUGUCCCUGUUCAUGUUCAGGCACAGAACGUCUAAUAACACCAUCUACUCCUUCCUUAUAAAGGUGAGGAUCAUCCCAAAAGUAGUGUCUCAAAUCAAAGAAGAAUUUCUUCUUUUGCUGGUAGGUGAAACUGGGUGGUAUGUAUUUGGCUACGAUAUAGUUUGCGUAAUCAGCAUACCACGAUGCACUAUGUGAAGUACGGAUGACAUUCAAUUGCUCAUCAGGAAAGAUGUCAUCAAUAGGUUGUGGGUCAUCAAGGACAUUCUCUAGCCUGGACAAGUUAUCUGCUACAGGGUUAUCAGCACCCUUUCGGUCAACAACGUGCAGAUCAAAUUCAUGUAGCAAGAGAACUCAUCUGAUUAGCCUAGGUUUAGUGUCCUUCUUCUCCAUCAGGUACUUAAUAGCAGCAUGAUCAGAAUGAAUAAUGACCUUUGAGUCAACUAUAUAAGAUCUGAACUUUUCACAUGCAAACACGACUGCUAAAAAUUCCUUCUCCGUAGUGGCAUAGUUUCUUUGGGCACCGUCUAGAGUUUUUCUAGCGUAGUGAAUAACAUUCAACUUCUUGCCAACUCUUUGUCCUAGAACAGCACCAACAACAUAAUCACUAGCAUCGCACAUGAUUUCAAAGGGCAAGUUCCAAUCAGGUGGUUGAACAAUAGGUGCGGUUAUCAAGGCCUUCUUAAGUAUUUUGAAAGCUUCCUCACAAUCCUCAUCAAAAACAAAAGGAACAUCCUUCUGCAAGAGGUUGGUAAGAGGCCUAGAAAUCUUAGAGAAGUCUUUAAUGAACCUUCUAUAGAAACCAGCAUGACCUAGGAAACUUCGUAUACCUCUGAUAUCUAUGGGGCAAGGCAUUUUCUCAAUUGCAUCAACCUUAGCCUUAUCAACUUCAAUGCCUUUCUCACAGGUUUUGUGUCCUAAGACGAUGCCUUCAUUAACCAUGAAGUGGCACUUCUCCCAAUUCAAGACGAGGUUGGUAUCUUUGCAUCUCUGUAAGACUCGAUCAAGGUUGCUCAGGAAAUCGUCAAAGGAAGAACCAUAAACGGAGAAAUCAUCCAUGAAAACCUCAACAAUCUUUUCACAAAAUUCAGAGAAUAUUGCCAUCAUACAUCUUUGAAAGGUGGCCGGUGCAUUGCAUAAGCCAAAAGGCAUACUUCUAUAAGAAAAGGUACUGAAGAGGCAGGUGAAAGUGGUUUUCUCCUGAUCAGAUUGUGCAACAGUUAUUUGCGAGAAACCUGAAUAACCGUCUAGAAAGGAGAAGUGUGUGUGUUUAGAUAUCCUUUCUAGCAUUUGGUCGAUAAACGGCAAAGGAUAAUGGUCUUUCCUGGUUGCCUUGUUCAGUUUCCGGAAGUCGAUCACCAUCCUAUAGCCAGUAAUAAUCCUCUGUGGGAUUAGUUCAUUCUUAUCAUUAGGGACGAUGGUGAUACCUCCCUUCUUGGGUACGCAAUGCACUGGACUUACCCAAUCACUAUGAGCAACAGGAUAAAUGAUUCCUGCUUCUAGGAGCUUUAACAAUUCUUUUCUCACUACUUCUUUCAUUUUACGAUUCAAUCUCCUUUGAUGAUCAGCAACUGGUUUGAAUUCGGGAUCAGUUUUGAUCUUGUGCUGGCAUAGAGUGGGACUAAUGCCCUUAAGAUCAUCAAGAGUAUAUCCAAUAGCAGCACGGUGCUUCCUUAGAGUUUUUAGUAACUUCUUUUCUUCCUGCUCUGAAAGGCGAGCACUAAUAAUAACAGGAUAUAUCUCCUUUUCAUCAAGAUAGGGAUACUUAAGAGUAUCAGGCAAUUGUUUAAGCUCGAACACAGGAUCACCCUUUGGUGGGGGCUGAUCCCCAAGCAGUUCAAUAGGCAAGUUAUUCUUAAGGAUAGGAUAUUGUUCUAAGACAACUCUAUCUAUUUCAUCCCUUUCAUCCUUAUGCAUAUCAUUUUCAUGCUCAAGCAAGUAUUGCUCUAAGGGAUCAGUAGGAGGCACAGAAAUAGAAGCAAGAGCAAUGAUUUCAUCCCUACCAGACGACUCUUUUUCAUGGGGUUGUCUUCCAAACUUGGAGAACUUAAAUUCAUGAGACACACCCUCAAAACUAACAAUGACAGUCUCUUUAAUGCAAUCAAUAUGAGCAGUGAUAGUGUUGAGAAAGGGUCUACCAAAUAUGAUGGGACAAAAGCUAUCUUGUGCAGUAGCAAGGACGAGGAAAUCAGUAGGAUACUUUGUCUUACCACACAAGACUUCUACGUCUCUCACAAUUCCCACGGGGCAGAUGGUGUCUCUAUUAGCUAGCGUAAUAGUGACAUCAAUGGGUUCUAACUCAGCAGGUGCAAUCUCAUCUUUGAUUUCAUCAUAUAAGGACCGGGGUAUUGCACUAACACUAGCACCCAUAUCACAUAAACCAUGAUAACAGUGAUCUCAUAUCUUGACAGAAACAACGGGCAGGCCAACUACAGGUCCGUAUUUGUCUUUCGCGUGAGGUUUAGCAAUUCUAGCGGAGUCCUCACAGAAUUUGAUAACAUGCCCAUCUAUGUCUUUGGCUAAGAGAUCUUUGAUAAUAGCAACACUAGGUUCAACUCUAAUUUGCUCAGGGGGUGUAGGUGUUCUAAUAUAGCCUCUACAUAUCACAGUUGAAGCUUUCGAAUGAUCCUUUCUCCUAACAGGGAAAAGUGGUUUCUCAAUGUAAGCACUGGGUACCACAGGAUCAUUAUAAGCAAUGACUCUCUCUUCAACUGGAGUGGGUUCAACUACAUUGACUUCUAAAGGAGGAUGAAAUUUAAACCACUUCUCUUUGGGAAGAUCAAUAUGAGCAGCAAAAGAUUCACAUAGAGAAGCUACUAUCUGAGAGUCAAGUCCAUACUUAGCGCUAAAAUCUCUAGAAGUGUUUGUUUCAACAAAAGAUUUAAUGCAAUCAAACUGGAAAUUCAUACCUGACUCCUUACCUUCUUCAAGCUCCCAAUCUUUAGAGUUACGUUUCAUUCUUUCCAAUAAAUUCCACUUGUGGUCAAUAUCCUUCUUCAUAAAAGAACCGGUACAAGAAGUGUCAAGCAUGGUACGAUCUUCAUGAGAAAGCCGAGCAUAGAAGUUUUGAGUGAUAAUUUCUCUCGAGAGCUCAUGAUUGGGGCAUGAAUAUAGCAUUGAUUUAAGCCUCCCCCAAGCUUGAGCUAUGCUUUCCCUGUCACGAGGCCAAAAGUUAUAAAUAUAAUUCCGAUCACGAUGUACUAAAUGCAUAGGACAAAACUUUUGAUGAAAUUCCAAUUUCAACCGAUUGUAGUCCCAUGAUCCAGUAUCAUCACAUAGCCUAUACCAUGUCAACGCCUUAUCCUUCAAAGAUAAAGGAAAGACUUUCUUCUUUACCUCAUCCUCGGGCAAACCUGCAAGCUUAAAUAAACCACAAACUUCAUCUACAUAUAUUAGAUGCAAGUCUGAAUGUGAUGAUCCAUCUCCUGUAAAAGGAUUAGCCAGCGGUUUCUCAAGCAUACCCGAAGGAAUUUCAUAUAAGAUAUUUUCAGUAGGUGCCUAAGGUUGAGGAGCAACUCCUCGUUCUUCCGUUCGUGGUGAAUAUACCCCGAACAAAUUCCUCAAAGGAACAGUUUCCAUAGUGACAAGUGACAAUAAAUUUCAGCAUAGUAUAUAAAUCUUUCCUUACCAAAUUCCACUUACCAAAGGCGCUUCACUCCCCGGCAACGGCGCCAGAAAAGAUUCUUGAUGACCCACAAGUAUAGGGGAUCAAUCGUAGUCCUUUCGAUAAGUAAGAGUCUCGAACCUAACGAGGAGCAGAAGGAUCUGACAAGUGGUUUUCAGCAAGGUAAUAACUGCAAGCACUGAAAUUAGCGGUAACAAGUGAUGGUGUGGUGAGGUGAAACGUAGGAGGUGAAAAGUAACAAGUAACAAGUAAUAGCAACGGUGCAGCAAAGUGGCCCAAUCCCUUUUGUAGCAAGGGACAAGCCUGGACAAAGUCUUAUAGGAGGAAAAACGCUCCCGAGGACACACGGGAAUUUCUGUCAUGCUAGUUUCAUCAUGUUCAUAUGAUUCGCGUUCGUUACAUUGAUAGUUUGAUAUGUGGGUGGAGCGGCGCUUGGGUACUGCCCUUACUUGGACAAGCAUCCCACUUAUGAUUAACCCCUCUCGCAAGCAUCCGCAACUACGAAAGAAGAAUUAAGACAACGUCUAACCAUAGCAUUAAACUAGUGGAUCCAAAUCAGCCCCUUACGAAGCAACGCAUAGACUGGGGUUUAAGCUUCUGUCACUCUAGCAACCCAUCAUCUACUUACUACUCCCCAAUGCCUUCCUCUAGGCCCAAAUAUGGUGAAGUGAUAUGUAAUCGACGUUCACAUAACACCACUAGAGGAAAAGACAACAUACAGCAUAUCAAAAUACCGAACGAAUACCAAAUUCACAUGACUAUUAAUAGCAAGACUUAUCCCAUGUCCUCAGGAACAAAAGUAACUACUCACAAAGCAUGGAUAUAUUCAUGACCAGAGAAGUAAUGAAUAUCAAAAUGGAUCUGAACAUAUAAUCUUCCACCAAGUAAACCAACUAGCAUCAACUACAAAGAGUAAUCAACACUACUAGCAACCUUACGGGUACCAAUCGGCGUCGCGAGAUGGCGAUUGGUUACAAGAGAUAGACUAGGGUUUGGAUAGGAGAUGGUGCUGAUGAAGAUGUUGAUGGAGAUGACUCCCCUCCGAUGAGAGGAGUGUUGGUGAUGACGAUGGCGAUGAUUUCCCCCUCCGGGAGGGAAGUUUCCUCGGCAGGAUCGUCCUGCCGGAGCUCUAGAUUGGUUCUGCUCAAGUUCCGCCUCGUGGCGGUGGCGCCUCCUAGAAAAAGCUCCGCCCUGAUUUUUUUACGGACGAAACCCUUCAUAUAGCAGAAGAGGGGGACAGUGGGCCACCAGGGUGCCCACAAGCCCUAUAGCCGCGGCCAGGGGGGCAGGUCGCGGCUACCAGGCUUGUGGGCCCGUGGCAGCUCCCCUCUGGCACUUCUUUCGCCCAAUAUUUUUUAUAUAUUCUCAAAAAAAUCCACGUUGAUUUUGAGGGCAUUUGGAGUUGCGCGGAAUAGAGGACUCAGACUUGUUCCUUUUCUAGUCCAGAAUUCCAGUUGCUGGUAUUCUCCCUCUUCAAAUAAACCUUGCAAAAUAAGAGAGAAAAGGCAUAAGUAUGGUACCACAAAGUAUAAUAACAGUCCAUAAACCGAUAAAUAUCAACAUGAAACAAUGAUGCAAAAUGUACGUAUCAUGAACUCGAUCUAUUUUGUUUUUGUAAAUAUGACUAGGUCAUCAUGCCUAAUUCAGCUUUGUUGUGAGAGAAACAUGUUUGCAAUGACAACUUAGAGAUCAUAGUUUCUUAUGCCAUGCUUACUUAGCUAGGAGCUUAUAAUGGUUUGUCUUGGUUGCCCACAUGUAUGUUGAGAUGACUAUGGUGUAGUAUGAUAGGAUGGUAUCCUCCUUUGAAUGAUUCAAGUGGCUUGACUUGGCGCAUGUUCCCGCAUGUACUUGAAACAAAAUCAACAUAACCUCUAUGAUGUUCAUGUUCAUGGUGAUUUAUGUCCUACUGAUGCUUGCACUCAAUGUUAGUUCAUCUCAAUGCAUUUUGAUGACUGUUGUCGCUCUCUAGUUGGUCGCUUCCCAGUCUUUUCCUAGCCUUCACUUCUACUAAGCGGGAAUACUACUUGUGCAUCCACUUCCAUAAACCAAGAGUUGUGCCAUAUGAGUCCAGCAUACCUACCUAUGUGCGGUAUCUAUCUUUCGUUCCAAGUAAAUUUGCAUGUGCCACUCUCUAAAUCUUCAAGAAAUAAUCUGUUUUGCAUGCCCGAAUCGCUCAUGUGGUGACAGGGGGCUAUUGGUAUCUUCCAUGCUAGGCGUGUUAUCCUCGAUAUGUGUUUAUUCACUAUCAUUCACGAGAAAGGGGUCGGUAAUUGGAAUUCCCAGUUCCAUGCUCAAAUCGAAAAGAUAAUUGCAAACAAAACUCCCCCAGGAUUGUUGUUGGUAUGGACGGCACCCGAGGAUUCGGCUAGCCGUGGAGUGUGAUUGAUUGGUGGUGGGGGAGUCAAAACUUUACUUUUCUGUUUGGGAACCGCCUAUAGUAUGUGUAGCGUGGAAGAUGUUGAGAACUCUUAGUCAUUGCGUUGACAAUGAAAGCAUGCCACCCAAAAUUAUUAUCUCUGUUUUCAAACCUUGAGCUCUGGCACCUCUGCAAAUAAAUGCUUCCCUCUGCGAAGGGCCUGUGUAUUUAUGUUCCUGUUGAGUCAUCCUCUUCUUACAAAAGCACCAAUUAGAGAGCACCUUUGUCAUUUUUAUGCUUUGCUUUUAACUGUGUUGAGUAUGACUAUGACUGGAUCUUCAUUGCCAUGAAUUACAAUGUUAGUCAGCCUUUGGACUUUGAAGGUGCUCUGCAUUUAUGUUUUGCGGUCUCAGAAAGAGCUAGCGAGAUACCAUCUGUUCGUACUGCUUCAUGUUGUUUUGAUUGAAGUGUUGACAUUUGCGGCUUAUUAUUAUUUGCUCGCUAGUUGAUUAUGUCAUUGAUAUGAGGUUACCGUGAGACCUAGAUGUCAUUUGCUUAUGUGGUUUGCUUGUGAUCUUGCUCAAACUCUGGAUAUGAGUUAGACAUAGUUGCAACAACAAGAUCAAACAGAGUUCGUCAAAGUUUUUCUUUUGUCUCUUUCAGUUUGUCAACUGAAUUGCUUGAGGACAAGCAAGGCUUUAAGCAUGGGGGAGUUGAUACGUCUCCGUCGUAUCUACUUUCCUGAACUCUUUUGCCCUUGUUUUGGACUCUAAUUUGCAUGAUUUGAAUGGAACUAACCCGGACUGACGCUGUUUUCAGCAGAAUUGCCAUGGUGUUGUUUUUGUGCAUAAAUAAAAGUUUGCGGAAUAUCCUGAAAAUUUACGGAGAUUUUUCUGGAAUAAAAGAAAAAUACCUGCGCAAAGAUCCACCUGAGGGGGCGUGCCAGUGGGCCACAAGCCCACAGGCCGCGGCCACCCCCUAGGCCGCGCCGUGCAGGCUUGUGGGGCCCAUCUGGCACCACCGCCCCCAAGCUCAGCUCUAUGUCUUCUGUUUCGCCUAGAAAAAAUUCAGAGAGAAGGUUUCAUUGCAUUUUGCGAUACGAAGGCGCCGCCACAUCCUGUUCUUCAUGUGGAGAGCAGAUCUGGAGUCCUUUUCGGGCUCCGGAGAGGGGAAAUCGUCGCCAUCGUCAUCAUCAACCUUUCUCCAUCGACAAUCUAUCAUGAUGCUCUUCAUCGUUCGUGAGUAAUCUCAUCGUAGGCUUGCUGGACGGUGAUGAGUUGGAUGAGAUCUAUCAUGUAAUCGAGUUAGUUCUUGACGGGGAUUGAUCCCUAGUGUCCACUAUGUUCUAGAUUAAUGUUGCUACUACUUGGCUAUGCUUAAUGCUUGUCACUACGGCCCGAGUGCCAUGAUUUCAGAUCUGAACCUAUUAUGUUGUCGCCAAUAUAUGUGUGUUUUAGAUCCUAUCUUGCAAGUUGUAGUCACCUACUAUGUGUUAUGACCUGGCAACCCCGGAGUGACAAUAGCCGGAACCACUCUCGGAGAUGACCAUAGUAUGAGGAGUUCAUGUAUUCACCGCGUGUUAAUGUGUUGGUCCGGUUCUUUAUUAAAAGGAGAACCUUAAUAUCCCGUAGUUUCCAUUAGGACCCUGCUGCCACGGGAGGGGUGGACAAUAGAUGUCAUGCAAGUUCUUUUCCCUAAGCACGUAUGACUACAUACGAAAUACAUGCCUACAUUAGAUUGAUGAACGGGAGCUAGUUACAUAUCUCUCCAUGUUAUACAUGUUACAUGAUGAAUCACAUCCGUCACACUCAUCCAUCACCGAUCCACUGCCUACGAGUCUUUUACUACUGGUCCUCGCUGCGUUACUUUGUCUAGGCUAGGCCUGGGCAUUCGGGUACCCGAAACCGUUACCCGAACCCGAACCGAACCGUAAUACCCGAAAUGUCGGUUAAUUCGGGUUUCGGGCUUCGGUACGGUUCUGGUUUUAGAACGUUUCGGUCUUCGGGUAUGGGUUCGGUUAGUAGGUGUGAAAACCCGAAGUAGCCAUAUUAACCGAAGUACACAACACGAGCAGCUCAUCCGUCAGCACGGCUGCACCUCAGCAGUCAGCACCUGUGCGGCCUACCGGCCCAACUCCCCGCUCGCACACAAGCCUCCCGGCUCACAAAAGCCUCCUCGGCUCCUCGCCUAGUUCAUUCCUUUUCUUCUCUGCCUCGACCCUCCUCGCCGGCUCGCCCUAACCCUAGUUUUCAGCGGCGGCGGCGGAUGGUGGCGCCUCCACCUGCUCGUGACGCCUGACGGGUGCUGGGAGACGCGCGAGCCGCCACCCGUCGGUUGUUGUAGCCUGUAGCGACGCGCCGAGGAGACGCGCGAGCUGCGAGUUGCUGUACGAGGAGACGUGCGAGCUGUCGGGCCGGAGUCAACGCACUCACAGUCGACGGCAGUGAGCCAGUGACCAACUUCAGUGGUAAGUCCCUGUGGCUGAAUUCGUAUGCUCAAGUAGUCAAAAGUACUUGUUGAUUCAGGCUAAGUUCGAAUCCCGAUUCCUAUGCUCAAGUAGUCAAACGUAUUUGUCCCUAUUCCUAUGCUCGAGUUAUUAGUUUGUAGUUAUACUAAUUGGUGUAUUCCUCUGCAAAAAGAAGACUGUAGUUGUAGUUGUAUUUCUCUGCAAAAAUUCAGAUAAAAGUUAUAUCAGUUUGUAGUUGUAUUUCUCUACAAAAAAAAGACUGUAGUUAUACUGAUUGAUUUGUAUCAAGCUAUCAGCUCUAGACAAAACUGAUACUUGUAGUUGUACUGUUAAAAUUCAGAAAAAAGUCUGUAGUUGUACUGUUAAACUGAUAAUUGUACUUAUGUUGUUAUAUUUUCUGUAAUAAAUUGUUUCUUCUUUUGACCUCUCUUCUCAUUGCUGAUAUGUUAGGCUAACUAGUUGUGUCAUUUGUUUUUUGUAGAUGGAAGAUCAAACCUCUCAUAUGUCGGCGUCAGGCACCUCCCCUUACACCGCUUUGAACUCGGAGGAGGACAGUAAUGAUGGGCAGCAGCCCACGAACCAGCAGCAGAAGGAGAUGACCGAGGCUGAUAAGACGACAACAAAUGCAAAGAAAAGAAAGGAAAUGGCUCCACGGUCUGAAGUUUGGAACCAUUUUACCAAGGUCCUCGAUGGGGGUGUGCUGUCCAAAGCAACAUGCAACUAUUGCAAAAAUGAUCUUGCUUGUGUUGCUAAAAGGAAUGGUACAUCAUCCUUACUGAAGCAUUUCAUGUCGUGCAAGAAAAAUCCUCAUAGGGUCAAUGAUGACAAGCAACCAACUCUACAAGCUACUCCGAACAUGGCAGAUACUAGUAAGUGCUCUCUCACCACCUGGAGAUUUGAUCAGGAUAAGCUCAAAGAUGCUUUGGCUGAAAUGGUAAUUAUGGAUGAGCUUCCGUUCUCAUUUGUUGAGAAGCCAGGAUUUAGAAGGUUUGUGGCAAAGGCUUGUCCUCGUUUCAAUGUCCCAUCUAGGAGGACAGUUACUAGAGAUUGUGUGCGCAUUCAUUACAGGGAGAAAGUCAAGCUCAAGAAAUUCUUGAAAGAAUCAUGUGAAAGAGUUUGCCUAACUACUGACACAAGGACAUCUUCCCAAAAGCAGAAUUUUAUGUGUGUAACAGCCCAUUUUGUUGACAGUGAAUGGAUUCUACAUAAGUGGAUCAUUGGAUUUUUCUUGGUGAGGGGUCACAAGGGGGAAGACAUUGGGAAGGACCUGGAGAAGUGUUUGGUUGAGUGGGGCAUAGAUAAGGUGUUUUCAGUCACAGUUGACAAUGCCUCACCAAAUGAUGGAGCUGUAAACUACAUAAAGAGGAUCAUGAACAGUGCAAAUGUAAGCAUAGGGAGAGGAGAAUAUAUGCACAUGAGAUGUGCUGCUCAUAUUAUGAACUUGAUAGUUACCGAUGGGCUAAAAGAGUUGGACAUCUCGGUAAAGCGAGUUCGUGCUGCUGUCAAGUUUAUUAAGAAUUCUCCCGCUAGAAUUACCAAGUUCAAGAAGUGUGCUGAAUUAGAGAAGUUGACAACCAAAGGUUUCUUAUCACUUGAUGUAUGCACUAGAUGGAACUCCACGUACUUAAUGCUGAAAGCUGCAGCCACAUAUGAGAAGGUCUUUGUGAGGUAUGAAGAAGAGGACCCAUACUUUGCAAUUGAGCUAAACAGCGAUAAAAUGCCAGGAGUGCCUGAACCUGAAGAUUGGGAUAAUGCUUCAAAGAUGGCUGAGUUUCUUGAGCAUUUCUAUAAGCUUACCCUUCGUGUUUCAGCCUCAAAUCAUUGCACAUCUAUAUCUUCUUCCAUCAAAUUGCUGAUAUCAUUGUCUUGCUGAGGGCAUGGUGUGGAAGCGGGGACUUCUUGCAAAGAGAUAUGGGAGAAAGGAUGAUUGACAAGUACAACAAGUAUUGGGGAGAUCACAAGAGCUUCAACAUCUUGCUUUUUGUGGGUGUUGCUCUUGAUCCAAGAUAUAAGUUGUCAAAUUACAUCAAGAUUGCAACCUUUGAAAUGUUUGGAGACAUCAAUGGAGAUGAGGUGUGGACAAAAAUGAAUGCAACACUUAAUAAUCUGUUCAAGGAGUAUGUUAAGUUAUAUGGUCCAAGUGAGCAUGAAAUUCAACCUGAUGAUGCACCUGACUUUGAAGAGAGCAGCUGUGAAAGCUUGAUGAGUUCUUUGAUUGCGAAGAAAAUGAGAAUGAAUGACUGUGGAAUUGGCAUCAGCCCUUGCAAGUCUGAACUUGAAAAGUACCUUACGGAGGAUAAUGAAGCAAACAGCGGGAAAUUCAAUAUUCUUGAGUGGUGGAAGGUUAACUCAUCAAGAUUUCCUGUGCUAUCACGCUUAGCUCGUGAUGUCCUAGCUUUCCCAAUAUCUACGGUUGCAUCAGAAUCGGCUUUUAGCACCGGUGGACGCAUCCUUGAUGACUUCCGAAGCUCUCUUACUCCAUUCAUGGUGCAGGCACUACUUUGUACUCAAGAUUGGUUGCGAAGAGAAAUUCCAGUUAACGAUGAAGAGGAUGCUGAGCUACUGGCCAACCUUGAACAAGGUAAUUAAGCAAAUAAGUUACUCUUAGAUAUGUGCUUUCUAUUUUCUUCAUACUUACAUUAUCUUGCUUUAUUUAUUAUUGUCAGAUGUACUUCAAGAAUUGUCUGAUCUAAACAUUGCUAAGUCUGGUACAAGUGCAAGUGUUCGCAUCACCAUUGAAGACACCGAAUCAUAAGUCUUGGUGAGUGAAAUUCUUGUAAGAUUUCCUAUGUAACUUGCAUGUUGUUUUCAACUUGAUAUGCUAGAAACUAUGGUGGGAAAGUGGAAAUUAUAUGCAUGAUCUCGUCUACAUAUCACUUUAAUUUUGAACAAGAUUUCUGUUUUAAUUUGCUUUGCAUUUGCACAAUAUAUUUAAGUGAUUUUGUUUUCACUUCUAUAGGGAAUACGAGAAGAACAUCAAAGGAAGUGUGCUGCUGUCAAGGAAUCCACUCAGCUUCUUUUCUUGUGUUCUAUCUUCUAUGAUUUCCUCAGCUUGGACCUCAAGGAGUUGUGUUGCUUGAAAACUUGUUAAGCCCUUAAAUUAUUAGCUAUGGUUGUCUCAUUUGGACCUAUUCAGCUUGAACCAUGAUAACUAUUCAGCUUGAACCAUGUUUGUUUUGUGUUUGUGACUCAGCCUGAUUUGUGACUCAAGUUAUGUCUGUCUAUGCUUGUGAUGUUUUUAUUUUCUGUUUAUCUGAUAUAUGCUUGUGCACAAUUAUAUUUGAUCUAUGCUUGUGAACAUAUGCACUAUAUUGUAUUUGUGCUUCAGACAAUCAGACUAAUGAAGAUCUCGCAUGUGUUGUGCACUAAAUCUGGAAUUGGUGCACUGUAAUGGACUAAAUAUUUCGGGUUCUGGGUACCCGAAUUACCCGAACCGAUUUUUUUGGGUAAUUUGGGUAUGGGUACUUAUGCGGCAUAUAAAAAUUCGGUUUCCAUUCUUCACUAACCGUACUACCCGCAAACCGAACUAACUGAAGCGAAGAAACCAAAUUACCCGAACGCCCAGUCCUAGUCUAGGCUUGUCCCUUGCUACAAAAGGGAUUGGGCCACUUUGUUGCUACUGCUAUCACUUUGCUGUUGCUGUUGUUCCUUGCUACUCCGCUACUUAGUGCAAGACCUUUUCUGGAGCAGUUGCUGGGGAAAAAUAGUCCCGAGUCAACGUGCUUUUUACUGGCGCCAUUGAUACAACAGUUAGGAAUAGUCUCUCGUUAACAAAUCGUUUUAGGCACCGUUGCUAUCAUACUACUUUGCUACCGAUACUUUGCUUGCAGACACUAAUCUUUCAGGUGUGCUUGAAUCUGACACACUCAGUUGCUAAUACUCGAGAAUAUUCUUUCGCUUCCCUUGUGUGAACCAACAAAUUUGGGUUGAAUACUCUACCCUCGAAAACUGUUGCGAUCCCAUACACUUGUGGGUUGUCAGGAGGCAACCCAAUGAAUAUAUCUUUGAUUUUUUCUUUCUGUUUUGUUGCGUCCACACCAUCAUAAUUCUGUUAUGAUUGUGUUUUUUGUGUUUCUUUUUGUGUUUGAGCCAAGUAAAACCUUUAUGACUAGUUUGGUGAUGGUUGUUUGAUCCUGCUGGAAAAAGACAGAAACUUUACGCUCACGAGAUUAUUUUUCAUUUUUAUUCAGAAAGAGCUUUCGAGUUGAUUCUUUUUUAUUAUGGUUGAUAUUCCUUUUGCGCAGGCAUUCGUAAGUUUUCAGAAUUUUUGAGGUAUACGAAGUAUACAGAUUGCUACAAACUGGUCUGUUUUUGACAGAUUCUGUUUUUUGUUGAGUUGGUUGCUAGUUUUGAUGAAACUAUGGAUAGUAUCGGGGGGUACUAGCCAUGGAAAAGUGAGAAUACAGUAAUCCAACACCAAUAUAAAUAGAAAUCCAGUUUGCCACCGUACCUAAAGAGGUGGUAGUUUGUUUUCUUGUGCUAAUGUUAUCACGAGUUUCUGUUUAAGUUUUGUGUUGUAAAGUUUGCAAGUUUUGGGUGAUGUUCUCAUGGGCAAAGAGAUAAAGAGUGGAAAGAGCUCAAGCUUGGGGAUGCCCAAGGCAUCCCAAGCCAAAUUCAAGGACACCAAAAAUCCUAAGCUUGGGGAUGUCCCGGGAAGGCAUCCCCUCUUUCGUCUUCAAUCCAUCGGUAACAUUACUUGGAGCUAUAUUUUUAUUCACCACAUGAUAUGUGUUUUGCUUGGAGCGUCUUGUAUCGUAGGAGUCUUUUCUUUUUUGUUGUGUCACAAUCAUCCUUUCUGCACACCUUUUGAGAGAUACAUGCACUCAUCGUGAUUUUGCUAGAAUGCUCAUCGUGCUUCACUUAUAUCUUUUGAGCUAGAUAAUUUUGCUCUAUGUGCUUCACUUAGAUCUUUUAGAGCACGGCGGUGCAUAACUUGGUAGUUGGCUUGUGCUAUGAAAGUAGUCCCAAAGGUGAUAGGUACCCAAAGAGGAUACAAAAAUCUCCAUCUUCAUGUGCAUUGAGUAGAAAGAGAAGUUUUGAUUCCUCUCAAUUAGUUUUGAGACGUGGAUUUGGUAAUAUUAAGAGUUAUGUUAGUAGGGUGUUGUGAAUCUAGAAAUACUUGUGUUGAAGUUAGUGAUUCCCGAAGCAUGGAUGUAGGGUGAACCGCUAUGUUAGGAAGUCGGAGCAUAAUUGAUCUAUUGAUUGUCAUCCUCUGUGUUGCGGUCGGGAUCGCGCGAUGGUUAACACCUACCGACCCUUCCCCUAGGAGUAUGCGUUUAGCACUUUGUUUUGAUUACUAAUAAAAACUUUCGCAACAAGUAUGUGAGUUCUUCAUGACUAAUUUGAGUCCAUGGUAUAGAUGCACUUUCACCUUCCACCACUGCUAGCCUCUCUAGUGCCGCGCAAUUCUCGCCGGUGCACAAACCCACCAUAUGCCUUCCUCAAACCAGCCACCAUACCUACCUACUAUGGCAUUUUCAUAGCCAUUCCGAGAUAUAUUACCAUGCAACUCCCACCGUUCCGUUCAUGACUUGUGUCGUCACUCUCAUAUUUCCAUUGCAUGAUCGUAAGAUAGCUAGCGAGAUGUUUCAACGUCAUACGCCAAGCUAGAUCGUUGCACAUCCUGGUACACUGCCGGAGGCAUUUCCUAUAGAGCCAUCAUCAUUCUGAGCUUUGAGCUGUGAGUAAAUAAAAGUGUGAUGAUCAUCAUUAUUAGAGCAUUGUCCCAUGUGAGGAAAUAAAUAAAAAAAGAAGAGGCCAAAGAGCCCAAAAAGAGAGGCCCAAGAGCCCAAAUAAAAAAUAUAAAAAGGAGAGAAAAAUAGAGAAGGGACAAUGCUACUAUCUUUUUCCACACUUGUGCUUCAUAAAAGCACCAUGUUCUUCAUGAUUGAGAGCCUCUCGUUUCGUCACCACCAUAUGCUAGUGGGGAUCUUCAUUAUAUAACUUGGCUUGUAUAUUCCAAUGAUGGGCUUCCUCAAAAUUGCCCUAGGUCUUCGUGAGUAAGCAAGUUGGAUGCACACCCACUAGUUCUCCUUUUGAGCUUUCACAUACUUAUAGCUCUAGUGCGUCCUUUGUAUGGCAAUCCCUACUCAUUCACAUUGAUAUCUAUUGAUGGGCAUCUCCAUAGCCCUUUGAUACGCCGAGUCAAUGUGACCAUCUCCUCCUUUUUUGUCUCACAACCACCACCACACUCUAUUCCACAUAUAGUGCUAUAUCCAUGGCUCACGCUCAUGUAUUGUGUGAUAGUUAUAAAAGGUUUGAGAAAGUAAGAGUGCAAAAACAAUUACUUGGCCAAUACCGGGGUUGUGCAUGAUUUAAAUUAGUUGUGUGAGGAUGAUGGAGCAUAGCCAGACUAUAUGAUUUUGUAGGGUUAACUUUCUUUGGCCUUGUUAUUUUGAAAGUUCAUGAUUACCUUGCUAGUUUGCUUGAAGUAUUAUUGUUCUCAUGUCAAUAGCAAACUAUUGUUUUGCAUCUUAUGGAUCUGAACAUUCAUGUCACACGGAAGAAGUUGCAAAGGACAACUAUGCUAGGUAGCAUUCCACAUCAAAAAUUCAGUCUUUAUCACUUCCCUACUCGAGGACGAGCAGGAGUUAAGCUUGGGGAUGCUUGAUACGUCUCCAACGUAUCUAUAAUUUUUGAUGGUUUGAUGCUAUUAUCUUGUCAAAAUUUGGAUGUUUUGUAUGCCUUUUAUAUCUUUUUCUCUUGGAUCUUCAAUACAAAGUUCUCCAUGAUCUUCAAUACAAAGUUCUCCAUGAUCUUCAUGGAGAUGUAUCCGAUGUAAUCUUCUUUUGCGGCGUGUUUGUCAGGAUCCGGUGAAUUGUGGAUUUAUGAUCAGAUUAUCUAUGAAUCUUAUUUGAGUUUCUUCUGAUCUCUCUUAUGCAUGAUUUCAUAUCCUUGUAGUUCUUUUCGAGUUGUGGGUUUUGUUUGGCCAGCUUGAUCUAUGAUUCUUGCAAUGGGAGAAGUGCUUGAUUUUGGGUUCAUACCGUGCGGUGACCUCACCCAGUGACAGAAGGGGUAGCUAGGCACGCAUCAUGUUGUUGCCAUCAAGGGUAAAAAGAUGGGGUUUUCAUCAUUGGUUCGAGUUUAUCCCUCUACAUCAUGUCAUCUUGCUUAAGGCGUUACUCUGUUCGUAACUCAAUAUACUAGAUGCAUGCUGGAUAGCGAUCGAUGUGUGGAGUAAUAGUAGUAGAUGCAGAAAGUAUCGGCCUACUUGUCUCGGAAGUGAUGCCUAUAUGUAUGAUCAUUGCCUUAGAUAUCGUCAUGACUUUGCGCGGUUCUAUCAAUUGCCCGACAGUAAUUUGUUCACCCACCGUAAUAUUUGCUAUUUUGGGAGAAGCCUCUAGUGACUAUGGCCCCCGGGUCUACUCCACACCAUAUUUUCAGCCUUACUCUUUCUCUUCGUUGCACUUAAUUUCCGCCUUCAGAUCUCACUUUGCAAUCAAUCUUGAAGGGAUUGACAACCCCUUUAUAGCGUUGGGUGCAAGCUCUUUUGUGUUUGUGCACGUACUCUAGACUUCACGAGAUUCUCCUACUGGAUUGAUACCUUGGUUCUCAAACUGAGGCAAAUACUUACUGCUCCUAUGUUGCAUCACCCUUUCCUCUUCAAGGGAAAAACCAACGCAAGCAAGUCUCCGUCAACGUGUCAAUUUAUGGCGCUCUUGUUUGAGAAGUAGCAGAAGGAUGGGUUUGAACCGAAACCUAGUCUCGAAGGAUGUUGAGGUUGGGUGGCGGGUGGGUUCAAUUUUUGGAUUCUCAUUGGAUGUGCUCUUGCGAAUUCGGUCGCCGCGUCCUUGAUGGGACCGCGUACCGAACCAGCCACCAGCCUUGAAUUGUUCCCGGAGCUCGAUGGAAGCUCGGGGUUGUCGAGUUUGUCCGGGCGAUCGGCGACUGGGACGUGUAUUGUUCUUAGUUCCUAUGAAUGGUACGAGGAGCCCUUGACUGGGCAUUCGACAAUACUAACCAGAUGCGUGAUGGGCGGGAUGGGGAUUUUCUGCCGUCGGGUCUAAUCCCGAUCCGUUCAUAGAUCAUACCCUGACUGUUAGUCAUGCCCAAGACUUGGAUCAGGUCGAGUAACUGUGCAAUGUUGAGGUUUCGGUGGUGCUCGCGCCGCUUGUGUGCUCGGGGGUGACUGGUGUCCCUAAUCCCUUAGUGAUACUUGAGAUCACCUUUGUGAAGAGCUUGGCUGACGCGAGUUCGGACGCCCCGAGCCUAUCGGGCUUUAAGGCCGGAUCAGGGAUGAGUUUUGUCUCGAAGAUCGGAUUCACCGUCUAGGAGGACAAAGCGUCGAGGUAUGCGCACUCCUUCAAUGGAGCGGAGAGCCCUGUUAACACAAGGUCUCCCCGGGGGUCGGUGGUGAACUCUAGGCGCCCAACCUGACUUCCUAACCGAGGGUGAAAUUUUUGAUCUGACCGAGGUGGCCGAUCGAAUCGGCAUGGAGAACGAUGCUUCUGAACGCGAAGAUUUGUCCCGGGACAAACAAGUCCCUGUUGCAGACCUCCUCGCUGAUCACCAGACGUGCCAUCAAACCUUAUGGUGAUCCCGUAGUGGAACUCUCAAUGAAAGAACCAAUGUUGGUGUCAAAACCGGAAGAUCUCGGGUAGGGGGUCCCGAACUGUGGACCUUGGAUCGAUGAGUUGUAGGAAGAAGGGGGAGACAAUGGUUUACCCAGGUUUGGCCCUCCUAUGGAGGUAAUACCCUGCGUCCUGCUUGAAUAUAUUGAUGAAGAUGAUUAAAGAGUAGAUCUACCUCGAGACCGUAUAUGCUAAACCCUAGACGAUUCAGCCCUUUCUACGUGGAUAGGGGUCCCUGGUUUAUAUAGACACUAGGGACCCUAGGGUUUACAAGUUACCGACUAUCAGUCGGGGACCGAUGAGCCGACCUAGUCCUUCUAAGCUUGGAGUACAAACCGGUCCUUGGAGCCUUCCUUCCUGUGUACAAAGUUGUCAAUUAUCCGGAAACUGAUGAUUCGGUCCAUGAGCCCGCACCCCGAGGACCCCUUAAUCCAGGACUCCCUCAACUGGUGGCGCGAGGGGAAUUCCGGUGCCUUCACUCCGGUAGUUGUUUAGGUUAGGUUUUUUAGUCCAUGCGGUGUUUAGGCAGAUGGUGGCGCUUCUUUUUUGAGUUUAUCUUUGGGUAUUCGGUCGUGCUCAAGUUCAUCCAUCUGGACUUAGUCGACGGAGCACCGGCGUAGAGUGUUGUUGUUUUCUUGGAUGACAUGGUUAGGCUUUUUUAUCAUGCAUGAAUGACAACGAGAUUGUGACAGUUGCUUUAGAUCUAUUCAAGGGUUGAAUAAUGGCACUUGCGGCUCCAGGACGCUGGUCCUUAGGAGCAUGUGCACGAAGACUUUUGGCUGUAAUCGACAAGGUCAAAUUGGUUUGCUUUGGCGUGGUCAUUCGGUGGUCUACAAACCUCUGUGUAUUUUAAUUAUGUUUAAGGUGCUUUGUAUUUAUUAUGAACUUUAAUAAUAUGUUUGAAUCUUUUUUAGAGAGAAAGGUAUUAAUAGACAAAGAACAACUCUUGGUACGGUAGCCAAGCCGCAUGGAUGGUCCCAACGGAAACUCAUACAACUAAUUAAAAAAUCCACCCUAAGAGUAUCUUCAACCACGACUUGUAAAUUCAGGCCCUCAAACGCCUGUGUCAGUGACUGGGCGUGUCCCCUACUUGUCCAUCAAUGCAGCCACAUUCCUCAUUUUCUUCCUCAUAUGUUCGGUCAUUUGUACGCGAUUGAUGUAGAGGAAGAGAGAGAAGAAAAGAAUGAAUAAAGAAAAGAAAAAGGUGGUUCGGGGUGGGGUCACGUCUUAUGUGGCGCACUGACCGGGCGCGCCCGAGCUCGUCCAUGAGCCCUCAUAUCCUUCCCAUAUUUGAGAUGGAUAUGAGGGUUCGCGGACAGCCCGGACAUAUAGGGACGAUAUGAGGGGUCCGGUUGGGUCAUUUUUUCCUUUCUCUCUCAUGUUCGAUCACUGACCGGGCACAUCCGCGGACGUAUGAGGGGUCAUUUGAGGGGUCCCGCCGUAGAUGCUCUAAAUAUAAAAUGUAACACAAAAAUAACACCAUCUUUUUAUGAGUUAUAUACUGGUUUCAAUGUUGGUGGGUAAUAGAACACAUAUUGUUUCAUUUCAUGUUUACCGUGGCAUGACAUGCUUCUAAUUAGGCUACUUAAGCUUGGUGUUGUAAAGUGAUCUAAUAAGCAUACGUUGUAUGCAUCUAGGAUGUAGAGCAGUAGAGCCAUGGGUAAUGCAUUCUUCCAUUUUUAUAAGAACUGUUUUUGCGGAAUCUUUUCUUUUUACCCAUGUUACGUCGUUUCCUCUCACCUUCUGUUGAAUGUGUGGCACCAAAAGGCAAUAGAACUAUUGAUCAAGUGGCAGUGCAACUUCUAGUUUAUCUUUUUAUGUUAGUAACAAGCAACAUUUCAACCAUGGAAACUUUGUUGCAUGGAUUAAAGUUCUCGUGAGUCUAUCUCCGGGUAUUCUAUGCAGUAGCAUAGGUCUCAAUUAGGAUAAGCUGUUGUUUUGGUCAUAGAAAUUGAACCUAAUAUUAUGGAUCGUCGUCCAACCUUCGGCCUCUAUUGACAUGUCGACCACAAUGGUGUCAAGCAGCGGCGGUGCCAGCAAAAAAAGUUGUGGCUUCAAGUGCACUAAUCUCUUUAAAAUGUCCUAUUUUUGAGCAAUAACGGACAAAAAUAAAACUUGAAAAAACAAAAGUUGUGGGGCUAGUUGACCCCACACUUUACACAUGGAAUCACCCCUCGUGUCAAGUAUGCUUGGUUAAAGGUACUCCUCUUCCAUUUUUGCGCUCAUGGCCUUCUCCUUGAGAGAUUGGUGGCGAAGCGCGACUUUGGCAAUUUCUUUUCAAGUGAUGUGCCUUUGGUCACAAUGCAUGCUUUGAUCUUAGUUUUUCACCUGCUAGGUGGGUCAGUUUGUGCUUCUUUUCAAAACCUUUGAGGAUUGUUGUACGCAUGUUUGUUCUUCUCUGGUUUAUCCACCGAUUUUGUGGAAUGCAUAUAUGCAAAAGUGAAAGGCAUCUCGCCCCUGUGGUGUAUUUUGAUAAUUAGUGUCAACAUAUCUCAAGGGACCAAUGCUUUAACUAGCUUAUCUAAGGAAAGUCAUGUUUGAUUGCAACAAAUGAGAUGAAAGAUGACCACCACAAAUUCUCAUGAAGGCGAGUGUUGGACAAGCCAAGGACUUGCAUUUUCUCCAUUUUAGUGAUCCAGUAUCACGUUGAGUUCAUAGACAUUUUGAUACCAUGAAAAGGGAAUGAGGAUGUUAAAUUGAGUUUCUUUCUCUUUGUGCUUAAACACCAAACUUGAAUGCCCUCAAAAUGACUCCAUUCGUCCACUACAUCUACCUACACUUACGUAUACUUCAUAGAUGCCAAGCUCUUACUGUAGGAACCAUCAAGAAGUUCAUCCAGGUAUAACCGUUGCAAACCCUAGUUGUUUGGAGAUGCCAAGUAUUCCACUCAAACUUGCCACAACAGUUGACAACCUUUUGAUAUCGUGUCAGAAUUUUCGAAGCACUCCACGCAAAAUUUUCGAGCUCGUAACAGUGUGUCUCACUAGUGAAGUCAUUCAUUCAGGGCCUUCGAACACUAUCCGAUCGGACCAUCCAAGUUGUUUAAAAGUUCUUAACUUUAGCUAUAUUCGGUGAUUCUGAACUGGUCAUCAUAGGCCCUCCAAGCUAUGUUAAAUUGUGUUUAACAAUUAAAUUAUUGGUCUAACAUAUAAAUACCACAACACAUCACAUUAACUCACUCAAAGCAAACCCACUCAUAUCAUAUCUAUUGAGAGAGAACUUCACCUCUUUUGUGCUGAUUUCAAAGGGUUUUCUUCUCCAACCAUCAAGCCAUGUCUUUCUGAUAUAAUCUCUUCUUUGUUUUACGCUCCUACUUCUCCAAUCCAAUCGCCAUAUCUUGAGAGAGUUUGUUUGUGGACGAGAUUAUCUUUUGAAGCACAAGAGCAAUGGAUUCAUCACUAAGCAACCUCGGUAUUAUUACUUUGUAUGUGUGAAUCUCCUAGAUUGGCUACGUGCUUAACAUUCUUCUAGUGUGCACAGAAAUUAAGAAGUUUGUAAGAGCUUGAGAAUAUGCUUUAGUCACAUUAGUCAUUUAAUUAUAAGGCCUCUUAGAAAUCUAGGACCUCAUUUUUCAUUUUGCAUCAGGGCCUCGAAUUCCUGAAGACGGCCCUGUUGGCAUGUUAGGACACACCUAUCAAAGACAUAUGAUUUAUUUAGCGAAUAUUAGGGAAUAUGACUAGAUUGAACAAACAAAUAAAAGUAUGAUGAAGAUCCUAAUAUUAGGGAAUGUGACUAGAUUGUGAAUAAUCGCUACAUGGGGUUAUUUGGAAUCGGUGUCUCUAGUUUUCAACUUUUUGUAAGGUUGAUCAAGUGCCAUGUUCAUUAUGUAUGCCAUGCGAAGUAAAAAAAGACCUUUUGACUCCAUUAAAAAUCAUAGAACGUGUCUUUUCAACAUUAAGGUUGAGAUUAACUGCAACUUUCUUAAUUUUUUCUUUUAGAGAAAUGUCAAGGCUCACUUGGUGGUUACUAAAAUCCAAAGCAGUCGCGUGGCGGAAAAAGUCUAUUUUAAACCCUGAACUCAUAGAGGUUCGGUGAAGCAACCCCUCAAGUCGUAAACCCGGUUGAUUGCACACCGAUGUAUGCAAUUCCAGUCUAAAUCGAACCUUGACAUUCUUUGACUCAUAAAAACGCCGACAUGACAGGGAUUCGUCUGGUUGGUCAUCCAAAGCGUGCAUCCGUCCUCCGAAUAUGUGCUACUAGCCACUCGAGCUAAUCGUUAUGGGUGCUAUAAAGAAAGCGUGAUUUCUUUUUUAAAUCCCAGCGAAGUGGCACAUCCAAAUCAAUCUUUAUUUUUUUUAACGUUUCUCGAAAAUUUAGGGAAACAAUUAAAUGCCUAAUAUUGUUCUGAAAACGAAAAUAUUUUUGGAAUUCCAAUUCUUUUUACUCUGAACAUUUUUUUCAAAACUUGAACAGAUUUUGAAAUCCCAUACUUUUUUUAAUUUGUGUACAAAUUUUGAAAAUGGAAACAGUUUUCAAAAUUCCAAACAAAAUUAGAAAAUAUGAACAUAUUUUGAAAUAUACGAACAUAUUAGUAAAUCAUGACCUUUUUCCUUUUGUAAAUCUGGAUCACAACGUUCUUUUUCCAAUUUCUAGUUCUAAAAUGGCAAUGAAUUUAAGAGAGAAAAAGAAAGAAAAAGGGAGCAGGUGAACACAACAGGAACAUGGAGCUCUUGGGUUUGGAUCACUUUGCGUGCUUAUUUUUGCAGUUUUAAAGAAGAAGAAAAUUGCGCGUUUUGAAAAGGAAAAAACAUAAAACGGACCGGUCCAACGAGGAAUAGUGCCAAAUUGUGAGGAACUUGGGUCUCAUAUGCUAGAUAGGGUGAAUUGGGGAAACUGUGCUAGAGGAAUUCAAAUUACACGAGGAGUUCUCUUCUCUCUCUUCUCUCUCACUAUCCUAUCCACUCACACAAACAAUCGAGCCGCGAGUCCGCCACCCCUGGUUCGGUGGACAGACUUCGAUUAAGUAGUCGCACCCGCCUAGCGAGCCCAGUGCGGGCUUGCAAGCCAGUGGGGUAAAUUCCUGGGCCGAGUUGACUUGGGCCUUUUCGCUGGCGUCGCAUUCUUCUCGGCCUAGUCAUCAGCUUCCUUGGCCUUGUCUCUACCUCCAACUUCAGUGUUCGCCAGAGCCGUUGGUGGUUCACCGACAUCCCCCUCGUUGAGUAGUGGCUUGUCUCCAAGCCAUAGCCCGAGGGAACUGUUGUCGCAAGGACUCCAGAUCCUCCCAAGUAGCAUCAGCGUGUCUGGAAUCACUCCAUAGGAUCAGCCCCUACGCUACAGUCUUCUCACCAGCUUGGCGGACUCGAGUUUGCAGAACUUCCACUGCAACCUGCAGCUGAGAAGAAUCAUACGGUAGCUUUGUUUGAAAUGCAGUGGUCACGAAAACAACCUUCUUAAGCUGCGACACGUCAAAAACUAGAUGAAUAUUGCUUGUGGGAGGCAACAACACUUUAUAGGCCACUUAACCAAUUGUCUAUAAUCUGGUAAGGUCCAAAUUCCUUGAAGGAAAGCUUGUGGUUAACUCUACGUACAACAGUAGAUUGCACGUAGGGUUGCAGCUUCAGGAACACCAUCUCACCCACUACAAAACUUCUCUUAGUCAUGUGUUUAUCAGCCUGGUUUUUCAUUCUUUGUUGUGCACGAUGCGGAUGUUGAGAUACAAAGUCCAGCACAAUCUGCCUUUCUUGUAGCCAAUGAUUAAUGUCAUGAGCAGCAACAGUGUGAUCACUAGCAGAGAUGCCAAAAUACCUAGGAGGAUGGCCAUACAAGAUUUCAAAUGGGGUUUGCCAACAGAAGAAUGCCAAUUAGUAUUGUACCAGAACUCACACAUGGACAACCACUUGCUCCAUUAUGAGGGUGUGCGCUGAUGAAACUCGUGAGAUAGCAUUCCACUUGUUGAUUGACUCUUUCAGUCUGACCAUCAGUGGCACGAUGAUAAAUAGAACUCAUGUUGAGUUGUGUACCAGUUCUCUUAAUUAGGGUUUGCCAGAAAGCACUAGUGAAGAUAGGAUCCCUGUCAGAGACAAUGUAUUCUGGCAUACCAUGCAACUUAUAGACAUUGUCCAAGAAAAUCUCAGCAACUUUGGCAGUAGUGAAGGGAUGCUUAAGAGGCAUGAAAUGACCAUACUUGGUAAAUUUAUCAAUAACCACUAGGAUAAAGUCAAAGUGGCCUAAAAGAGGAAGUCCAGUAAUGAAAUCCAUGGUGACAUACUCCCAUGCUUUCUUAGGAACUGGUAGAGGUGACAACAGACCAGGGUAAUUCACUCUCUCUGGUUUAGCCUACUGACACGUGAAACAAGACGGCACUCUAUCCUUAAUGAAUUUUUCACCCCAACCCAUCUGAACAGAGAAUAAAUUCAGCAAAAGUGACUGGAAACCCUAAAUGACCUCCCAAUGGACUGUCAUGUGAUACUUCUCCAACGUCUUGAUAAUUUAUGAAGUAUUCAUGUCAUGCUUGCCUAUGUUCACAAUACUUUUAUAUGGUUUUGUUGCACUUUAUAUGAUUUAUUUAGAACUAACCUAGAAUGACGUUGUUCCUAGUAGAACUACCGUGGUGUUGUUUUUUGUGCAGAAAUAAAAGUUCUAAGACUUGGACGAAACUUUUUGAUGAUUUUUUUGGAAGAAAAGAAAAAUACUCGAGCAAAGAACCACCAAAGGGGGCCCGUUGUGCCCACUAGACACCAGGUCAUGCCAGCCCCCCUCGCGUGGGCUGAUGUCUAGUGGGAACCUCGUGGCCCAUCUUAGAGUGAUUCCAACACCCAAAAUCCUAUAAAUAUAGAAACCUCCAGAAAUAACCUUAGACGAGAAGUUCCACUGCCGUAGGCGUGUAUCGCCACGAAAAACCAAUCCAGAGACAUUCCAGUACCCUUCCGGAGAGAGGAAAUCAUCUCCGGUGGCCAUCUUCAUCAUCCCGACCGAGGCCAAGAGGAGGAGGGAGUAGUACACCCUCGGGGCUGAGGGUUUGUACCAGUAGCUAUGUGUUUAAUCUCUCUUUCUCUCUCUCUCUCUCGUGUUCUUGAGAUGUCAUGAUCUUUAUAUAUCACGGUCCUUGUUAAUAUAGUUGGAUCAUAUGGUGGUUGUCCCAUGCUAUUAUUGUGAUCAAUUAAAUCUUUCACUUUAAGAUCUCAUUAUGUUGGAUUGAAUAUUCAGGUUUGAGAGCACAUGAUAUAUGUCUUGCAUGCGGGUACCCAUAGUGACAUUGGGGUAUUCAUGUGAUUCACUUGAUAUAUGUUGUGGCAUCAACUCGCUGAUUCCCGAGGUGACAUUGGGGUAAUCUAGGCAUAGGGGUUGAUUGCACGUUUACAUACUAUGUUCUCCGAUAGAAAUCUUGGCCUGCUCCUUGAAGUUCUUUGUGUUGGAUUGAAUAUUAUGAAUCUGAACUUGUUAUGGUGUUAUUUUAGUACGAACUCUUGAUAGAUCGAUCGAAAAGGAAGGAUAACUUGUUAUCUUAGUAGGAACUCUUGGACCUAUUGAUAAACCUUAGGUCAUCCACUUGAGGGAAAUUUUAGUAUUUGGUUGCAGGGUUGUUUGAGAGAUACCAUCUUCAUCCUAUGCCUUCGACCAAUUGAUAAACCUUAGGUCAUCCACUUGAGGGAAAUUUUCUACUGUCCUACAAAACUCUAUGCUUUGAGGCCCAACACGAGUCUACAAGAACAAGUUGUGUAGUAGAAAUCAAGCUCUUUUAUGGCGUCGUUGCUUGCGAGGUGAGUGCUUGAAGGUAUAUCUUUAGACCUUGCAAUUAAAUAUAUUAGUUUUUUGUUUAUCACUAGUUUGGUUUAUAAAAAUAAAAUUACAAAAAUGGAAUUGAGGUGGUCUCAUAUUGUUCAUCUUUAUAAUGGCUUUCGUGAAAAUGAUGGAAAGGAGAAUUGUGCUCGACUGCUACAGGAAGAAACUAUGGAAAUGCUUAAUGUGAAUUCCUUGAAUGAUGAGCAUGAUAGAAAUAUUGUUAGUAUGAUUCUCUGAAUAUCCAUGAUAGAAAGAUCUUCGUAGAAUAUGUAGGAUCCAAUAUGUACAUCCAGGUCCCGCUAUUGGAUAUUAACCGGGGAGUGUCUCAGAUCAUGUCUACAUAGUUCUCGAACCCGCAGGGUCUGCACACUUAUGGUUCGGUGACGUUUCAGUAUAGUUGAGUUAUAGGUGUUGGUGACCGAAGGUUGUUCGAAGUCCCAUAUGAGAUCACGGACAUCACGAGGGUUUCUGGAAUGGUCCGGAAACAAAGAUUGAUAUAUAGGAUGGUUUCAUUUGGUCACCGGAAAGAUUUCGGGCAUUACUAGCACUGUACCGGGAGUGAUGAAUGGGUUCUAGGUUUUCACCGGGAGGGGCCCACCCACCCGGGUGUGAGCCCAAUAGUCCUAGGGUGGCGCACCAGCCCCUCCCCUCCUCCUAGAUAUACUAGAGGUAUUAGGGUUUUUGAGACACAACUUUGCCACGUGCAACUCAAACCUAUACCUCGUAGUUCUUCCUCUAGAUCGGAUUUCUGCGGAGCCCUGCAGGAAUAGAUCAUCACCAUCACCGGCGCGCCGUCACGCUACCGCAGAACUCAUAUACUUCCCCGUCUCUCUUGCUGGAUCACGAAGGCGGAGAUCGUCAUCGAGCUCUAUGUGUGCUGAACGCGGAGGUGCCGUCCGUUUGGUGCUAGAUCGGGACGGAUCAUGGGACGACGGUGAUUUGAAUCACGAAGUUGUACCACUACAUCAACCGCGUUAACGCUUCCCGCUUAGCGAUCUACAAGGGUAUGUGGAUCCGAUCUCCCUCUCAUAGAUGAACAUCACCAUGAUAGGUCUUCGUGUGCGUAGGAAAUUUUUUGUUUCCCAUGCAACAUUCUUCAACAGUGGCAUCAUGAGCUAGGUUCAUGCGUAGAUGUAAUAUCGAGUAGAACACAAAAGUUUUUGUGGGUGUUGAUGUUCGAUUUGCUGCCCUCCUUAGUCUUUUCUCGAUUCGGCGGUAUUGUUGGAUUGAAGCGGCCCGGACCAACAUUACUCGUACGCUUACGAGAGACUGGUUUCAUCAACCAACAUGCAACUCAUUGCAUAAAGAUGACUGACGGGUGUCGGUUUCUUCAACUUUAGUUGAAUUGGAUUUGACCGAGCCGGUCCUUGGAGAGUGGUUAAAUAGCAAUUUGCACAUCUUCGUUGUGGUUUUUGCGUAAGUAAGAUGCGAUCGUACUAGAUACCCAUAGCAGCCAUGUAAAACAUGCAACAACAAAUUAGAGGACGUCUAACUUGUUUUUGCAGGGUAUGCUUGUGAUGUGAUAUGGCCAAAGACAUGAUGUGAUAUAAUGGAUGUACGAGAUGAUCAUGUUGUAAUAGUUAAUAUCGACUUGCACGUCGAUGCUACGACAACCGGCAGGAGCCAUAGGGUUGUCUUUAAACUAACGUUUCUGUUUGCAGAUGCGUUUACUAUAUUGCUAGGUUGUAGCUUUAGUAUUAAUAGCGUAGAUAGCACGACCACCUCGAUGGCGGCACGAUGAUGGAGAUCACAGUGUGGCGCCGGUGAAGAUCAAGAUCAUGCCGGUGCUUUGGUGAUGGAGAUGAAGAAGCACAAGAUCAUGGCCAUAUCUUGUCACUUAUGAAUUGCAUGUGAUGUUAAUCCUUUUAUGCACCUUAUCUUGAUUAGAACGACGGUAGCAUUAUAAGGUGAGCCCUCACUAAAAUUUCAAUAUAAAAUUGUGUUCUCCCCGACUGUGCACCGUUGCAACAGUUCUUCGUUUCGAGACACCACGUGAUGAUCAGGUGUGACAGACUCAACGUUCACAUACAACGGGUGCAAAACAGUUGCACACGUGGAACAGUCGAGUUAAACUUAAUGAGCCUAGCAUGUGCAGACAUGGCCUCGGAACACAAGAGACCGAAAGGCCGAGCAUGAAUCGUAUAGUUGAUAUGAUUAGCAUAGAGAUGUUUACCACUGAAACUAUACUCAACUCACGUGAUGAUCGGAUUUGAGUUAGUGAAUUUGGAUCAUGCCACACUCAAGUAACUAGAGGGAUGUCUAUUUGAGUGGGAGUUUAUUAGUAAUUUGAUUAGCUAAUCUCUAAUUAUCUUGAACAUAGUCUAAGUCCAUUUUGCAAUAUUUUAUAUUGUAGAUCAAUGGCUCACGCAGUAGCAACCCUGAAUUUCAAUACGUUCCUAGAGAAAGCUAAGCUGAAAGAUGAUGGUAGCAACUUUGUAGACUAGGCUCGUAAUCUUAGGCUCAUCCUACAAGCUGGGAAAAGAAUUAUGUCCUUAAUGUUGCGCUAGCACAUGAACCACCCGCUACGUCUGACCAAGAUGUUUUGAACGCUUAACAAUCACGUAAGGAGGACUACUCGGUAGUUCAAUGUGCAGUAUUGUAUGGCUUGGAACCGGGACUUCAACGAUGCUUUGAACGUCAUGGAGCAUAUGAGAUGUUCCAGGAGUUGAAGUUUAUCUUUCAGAAGAACGCCCAGAUCGAGGGGUAUGAGACCUCCGAUAAAUUCUAUACUUGCAAGAUGGAGGAGAAUUCGUCUGUCAGUGAACAUGUGCUCAAAAUGUCUGGGUACUCAAACCGUCUAGUUGAGCUGGGGAUUGAACUCCCGCAAGAGGCUAUCACUGACAGAAUUCUUCAAUCACUGCCACCUAGCUACAAGAGCUUUGUGUUGAACUAUAACAUGCAAGGAAUGAACAAGUCACCCGACGAGUUAUCCGCGAUGCUGAAAGUCACAGAUUCAGAACUCCGGAAAGAGCAUCGAGUAUUGAUGGUCAAUAAGACCACUGGUUUCAAGAGAAACGACAAAGGCAAGAAGGGUAACUCCAAGAAGAGCGGCAAAACUGUUGCCAAUCCGACGAACAAACCCAAGGCUGGACCUAAGCCGGAAACAGAGUGUUAUAAUUGCAAGGGGAUGGGUCACUGGAAGCGCAACUGCCCCAAGUAUUUGGCUGAUAAGAAUGCGGCCUAUGCCAAACCAGGUAUAUGUGAUAUACAUGUUAUUGAUGUGUACUUCACCAACUCUCGUAGUAGUGCAUGGGUAUUUGAUACCGGUUCUGUUGCUCAUAUUUGCAACUCGAAGCAGGGACUACAGAAUAAACGAAGGCUGGCGAAGGAUGAAGUGACGAUGUGUGUGGGAAAUGGUUCCAAGGUUGAUGCAAUCGCCGUCGGCACAGUCUCACUUCCGUUACCAUCAGUAUUAGUUAUGAACUUAAAUAAUUGUUAUUUAGUGCUUGCGUUAAGCAUGAACAUUAUAUCUGGAUCUUGUUUAUUGCGAGACGGUUACUCAUUUAAGUCAGAAUAAUGGUUGUUCUAUUUUUAUGAGUAAUAUCUUUUAUGGUCAUGCACCCAAUGUGAGGGGUUUGUUCAUAUUGAAUCUUGAUUGUGUUGACACACAUAUACAUAACAUUCAAACCAAAAGAUGUAGAGUUAACAAUGAUAGCGCCACGUUUUUGUGGCACUGCCGCUUAGGUCAUAUUGGAGUAUAGCGCAUGAAGAAAUUCCAUACCGAUGGGCUUUUGGAGUCACUUGAUUUUGAAUCACUUGACACGUGCGAACCAUGCCUCAUGGGCAAGAUGACUAAGACUCCGUUCUCCGGAACAAUGGAGCGUGCAAGUGACUUGUUGGAGAUUAUACAUAUUGAUGUGUGUGGUCCAAUGAGUGUGGAGGCAUGCAGCGGAUAUCAUUAUUUUCUCACCUUCAAUGAUGAUUUGAGUAGGUAUGGAUAUAUCUACUUGAUGAAGCACAAGUCUGAAACGUUUGAGAAGUUCAAGCAAUUUCAGAGUGAAGUUGAAAAUCAUCGUAACAAGAAGAUCAAGUUCCUAUGAUCUGAUCGAGGGGGCGAAUAUCUGAGUUUCGAGUUUGGUGCUCACUUAAGACAAUGUGAAUCGUUUCACAAUUGACACCGCCUGGAACACCACAUCGUAAUGGUGUGUCCGAACAUCGUAAUCGUACUUUGUUAGAUAUGGUGCGAUCUAUGAUGUCUCUUACCGAUUAGCUGUUAUCGUUUUGGGGUUAUGCAUUAGAGACAGCUGCAUUCACUUUAAAUAGGGCACCGUCAAAAUCCGUUGAGACGACAUCAUAUGAGCUAUGGUAUGGCAAGAGGCCAAAGUUGUCGUUUCUUAAAGUUUGGGGAUGAGAUGCUUAUGUCAAAAAGCUUCAGCCUAAAAAACUGGAACCCAUUGCGGAAAAGUGCGUCUUCAUAGGUUACCCAAAGGAGACAGUUGGGUACACCUUCUAUCUCAGAUCUGAGGGCAAAGUAUUUGUUGCUAAGAACGGAGCUUUUAUUGAGAAGGAGUUUCUCUCGAAAGAAUUGAGUAGGAGGAAGAUAGUGUUGGAAUUAUGCCCUAGAGGCAAUAAUAAAUGUGUAGUUAUUAUUAUAAUUCCUGUAUCAAGACAAUAGUUUAUUAUCCAUGCUAUAAUUGUAUUGAAUGAAGACUCAUUUACAUGUGUGGAUACAUAGACAAAACACCGUCCCUAGCAUGCCUCUAGUUGGCUAGCCAGUUGAUCGAUGAUAGUCAGUGUCUUCUGAUUAUGAACAAGGUGUUGUUGCUUGAUGACUGAAUCACGUCAUUGGGAGAAUCACGUGAUGGACUAGACCCAAACUAAUAGACGUAGCAUGUUGAUCGUGUCAUUUUGUUGCUACUGUUUUCUGCGUGUCAAGUAUUUAUUCCUAUGACCAUGAGAUCAUAUAACUCACUGACACCGGAGGAAUGCUUUGUGUGUAUCAAACGUCGCAACAUAACUGGGUGACUAUAAAGAUGCUCUACAGGUAUCUCCGAAGGUGUUAGUUGAGUUAGUAUGGAUCAAGACUGGGAUUUGUCACUCCGUGUGACGGAGAGGUAUCUCGGGGCCCACUCGGUAAUACAACAUCACACACAAGCCUUGCAAGCAAUGUAACUUAGUGUAAGUUGCGGGAUCUUGUAUUACGGAACGAGUAAAGAGACUUGCCGGUAAACGAGAUUGAAAUAGGUAUGCGGAUACUGACGAUCGAAUCUCGGGCAAGUAACAUACCGAAGGACAAAGGGAAUGACAUACGGGAUUAUACGAAUCCUUGGCACUGAGGUUCAAACGAUAAGAUCUUCGUAGAAUAUGUAGGAUCCAAUAUGGGCAUCCAGGUCCCGCUAUUGGAUAUUGACCGAGGAACCUCUCGGGUCAUGUCUACAUAGUUCUCGAACCCGCAGGGUGUGCACACUUAAGGUUCGACGUUGUUUUAUGCGUAUUUGAGUUAUAUGGUUGGUUACCGAAUGUUGUUCGGAGUCCCGGAUGAGAUCACGGACGUCACGAGGGUUUCCGGAAUGGUCCGGAAACGAAGAUUGAUAUAUAGGAUGACCUCAUUUGAUUACCGGAAGGUUUUCGGAGUUACCGGGAAUGUACCGGGAAUGACGAAUGGGUUCCGGGAGUUCACCGGGGGGGCAACCCGACCCCGGGGGAAGCCCAUAGGCUUUGGGGAGACACACCAGCCCUUAGUGGGCUGGUGGGACAGCCCCAAGGGGGCCUAUGCGCCAAGAGAAAGAAAUCAAAGGAAAAUAAAAAAAAAGAGGGAAGAAGUGGGAAGGGAGGGGGACUCCUCCCACCAAACCAAGUCCAACUCGGUUUGGGGGGGAGUCCUCCCCCCCUUGGCUCGGCCGACCCCUUGGGAGUCCCUUGGACCCCAAGGCAAGGUUCCCCUCCCUCCUCCUAUAUAUAUGGGGCUUUUAGGGCAGAUUUGAGACGACUCUCUCACGGCUGCCCGACCACAUACCUCCAUAGUUUUUCCUCUAGAUCGCGUUUCUGCGGAGCUCGGGCGGAGCCUUGCUGAGACGAGAUCAUCACCAACCUCCGGAGCGUCAUCACGCUGCCGGAGAACUAUUCUACCUCUCCGUCUCUCUUGCUGGAUCAAGAAGGCCGAGAUCAUCGUCGAGUUGUACGUGUGCUGAACGCGGAGGUGCCGUCCGUUCGGUACUAGAUCGUGGGACUGAUCGCGGGAUUGUUCGCGGGGCGGAUCGAGGGACGUGAGGACGUUCCACUACAUCAACCGCGUUCUCUAACGCUUCUGCUGUACGAUCUACAAGGGUACGUAGAUCACUCAUCCCCUCUCGUAGAUGGACAUCACCAUGAUAGGUCUUCGUGCGCGUAGGAAAAUUUUUGUUUCCCAUGCGACGUUCCCCAACAGAUAGAACUUGAAGAGGUUGUAGAAACCUCUAGCGAGGUGACACCGGUUGAGGAGGAAGCUAAUGAUGAUUAUCAUGAAGCUUCAGAUCAAGUUACAAUCGGACCUCCCAGGUCGACAAGAUCACGUACUGCUCCUAUGUGGUACGGUAAUCCUGUCUUAUCUAUCGUGUUGUUAGACAACAAUGAACCUGCGAAUUGUGAAGAAGCAAUGGUGGGCCCGGAUUCCAACAAAUGGCUGGAGGCCAUGAAGUCCGAGAUAGGAUCUAUGUAUGAAACAAAGUGUGGACUUUGGAAGUAUUACCUGAAGGUCGAAAGGCUAUUCAGAACAAAAUUGAUCUUUAGGAAGAAGACAGACGCGUAUGGUAAUGUGACCGUUUAUAAAGCUCGACUUGUGGCAAAGGGUUUUUCACAAGUUCAAGGAGUUGACUACGAUGAGACAUUCUCACCGGUAGCGAUGCUUAAGUUCGUCCAAAUCAUGUUAGCAAUAGCUGCAUUUUUCAAUUAUGAAAUCUCUCAGAUGGGUGUCAAAACAGCGUUCAUUAACGGUUUUCUUAAGGAAGAGUUGUAUAUGAUACAACCCGAAGGUUUUGUCGAUCCAAANNNNNNNNNNNNNNNNNNNNNNNNNNNNNNNNNNNNNNNNNNNNNNNNNNNNNNNNNNNNNNNNNNNNNNNNNNNNNNNNNNNNNNNNNNNNNNNNNNNNGUGGCAUCAUGAGCUAGGUUCAUGCGUAGAUGUCUUCUUGAGUAGAACACAAAAGUUUUGUGGGCGGUGAUGUGCGUUUUCCUGCCCUCCUUAGUCUUUUCUUGAUUCCGCGGUAUUGUUGGAUUGAAGCGGCUCGGACCGACAUUACUCGUACGCUUACGAGAGACUGGUUUCAUCGCUACGAGUAACUCCGUUGCUCAAAGAUGACUGGCGGGUGUCAGUUUCUCCAACUUUAGUUGAAUCAGAAUUGACCGAGGAGGUCCUUGGAUGAGGUUAAAUAGCAACUCAUAUAUCUCCGUUGUGGUGUUUACGUAAGUAAAAUGCGAUCCUACUAGAUACCCAUGGUCACCACGUAAAACAUGCAACAACAAAAUUAGAGGACGUCUAACUUGUUUUUGCAGGGUAUGCUUGUGAUGUGAUAUGGCCAACGAUGUGAUGUGAUAUAUUGGAUGUAUGAGAUGAUCAUGUUGUAAUAGAAAAUAUCGACUUGCACGUCGAUGGUACGGCAACCGGCAGGAGCCAUAGGGUUGUCUUUAUAACUAACGUUUGUGCUUGCAGAUGCGUUCACUAUUUUGCUAGGAUGUAGCUUUAGUAGUAAUAGCAUGAGUAGCACGCCAACCCCGAUGGCGACACGUUGAUGGAGAUCAUGGUGUGGCGCUGGUGACAAGAAGAUCGUGCCGGUGCUUUGGUGAUGGAGAUCAAGAAGCACGUGAUGAUGGCCAUAUCAUGUCACUUAUGAAUUGCAUGUGAUGUUAAUCCUUUUAUGCACCUUAUUUUGCUUAGAACGACGGAAGCAUUAUGAGGUGAUCUCUCACUAAAAUUUCAAGACGAAAUUGUGUUCUCCCCGACUGUGCACCGUUGCUACAGUUCGUCAUUUCGAGACACCACGUGAUGAUCGGGUGUGAUAGACUCAACGUUCACAUACAACGGGUGCAAAACAGUUGCGCACGCGGAACACUCGGGUUAAGCUUGACGAGCCUAGCAUGUGCAGACAUGGCCUCGGAACACAUGAGACCGAAAGGUCGAUCAUGAAUCAUAUAGAUGAUAUGAUUAGCAUAGGGAUGCUUACCACUGAAACUAUACUCAACUCACGUGAUGAUCAGACUUGAGCUAGUGUAAGUGGAUCAUGAACCACUCAAAUGACUAGAGAGAUGUACUUUUUGAGUGGGAGUUUAGCGAAUAAUUUAAUUAAGUUAAACUCUAAUUAUCUUGAACAUAGUCUAAGUCCACUUUGAAUAUAUUUGUGUUGUAGAUCAUGGCUCACGCGACAGUCACCCUGAAUUUUAAUACGUUCCUAGAGAAAGCUAAGUUGAAAGAUGAUGGAAGCAACUUUGUAGACUGGGCUCAUAAUCUUAAGCUAAUAUUACAAGCUGGGAAGAAGGAUUAUGUCCUUAAUGCUGCGCUAGGAGAUGAACCACCCUCUACGGCUGAUCAGGAUGUUAAGAAUGCUUGGUUAGCACGUAAGGAGGACUACUCAAUAGUUCAAUGUGCAGUCUUGUAUGGCUUAGAACCGGGACUUCAACGUCGCUUUGAGCGUCAUGGAGCAUUUGAGAUGUUCCAGGAGUUGAAGUUUAUCUUUCAGAAGAACGCCCGGAUCGAGAGGUAUGAGACCUCCGAUAAAUUCUAUGCUUGCAAGAUGGAGGAGAACUCGUCUGUCAGUGAACAUGUGCUCAAAAUGUCUGGGUACUCAAACCGUCUAGCUGAGCUGGGGAUUGAACUCCCGCAAGAAGCUAUCACUGACAGAAUCCUUCAAUCACUGCCGCCAAGCUAUAAAGGCUUUGUGUUGAACUACAACAUGCAAGGGAUGAACAAGUCUCCCGGCGAGUUGUUUGCGAUGCUGAAAGUCGCAGAGUCUGAACUCCGUAAAGAGCAUCAAGUGUUGAUGGUGAAUAAGACCACUAGUUUCAAGAGAAACGGCAAAGUCAAGAAGGGUAAUUCGAAGAAGAACGGCAAGCAUGUUGCCAAUCCGACGAAGAAACCCAAAGCUGGACCUAAGCCUGAAACAGAGUGUUACUAUUGCAAGGGUAUGGGUCACUGGAAGCGCAAUUGCCCCAAGUAUCUGGCUGAUAAGAAGGCGGCCAAAGAAACAUCAGGUAUAUUUGAUAUACAUUUAUUGAUGUGUACUUAACCGGCUCUCAUAGUAGUGCUUGGGUAUUCGAUACCGGUUCUGUUGCUCAUAUUUGCAACUCGAAACAGGAACUGCGGAAUAGACGAAGGCUGGCGAAAGACGAAGUGACGAUGCGCGUGGGAAAUGGUUCCAAGGUUGAUGCAAUCGCCGUCGGCACAGUCUCACUUCAGUUACCAUCAGGAUUAGUUAUGAACUUAAAUCAUUGUUAUUUAGUGCAUGCGUUGAGCAUGAACAUUACAUCUGGAUCUUGUUUAUUGCGAGACAGUUACUCUUUUAAGUCAGAGAAUAAUGGUUGUUCUAUUUCUAUGAGUAACAUCUUUUAUGGUCAUGCACCCAAUGUGAGAGGAUUGUUCAUAUUGAAUCUUGAUAGUGAUACACACAUACAUAACAUUGAGACCAAAAGAGUUAGAGUUAACAAUGAUAGCGCCAUAUUUUUGUGGCACUGCCGCUUAGGUCAUAUUGGUGUAAAGCGCAUGAAGAAACUCCAUGCCGAUGGACUUUUGGACUCACUUGACUUUGAUUCACUUGACACGUGCGAACCAUGCCUCAUGGGCAAGAUGACUAAGACUCCGUUCUCUGGAACAAUGGAGCGUGCAAGUGACUUGUUGGAAAUCAUACAUACCGAUGUGUGUGGUCCGAUGUGCGUAGAGGCACGCGACGGAUAUCGUUAUUUUCUCACCUUCACUGACGAUUUGAGUAGAUAUGGUUAUGUCUACUUAAUGAAGCACAAGUCUGAAACAUUUGAAAAGUUCAAGCAAUUUCAGAGUGAAGUUGAAAACCAUCAUAACAAGAAGAUCAAGUUCCUACGGUCUGAUCGUGGGGGUGAAUAUCUGAGUUUCGAGUUUGGUGCUCACUUAAGACAAUGUGGAAUUGUUUCACAAUUGACACCGCGUGGAACACCACAGCGUAAUGGUGUGUCCGAACGUUGUAAUCGUACUUUAUUAGAGAUGGUGCGAUCUGUGAUGUCUCUUACCCAUUUGCCAUUAUCAUUUUGGGGUUAUGCAUUAGAAACAGCUGCAUUCACUUUAAAUAGGGCACCAUCAAAAUCCGUUGAGACGACACCAUACGAACUGUGGUAUGGCAAAAGGCCAAAGUUGUCGUUUCUUAAAGUUUGGGGAUGUGAUGCUUAUGUCAAAAAGCUUCAGCCUGAAAAGCUGGAACCCAAAGCGGAAAAGUGCAUCUUCAUAGGUUACCCAAAAGAGACAGUUGGGUACACCUUCUAUCUCAAAUCCGAGGGCAAAGUGUUUGUUGCUAAAAACGGAGCUUUUCUCGAGAAGGAGUUUCUCUCGAGAGAAUUGAGUGGGAGGAAGAUAGAACUUGACGAGGUUGUCGAACCUCUCAUCCCUCUGGAUGGUGGCGCAGGGCAAGGGGAAACCUCUGUCGUUGUGACGCCGGUUGAGGAGGAACUUAAUGAUGAUGAUCAUGAAACUCUGCUUCAAAUUUCUGUCGAACCACGCAGGUCGACGAGACCACGUGCUGCUCCAGAGUGGUACGGUAAUCCCGUCUUGUCAAUCAUGUUGUUAGACAAGAAUGAACCUGCAAAUUAUGAAGAAGCAAUGGUGGGCCCAGAUUCCAACAAAUGGCUAGAAGCCAUGAAGUCCGAGAUAGGAUCCAUGUAUGAGAACAAAGUGUGGACUUUGGAAGUAUUACCUGAGGUCCGCAAGGCUAUUCAGAACAAAUGGAUCUUUAAGAGGAAGACGGACGCUGACGGUAAUGUGACCGUUUAUAAAGCUCGACUUGUGGCAAAGCGUUUUUCACAAGUUCAAGGAGUUGACUACGAUGAGACAUUCUCACCCGUAGCGAUGCUUAAGUCCGUCAGAAUCAUGUUAGCAAUAGCUGCUUUUUUCGAUUAUGAAAUCUGGCAGAUGGAUGUCAAAACGGCGUUCCUUAACGGUUUCCUUAAGGAAGAGUUGUAUAUGAUGCAACCCGAAGGUUUUGUCGAUCCUAAGAAUGCUAACAAGGUGUGCAAGCUCCAGCGAUCCAUUUAUGGACUGGUGCAAGCAUCUCGGAGUUGGAACAAACGCUUUAAUGAGGUGAUCAAAGCAUUUGGGUUUAUACAAGUGGUUGGAGAAUCCUGUAUUUACAAGAAAGUGAGUGGGAGCUUUGUGGUGUUUCUAAUAUUAUAUGUGGAUGACAUAUUGCUGAUUGGAAACAACGUGGAGUUCUUGGAGAGCAUAAAGGAUUACUUGAAUAAAAGUUUCUCUAUGAAGGACCUAGGAGAAGCUGCUUACAUUCUAGGCAUUAAGAUCUACAGGGAUAGAUCAAAACGCCUGAUAGGACUUUCACAAAGCACAUACCUUGAUAAAGUUUUGAAGAGGUUCAAAAUGGAACAGUCCAAGAAAGGGUUCUUGCCGGUUUUACAAGGUACGAGAUUGAGUAAGACUCAGUGCCCAGCAACUGAUGAAGAUAGAGAGCAUAUGCGCUCCAUCCCCUAUGCUUCAGCCAUAGGUUCUAUCAUGUAUGCAAUGUUGUGCACUAGACCGGACGUCAGCCUGGCCAUAAGUAUGGCAGGUAGGUUCCAGAGUAAUCCAGGAGUGGAUCACUGGACGGCGGUCAAGAAUAUCCUGAAGUACCUGAAAAGGACUAAGGAGAUGUUUCUCGUGUAUGGAGGUGACGAAGAGCUCGCCGUAAAAGGUUACGUCGAUGCAAGCUUUGACACAGAUCCAGACGACUCUAAGUCGCAAACUGGAUACGUAUUUAUUCUUAAUGGGGGUGCGGUAAGCUGGUGCAGUUCCAAGCAGAGCGUCGUAGCAGAUUCUACAUGUGAAGCGGAGUACAUGGCUGCCUCGGAGACGGCUAAGUAGGGUGUCUGGAUGAAGCAAUUCAUGACGGAUCUUGGAGUGGUGCCAAGCGCACUGAAUCCAAUAACCUUGUUCUGUGACAACACGGGUGCCAUUGCCCUAGCAAAGGAACCACGGUUUCACAAGAAGUCCAGACACAUCAAACGACGCUUCAACCUCAUCCACGACUACGUCGAAGGGGAGGACGUAAAUAUAUGCAAAGUGCACACGGAUCUGAAUGUAGCAGACCCGCUGACUAAACCUCUUCCACGGGCAAAGCAUGAUCAACACCAGAACUGUAUGGGUGUUAGAUUUAUUACAAUGUAAUUCGCAUGAUGAUGUGAGGGCUAGAUUAUUGACUCUAGUGCAAGUGGGAGACNNNNNNNNNNNNNNNNNNNNNNNNNNNNNNNNNNNNNNNNNNNNNNNNNNNNNNNNNNNNNNNNNNNNNNNNNNNNNNNNNNNNNNNNNNNNNNNNNNNNGCCCUANNNNNNNNNNNNNNNNNNNNNNNNNNNNNNNNNNNNNNNNNNNNNNNNNNNNNNNNNNNNNNNNNNNNNNNNNNNNNNNNNNNNNNNNNNNNNNNNNNNNNNNNNNNNNNNNNNNNNNNNNNNNNNNNNNNNNNNNNNNNNNNNNNNNNNNNNNNNNNNNNNNNNNNNNNNNNNNNNNNNNNNNNNNNNNNNNNNNNNNNNNNNNNNNNNNNNNNNNNNNNNNNNNNNNNNNNNNNNNNNNNNNNNNNNNNNNNNNNNNNNNNNNNNNNNNNNNNNNNNNNNNNNNNNNNNNNNNNNNNNNNNNNNNNNNNNNNNNNNNNNNNNNNNNNNNNNNNNNNNNNNNNNNNNNNNNNNNNNNNNNNNNNNNNNNNNNNNNNNNNNNNNNNNNNNNNNNNNNNNNNNNNNNNNNNNNNNNNNNNNNNNNNNNNNNNNNNNNNNNNNNNNNNNNNNNNNNNNNNNNNNNNNNNNNNNNNNNNNNNNNNNNNNNNNNNNNNNNNNNNNNNNNNNNNNNNNNNNNNNNNNNNNNNNNNNNNNNNNNNNNNNNNNNNNNNNNNNNNNNNNNNNNNNNNNNNNNNNNNNNNNNNNNNNNNNNNNNNNNNNNNNNNNNNNNNNNNNNNNNNNNNNNNNNNNNNNNNNNNNNNNNNNNNNNNNNNNNNNNNNNNNNNNNNNNNNNNNNNNNNNNNNNNNNNNNNNNNNNNNNNNNNNNNNNNNNNNNNNNNNNNNNNNNNNNNNNNNNNNNNNNNNNNNNNNNNNNNNNNNNNNNNNNNNNNNNNNNNNNNNNNNNNNNNNNNNNNNNNNNNNNNNNNNNNNNNNNNNNNNNNNNNNNNNNNNNNNNNNNNNNNNNNNNNNNNNNNNNNNNNNNNNNNNNNNNNNNNNNNNNNNNNNNNNNNNNNNNNNNNNNNNNNNNNNNNNNNNNNNNNNNNNNNNNNNNNNNNNNNNNNNNNNNNNNNNNNNNNNNNNNNNNNNNNNNNNNNNNNNNNNNNNNNNNNNNNNNNNNNNNNNNNNNNNNNNNNNNNNNNNNNNNNNNNNNNNNNNNNNNNNNNNNNNNNNNNNNNNNNNNNNNNNNNNNNNNNNNNNNNNNNNNNNNNNNNNNNNNNNNNNNNNNNNNNNNNNNNNNNNNNNNNNNNNNNNNNNNNNNNNNNNNNNNNNNNNNNNNNNNNNNNNNNNNNNNNNNNNNNNNNNNNNNNNNNNNNNNNNNNNNNNNNNNNNNNNNNNNNNNNNNNNNNNNNNNNNNNNNNNNNNNNNNNNNNNNNNNNNNNNNNNNNNNNNNNNNNNNNNNNNNNNNNNNNNNNNNNNNNNNNNNNNNNNNNNNNNNNNNNNNNNNNNNNNNNNNNNNNNNNNNNNNNNNNNNNNNNNNNNNNNNNNNNNNNNNNNNNNNNNNNNNNNNNNNNNNNNNNNNNNNNNNNNNNNNNNNNNNNNNNNNNNNNNNNNNNNNNNNNNNNNNNNNNNNNNNNNNNNNNNNNNNNNNNNNNNNNNNNNNNNNNNNNNNNNNNNNNNNNNNNNNNNNNNNNNNNNNNNNNNNNNNNNNNNNNNNNNNNNNNNNNNNNNNNNNNNNNNNNNNNNNNNNNNNNNNNNNNNNNNNNNNNNNNNNNNNNNNNNNNNNNNNNNNNNNNNNNNNNNNNNNNNNNNNNNNNNNNNNNNNNNNNNNNNNNNNNNNNNNNNNNNNNNNNNNNNNNNNNNNNNNNNNNNNNNNNNNNNNNNNNNNNNNNNNNNNNNNNNNNNNNNNNNNNNNNNNNNNNNNNNNNNNNNNNNNNNNNNNNNNNNNNNNNNNNNNNNNNNNNNNNNNNNNNNNNNNNNNNNNNNNNNNNNNNNNNNNNNNNNNNNNNNNNNNNNNNNNNNNNNNNNNNNNNNNNNNNNNNNNNNNNNNNNNNNNNNNNNNNNNNNNNNNNNNNNNNNNNNNNNNNNNNNNNNNNNNNNNNNNNNNNNNNNNNNNNNNNNNNNNNNNNNNNNNNNNNNNNNNNNNNNNNNNNNNNNNNNNNNNNNNNNNNNNNNNNNNNNNNNNNNNNNNNNNNNNNNNNNNNNNNNNNNNNNNNNNNNNNNNNNNNNNNNNNNNNNNNNNNNNNNNNNNNNNNNNNNNNNNNNNNNNNNNNNNNNNNNNNNNNNNNNNNNNNNNNNNNNNNNNNNNNNNNNNNNNNNNNNNNNNNNNNNNNNNNNNNNNNNNNNNNNNNNNNNNNNNNNNNNNNNNNNNNNNNNNNNNNNNNNNNNNNNNNNNNNNNNNNNNNNNNNNNNNNNNNNNNNNNNNNNNNNNNNNNNNNNNNNNNNNNNNNNNNNNNNNNNNNNNNNNNNNNNNNNNNNNNNNNNNNNNNNNNNNNNNNNNNNNNNNNNNNNNNNNNNNNNNNNNNNNNNNNNNNNNNNNNNNNNNNNNNNNNNNNNNNNNNNNNNNNNNNNNNNNNNNNNNNNNNNNNNNNNNNNNNNNNNNNNNNNNNNNNNNNNNNNNNNNNNNNNNNNNNNNNNNNNNNNNNNNNNNNNNNNNNNNNNNNNNNNNNNNNNNNNNNNNNNNNNNNNNNNNNNNNNNNNNNNNNNNNNNNNNNNNNNNNNNNNNNNNNNNNNNNNNNNNNNNNNNNNNNNNNNNNNNNNNNNNNNNNNNNNNNNNNNNNNNNNNNNNNNNNNNNNNNNNNNNNNNNNNNNNNNNNNNNNNNNNNNNNNNNNNNNNNNNNNNNNNNNNNNNNNNNNNNNNNNNNNNNNNNNNNNNNNNNNNNNNNNNNNNNNNNNNNNNNNNNNNNNNNNNNNNNNNNNNNNNNNNNNNNNNNNNNNNNNNNNNNNNNNNNNNNNNNNNNNNNNNNNNNNNNNNNNNNNNNNNNNNNNNNNNNNNNNNNNNNNNNNNNNNNNNNNNNNNNNNNNNNNNNNNNNNNNNNNNNNNNNNNNNNNNNNNNNNNNNNNNNNNNNNNNNNNNNNNNNNNNNNNNNNNNNNNNNNNNNNNNNNNNNNNNNNNNNNNNNNNNNNNNNNNNNNNNNNNNNNNNNNNNNNNNNNNNNNNNNNNNNNNNNNNNNNNNNNNNNNNNNNNNNNNNNNNNNNNNNNNNNNNNNNNNNNNNNNNNNNNNNNNNNNNNNNNNNNNNNNNNNNNNNNNNNNNNNNNNNNNNNNNNNNNNNNNNNNNNNNNNNNNNNNNNNNNNNNNNNNNNNNNNNNNNNNNNNNNNNNNNNNNNNNNNNNNNNNNNNNNNNNNNNNNNNNNNNNNNNNNNNNNNNNNNNNNNNNNNNNNNNNNNNNNNNNNNNNNNNNNNNNNNNNNNNNNNNNNNNNNNNNNNNNNNNNNNNNNNNNNNNNNNNNNNNNNNNNNNNNNNNNNNNNNNNNNNNNNNNNNNNNNNNNNNNNNNNNNNNNNNNNNNNNNNNNNNNNNNNNNNNNNNNNNNNNNNNNNNGAAUUCUCUAUCGACCCUGAGUUAAUCACUCUGGUCAAAUCUGAUCCUUUUCAUGGUUAUGAGUCUGAAACGGUUGUAGCCCAUCUUAGCAAACUGCAUGAUAUAGCCACCCUAUUCACUAGUGAGGAAAAGAUCCGCCACUACUACAUGCUCAAGCUAUUUCCUUUAUCGCUAAAGGAUGAUGCUAAGACCUGGUUCACUUCUCUUGCUCCUGGUUGUGUGUGUAGCCCCCAGGAUAUGGUCUACUACUUCUCUGAAAAAUAUUUCCCUACCCAUAAGAAGCAAGCUGCCUUGCGGGAAAUAUACAAUUUUGCUCAAGCUGAAGAAGAGAGUCUCCCACAAGCUUGGGGGAGGCUUAUCCAGCUACUGAAUGCUUUGCCUGAUCACCCUCUUGAGAAGAAUGAAAUACUUGAUAUAUUCUAUAAUGGACUUGCCGAUGCUUCCAAAGACCACUUAGAUAGUUGUGCCGGUAGUGUUUUUAUGGAACGAACCGUAGAACAAGUUGAGAUUCUACUGAACAACAUCUUGUGCAAUGAGAAUGCUUGGACUAUUCCCGAACCACCUCCUAAGCCAACUCUGAAGAAAAGAGGUAUUCUAUUCCUCAGUCCUGAAGAUAUGCAAGAAGCCAAGAAAUCUAUGCGAGAGAAAGGCAUUAAAUCUGAAGAUGUCAAAAAUCUACCACCUAUCGAAGAGAUCCAUGGUCUCGAUAACCCGAUACAGGUAGUAGAAGGAAAUUCUCUGCGUAGGUUUGAUGAGAGUGAUAUUCCUUUUGAUAAACCUGCUAGCUUAUGCAUGGAUGAAUUUGAUAACUUUGUUGUCAAACAACAGAGUUUCAAUGAUUAUGUUAGCAAACAAUUGGAACAGAAUGCUCGUAUGCUUAGUCAUUUAAGUGCUUGUGUGGAUAGAAAUGUCAAUGAUCUUAAACUUGUGAGUAAACAUGCUUCUAUGGUUACUACUCAGAUAGAACAAGUACUUAAAGCUCAGAAUGACUUGCUCAAUGAGUUGAAUGACAAUUCCGUCAGAGUCGUCACUAGAGGCGGUAGAAUGACCCAGGAACCUCUGUAUCCUGAGGGUCAUCCGAAGAGAAUUGAACAAGAUUCUCAAGCAGUUAGCACUAGCAACCCAGUUGCUACUACACCUGAAAGUACAAACGAUGCCUCUGUCUCUGAUGCUGAAACGCAAUCUGGUGAUGAACAUGAGCAUAAUGAUAAUAUCAAUAGUGAUGUUCAUGUUGAUGCUCAACCUAGCAAUGAAAAGGAUGUAGAGAUUGAACCUAGUGUUGAUCUUGAUAACCCACAGCCUAAGAAUAGAAGAUACAAUAAGAAUGACUUCGCCGCUAGGAAGCAUGGUAAAUAAAGGGAGCCAUGGUUUCAGAAACGUGUGCCCUUUCCUCCCAAACCAUCCAAGAAAAAGGAUGAUGCGGAUUUUGAGCGAUUCGUUGAAAUGAUCAGAUCUGUCUUUCUGCAAAUGCGUUUGACGGAUAUGCUCAAGAUGUCUCCGUAUUCUAAGUACAUGAAAGAUAUUGUGACUAAUAAGAGGAGGAUACCUGAGAUUGAGAUUUCCACCAUGCUCGCUAAUUAUACCUUCAAGGGUGGAACUCCCAAGAAACUAGGUGAUCCCGGUGUGCCCACUAUACCUUGCUCCAUUAAAGGCAACUACGUUAGAACUGCGUUAUGCGACCUUGGAGCCGGUGUUAGUGUUAUGCCUCUCUCUCUUUAUCGUAGGCUUGAACUGGAUAAGUUGACACCCACUGAAAUCUCUCUGCAAAUGCUCGACAAACCAACUUCUUUCUCUAUCGGCAUUUGCGAGGAUGUGCAUGUUGUGGUUGCUAACACCACUAUCUUAACAGACUUUGUUAUCUUGGAUAUUCGUGAGGACGAUGCCAUGACUGCCAUCCUCGGAAGACCCUUUUUAAACGCUACAGGGGCUGUUAUAGAUUGCAACAAAGGCAAUGUCACUUUCCAUGUCAAUGGUAAUGAGCAUACGGUACACUUUCCGAAGAAACAAUAUCGAGUACAUUGCAUCAAUGCUAUCGAAAAAACUUCAUCUAUUCUUAUUGGGAGCUUUGAAUGCCCUAUUCCUCGUGUCAAGAUGAAGUAUGAUUUGCUUGUUGGGGAGAUACACAUCCCCAUUGAGGUGACCUAGUGACUAUUCUAAAAUUCUCCGUCUUCUUUAUCGAUUCGAAAAGGUUUUGUCGAGGGGAUUUGAUCAACCCCAUUGACGGAUUUCUUUCGAUGACCAUGUAGCGACCCGACUCAAAACGAGUCAAGCCUCUGUGUUUCUGUGCCAUCCCUGGAUCAGUAUGCUGGCACACACAGUACAUCAAUGUAUAUAUCAAAGUGCAAUCACAUGUAAAUAGCGUAAAACUGAUAUAUACCUUUAAUAUUUCAGCGGAAGCAGUCAAGGGAGUGGAGUCCCAAUAAACACCAACGGCAAGUUGAGUGUAGACCGUAACCCUGAAUCGUACUCUUACUCGUCUAAGAAAAAAUAUCUGCAACAUAAGAUGUUGCAGCCGUGUAGGUCAGCAUAUUGAAUAUGCCGGCAAGUCACAUAAGAGAGGGGUGAAAAGUAAUCAUCUAUACUAUAUGCAUAUAUGGCAGGUGGGGCUAUAAGAUUUUAGCGAAAAGCAAGUUUUCUCCUACAUCAAGAGAGGGCUAAAAGCAAAAUGUUACUACAUUGUUGGUUGUUAACGAGAUGGUUCCACCAACCAGUUCUCGCACCCAUGUUGUCAAUAAUACCCACAUCAAUAUUAUUAUUUGUGUUGAGAAUUUCAGAUAACUUCAGUUCUUUUGGCUCAAGUUGUCCAUGACCGUGGACACGGCUAAUCGAUUAGGUUUGAGUACUCUGGGUCCUCGCACUUCAGGGUGUUUGAAGACCGGAUGAUCAAAACAUGGUCUUUCAACGGGUCCCUCUGAAUCCCUGUCGGUGCCCAUCCAUUCCUACCGUUCUUCUACAUCUGCUAGCACCGCCUGUCCAGAGUCACCGCAUUGUCCAACCAAGCCAGAGCCCAUAAUGACUUGUGAUUGUGCACGUAAGCCUUGGGUCUUGAAAAUAUCCGUCCGUCUCUUUGAGCCUGGGUGAAGCUUUCCGCAGGAUGUCAUGGCUGUCUCCAGCAUCCCGGGUCAUCCGCUGGGUUCUCCAGGGAGCCGAUCAACCGUCCUUCACCCAGAGUUGCAUUGCGUCCGAGGUCUUGAAAAUAUUGUCUUAACCGGUCUUGAUUAUUUAAUCAACCUCGCAUCACUCGUGUUAUGCACUCAACCGAAAUCCCGUCUACUCAAGCAUAGCAAUAUGAAAUUUGUCGUCCCGGGGCCAAGUAUCGGGGUUGUUGGGUGCCUACCACAUGAUACUACAACCUAUACUAAAAUUUCCAAGUACCUAAGCAGCAUGCAAUUUGGGCAUAGGAUGGUAGAACUACGAUGCAUAAAACAUAGGUGAUAGUAUGAUCAAAGUGACUUGCCUGGUGAUGUUGACGAAGAAGAAUUUCUCGAGAAAUAACUUGAUAGACUACUCGUCACUCUCCGAUAAAAUCAAUAUAACAAACAUAUCAUUCACAUAAGCACUCAUACUAGCAAUCAUUCUAGCAAUCAAAACAAAAGAGAGAGCGAAUAGGAAUGCGAAGGAAACUUCAAAUAAGACUAGGGAGUCUUCUACUACAUCAAACACUAAAUAGUUUUUGUCCAACGGAAAAUAAUAAAAGGGAACUAAGAUAUAAGUUUAACUAAGAUAAAAUAAAGUAUUUUUCACAAAACUAUUUGAAAGUAUUUCCAAACGGGAUUUGAAACGGUGGAGAAACCCAUUGCAAGUUAUUAGGGAACUAGAAUUGAUUUCAUGAUAACAUAUACAAAUAAAAUCAAAACUUGUUGCAAACCUACUAUUAACUAACAGAAACUAAACAUAAUCUUCGUGAAAUAAUAAAGAAAAUAAUUUAAAAACAAUUAUAGAAAAGGAAAUAGCCAAAAUCCUAAAAGAGGUGAAACAGAAAUUGUUUCCCAAGAAACAAUGAGCUAAGAUACUCAAAUAAUUCUGAAAUUUUUACCACUGAUAACUAAGAUCACUAGUGAUCAGUAGGAAAAAGAAUCAAAUUAAAAUCUAUUCUUAAACUCCUGGAAUAGGCAAAACAAGAUUUAAACUAAAUCUGAUCUAAUUCAAAUUCGCAAAUUUCAAACAAAUUAUAUGUUUUUAAAAACUACAGAAACAUUUUGAUCUACUGGAAAAAGAAUCAACUCCAUUGGACUUAAGGAUCAAAAGUUUUGGGCUAAACAAAAUUGGAACUUUCUCUGUUUUUGAAUUAAACAGAAAAAGGAAAAUCUGAAUUCUAUCAAACACUUGUACACGUGGCGCUCACUGAUUGGAUGAGGAGGUGUGUGCUGCGAGAAGUACUAGCACAUGGCCGAAAUCUAAUAAAAUCUCCCUCGGCUGAUAUUAACUAAUUGAAAACCGGCUCAGUUUUGUUAAAAAGACCGAAAGGGUAUCCUUACUCUAAUCUAUACCGUCGACUAAGAUCUAACGGAUGAAAACAAGGGGGGAGAGCUCACCGUGGCAGGAGGUUCUCCGGCGAUGGCCGAGGCGGAGAGGAGUCGGGGAAGCGGCUCCGGUGACCCUCCGGCGGUGGCGACGGGUCGGAGAGGCGGCGGCGAGUCCCCUCCGGCGUUUGGUGGCGGUGGCUAGGCCAGGGAGGCGACGGUGUGACCCGGGGAGGCUCGGGGUGGCCGGGUGGAGCUCGGCUCCGGUGAGGUGGCGGGGCGAUGCUGCGGUGGCGGGGAGCUCGGGUUGGUUGGGGAAACGAGGUGCGGCGGAGCUCCCGCGUCCGGUGGUGGUGGCGGCGAGGCGAAACGGGGUCGGGGUGAGUUGCGGGGCAAUGGGCAGCUUUGGCUCCGGCGAGGGCUCGGCAGGGGCGGCGGAGCUUGGGCAGGGGCGGCGAGGAUGGGGAACGGGGCGAGGGGAGGGGUCCAGGGUGUGGCCUUUAUAGGGGAGAGGGGGCGCCGAGGAUGGAAGGAGAUCGGGGGAGGGGGAUCGGCUCCGGCGAACUUGGAAGGAGCUACCGCUCGGGAAGGUAAGAGAGGGAGGGAAAGGAAGGGGGUGACCGAGCGGGAUUCGGUCGGCCAGGGGGGUCCCAUGCGGCAGGGAGAGGGGUUCUAGGGGGGGCUCGGUCGGUCGGCCGAUCCGAAGGGAUUUCGGAUCCCGGGUCAGGUGGGAUUCGGCCCAACUCUUAAAUGCCUCCCCCGCCGGUUUCCUUUUAAAAAAAAAAUUCAUGUUUUAGUUUUUUUCAGAAACAGAAACUGUAACAAAUAAAAAGGCAACGAACAAAAAUAAUUAAUAUAGGGUAUUAUAUACCAAAAAAAUCAGAAAAAUAUCCUCUACUCGAUUAACAUUUUUCCAAGGCAAAAAUAAAAACUUUUAAAAAAUGUUUUUUCAGAAAAUCCCCUAAAUGCUUUAUUUUCUUUUGGCAAAAUAUUUUCCCCAUAAACUUGGGUUUUUCUUGGCUCAAAUAUUUUCAAAAGUGCCUCACAUUUUGGAGGGUCAUUUUCCUCCGCUCUUUCUUGCUUGCAAGAAAUUAUUUCCCGGCACUUCUUGCAAGAAGAAAAUAAAUAGAAAUGCAAAAGAAAAUUUUGAAAGAAUUCAAAUGCAAAUCUCCGUUCAAAUUCUUUAUAGUUGAAGAAGUCACGUCAUCUUCUCUCUUUGCUUUUAACUGAUUGAAUUUGAAUUCACCGGAGAAGGGGAAAGUCAUUUUAUUCCCUCUCAUUCAAAAGUUUUGAAAAGUUUCAAAUUUCACUCAAGUUUCAAUCACUCAAUCAAACAAACAAUCAUUCUAAUAAUUAUUUUAACAUUCCAAAAUUUGGGAUGUUACAAACCUACCACACUUAAAAUGAAUCUCGUCCUCGAGAUUCGAAGAGGCUAGAAAGAAAUGUUAGGGUUUGGGGGUCUUCUAGCAAUUCCAACUUCCGGCAAGGUGGGAUGCUACCACACUUAAAAUGAAGAUUACUGGUCCCUUAAGGUUUUAACAAUCCUCUGGGGUUUUGGCAUCUGACUCCUCACAGUCUUCAUAUUAAAUCCUUUGGUGAUGCUCUCCCGUUAUAUUCAUAACGAUUUCCAUCAAAAUCGUGUGCUCUUCUGUUGAUAUAAGCUUCUUCCGUCACUGGGUCUUCUUAACUGACAGUCUCGUCGUCAAUUCUAAAUAACAUAUCGAUGGUUCUCAUGGUGGUCUACCAUUUGUGGUUAUCCUGCAGAGAGAGGGGUCUUGGUUUCAUCCUCACCGUAAAAUUUCUUACGCGUGACAACAAAUGCCAUGCACAUGGGGCUUUCAUUAUACCAUUCUAAGGCUUAAACAAAAGCUUCAAAGAACGUCUUCUCUCACUAUGGGUAAGUCUCUCAGAUUUAACAUUCUGAAUAGCAAGAGAUGAUAAUAGUAAGUCGUCAUGGUGGCCAAGCCAUGUCGCACUGAAAUCAUUACCUUGUAUAAGGCUUAGCGAAUCUCGCAUUCUAACACUUGGGCAUCCUCACAAGCGUUGCAGAGUUUCUUGUCCACGAACGAAGUUCGGAUAAUCCAUUGGUUCUGCAAGCUGAACGAAACAUCUAUUGUAUCUUCACAACUCUCAGGUUUUCGUAUGCUCCUAAGAAAACGUUUCCUGAUCCAUCAUAGCUUCUUCCAUAAAUCAUAUUCAUUUCAUAAAUCAUAGAAUCACUAAAAAUUUCAGAAAGUUUCAGAGAUAGAAAAGGGAAAGAUGAGGAGGUUCUGAAGAGGCUCGUCAAGCCGUGACCCCAAGGAUGAUGGGAUUGAGAAGAAGCCCAAGUAUUUGGUCCCUCGAGUCGCAGAAGUUCGAGCGUGCGAGUGGCCAAGCGAUGUGUUCUUACGCGCCGCUGGAAUAUAUGGGGACUUUUAUCACUUGGUGGAGAACGCAGGCCUUACCGCCUUCGUUGAAGAUAAGUGUCCGCAAUACCUCCUCCUCACUAAUAUGUUUGUACAAAGCUUUAACUUCUAUCCGAGAAAGAAUCCUCCUAUGGUUGAGUUUAAACUUUAUGAUAUCCCCCAGCGCAUGUCACUCCAGGAUUUUUGCAAUGUCUGCAAAUUACCUUACGUUGGGGAUAUUCAUGAACCUCGUCCACGGGAUCUGGAAGCUUUCAUCGGUACUAUUGUGGUAGGAGAGGAGAGAGAGGAGUGUCUUGUGCUAGAGCUGCUAGCAUACAUUUUCCUGUGCUUCGGUACUUCUCACUAUUUGUGGGAAAAUGUUUGAUUGGCCGUGGGAAGGCUGGGUCACUUAGUUCCCCAGAUCUUGCGGUCUUGCAUGAAGCCCUUUAUAACGAUAAAACUUAUAGCUUGGGUGCUAUAGUAGCUCAACGGUUGAACCUGAACCAUUCUAAGUGUGUUGUCUAUGGAGGUAUCUAUGCUACUCGUCUUGCUAGACACUUUGAGAUACCUAUUAGACUAGAGGAGGAAGAAGAGAUUCUUCUUCCCGAAAGAUAUCUAGAUUACGAUAGCAUGGUUCGCCAUGACUUUCUUGAUAGAGAUAUAAGUAGAAGGAUGAUUUAUAACCUGGUAUUUAGUCAGGGUACUCGUGAGACUAUUACUUUGCCUGUUCCUUAUUUGUUCAAUCUUCAUGUAGGCAGGUACAUUAUUAUGCCCUCGGACAUCUACGUAUAUUGGGGCUUAGCCCAACCACAGGUGCCCAUGCCCGAGCCGCCAAUUGAGUACCAGACGCCAGUUUAUCAGUGGGAGCCAGAGGAGCUGACACAGCAGUGGCAUCCUCAAUCCACUCCGGAGUACCCCGGAGAUGGUUAUUUCACUCCUUGGGAGUAGACCAACUUAGGCCAAAAGCCUAAGCUUGGGGGAGUACGUGUUCUCACCGACUUUACAUUCUUGCUUAUGCUUUCACUUUGUUAGCCUGUGUUCACACUUUGCCACUGUAUCAUCCAUGCUAGUUUAUUUUCUUUUUCUCGUUUUCUUUUCGUGUGUCUGUCUAGUUUGAGAAAAAAAAGAUUUUCUUUUUCUUCUUUUGCUUGUUGGGAGCUUUCCCAUGUAGAUAGUUUUCUUUUUCCUUGGGUCAAGGUAGAAGAUAUUGGUUACAAUGUUUAGGGGCUCUUGAAUACGUACCUGUUUAGCUUUCAAAGAGCCAUAUUACUUUGUCUUAUCAUUUGUGUUUGCCUGCAGAUUCUAGCAUAGUCCAAUGCACGUGCACGCUUAUUAUUGUUCACAUCGUUCGGUCAUGCAACUGAAAGGCAAUAAUGACGAUAUGUGAUGAAGUGACUGAGCCUGGAAAAGCUGGUAGGAACUGAUGACCAACAAGUAUAGGGGAUCAAUCGUAGUCCUUUCGAUAAGUAAGAGUGUCGAACCGAACGAGGACCAGAAGGAUCUGACAACUGGUUUUCAGCAAGGUAAUAACUGCAAGCACUGAAAUUAGCGGUAACAAGUGAUGGUGUGGUGAGGUGAAACGUAGCAGGUGAAAAGUAACAAGUAACAAGUAAUAGCAACGGUGCAGCAAAGUGGCCCAAUCCUUUUUUUAGCAAGGGACAAGCCUGGACAAAGUCUUAUAGGACGAAAAACGCUCCCGAGGACACACGGGAAUUUCUGUCAUGCUAGUUUCAUCAUGUUCAUAUGAUUCGCGUUCGUUACUUUGAUAGUUUGAUAUGUGGGUGGACCGGCGCUUGGGUACUGCCCUUACUUGGACAAGCAUCCCACUUAUGAUUAACCCCUCUCGCAAGCAUCCGCAACUAUGAAAGAAGAAUUAAGACAACGUCUAACCAUAGCAUUAAACUAGUGGAUCCAAAUCAGCCCCUUACGAAGCAACGCAUAGACUGGGGUUUAAGCUUCUGUCACUCUAGCAACCCAUCAUCUACUUACUACUCCCCAAUGCCUUCCUCUAGGCCCAAAUAUGGUGAAGUGUUAUGUGGUCAACGUUCACAUAACACCACUAGAGGAAAAGACAACAUACAACAUAUCAAAAUACCGAACGAAUACCAAAUUCACAUGACUAUUAAUAGUAAGACUUAUCCCAUGUCCUCAGGAACAAAAGUAACUACUCACAAAGCAUGGAUAUAUUCAUGACCAGAGAAGUAAUGAAUAUCAAAAUGGAUCUGAACAUAUAAUCUUCGACCAAGUAAAUCAACUAGCAUCAACUACAAAGAGUAAUCAACACUACUAGCAACCUUACGGGUACCAAUCGGCGUCGCGAGACGGCGAUUGGUUACAAGAGAUAGACUAGGGUUUGGAUAGGAGAUGAUGUUGAUGAAGAUGUUGAUGGAGAUGACUCCCCUCCGACGAGAGGAGUGUUGGUGAUGACGAUGGCGAUGAUUUCCCCCUCCGGGAGGGAAGUUUCCCUGGCACGAUCGUCCUACGGGAGCUCUAGAUUGGUUCUGCUCAAGUUCCGCCUCGUGGCGGCGGCGCCUCCUCGAAAAAGCUCCGCCCUGAUUUUUUUCCGGAUGAAACCCUUCAUAUAGAAGAAGAGGGGGGCCAGUGGGCCACCAGGGUGCCCACAAGCCUUGUAGCCGCGGCCAGGGGCCAGGCCGCGGCUACCAGGCUUGUGGGCCCCUGGCAGCUCCUCUCUGGCACUUCUUUCACCCAGUAUUUUUUAUAUAUUCCCAAAAAAUUCCACGUUGAUUUUCAGGGCAUUUGGAGUUGCGUACACUUGCUCCUUUUCCAGUCCAGAAUUCCAGCUGCCGGUAUUCUCCCUCUUCAAAUAAACCUUGCAAAAUAAGAGAGAAAAGGCAUAAGUAUGGUACCACAAAUUAUAAUAACAGUCCAUAAAGCGAUAAAUAUCAACAUGAAAGCAUGAUGCAAAAUGGACGUAUCAACUCCUCCAAGCUUAGACCUCGCUUGUCCUCAAGCGAAAACCAACAUCCUUAAACAUGUCCACAUGUUUAGGGAUGAAGGUGUCAAUAAAACAUAAUACGGACAUGAGGGCAUCAUGAUCACACAUAAAACAGCAAUAAAUCAUAAAGACUCUUAUGGGAAAGUAACAAUUCCUUCAGAAAGCAAAGUAUGAAUCAAAAACCUUACCGAGAAGUAGCCAACAACAGUCCAUAGCCAUUGAAGCAAUUGCAAUUUAUCAUAACAUCAGAAAGAGUCAAAUAAGAGCAUGUAAAGCAAAUCCACAUACUCAAUCAUCUCUUUUGUUUUCCACAAUUGUUACUACUCACGUGGUACUCAUGGUAUCAAAGUUUCAGUUGGACACAGAGAAAGAUAGGGGCUUAUAAUUUUGCCUCCCAACCAUUUACCUCAAGGGUAAAUUCAACAAUAAUAAAGCAUAAGUACGCAUCUCCAAGUUGAUAUAUGAAUAUAGAUCUUUCCCUAGCAUAUGACGUUCACCAAGAUGAAGACGGAAUAGGGAAUUGGUGUUGAUCACCAUGACUUUCACAAGGACAAAAGUAAAGGUACAAGAUAGGUCAUUCGCAGAGGGAAGCAGAGGUUGUCAUGCGCUUUUAAGGUUUGGAUAUACGACCUCUUAGUAUAAAGGAAUGUCACUUUAUAUUGCCCCCUGUGAUAAAGAACUUUAUUAUGCAGUCUGUCGCUUUUAUGUCUUCCUCAGCACAGGUUCGUACAAAGCUUAUUUUCCACACACUAAUAAAUCAUACAUACUUUAGGUAGCAAUUUUUUAUUGCUUGCACCAAUGACAACUUACUUGAAGGAUCUUACGCAAUCCAUAGGUAGGUAUGGUGGACUCUUGCGGCAAAACUGGGUUGAAGGUUUAUGGAUGCACAAGUAGUGUUUCUACUUAGUACGGAAGUUUUGGCUAAUAUGAGGUGGAAGCAAUCGUCACCUGCUAAGGGAUAUCUACACAUAUAACAUUGUUUGGAAUCAAGCAAACACAAUUCAUUAUGUUGUCUUCCUUGUCCAACAUCUACUUCUAAGCAUGUAAUAGUUUGGUGAGUGUUCACAAUUAUAGAAAGUGUCUAAGAUGAUAUAUUUAUAUGUGAACCUCUCUUUCCUUAUUACUUCUUAUUAAUUGCAACAAUGACUGGGGUCUAUGUUGGUCUAUUCUCAACAAGUUUCAAACAUCAUACUUGUUAUAUGUGAAGCUAUCACUUUCCAUAAGAUCAUCUCAUGAUCUUUCAUGCUAUCGUUCUUUUCAUACUUUUGAUCACGGCAUAAAACAAAGCCCUUGACUAAGAUACCCUUUAUUAUAUAGCUCGCAAGCUCGAAUACAUCGGGGGAGACACAAGGCAAAAGAACCAAACUAAACACUAAAGACUUAUUCCACUAAGAGAAGAAAUAAAAACUGAAAAUGAAAGAACUAAAACAAAGGUAAAAGCAAAAGAUAUAAAGGUGAUACGAUACCAGGGCAACUCCCCCAAGCUUGGCACAAGCCAAGGGAGUUGCCCAUACCAAUGCUUAGUUAUCUUCCUUUGGUGGUGAUGGUGGAGGAGUUGCAACAUGAGUUUGAUCCUCCGUCUUCCAAGGCAUAGGUGCUCCAUCAUGGCAGGAUGAACGAGUCGUCGGAAUCCUCAAAUCUGCAGCCAACCGUAUUGAUUUAAAUCUAUACUCAUACUCACAGUUUUGGUUCUGCUGGUCAUAGAUCUGGCCCUGGAGUUGAUCAACCCUGUCAUAGAGCCUGGGGAGGUGCUUCCCAAUGUCAUUGGCAUCCAUCUUGUGCUUGUUGGUGAACUCUGUGAUCAUCAUGUGGUUGGCGUUGAGUCCACGCUCCACCAUCCCUUGGCACUUGAAAACUUGUUGCUCCCUUGCUUCGAGCCUCGUCUCCACGCUUCCGGUCUUCUUAGGCCCCUCAACAUCAUAGAUUGAGGGUGUUGCAGCACUUCCAUGAGGUAGGGAUUGAUGACCUUCUCGAAGAUCUUGUCCUUUUGAGCUUUUGGGGAAGUCAUGACGAUCUAGAUCUACAACAGAAACAGGCUCGAAACGAAAAACAGAGGAAAUUUCCGUAAUACAGGGUCAGACCAAACGGAAGUAUAUAUAAUGAUUUUUUUUCUCGACCAGAAGGAGUGCUCUGCAAGAAUACGGAGUCCGGGAGGCACACGAGGUGCCCACAAGCCCUGUAGCCGCGGCCAGGGGCGAGGCCGCGGCUAGCAAGCUUUUCCAUUUUUCCAUAAAUUCCAUAAAUUCUCCGGACUGCUUUUUAAUUUCCUAUUUUUCCAUAAAUUCCAAAACGGAGAAAAUUUCCUACUAGAAAAGUUUUGGAGUCCAAUUACUUACCGAAACACAUACCUCUUCGUUUUCAUAGUCUGAAACAGGCUGAUAAACAUCCCUUAUGUACUCCUCUGGAGUUAUGAUAUUGAUGAUAUUGCUCUCAACAUUUAUGGGAGUACUAGAGAUAUAAUGCUUGAUUCUUUGCCCAUUUACCACUCUAGGAAAAUUACCUUCCGUGUUAUUGAUUUUGAUGGCACCAGAACGAUAUACUUCCUCGACAACGUAGGGACCUUCCCAUUUAGAGAGAAGCUUGCCUGCGAAGAAUCUUAAGCGAGAAUUGUAUAGCAGGACAUAAUCACCUACAUUGAACUCACGUUUUUGUAUUCUUUUAUCGUGCCAUCGCUUAACCUUUUCCUUGAACAACUUGGCAUUCUCAUAUGCCUGGGCCCUCCAUUCAUCUAAUUAGCUGAUAUCAAACAACCGCUUCUCACCGGCAAGUUUGAAAUCGAAGUUGAGCUCUUUGAUUGCCCAAUAAGCUUUGUGUUCUAGCUCGAGAGGUAAAUGACAGGCCUUACCGUAAACCAUUUUAUACGGCGACAUGCCCAUGGGAUUCUUAUAAGCAGUCAUAUAAGCCCAUAGUGCAUCGUCAAGUUUGCUAGACAAAUUCUUUCGAGAUCUAUUGACAGUCUUUUGUAAGAUCAAUUUGAUCUCCCUAUUACUCAACUCCACUUGGCCACUAGACUGAGGAUGAUAAGGAGAUGCAACUCUAUGGUUGACAUCAUACUUAGCGAGCAUCUUGCGGAAAACACCAUGAAUGAAGUGUGAACCGCCAUCACUCAUCAUAUAUCUAGGGACUCCAAAUCUUGGGAAAAUGGCUUCUUUAAGCAUCUUAAUAGAGGUGUGGUGAUCAGCAUUUCUAGUGGGGAUAGCUUCUGCCCACUUAGUGACGUGAUCAACAGCAACUAAGAUGUGAGUAUACCCAUUGGAACUCGGGAAGGGUCCCAUAUAAUCAAAGCCCCAGACAUCAAAUGGUUCAAUGACAAGUGAAUAGUUCAUAGGCAUUUCCUGACGUUUACUGAUGUUCCCUAUUCUUUGGCACAAGUCACAAGACAAGACAAACUUAUGGGCAUUGAUACAUCUCCAUCGUAACUACUUUUCCAAACUCUUUUGCCCUUGUUUUGGACUCUAAUUUGCAUGAUUUGAAUGGAACUAACCCGGACUGACGUUGUUUUCAGCAGAAUUGCCAUGGUGUUGUUUUUGUGCAGAAAUGAAAGUUCUCGGAACAUCCUGAAAAUUUACGGAGAAUAUUUUUGGAAAAUAUGAAAAAUACAUGCGCAAAGAUCCACCGGAGGGGAUGGGCCAGUGGGCCACAAGCCCUGUUGCCGCCCCCCUGGCCGCGGCAACCAAGCUUGUGUGGCCCACGUGGCUCUGCCGCCCCCAAACUCAGCUCUAUAAAUUCCCUUUCGUCCCGGAAAAAAUCAGAAGAGAAGAUUUCAUCGCGUUUGCGAUACGGUGGCGCCACCACAUCCUGUUCUUCAUCUGGAGGGCAGAUCUGGAGUCCGUUUUGGGCUCCGGAGAGGGGAAAUCGUCGCCAUCGUCAUCAUCAACCUUCUUCCCUCUCCAAUUCCAUGAAGCUCUUCAUCGUUCGUGAGUAAUCUAUUCGUAGGCUCACUGGGCGGUGAUGAGUACGAUGAGAUCUAUCAUGUAAUCGAGUUAGUUUUGACGGGAAUUGAUCCCUAGUAUCCACUAUGUUCUGAGAUUGAUGUUGCUACUACUUUGCCAUGCUUAAUGCUUGUCACUAGGGCCCGAGUGCCAUGAUUUCAGAUCUGAAUUUAUUAUGUUGUCACCAAUAUAUGUGUGUUUUAGAUCCGAUCUUUCAAGUUGUAGUUACCUACUAUGUGUUAUGACCCGGCAACCCCGGAGUGACAAUAACCGGAACCAAUCCCGGUGAUGACCAUAGUUUGAGGAGUUCAUGUGUUCACCAAGUGCUAAUGCGUUGUUCCGGUUCUUUAUUAAAAGGAGAACCUUAAUAUCUCGUAGUAUCCUUUUGGACCCCGCUGCCACGGGAGGGAUGGACAAUAGAUGUCAUGCAAGUUCUUUUCCCUAAGCACGUAUGACGACACACGGAAUGCAUGCCUACAUCACAUUGACGAACGGGAGCUAGCCACAUAUCUCUUCGUGUUAUAACUGUUGCAUGAUGAAUGUCAUCCGACGAAUCACCGACCCAUUGCCUACGAGUGUGUCCCACUGCUACUGUUACUUGCUCUGCUGCUGCUACUAUUACUUGCUACUGCUGUUACUUGCUUUGCUCUGCUGCUGUUACUACUGUUGCUGCUACUGUUACUUGCUCUGCUGCUGCUACUGUUACUUGCUACUGUUGUUACUUGCUUUGCUCUGCUGCUGUUACUACUGUUGCUACUACUGUUACUUGCUGCCACUGUUACUUGCUUUGUCCUGUUGCUACCGUUACUACUGUUGCUGCUGUUCCUUGCCACUGCUGUUACUCGUUACACUGCUGCUACCUGCUACAAUACUUUUCUGGCACCAUUGAUACAACCGUUAGGAAUAGUUUGCUGUCAACAGAUCGUUUCUGGCACCGUUGCUAUCAUACUACUUUGCUAUUGAUACUUUGCUUGCAGAUACUAAUCUUUCAGGUGUGGUUGAAUCUGACACAUUCAACUCCUAAUACUUGAGAAUAUUCUUUCACUUCCCGUUGGGAGAACCAACAAAUUGGGUUGAAUACUCUACCCUCAAAAACUGCCGCGAUCCCACGCGCUGGUGGGCGAUUGCAAGACAAUUUAAUUGUUGAGCAAUUGGGACGAGCUCUUUUCUGACUCCGUUGCCGUAGAGGUAUCAAGUCAGGAAUAGUUGCACGUCAUUAACAUUUUUCUGGCGCCGUUGGCGGGGAAGGUAUUGCUAUAUUCUCUGAGUCACUUGGGAUUUAUAUCUGCUGAUCACUAUGAAGAAUCUGAAGGAUCCAAAAACCAAAGUCUUGCCCUCAACUACGAGGGGAGGUAAGGAACUACAAUCUAGCUCUGCACUUGAUUCACCUUCAGUUAUGAGUAAGUUUGCGACACCACCUCCUGCUAGAAAUCUUGAUAUGUCGCGUGUGCUUGAUGAUACUAUGCCUGAUAAUGCUAGAGAUGCUAUGCCUGAUACUGCUAGAGAUGCUAUGUCUGAUAAUGCUAGAGACGCUAUUUUGCCUUAUGAUGCUAUGCUUAAUACUGCUAGAGAUGCUAUGCUUGAUACUGCUUUGCCUGAUGAUGCUAGAGAGGCUAUUUUGCCUCAUGAUGCUAUGCUUGAUACUGCUAGAGAUACUACUUUGCCUGAUAUGCCACUAGGGGUAUUCCUUGAUGCUCAUAUUGCUAGAGUUACUGCCAAUGCUCGUGAUGCUUCUGAAACUGCCGAUACUAUUGAGAUAGAACCUGCCUUUACCCCUGAUAGAUCUCGCUCUCCUAGAUAUGAAUUUCGUGAUAUACCUGAGGGUUACGUUAUGGAGGGAGAGAUAGCUGAGGAUUUUCUUGCAUGUAAGGAUGCCUAUGACGCUGAGAAAUUACUUCUCGAGUGGAAGGAAAAAUCUCUGAAAGCUAGGAUGAAAUACGACCCGAAGUUUGCCACUUCACCUAUCUUUAUCACCGAUAAGGAUUAUGAAUUCUCUGUCGAUCCUGAGAUAAUCUCUCUAGUCGAAUCUGAUCCUUUCCACGGUUAUGAGUCUGAGACGGUCGUAGCCCAUCUUACCAAACUACACGAUAUAGCCACCCUUUUCACUAGUGAGGAGAAGAUCUGCUACUAUUAUAUCCUUAAGUUCUUUCCUUUCUCUCUAAAGGAUGACGCUAAAGCCUGGUUCACUUCUCUUGCUCCUGGAUGUGUGAGCAGUCCACGGGAUAUGGCCUAUUACUUCUGUGAAAAAUAUUUCCCUGUCCAUAAGAAGCAAGCUGCCUUGCAGGAAGUAUACAACUUUUCUCAACUCAAAGAAGAGAGUCUCCCACAAGCUUGGGGGAGGCUCGUCCAGCUACAGAAUGCUUUGCCUGAUCACCCUCUUAAGAAGAACGAGAUACUUGAUAUCUUCUAUAACGGACUUACUGAUGGUUUUAGAGACCACCUAGAUAGUUGUGUCGAUUGUGUUUUUAGGGAACGAACUAUAGAACAAGCUGAGACUCUACUGAAUAACAUCUUGAUCAACGAUAAUGCUUGGACUAUUCCUGAACCACCUCCUAAGCCAACUCCUAAGAAAAGAGGUAUUCUAUUCCUCAGUCCCGAAGAUAUGCAAGAAGCCAAGAAAUCUAUGCAAGAGAAGGGCAUUAGAUCUGAAGAUGUGAAAAAUCUACCACCUAUCGAAGAGAUCCAUGGUCUCGAUAACCCGAUACAGGUAGCAGAAGUAAAUUCUCUGUGUAGGUUUGAUGAGAGUGAUAUUCCUUUUGACAAACCUGCUAGCCUAUGCUUUGAUGAAUUUGACAACUUUGUUGCCAAACAACAGAGUUUCAAUGAUUAUGUUCGCGGACAUUUGGAACAAAGUACUCGUAUGCUUAGUCAUUUAAGUGCUUGUGUAGACAGAAAUGUCAAUGAUGUGAAGCUUCUGAGUAAACAUGCCUCUAUGAUUACUACUCAGGUAGAACAAGUACUUAAAGCUCAAAAUGACUUGCUCAAUGAAUUAAAUGACAACUCUAUCAGAGUCAUUACUAGCGGAGGCAAAAUGACUCAGGAACCUUUGUAUCCUGGAGGCCAUCCUAAGAGAAUUGAUCAAGAUUCUCAAGGAAUUAAUGUUGAUACACCUAGUCAUCCUAAGGAGAAGAAGAAGGAUGAUAGAAACCUACAUGUCAGUUCACCAAAUACUAUCACACCUGAAGAACUAAAUGAUAUUUCUGCGUCUGAUGCAGAAACACAAUCCGGUGAUGAACAUGAACCUGGUGACAAUAUGGACAGCAAUGUUCAUAAUGAUGCUCAACCUAGCAGUGAUAAGGAUGUGGAGAUUAUACCUACGGUUAAUCCUGAUAACCCACAACCUAAGAGAUACGAUAAGAAUGACUUCACUGCUAGGAAGCAUGGUAAAGAAAGGGAGCCAUGGGUUCAGAGUCCUAUGCCCUUUCCUCCUAAGCCAUCCAAGAAAAAGGAUGAUGAGGAUUUUGAGUGCUUUAUUGAAAUGAUAAGACCCGUCUUUCUGCAGAUGCGGUUAGUUGAUAUGCUCAAAAUGUCUCCAUAUGCCAAGUACAUGAAAGAUAUCGUGACCAAUAAACGGAAGAUACCAGAUCUUGAGAUCUCCACCAUGCUUGCCAAUUACACUUUGAAAGGUGGAACUCCUAAGAAACUUGGUGAUCCCGGAGUGCCCACUAUACCUUGCUCCAUUAAAGGAAACUACGUAAAAAAAGCCUUAUGUAACCUUGGAGCCGGUGUUAGUGUUAUGCCGCUCUCUCUUUAUCGUAGACUUGAACUGGAUAAGUUGACACCCACUAAAAUCUCUCUGCAAAUGGCCGACAAAUCAACUGCUUUCCCUGUCGGUAUUUGCGAGGAUGUGCUUGUUGUGGUUGCUAACACCACUAUCUUAACAGACUUUGUUAUCUUGGAUAUUCCCGAGGACGAUGCCAUGGCUGUCAUCCUCGGAAGACCCUUUUAAAACACUGCAGGGGCUGUUAUAGAUUGCAACAAAGGCAAUGUCACUUUCCAUGUCAACGGUAAUGAGCAUACCGUGCACUUUCCGAAGAAAUGAUAUCAAGUACAUUGCAUCAAUGCUAUCGAAAAAACUUCAUCGAUUCUUAUUGGGAGCUUUGAAUGCCCUAUUCCUCGUGUUAAGAUGAAGUAUGAUUAGCUUGUUGGGGAGAUACAUAUCCCCAUUGAGGUGACUUAGUGGCUAUUCAAAAAUUCUCUGUUCUCUUUUGCGAUUCGAGAAGGUUUUGUCAUGAGGAUUUGAUCAACCCCAUUGACGGAUUUCUUUCGAUGACCAUGAAACGGAUGAAUCAAAGAGUCACAUACCUCUGUUUUAAGCUUUCACUUUCUGUUGCUUAGAAGAAAAAUGAUAGAUUUAGUUUAGUUUUCCCUGUUUCUUGUUUUAGCGUCCGGUAGAAAAAUACCCCGAAAAUAAAAGUUCUCCGAUGGUCCUGAAAAUCUAGUAUGAUUUUUCUGGAAUAUUUGAAAAAUACUGGGACUAAGAGCUGGCCUGGGGGCCACACCAGUGGGCCACAAGCCCUGUCACCGCGACCACCCCCUGGCCGCGACAAGCAAGCUUUUCGGGCCCACAGGGACCCCUCCACUCAUUCUAGCCCCUAUCCUCUUCUUCUUCCUCCAGAAAAAAUUGUUUCGCAGCUCAAACCCGUGUUCUUGCUCAUUUGGCUGUGAUUUUCGAUCUCCUUGCUCAAAGCACCAUUCUCCGAACCGUUUUGGGGUAAUUACUCCUUAGUAAGUGACUCCUCCAUUGGUCCAAUUAGUUUUUGCUCUAGUGCUUUAUCCUUCGCGUAUUCUUGCUACCUUGGUGACCCUAUUCUUGAGCUUGAAAUGUUGAUUUUAGCUGGUCCCAAGUAGUUGUAGCGCAUGAUACGGUCGCUAAGCACUAGUAGGAGUAGUUACUACAAGGUAUGGUUGGUAUUUAUUCACUCUUCUCUUGAACUUCAAAAAUUUCAGCAAAAAGAAAUUAUGUUCAGGAGGAAGUUUCAUGGUGGUUCCUCAAGUAAGAAGGGUCCCCGUCUUUCUAGUCGGGAGCCCGAACCUUAUCAACUAAGGGACGCACCGGUGCAACCAUGUGAAUGGCCUUCCUAUGAGUUCAUGAUCGAAGCAGGGUUCAAGGAUGAGUUUGAUACACUUGUCCGCAAUGUCGGGUUAGAAGAAUUCCUCUCAGAUAAAUGUGAACAGUAUGCUUUGCUCACUGCUUCUUUCGUGCGUAGAUUUAAAUUUUCAGUUGGCCGUGACUCAUCCAUACUGUUUGAUCCAUAUGAUAAAUCUGUUGGAAUUAUGCCCUAGAGGCAAUAAUAAAUAUAGUUAUUAUUAUAAUUCCUGUAUCAAGAUAAUCGUUUAUUAUCCAUGCUAUAAUUGUAUUGAAUGAAGACUCAUUUACAUGUGUGCAUACAUAGACAAAACAUCGUCCCUAGCAAGCCUCUAGUUGGCUAGCCAGUUGAUCAAAGAUAGUCAGUGUCUUCUGAUUAUGAACAAAGUGUUGUUGCUUGAUAAUUGGAUCACGUCAUUAGGAGAAUCACGUGAUGGACUAGACCCAAACUAAUAGACGUAGCAUGUUGAUCGCGUCAUUUUGUUGCUACUGUUUUCUGCGUGUCAAGUAUUUAUUCCUAUGACCAUGAGAUCAUAUAACUCACUGACACCGGAGGAAUGCUUUGUGUGUAUCAAACGUCGCAACGUAAACUGGGUGACUAUAAAUAUGCUCUACAGGUAUCUCCGAAGGUGUUAGUUGAGUCAGUAUGGAUCAAGACUGGGAUUUGUCACUCCGUGUGACGGAGAGGUAUCUCGGGGCCCACUCGGUAAUACAACAUCACACACAAGCCUUGCAAGCAAUGUAACUUAGUGUAAGUUGCGGGAUCUUUUAUUACGGAACGAGUAAAGAGACUUGCCGGUAAACGAGAUUGAAAUAGGUAUGCAGAUACUGACGAUCGAAUCUCGGGCAAGUAACAUACCGAAGGACAAAGGGAAUGACAUAUGGGAUUAUAUGAAUCCUUGGCACUGAGGUUCAAACGAUAAGAUCUUCGUAGAAUAUGUAGGAUCCAAUAUGGGCAUCCAGGUCCCGCUAUUGGAUAUUGACCGAGGAGUCUCUCGGGUCAUGUCUACAUAGUUCUCGAACCCGCAGGGUCUGCACACUUAAGGUUCGACGUUGUUUUAUGCGUAUUUGAGUUAUAUGGUUGGUUAACGAAUGUUGUUCGGAGUCCUGGAUGAGAUCACGGACGUCACGAGGGUUUCCGAAAUGGUCCGGAAACGAAGAUUGAUAUGUAGGAUGACCUCAUUUGAUUACCGGAAGGUUUUCGGAGUUACCGGGAAUGACGAAUGGGUUUUGGGAGUUCACCGAAGGGGCAACCCACCCCGGGGAAGCCCAUAGGCCUUGAGGGUGGCACACCAGCCCUUAGUGGGCUGGUGGGACAGCCCAAAAGGGCCCUAUGCGCCUAGGAAAGAAAAUCAAAGAGAAAAGAAAAAAAAGGAGGUGGGAAGGGAAGGAAGGACUCUCACCCACCAAACCAAGUCCAACUCGGUUUGGGGGGGGAGCCUUCCCCCUUGGACUCGGCCGACCCCCUUGGGGCAUCUUGAGCCCCAAGGCAAGGUCCCCUCCCUCCCACCUAUAUAUACGGAGGUUUUAGGGCUGAUUUGAGACGACUUUUCCACGGCAGCCCGACCACAUACCUCCACGGUUUUUCCUCUAGAUCGCGUUUCUGCGGAGCUCGGGCGGAGCCUUGCUGAGACAAGGUCAUCACCAACCUCCGGAGCGCUGUCACGCUGCCGGAGAACUCUUCUACCUCUCCGUCUCUCUUGCUGGAUCAAGAAGGCCGAGAUCAUCGUCGAGCUGUACGUGUGCUGAACGCGGAGGUGCCGUCCGUUCGGUACUAGAUCGUGGGACUGAUCGCGGGAUUGUUCGCGGCGCGUAUCGAGGGACGUGAGGACGUUCCACUACAUCAACCGCGUUCUCUAACGCUUCUGCUGUACGAUCUACAAGGGUACGUAGAUCACUCAUCCCCUCUCGUAGAUGGACUUCACCAUGAUAGGUCUUCGUGCGCGUAGGAAAUUUUUUGUUUCCCAUGCGACGUUCCCCAACUGUGGCAUCAUGAGCUAGGUUCAUGCGUAGAUGUCUUCUUGAGUAGAACACAAAAAAUUUUGUGGGCGGUGAUGUGCGUUUUGCUGCCCUCCUUAGUCUUUUCUUGAUUCCGCGGUAUUGUUGGAUUGAAGCGGCUUGGACGUACAUUACUCGUACGCUUACGAGAGACUAGUUUCAUCGCUACGAGUAACCCCGUUGCUCAAAGAUGACUGGCAAGUGUCGGUUUCUCCAACUUUAGUUGAAUCGGAUUUGACCGAGGAGGUCCUUGGAUGAGGUUAAAUAGCAACUCAUAUAUCUCCGUUGUGGUGUUUGCAUAAGUAAGAUGCGAUCCUACUAGAUACCCAUGGUCACCACGUAAAACAUGCAACAACAAAAUUAGAGGACGUCUAACUUGUUUUUGCAGGGUAUGCUUGUGAUGUGUUAUGGCCAACGAUGUGAUGUGAUAUAUUGGAUGUAUGAGAUGAUCAUGUUGUAAUAGUAAAUAUCGACUUGCACGUCGAUGGUACGGCAACCGACAGGAGCCAUAGGGUUGUCUUUAUACUAGCGUUUGUGCUUGCAGAUGCGUUUACUAUUUUGCUAGGAUGUAGCUUUAGUAGUAAUAGCAUGAGUAGCAUGACAACCCCGAUGGCAACACGUUGAUGGAGAUCAUGGUGUGGCCCCGGUUACAAGAAGAUCGUGCCGGUGCUUUGGUGAUGGAGAUCAAGAAGCACGUGAUGAUGGCCAUAUCAUGUCACUUAUGAAUUGCAUGUGAUGUUAAUCCUUUUAUGCACCUUAUUUUGCUUAGAACGACGGUAGCAUUAUGAGGUGAUCUCUCACUAAAAUUUCAAGACAAAAUUGUGUUCUCCCCGACUGUGCACCGUUGCUACAGUUCGUCGUUUCGAGACACCACGUGAUGAUCGGGUGUGAUAGACUCAACGUUCACAUACAACGGGUGUAAAACAGUUGCGCACGCGGAACACUCGGGUUAAGCUUGACGAGCCUAGCAUGUGCAGACAUGGGCUCGGAACACAUGAGACCGAAAGGUCGAUCAUGAAUCAUAUAGAUGAUAUGAUUAGCAUAGGGAUGCUUACCACUGAAACUAUACUCAACUCACGUGAUGAUCGGACUUGAGCUAGUGUAAGUGUAUCAUGAACCACUCAAAUGACUAGAGAGAUGUACUUUUUGAGUGGGAGUUUAGCGAAUAAUUUGAUUAAGUUAAACUCUAAUUAUCUUGAACAUAGUCUAAGUCCACUUUGAAUAUAUUUGUGUUGUAGAUCAUGGCUCAUGCUACAGUCAUCCUGAAUUUUAAUACGUUCCUAGAGAAAGCUAAGUUGAAAGAUAACGGAAGCAACUUUGUAGAAUGGGCUCGUAAUCUUAAGCUAAUCUUACAAGCUGGGAAGAAGGAUUAUGUCCUUAAUGCUGCGCUAGGAGAUGAACCACCCGCUACGGCUGAUCGGGAUGUUAAGAACGCUUGGUUAGCACGUAAGGAGGACUACUCAAUAGUUCAAUGUGCAGUCUUGUAUGGCUUAGAACCGGGACUUCAACGUCGCUUUGAGCGUCAUGGAGCAUUUGAGAUGUUCCAGGAGUUGAAGUUUAUCUUUCAGAAGAACGCCCGGAUCGAGAGGUGUGAGACCUCCGAUAAAUUCUAUGCUUGCAAGAUGGAGGAGAACUCGUCUGUCAGUGAACAUGUGCUCAAAAUGUCUGGGUACUCAAACCGUCUAGCUGAGCUGGGGAUUGAACUCCCGCAAGAAGCUAUCACUGACAGAAUCCUUCAAUCACUGCCGCCAAGCUAUAAAGGCUUUGUGUUGAACUACAGCAUGCAAGGGAUGAACAAGUCUCCCGGCGAGUUGUUUGCGAUGCUGAAAGUCACAGAGUCUGAACUCCGUAAAGAGCAUCAAGUGUUGAUGGUGAAUAAGACCACUAGUUUCAAGAGAAACGGCAAAGGCAAGAAGGGUAAUUCGAAGAAGAGCGGCAAGCCUGUUGCCAAUCUGACGAAGAAACCCAAAGCUGGACCUAAGCCUGAAACGGAGUGUUACUAUUGCAAGGGUAUGGGUCACUGGAAGCGCAAUUGCCCCAUGUAUCUGGCAGAUAAGAAGGCGGCCAAAGAAAAAUCAGGUAUAUUUGAUAUACAUGUUAUUGAUGUGUACAACCGGCUCUCGUAGUAGUGCCUGGGUAUUCGAUACCGGUUCUGUUGCUCAUAUUUGCAACUUCGAAACAGGAACUGCGGAAUAGAUGAAGGCUGGCGAAAGAUGAAGUGACGAUGCGCGUAGGAAAUGGUUCCAAGGUUGAUGCAAUCGCCGUCGGCACAGUUUCACUUCAGUUACCAUCAGGAUUAGUGAUGAACUUAAAUCAUUGUUAUUUAGUGCCUGCGUUGAGCAUGAACAUUAUAUCUGGAUCUUGUUUAUUGCGAGACGGUUACUCUUUUAAGUCAGAGAAUAAUCGUUGUUCUAUUUCUAUGAGUAACAUCUUUUAUGGUCAUGCACCUAAUGUGAGAGGAUUGUUCAUAUUGAAUCUUGAUAGCGAUACGCAUAUACAUAACAUUGAGACCAAAAGAGUUAGAGUUAACAAUGAUAGCGCCAUAUUUUUGUGACACUACCGCUUAGGUCAUAUUGGUGUAAAGCGCGUGAAGAAACUCCAUGCUGAUGGACUUUUGGAGUCACUUGACUUUGAUUCACUUGACAUGUGCAAACCAUGCCUCAUGGGCAAGAUGACUAAGACUCCGUUCUCCGGAACAAUGGAGCGUGUAAGUGACUUGUUGGAAAUCAUACAUACCGAUGUGUGUGGUCCGAUGAGCGUGGAGGCACGCGGCGGAUAUCGUUAUUUUCUCACCUUCACUGACGAUUUGAGUAGAUAUGGUUAUGUCUACUUGAUGAAGCACAAGUCUGAAACAUUUGAAAAGUUCAAGCAAUUUCAGAGUGAAGUGGAAAAUCAUCGUAACAAGAAGAUCAAGUUCCAACGGUCUGAUCGUGGGGGUGAAUAUCUGAGUUUCGAGUUUGGUGCUCACUUAAGACAAUGUGGAAUUGUUUCACAGUUAACACCGCCUGGAACACCACAGCGUAAUGGUGUGUCCGAACGUCGUAAUCGUACUCUAUUAGAGAUGGUGCGAUCUAUGAUGUCUCUUACUGAUUUGCCGUUAUCGUUUUGGGGUUAUGCAUUAGAAACAGCUGCAUUCACUUUAAAUAGGGCACCAUCAAAAUCCGUUUAGACGACACCAUACGAACUGUGGUAUGGCAAAAGGCCAAAGUUGUCGUUUCUUAAAGUUUGGGGAUGUGAUGCUUAUGUCAAAAAGCUUCAGCCUAAAAAGCUGGAACCCAAAACGGAAAAGUGCGUCUUCAUAGGUUACCCAAAAGAGACAGUUGGGUACACCUUCUAUCUCAAAUCCGAGGGCAAAGUGUUUGUUGCUAAAAACGGAGCUUUUCUCGAGAAGGAGUUUCUCUCGAGAGAAUUGAGUGGGAGGAAGAUAGAACUUGACGAGGUUGUCGAACCUCUCAUCCCUCUGGAUGGUGGCACAGGGCAAGGGGAAACCUCUGUCGUUGCGACGCCGGUUGAGGAGGAAGUUAAUGAUGAUGAUCAUGAAACUCCAGUUCAAGUUUCUGUCAAACCACGCAGGUCGACGAGACCACGUGCUGCUCCAGAGUGGUACGGUAAUCCCGUCUUAUCAAUCAUGUUGUUAGACAACAAUGAACCUGCAAAUUAUGAAGAAGCAAUGGUGGGCCCAAAUUCCAACAAAUGGCUAGAAGCCAUGAAGUCCGAGAUAGGAUCCGUGUAUGAGAACAAAGUGUGGAGUUUGGAGGUACUACCUGAGGGCCGCAAGGCUAUUCAGAACAAAUGGAUCUUUAAGAGGAAGACGGACGCUGACGGCAAUGUGACCGUUUAUAAAGCUCGACUUGUGGCAAAGGGUUUUUCACAAGUUCAAGGAGUUGACUACGAUGAGACAUUCUCACCCGUAGCGAUGCUUAAGUCCGUCAGAAUCAUGUUAGCAAUAGCUACAUUUUUCGAUUAUGAAAUCUGGCAGAUGGAUGUCAAAACGGCAUUCCUUAACGGUUUCCUUAAAGAAGAAUUGUAUAUGAUGCAACCCGAAGGUUUUGUUGAUCCUAAGAAUGCUAACAAGGUGUGCAAGCUCCAGCGAUCCAUUUAUGGACUGGUGCAAGCAUCUCGGAGUUGGAACAAACGCUUUGAUGAGGUGAUCAAAGCAUUUGGAUUUAUACAAGUGGUUGGAGAAUCUUGUAUUUACAAGAAAGUGAGUGGGAGCUCUGUGACGUUUCUAAUAUUAUAUGUGGAUGACAUAUUGCUGAUUGGAAACAACGUAGAGCUUUUAGAGAGCAUAAAGGAUUACUUGAAUAAGAGUUUCUCUAUGAAGGACCUAGGAGAAGCUGCUUACAUUCUAGGGAUUAAGAUCUAUAGGGAUAGAUCAAAACGCCUGAUAGGACUUUCACAAAGCACAUACCUUGAUAGAGUUUUGAAGAAGUUCAAAAUGGAACAGUCCAAGAAAGGGUUCUUGCCAGUUUUACAAGGUACGAGAUUGAGUAAGACUCAGUGCCCAGCAACUGAUGAAGAUAGAGAGCAUAUGCGCUCCGUCCCCUAUGCUUCAGCCAUAGGUUCUAUCAUGUAUGCAAUGCUGUGCACUAGACCGGAUGUUAGCCUGGCCAUAAGUAUGGUAGGUAGGUUCCAGAGUAAUCCUGGAGUGGAUCACUGGACAGCGGUCAAGAAUAUCCUGAAGUACCUGAAAAGGACUAAGGAGAUGUUUCUCGUGUAUGGAGGUGACGAAGAGCUCGCCGUAAAAGGUUACGUCGAUGCAAGCUUUGACACAGAUCCGGACGACUCUAAGUCGCAAACCGGAUACGUAUUUAUUCUUAAUGGGGGUGCGGUAAGCUGGUGCAGUUCCAAGCAGAGCGUCGUAGCAGAUUCUACAUGUGAAGCGGAGUACAUGGCUGCCUCGGAGGCAGCUAAGGAGGGUGUCUGGAUGAAGCAAUUCAUGACGGAUCUUGGAGUGGUGCCAAGCGCAGUGAAUCCAAUAACCUUGUUCUGUGACAACACGGGUGCCAUUCCCUUAACAAAGGAACCACGGUUUCACAAGAAGACCAGACACAUCAAACGACGCUUCAACCUCAUCCGCGACUACGUCGAGGGAGAGGACGUGAAUAUAUGCAAAGUGCACACGGAUCUGAAUGUAGCAGACCCGCUGACUAAACCUCUUUCACGGCCAAAGCAUGAUCAACACCAGAACUGUAUGGGUUUUGUAUUAUUACAAUGUAAUUCACAUGGUGAUGUGAGGGCUAGAUUAUUGACUCUAGUGCAAGUGGGAGACUGUUGGAAUUAUGCCCUAGAGGCAAUAAUAAAUAUAGUUAUUAUUAUAAUUCCUGUAUCAAGAUAAUCGUUUAUUAUCCAUGCUAUAAUUGUAUUGAAUGAAGACUCAUUUACAUGUGUGGAUACAUAGACAAAACACCGUCCCUAGCAAGCCUCUAGUUGGCUAGCCAGUUGAUCAAAGAUAGUCAGUGUCUUCUGAUUAUGAACAAAGUGUUGUUGCUUGAUAACUGGAUCACGUCAUUAGGAGAAUCACGUGAUGGACUAGACCCAAACUAAUAGACGUAGCAUGUUGAUCGUGUCAUUUUGUUGCUACUGUUUUCUGCGUGUCAAGUAUUUAUUCCUAUGACCAUGAGAUCAUAUAACUCACUAACACCGGAGGAAUGCUUUGUGUGUAUCAAACGUCGCAACGUAACUGGGUGACUAUAAAGAUGCUCUACAGGUAUCUCCGAAGGUGUUAGUUGAGUUAGUAUGGAUCAAGACUAGGAUUUGUCACUCCGUGUGAACGGAGAGGUAUCUCAGGGCCCACUCGGUAAUACAACAUCACACACAAGCCUUGCAAGCAAUGUAACUUAGUGUAAGUUGCGGGAUCUUGUAUUACGGAACGAGUAAAGAGACUUGCCGGUAAACGAGAUUGAAAUAGGUAUACGGAUACUGACGAUCGAAUCUCGGGCAAGUAACAUACCGAAGGACAAAGGGAAUGACAUACGGGAUUAUAUGAAUCCUUGGCACUGAGGUUCAAACGAUAAGAUCUUCGUAGAAUAUGUAGGAUCCAAUAUGGGCAUCCAGGUCCCGCUAUUGGAUAUUGACCGAGGAGUCUCUCGGGUCAUGUCUACAUAGUUCUCGAACCCGCAGGGUCUGCGCACUUAAGGUUCGACAUUGUUUUAUGCGUAUUUGAGUUAUAUGGUUGGUUACCGAAUGUUGUUCGGAGUCCCGGAUGAGAUCACGGACGUCACGAGGGUUUCCGGAAUGGUCCGGAAACGAAGAUUGAUAUAUAGGAUGACCUCAUUUGAUUACCGGAAGGUUUUCAGAGUUACCGGGAAUGACGAAUGGGUUCCGGGAGUUCACCGGGGGGGGCAACCCACCCCGGGGAAGCCCAUAGGCCUUGAGGGUGGCACACCAGCCCUCAGUGGGCUGGUGGGACAGCCCAAAAGGGCUCUAUGCGCCAAGCAAAGAAAAUCAAGAGAAAAGAAAAAAAAAGGAGGAGGUGGGAAGGAAGGGGGACUCCCUCCCACCAAACCAAGUCCAACUCGGUUUGGGGAGGGAGUCCUCCCCCCUUGGACUUGGCCGACCCCCUUGGGGCUCCUUGAGCCCCAAGGCAAGGUCCCCUCCCUCCCACCUAUAUAUACGGAGGUUUUAGGGCUGAUUUGAGACGACUUUUCCACGGCAGCCCGACCACAUACCUCCACGGUUUUUCCUUUAGAUCGCGUUUCUGCGGAGCUCGGGCGGAGCCCUGCUGAGACAAGGUCAUCACCAUCCUCCGGAGCUCCGUCAUGCUGCCGGAGAACUCUUCUACCUCUCCGUCUCUCUUGCUGGAUCAAGAAGGCCGAGAUCAUCGUCGAGCUGUACGUGUGCUGAACGCGGAGGUGCCAUCCGUUCGGUACUAGAUCGUGGGACUGAUCGCGGGAUUGUUCGCGGGGCGGAUCGAGGGACGUGAGGAUGUUCCACUACAUCAACCGCGUUCUCUAACGCUUCUGUUGUACGGUCUACAAGGGUACGUAGCUCACUCAUCCCCUCUCGUAGAUGGACAUCACCAUGAUAGGUCUUCGUGCGCGUAGGAAAAUUUUUGUUUCCCAUGCGACGUUCCCCAUCAACCAGUGGGGGUACGCAGAGUGCACCCACUUGGUGUAGUCUCCAAGAGUAGUGUUGCUCAUAGUGUUGUUGGUUUGCUAUGGAGCUCAAUGGGACCGACCUGUUCGAGCUUCAUACCAGUGGGGUCACUCUCAGUGAACCCACUGGGUGUAGUCCCCGAGACCGCUGUCGGUUUCUUGCAUCGGCACGGGUCUGAAAAAUUUUGAGUUUUUAUUGGUUUGUCAUAUCUGUCGAGACUUUUUCCUUGUUGAAUGUGCCUGAUCCUCCCUUUGUGUCUCUUUGGCAGAAGACUUGUGAAAUGGGAUCGGCCUAUAAUGCUGUGAAGGCCGAGAAGACUCAACUUGCUGCGGACUUGGAGGUGGCUGUGAAUGAUAUGACUGGCAUGAAGAAGGCUCUCGCUGAACGAGAGAAAUCUUUGGAGGAAUCUCGGGAGGCUAACAAGGCACUGCUAGCCGAAGUAGAAAAAUGAAGAGGGAGAGAUCCGAAUGGAUGGGCCAACUGAAGGUAAUGAACACUCGGUGCAGAGCGCAGGAGAACUACGUCGGCAACUGGGCGAAGAAGAUGGUCGCACUGCUUGGUGGUAAGUUCUUGCCGAGUGCUUUUUGACUUUGGAGUUCACUCCGCGCUUAUUUUCUUCUUGUCUUUUCUUUGCAGAUUUCUAUCGGGACGUUGAGGCCGAAACCGCCGAAAUUGAACGGUCGCUUGUUCCGAAUGUUCCACUCGGCGAUGAAGCUAACCGGGACAUGUUCCGAGUGAAUUCGCGCCUUAACAAGGUGGGUCCUUUCAUUGGUUGCCUGAGAGGAGUUGUCGGCCGAAUUGACAAGGAGCUGUGGCCUGAAGAUGACUCCCGGAACGAGAUAGAGGGGUUGAUGACCCGACUGGAGGACGUCCCAAGCAGAGUGCAAACAUGGAAGAAGUCUGUCGCUCGGUGUGGCGCGGACGUGGCACUAUCUCUGGUCCGAGUGCACUUCAAGGAAGCCCGUGAAGACAAGCUGAAGACGUUGCAGGUCGCCAACACCAAGAAGCUUCGAUUUGAAGAUUUCAUGGAGACCUUCCUUGACACAGCCACUCGGAGUGCAGAUGGAAUCGACCUCGACACCUUUGUGGAGCCUGCCAGUCCCGGCGACGCUUGAUAAACUUUAUGCUGAACGCACAUUUACCUCGGUAUGCCGAUUGGAGUCUGUAUUAAACUUUGGCCACUGCUGUUGGCCGGUACAUUCGUGGCUCGGUGUGGAUAAACUUGAUUCACACCGAGCCGACUGAUCAUAGAACCAAUUUGAAUUCGAAUCGGAUCUUUUGCUCUUCUUUCGCUGAAUUUUUUUUUGACACGAUUUUGGCUCGUGGUUUUUGUUUGGGCGUCUCUUGGUGAAGCCAAUGGCAACUAUGCGGAGCAUGUAGUUGUCAGUUGUCUUCACAUCCACAUGAGCCUCAAUGAGGGUCUGAUAAGCCUCCGAGUGUAUCUCGAGUGCCCGCUCGGAGGAAGCUUUUUACUUAGGUGACUCUGGUUUGCAUCUAAGUCUCCGAGUGUGACUUGGAAUGCACACUCGGAGCAAGUUGUUUACUUAGGCGACUCUGAGUCGCGGCUAAGUCCCCGAGUGUGACCUUUGGUGCACACUCGGAACGAGUUUUUACUUAGCCGACUCUGGGUCACAGCUAAGUCCCCGAUUGUGACUUUUAGUGCACACUCGGAGCGGGUUGUUACUCAUGUAGUUGNNNNNNNNNNNNNNNNNNNNNNNNNNNNNNNNNNNNNNNNNNNNNNNNNNNNNNNNNNNNNNNNNNNNNNNNNNNNNNNNNNNNNNNNNNNNNNNNNNNNAAAGGACCCCGGGGGAGGUCACAAGCCCCUAGGCGCGGCCUGGGGGGCCAUGCCUAGCAGGCUUGUGGGCCCCCUGUGGCUCCUCUGCCCUACUUCUUCCUCCUGUAAAUCCCCGAAAAAUCCAAAACCACGGGAGAGAGCCACGAAAAUACUUUUCCGCUGUCGCAAGCUUCUGUCUCCGCAAAAUCCCAUCUGGGGCACGUUCUAGUGCCCUGCCGGAGGGGGGAUUCGGACACGGAGGGCUUCUUCAUCAACACCAUUGCCUCUCCGAUGAUGCGUGAGUAGUUCACCAUAGACCUUCGGGUCCUUAGCUAGUAGCUAGAUGGCUUCUUCUCUCUCUUGGAUCUUCAAUACAAAGUUCUCCAUGAUCUUCAUGGAGAUCUAUCCGAUGUAAUCUUCUUUUGCGGUGUGUUUGUCGAGAUCCGAUGAAUUGUGGAUUUAUGAUCAGAUUGUCUAUGAGUCUUAUUUGAGUUUCUUCUGAUCUCUCUUAUGCGUGAUUUCAUAUCCUUGUAAUUCUCUUCGAGUUGUGGGUUUUGUUUGGCCAACUAGAUCUAUGAUUCUUGCAAUGGGAGAAGUGCUUGGUUUUGGGUUCAUACCGUGCGGCGACCUCACCCAGUGACAGAAGUGGUGGCGAGGCACGCAUCGCGUUGUUGCCAUCAAGGGUAAAAAUAUGGGGUUUUCAUCAUUGGUUUGAGGUUAUCCCUCUACAUCAUGUCAUCUUGCUUAAGGCGUUACUCUGUUCGUCAUGAGCUCAAUACACUAGAUGCAUGCUCGAUAUCGGUCGAUGUGUGGAGUAAUAGUAGUAGAUGCAGAAAUUAUCGGUCUACUUGUCUCGGACGUGAUGCCUAUAUGUAUGAUCAUUACCUUAGAUAUCGUCAUGACUUUGCGCGGUUGUAUCAAUUGCUCGACGGUAAUAUGUUCACCCACAGUAAUACUUGCUAUUUUGAGAGAAGCCUCUAGUGAACACUAUGGCCCCCGGGUCUACUCCACACCAUAUUUUCAGCCUUACACUUUUACUUCGUUGCACUUUCCGCCUUCAGAUCUCACUUUGCAAUCAAUCUUGAAGGGAUUGACAAUCCCUUUAUAGCGUUGGGUGCAAGCUCUUUUGUGUUUGCGCAGAUACUCUAGACUUGACGAGAUUCUCCUACUGGAUUGAUACCUUGGUUCUCAAACUGAGAGAAAUACUUACUGCUCCUGUGCUGCAUCGCCCUUUCCUCUUCAAGGGAAAAACCAACGCAAGCUCAAGAGACGACAGAAGGUUUCUGUCGCCGUAGUCGAAGGAUUUCUGGCGCCGUUGCCAGGGAUAGCAGAAGAAUUUCUGGCGCCGUUGCCGGGGAGGAUCAAGUCAAGAACUCAUCCAAGUAAGUGUCGCAAACUCAUCCCUUGUAUUUACUUUUUUGCCUCUCGUUUUCCUCUCCCCCACUUCUUAAAAACAAAAAAUUACAAAAAAAUAUUUGCCUUUUUGGUUCGUCCUUUUCUUUCGCUUGCUUUCUGUUCGCUUGUGUGCUAUGUGCCUUCAAUAUGCUUGCAUCUUCGCUUGCUGAAAAUCUAUUGAUAUGGAUCCUCAUCCACUUGCUAAUCUCUUUAAGAGAUCCAAUUAUGUUGAUCCAAUUGCUAGUGAGUUGAGUGCACUUGACUUUUUCUAUGGAGUUUUGCUUGAGAUGCGUGAAUCUGAAAAUUGCGAGGAAAAAAUAUAUGAAGUGAUUCACGAGGGCUCCUUGGAUGAAAAACAUGAUUGCAAUGGUUUCAUUAUAAAUUCUAUUUGACAAUCAUGUUAAAAAUAUACAAAACCCUAAGCUUGGGGAUGCUAGUUUUGUUAUGUCCACUACUGGUUGCAAUGAUCAUUAUUGGGGUGAUGAUUUUUCUUAUGAUCUUGAAAAAAAAAUUAAGCCUCAUGAUGAAUAUGAUGUUUGCAAUAACAUUGAAAGUGGGAUUGGAGAAGUCAUGACUUUAGUUGAUGAUAAUCCCACUAUUUUUGAAGAGUGUCAACUUUGCAUGCAUGUGGAUCACGAAAAGAAUAUCCUAUGGGAUAGCUAUAUUGUUGAAUUUGAAUAUGAUCCCACAUGUAAUGAGAGAGAAAAAUAUUGUGGUAAAAUCUUUCAUGUUACUAAACCACCCUUUCGUUAUGUUGAGAUUGCUAUUAUCUCAUUCUUCUUCCUUGCAUAUGAUAACUAUUGAUUGUCAAGACAAUCUGUUUUUCUAUAAAAUGCCUAUGCAUAGGAAGUAUGUCAGACUUAGAUAUGUUUGUCACAUGUUUCAUGAUGUUUUCUUCGUGUCCGAUUGCUAUCCUUUAUGUGAGCAUCAUUGAAUUGUCAAUGCCUGGCUAAAGACGUUAAACAAUAACGCUUGUUGGGAGCCCAACGAAUUUUUGGUCGCGUCGCUCGUGCACGAGGAGGAAGUUUUUCGAGGGGAAGGGCUGGUUUACCUUAGUUUGCAGUACCACGCAUUCCCAGUUGCAUACCAACGGUUUUGUGAUCCGCGUUGGAGAUUUCAUAAUGCACUGUACAACAUAGGUGUUUAUGCUGGUGCCUCAGGUAAAAAAAAAUUGGUUUUAUUUAAGCUUCGGCUUGCAUAGAAAGACAAGAAGGAAACAAAGAUUGGCUUCCGGUGCUUGUCGUAGUUGGAUGGUUAGGAGGACUGUGGUAUUCCCUGCCUAUCAGAGUUCAAGUUUCAGACUUGACGUUGGUGCUUGUAUUUUUCUAAAUUUAUUACAGAUCUUCCGUCGAUGUGCUUUUAAUGGGAGGAGACGUUCCCAUCAACAACGAAGGCGUCGGUGACGACUUCGUCAAUCUUAAGAUAAUGUGCCGGCUUAUUCUUUUAAAAGUGCUCAUAGGGGUAGGAUGUGAGUGCGUGCGUUCAUACGGAUGAGUAUGUGCUCAUAUGUGAGCAACUUUGAUUGUACUCUGCUAAAAAAAAAGCGAAAAAUGCUCUCCUCACUUCAUGGGUCAAAAUUUAUUUAAAGACGCGUACUCUCCCUGUUUUAGGCCCCGUGCGGAAGCUCUGCGCGAGCCAGCUUCCUGGAACUGCCGCAUGAAGCAGGACGAACGCCCUUGCUCCGAGAAUCCGGCGAAGACAUAAAUCCUUCAGUGAAAAAUUCUCGGAGACGCGAGACGUAAGCACGCAGUUUGUGUAAGUGAAAGAGUUGCGAUAAUUUUGCACGUAUUUUGUAGACGUGUUUCCAUAACGUUGACUCACUACACUAGUGUAUUUUACGUGUACAAAACACCCACUUUAUCUGUGAGCCGACUUCCGUGAUGGUUUCUACGUCCACUCGUGGUAACAUAGAGGAGGGCAAUGAAAGUAGUAACAUAUACUGAUGCAUAUAAGGUAAUCCUUUUAGUAACGCAUAGAUCGCAUUUGCACAACCUUCUACUGGCUACAAUCAAGAAAUAAGUGAUACUUUACUCAAGUACCAUAAGUUGCUCAAAACAUCACCGGGUGAAACUCAAGUAUGUCAGCUGCAGUUUAUUGUUAAGAGAAGAACCAAACAAGGAAAGAAAUGAAUUGAUGAAACUCGAGCCAACUGAACUGAAGCUGGAUCUGCAGCUUCAGGAUUGUCUGAAAGAGCAGAUAGCAAUGUCGUGCCACUGAAGUUCGGCUAGCAGACAGAAGCUCAAAGGGAGUAGAUAAAGAAAAUUCCGUUAAUGCUAGUGCUUGUUUGGAUGUUUAUCUAAAUUCUUGUUUUAUAUUUAUCUAAAUAAGUAUGUAUCUAGUCAAAUCUAAGACAAGGUAAUAUCAAGCUGCUAAUUACCUCAUAUUCAGACAGGCUUUACUUCAAGUAAAUUAAAUUUUACAAAUAGAUGGAAAUAAUCACUGAGGUGCAAGUCUAUGAAGAUUCUUCAAUACAUCUAAGAUUCACAGAACCACGUCACUAGCAGACUAUCCUGGGAGCGAAUCAACCACACAACAAAAACGCCCUACCUGUUCUCCAAAGCAAAAUCCAAAGCUUACAGCAGUGAUCCACCGGCUGAAUACCAUGUGGAAUGUAAGCAUUAGAUCAAAAAAGGAAAAAUAAUAUAUGGUGAAACCAGUCACCAUAAUAGCAAAGCAUUGCAUAAUCAUAAUAGAUCGGCACUCACCUGUAAUAACAUCUCAAACAUAUCAGCAUUUGGAGGUUAUCCAGCUGCCUCUAAGGAAAAAUUCACACAACAUAGAUCAAUCACUUUUGACAAACAAACAUCCGACCAACACUGGAAUAAGACAAUGGAACAGAAGUCCAGGGAAAGCAGACAACCUACCUUACGCUCUCCUGUAUGAGUACAAGUCCAGAGAGAACAUGAAUAUAAAUGGUUUCUUGCAGAUGACAAUCUUAGUAAUUAUAUGACUGUUUUCAGUAUGGUCGCGAUCGUGAACCACCGCCCUGGUUUCUGUUAGGCCCGCCAUAGCCUCCUCCAUCUCUGCGUCUAUCCCCGCCAUAGCCGCCUCCACCACCACGUCCACCUCUGCACAACAAGUAAUGCGGCAAACAGGUUAUAUGUUAGCAUCAUACAACCAAUCAUGAUUUUAGUAAUGCUCAAUUGGAGAUACAUCAGAUAUAUGCUAAUUUAAAGGCUCAGCUGCUUAAAAGAAAAACCGCAUAUUGGUCAACUGUACUUAGCAAUGACUCCAGACUUUAUCUGGUCAUCAAAGGCAUAUGCAGCAUGCCAACAAUGUCUGAUACAUAAUUUGAAUCAGGUUAACUUGGUUUGGUUCUAUUCUGUACUCUUCAGGCCAAAAUGCAACAACCAGACAAGUCAUGGAAUACUAUCAUAUCCGCAAAAUAGUUUGAAGAGGCCUGUAAAAUAACACAAUGACACGGGACAAAAUAAUAUGACAAUGCUAGGAAAAUGCAAAUUGAGAUAUCAAACUGUAGCAGGGGCCAAAGGGUAUAAUUGGCCCAGAGUAGACAUUAGAUUACAGAAUUUGUGUUUAUCAGAUAAACAAGCAAGAUGUACUUACCCAUGACCAGAUGUAGGAGCUCUAGGUGCUGAUUUCUCAGCCAUCACAACACUAAUUUUACGGCCUCUCAUGUCAUAAUCUGAAAUGGAAGAAGAUUAUAUGCAUUAUGAAGUGGAAAGCAGUGUUAGAUAGAAAAAUGUGAUGCAUCGCUGCAACCCCAGCACUAAACAUACCAUUGUAGAAUCCACCAGCUGAAUGAGCAGCAGAAGGAUCUUCAUAAGCAAGGCAAGCAUCUCCUUUGGCUUUUCCAGAAUCAUCAGUGUAGAUUUUUAUGUUCCAGGGCCACUGGUCUUUGUAGCCACGUUUUUGCUUGAUCCUUCCAACCUUUAAAAAAGUAGUUGCAAGUAUUGAAAGAACAAAAUAAAAUGACCAACAAGUGCUCGACAUAAUUGAAAAAUAACAGUAUUCUAUUCUCUAAGAUUAGCAACAGCAAUGGGUGUGCCAUCUCGCGAGUUCUUGGGCAAAGAUAUGUGGCAAAGAUAUUUUACCUGACCGACUCAGGAUGUCUAUAAAGUUUUGAAGUAGAAAACUACAACAUAUAUUUAGGUAACAGAGAUAAAAAAAAUUGGCCUAUUUUGGAGUAGAACUAUGUGAGCAGAGUCAAGCUGAUUAUUACGAACUAUGCAAGUUGUUCAUGCACUUGGAUGAACAACACAUGUUUUCAUAUUUAAUCAGUGGAAAAAAGUUUAUCUGGUACAAUUACCCUCGCUAUGAUCUCACCACACAUAAACUUAACAUUUGGUUAGUAAGCACCUUAUCUUAAAAGAACGAUAGAUGGGGUCCAACCAUGCAUUACAGAAUAGAUUAUUACUAGUAUCAAUAAGUGCAGCUUACACACUUAAAAUGAAGUAUGAAUUGAUGAAAACAGAACACAACUUGAAAUCAUAGGGCACAGGUAUUAACAGCCCAAGUUGAAAAUGAGAUACUUUAAGAGGAACACAAACACGGAAUUCAGGCAAUAAAGAACUGAUACAUACAGUUCAAAUUAAGCAGCACUUCACAAAAUAUGUUUUUAGAGGCCGCACAGAUGCACAGCAUGUGGAGCUCUAGGCUAUUACAGAUUGAUAAAGAAUUCAAGAGAAGGUAAAUUAUACCUGGCCAAUUCCUCCAAAAAGCUCUUGCAGUUCCUCAACAGUCACAUCAGGAGGCAGGUUUGAGAUGUAAAUCCUUGCAUUGUCGCAGGAAUCAUCACAGUUUGCAUCACACUGCUUAACCUUUGUAGUAGGUUCAGGGGCAGCAUUUGCAGAAUAACCGCCGCCACCACCUUGAUAAGGUGGUGGAGCACCACCUGCGCCUCCACCCCCAGGCACAGACCGAGCACCAUAACCACCAUCAUAUGUAGGUGGCAAGCCUCCUUGCCCACCUGGGGCACCGCCACUAUAUGGGUUCGGAGGUGGGGCACCAUAGCUUGGUGGGUAAGAGCCUCGACCGCCGCCAUAGCUGUUAGGGGGUGGCACUGCAGACUCUGAACUGUACACAUUGUUGCCUCCAUAGGAACUUGGGGGCGGUGCGUAGUCACCUGGAGGACCGCCAUAGGAUGGAGGGCCUUUAGGGGGAGCCUGUCCAUAGCCACCGUCACCUUGGUUGUUCUCUUGGCCUCUUCCCCCAUAACUGCCACCGCUCCCACCACGGUGGUCAUCAAAACCACGGCCACUCCCACCAUCACGAUUAUACCCUCCUCUUGCUCCUCCGGCACCACCAUCACGACCACCAGAGUUGUAAUCUCCAUCACCUCUGCUGUAGCCACCGCCUCCUGAACCAUGAUCACCACCACCACGAUUGUACCCUCCACCUCCACCAGACCUAUCGUACCCACCGCCGCCGCCACCACCUCCACCUCCACUUGGGUUAACUGCCCCACACUUAUUGCACUCAGUCCUCCUUGCAAAGUUCACAUUAAGGCAGCUGCAACAAGAAUUCAUAUACGUUUAGUCUCAACGAUUGCAUAGAAGAUAAUACACUCAGCAUGAAAACACCUGGUAGUGUUUACAAAACUAGAGCCCACCGAUGUUUCCAAUAACUGAACAACAUCGCAAAGAAAUACAAUGGUAAAUUAAAUGUAUAUGCUCUGGUGUAACAACCAAUAAAAUAUAUAUAUAACAGAGUAAAUAACCAGGGCAAAUAAUGCUAGUAUAUCAACAUAUAGCCCGGCAAUAAUCUCAAAUGUAAAUUACAGACAUGAAUAUCAAGGAUCAUAAGUUAUGAUUUUAAGGCCAUAGGGCAUCUAGCAGAAGUUGAAACUAAACCAUCAGAAUGGUGUGAUGUUUGAAAUUCCAGUGACCGCGCUACGGCAUAAGCUCCCAACAAUAAAAUGUCAUGAAAGUUCUGCCUAGCCUAAAUCCCCACGACAGUUGAGAAGAUCCCAACACCAAAUCCUAGAGCGAGAUAGCGANNNNNNNNNNNNNNNNNNNNNNNNNNNNNNNNNNNNNNNNNNNNNNNNNNNNNNNNNNNNNNNNNNNNNNNNNNNNNNNNNNNNNNNNNNNNNNNNNNNNGCAACCCGAAGGUUUUGUCGAUCCUAAAAAUGCUGACAAGGUGUGCAAGCUCCAGCGAUCCAUUUAUGGACUGGUGCAAGCAUCUCGGAGUNNNNNNNNNNGCUGCUUUUUUCGAUUAUGAAAUCUGGCAGAUGGAUGUCAAAACGGCGUUCCUUAACGGUUUCCUUAAGGAAGAGUUGUAUAUGAUACAACCCAAAGGUUUUGUCGAUCCUAUGAAUGCUAACAAGGUGUGCAAGCUCCAGCGAUCCAUUUAUGGACUAGUGCAAGCAUCUCGGAGUUGGAACAAACGCUUUGAUGAGGUGAUCAAAGCAUUUGGGUUUAUACAAGUGGUUGGAGAAUCUUGUAUUUACAAGAAAGUGAGUGGGAGCUCUGUGGCAUUUCUAAUAUUAUAUGUGGAUGACAUAUUGCUGAUUGGAAACAACGUGNNNNNNNNNNAAUGAGGUGAUCAAAGCAUUUGGGUUUAUACAAGUGGUUGGAGAAUCCUGUAUUUACAAGAAAGUGAGUGGGAGCUUUGUGGUGUUUCUAAUAUUAUAUGUGGAUGACAUAUUGCUGAUUGGAAACAACGUGGAGUUCUUGGAGAGCAUAAAGGAUUACUUGAAUAAAAGUUUCUCUAUGAAGGACCUAGGAGAAGCUGCUUANNNNNNNNNNAAGUGAGUGGGAGCUCUGUGGCGUUUCUAAUAUUAUAUGUGGAUGACAUAUUACUGAUUGGAAACAACGUAGAGCUUUUGGAGAGCAUAAAAGGUUACUUGAAUAAAAGUUUCUCUAUGAAGGACCUAGGAGAAGCUGCUUACAUUCUAGGCAUUAAGAUCUAUAGGGAUAGAUCUAAACACCUGAUAGGACUUUCACAAAGCACAUACCUUGAUAAAGUUUUGAAGAGGUUCAAAAUGGAACAGUCCAAGAAAGGGUUCUUGCCAGUUUUACAAGGUACGAGAUUGAGUAAGACUCAGUGCCCAGCAGCUGAUGAAGAUAGAGAGCAUAUGCGCUCCGUCCCCUAUGCUUCAGCCAUAGGUUCUAUCAUGUAUGCAAUGAUGUGCACUAGACCGGAUGUUAGCCUGGCCAUAAGUAUGGCAGGUAGGUUCCAGAGUAAUCCAGGAGUGNNNNNNNNNNAUCCCCUAUGCUUCAGCCAUAGGUUCUAUCAUGUAUGCAAUGUUGUGCACUAGACCGGACGUCAGCCUGGCCAUAAGUAUGGCAGGUAGGUUCCAGAGUAAUCCAGGAGUGGAUCACUGGACGGCGGUCAAGAAUAUCCUGAAGUACCUGAAAAGGACUAAGGAGAUGUUUCUCGUGUAUGGAGGUGAUGAAGAGCUCGCCGUAAAAGGUUACGUCGAUGCGAGCUUUGACACAGAUCCGGACGACUCUAGGUCGCAAACCGGAUAUGUAUUUAUUCUUAAUGGGGGUGCUGUAAGCUGGUGCAGUUCCAAGCAAAGCGUCGUAGCAGAUUCUACAUGUGAAGCGGAGUACAUGGCUGCCUCGNNNNNNNNNNGUCGAUGCAAGCUUUGACACAGAUCCAGACGACUCUAAGUCGCAAACUGGAUACGUAUUUAUUCUUAAUGGGGGUGCGGUAAGCUGGUGCAGUUCCAAGCAGAGCGUCGUAGCAGAUUCUACAUGUGAAGCGGAGUACAUGGCUGCCUCGNNNNNNNNNNACGGCUAAGUAGGGUGUCUGGAUGAAGCAAUUCAUGACGGAUCUUGGAGUGGUGCCAAGCGCACUGAAUCCAAUAACCUUGUUCUGUGACAACACGGGUGCCAUUGCCCUAGCAAAGGAACCACGGUUUCACAAGAAGUCCAGACACAUCAAACGACGCUUCAACCUCAUCCACGACUACGUCGAAGGGGAGGACGUAAAUAUAUGCAAAGUGCACACGGAUCUGAAUGUAGCAGACCCGCUGACUAAACCUCUUCCACGGGCAAAGCAUGAUCAACACCAGAACUGUAUGGGUGUUAGAUUUAUUACAAUGUAAUCCACAUGAUGAUGUGAGGGCUAGAUUAUUGACUCUAGUGCAAGUGGGAGACUGUUGGAAUUAUGCCCUAGAGGNNNNNNNNNNNNNNNNNNNNNNNNNNNNNNNNNNNNNNNNNNNNNNNNNNNNNNNNNNNNNNNNNNNNNNNNNNNNNNNNNNNNNNNNNNNNNNNNNNNNCGGUAUGUUACUUGCCCGAGAUUCGAUCGUCAGUAUCCGUAUACCUAUUUCAAUCUCGUUUACUGGCAAGUCUCUUUACUCGUUCCGUAAUACAAGAUCCCGCAACUUACACUUAGUCACAUUGCUUGCAAGGCUUGUGUGUGAUGUUGUAUUACCGAGUGGGCCCCGAGAUACCUCUCCGUCACACGGAGUGACAAAUCCCAGUCUCGAUCCAUACUGACUUAACGAACACCUUCGGAGAUACCUGUAGAGCAUCUUUAUAGUCACCCAGUUACGUUGCGACGUUUGAUACACACAAAGUAUUCCUCCAGUGUUAGUAAGUUAUAUGAUCUCAUGGUCAUAGGAAUAAAUACUUGACACGCAGAAAACAGUAGCAACAAAAUGACACGAUCAACAUGCUACGUCUAUUAGUUUGGGUCUAGUCCAUCACGUGAUUCUCCCAAUGACGUGAUUCAGUCAUCAAGCAACAACACCUUGUUCAUAAUCAGAAGACACUGACUAUCAUCGAUCAACUGGCUAGCCAACUAGAGGCAUGCUAGGGACGGUGUUUUGUCUAUGUAUCCACACAUGUAAAUGAGUCUUCAUUCAAUACAAUUAUAGCAUGGAUAAUAAACNNNNNNNNNNNNNNNNNNNNNNNNNNNNNNNNNNNNNNNNNNNNNNNNNNNNNNNNNNNNNNNNNNNNNNNNNNNNNNNNNNNNNNNNNNNNNNNNNNNNCAUGUAAAUGAGUCUUCAUUCAAUACAAUUAUAGCAUGGAUAAUAAACUAUUAUCUUGAUACAGGAAUUAUAAUAAUAACUAUACAUUUAUUAUUGCCUCUAGGGCAUAAUUCCAACAGUCUCCCACUUGCACUAGAGUCAAUAAUCUAGCCCUGACAUCACCAUGUGAAUUACAUUGUAAUAAAUCUAACACCCAUACAGUUCUGGUGUCGAUCAUGUUUUGGCCGUGGAAGAGGUUUAGUCAGCGGGUCUGCUACAUUCAGACCCGUGUGCACCUUGCAUAUAUUUACGUCCUCCUCCUCGACGUAGUCGCGGAUGAGGUUGAAGCGUCGUUUGAUGUGUCUGGUCUUCUUGUGAAACCUUGGUUCCUUUGCUAAGGCAAUGGCACCAGUGUUGUCACAGAACAAGGUUAUUGGAUCCAGUGCACUUGGCACUACUCCAAGAUCCGUCAUGAACUGCUUCAUCCAGACACCCUCCUUAGCCGCCUCCGAGGCAGCCAUGUACUCCGCUUCACAUGUAGAAUCUGCUACGACGGUUUGCUUGGAACUGCACCAGCUUACUGCACCCCCAUUAAGAAUAAAUACGUAUCCGGUUUGCGACUUAGAGUCGUUCGGAUCUGUGUCAAAGCUUGCAUCGAUGUAACCUUUUACGGCGAGCUCUUCGUCACCUCCAUACACGAGAAACAUCUCCUUAGUCCUUUUCAGGUACUUCNNNNNNNNNNNNNNNNNNNNNNNNNNNNNNNNNNNNNNNNNNNNNNNNNNNNNNNNNNNNNNNNNNNNNNNNNNNNNNNNNNNNNNNNNNNNNNNNNNNNCAAAUAUUACGGUGGGUGAAUGAAUUACUGUCGAGCAAUUGAUAGAACCGCGCAAAGUCAUGACGAUAUCUAAGGCAAUGAUCAUACAUAUAGGCAUCACGUCCGAGACAAGUAGCCCGAUACUUUCUGCAUCUACUACUAUUACUCCACACAUCGACAGCUAUCUGGCAUGCAUCUAGUGUAUUGAGUUCAUAACAAACAGAGUAACACCUUAAGCAAGAUGACAUGAUGUAGAGGGAUAAAUUCGUGCAAUAGAUAUAAACCCCAUCUUUUUACCCUUGAUGGCAACAACACGNNNNNNNNNNACCGAUACUUUCUGCAUCUACUACUACUACUCCACACAUCGACCGCUAUCGAGCAUGCAUCUAGUGUAUUGAGUUCAUGACAAACAGAGUAACGCCUUAAGCAAGAUGACAUGAUGUAGAGGGAUAAAUUCAUGCAAUAGAUAUAAACCCCAUCUUUUUACCCUUGAUGGCAACAACACGAUACGUGCCUGGCUACCCCUUCUGUCACUGGGUGAGGUCACCGCACGAUAUGAACCCAAAACCAAGCACUUCUCCCAUUGCAAGAAUCAUAGAUCAAGNNNNNNNNNNCGAUAACGACAAAUCAGUAAGAGACAUCAUAGAUCGCACCAUCUCUAAUAGAGUACGAUUACGACGUUCGGACACACCAUUACGCUGUGGUGUUCCAGGCGGUGUUAACUGUGAAACAAUUCCACAUUGUCUUAAGUGAGUACGAAACUCAGAUAUUCACCCCCNNNNNNNNNNUGAUAAUGGCAAAUGGGUAAGAGACAUCACAGAUCGCACCAUCUCUAAUAAAGUACGAUUACAACGUUCGGACACACCAUUACGCUGUGGUGUUCCACGCGGUGUCAAUUGUGAAACAAUUCCACAUUGUCUUAAGUGAGCACCAAACUCGAAACUCAGAUAUUCACCCCCACGAUCAGACCGUAGGAACUUGAUCUUCUUGUUAUGAUGGUUUUCAACUUUACUCUGAAAUUGCUUGAACUUUUCAAAUGUUUCAGACUUGUGUUUCAUCAAGUAGACAUAACCAUAUCUACUCAAAUCGUCAGUGAAGGUGAGAAAAUAACGAUAUCCGUCGCGUGCCUCUACGCACAUCGGACCACACACAUCGGUAUGUAUGAUUUCCAACAAGUCACUUGCNNNNNNNNNNCAAAUAACGAUAUCCGCCGCGUGCCUCCACGCUCAUCGGACCACACACAUCGGUAUGUAUGAUUUCCAACAAGUCACUUGCNNNNNNNNNNCAAGUAGACAUAACCAUAUCUACUUAAAUCGUCAGUGAAGGUGAGGAAAUAACGAUAUCCGCCGCGUGCCUCUACGCUCAUUGGACCACACACAUCGGUAUGUAUGAUUUCCAACAAGUCACUUGCACGCNNNNNNNNNNGCGCUAUCAUUGUUAACUCUAACUCUUUUGGUCUCAAUGUUAUGUAUGUGUGUAUCACUAUCAAGAUUCAAUAUGAACAAUCCUCUCACAUUGGGUGCAUGACCAUAAAAGAUGUUACUCAUAGAAAUAGAACAACCAUUANNNNNNNNNNACGCUAUCAUUGUUAACUCUAACUCUUUUGGUCUCAAUAUUAUGUAUAUGCGUGUUGCCAUCAAGAUUCAAUAUGAACAAUCCUCUCACAUUAGGUGCAUGACCAUAAAAGAUGUUACUCAUAGAAAUAGAACAACCAUUANNNNNNNNNNAUCAAAGUCAAGUGACUCCAAAAGUCCAUCAGCAUGGAGUUUCUUCAUGCGCUUUACACCAAUAUGACCUAGGCGGCAGUGCCACAAAAAUAUGGCACUAUCAUUGUUUACUCUAACUCUUUUGGUCUCAAUGUUAUGUAUAUGCGUAUCGCUAUCAAGAUUCGAUAUGAACAAUCCGCUCACAUUCGGUGCAUGACCAUAAAAGAUGUUACUCAUAGAAAUAGAACAACCAUUAUUCUCUGACUUAAAAGAGUAACCGUCUCGCUAUAAACAAGAUCCAGAUAUAAUGUUCAUGCUCAACGCAGGCACUAAAUAACAAUGAUUUAAGUUCAUCACUAAUCCUGAUGGUAACUGAAGUGAAACUGUGCCGACGACGAUUGCAUCAACCUUGGAACCAUUUCCUACGCGCAUCGUCACUUCAUCUUUCGCCAGCCUUCGUCUAUUCCGCUGUUCCUGUUUCGAGUUGCAAAUAUGAGCAACAGAACCUGUAUCGAAUACCCAGGCACUACUACGAGAGCCGGUUAAGUACACAUCAAUAACAUGUAUAUCAAAUAUACCUGAUUUGUCUUUGGCCGCCUUCUUAUCUGCCAGAUAUUUGGGGCAAUUGCGCUUCCAGUGACCCAUACCCUUGCAAUAGUAACACNNNNNNNNNNNNNNNNNNNNNNNNNNNNNNNNNNNNNNNNNNNNNNNNNNNNNNNNNNNNNNNNNNNNNNNNNNNNNNNNNNNNNNNNNNNNNNNNNNNNAGCGCCACACCAUGAUCUCCAUCAACGUGUCGCCAUCGGGGUUGGCGUGCUACUCAUGCUAUUACUACUAAAGCUACAUCCUAGCAAAAUAGUGAACGCAUCUGCAAGCACAAACGUUAGUUAUAAAGACAACCCUAUGGCUCCUGCCGGUUGCCGUACCAUCGACGUGCAAGUCGAUAUUUUCUAUUACAACAUGAUCAUCUCAUACAUCCAAUAUAUCACAUCACAUCGUUGGCCAUAUCACAUCACAAGCAUACAAUGCAAAAACAAGUUAGACGUCCUCUAAUUUUGUUGUUGCAUGUUUUACGUGGUGACCAUGGGUAUCUAGUAGGAUCGCAUUUUACUUACGUAAACACCACAACGGAGAUAUAUGAGUUGCUAUUUAACCUCAUCCAAGGACCUCCUCGGUCAAAUCCGAUUCAACUAAAGUUGGAGAAACUGACACUUGCCAGUCAUCUUUGAGCAACGGGGUUACUCGUAGCGAUGAAACCAGUCUCUCAUAAGCGUAUGAGUAAUGUCGGUCCAAGGCUUCAAUCCAACAAUACCGCCGGAAUCAAGAAAAGACUAAGGAGGGCAGCAAAACGCACACCACCGCCCACAAAAACUUUUGUGUUCUACUCGAGAAGACAUCUACGCAUGAACCUAGCUCUGAUACCACUGUUGGGGAACGUCGCAUGGGAAACAAAAAUUUUCCUACGCGCACGAAGACCUAUCAUGGUGAUGUCCAUCUACGAGAGGGGAUGUGUGAUCUACGUACCCUUGUAGACCGUACAGCAGAAGCGUUAGUGAACGCGGUUGAUGUAGUGGAACGUCCUCACGUCCCUCGAUCCGCCCCGUGAACCGUCCCGCGAUAAGUCCCACAAUCUAGAGCCGAACGGACGGCACCUCCGCGUUCAGCACACGUACAGCUCGACGAUGNNNNNNNNNNCGAACAAUCCCGCGAUCAAUCCCACGAUCUAGUACCGAACGGACGGCACCUCCGCGUUCAGCACACGUACAAAUCGACGAUGAUCUCGGCCUUCUUGAUCUAGCAAGAGAGACAGAGAGGUAGAAGAGUUCUCCGGCAGCGUGACGGCGCUCUGGAGGUUGGUGAUGACCUUGUCUCAGCAGGGCUCCGCCCGAGCUCCGCAGAAACGCGAUCUAGAGGAAAAAGCGUGUAGGUAUGUGGUCGGGCUGCCGUGGAAAAGUCGUCUCAAAUCAGCCCUAAAACCUCCGUAUAUAUAGGUGGGAGGGAGGGGACCUUGCCUUGGGGCUCAAGGAGCCCCAAGGGGGUCGGCCGAGUCCAAGGGGGAAGCCUCCCCCCCAAACCGAGUUGGACUUGGUUUGGUGGGUGGGAGUNNNNNNNNNNUAGUUCUCCGGCAGCGUGAUGACGCUCCGGAGGUUGGUGAUGAUCUCGUCUCAGCAAGGCUCCGCCCGAGCUCCGCAGAAACGCGAUCUAGAGGAAAAACUAUGGAGGUAUGUGGUCGGGCAGCCGUGAGAGAGUCGUCUCAAAUCUGCCCUAAAAGCCCCAUAUAUAUAGGAGGAGGGAGGGGAACCUUGCCUUGGGGUCCAAGGGACUCCCAAGGGGUUGGCCGAGCCAAGGGGGGAGGACACCCCCCCAAACCGAGUUGGACUUGGUUUGGUGGGAGGAGUCUCCCUCCCUUCCCACUUCUUCCCUCUUUUUUUUUAUUUUCCUUUGAUUUCUUUCUCUUGGCGCAUAGGCCCCCUUGGGGCUGUNNNNNNNNNNGAGUUCUCCGGCAGCGUGACGGCGCUCCGGAGGUUGGUGAUGAUCUCGUCUCAGCAGGGCUCCGCCCGAGCUCCGCAGAAACACGAUCUAGAGGUAAAACCGUGGAGAUAUGUGGUCGGGCUGCCGUGGCAAAGUUGUCUCAAAUCAGCCCUAAAACCCCACUAUAUAUAGGAGAGAGAGGGGGAGCCUUGCCUUGGGGUCCAAGAACCCCCAAGGGGGCGGCCGAGCCAAGGGGGGAAGGAUUCCCCUCCCAAACCGAGUCCUACUUGGUUUGGAAGGUGGAGUCCUUCUUCCCUUUCCCACCUCCUCCUUUUUUUUCUCUUUGAUUUUCUUCUCAAUGCGCAUAGGCCCCUUUUGGGCUGUCCCACCAGCCCACUAAGGGCUGGUGCGGCACCCCCAACACCUAUGGGCUUCCCCGGGGUGGGUGGCCCCCCNNNNNNNNNNUCUUCCUUCCCUUCCCACCUCCUUUUUUUUCUUUUCUCUUUGAUUUUCUUUCCUAGGCGCAUAGGGCCCUUUUGGGCUGNNNNNNNNNNCGGCCGAGCCAAGGGGGGGAGGACUCCCCCCCCAAACCGAGUUGGACUUGGUUUGGUGGGAGGAGUCCCCCUCCCUUCCCACUUCUUCCCUCUUUUUUUUUCUUUUCCUUUGAUUUCUUUCUCUUGGCGCAUAGGCCCCCUUGGGGCUGUCCCACCAGCCCACUAAGGGCUGGUGUGUCUCCCGAAAGCCUAUGGGAUUCCCCCGGGGUGGGUUGGCCCCCCGGUGAACUCCCGGAACCCAUUCGUCAUUCCCGGUACAUUCCCGGUAACUCGGAAAACCUUCCGGUAAUCAAAUGAGGUCAUCCUAUAUAUCAAUCUUCGUUUCCGGACCAUUCCGGAAANNNNNNNNNNUGGUAAUCAAUCUUCGUUUCCGGACCAUUCCGGAAACCCUCGUGACGUCCGUGNNNNNNNNNNGCCUCGUGACGUCCGUGAUCUCAUCCGGGACUCCAAACAACAUUCGGUAACCAACCAUAUAACUCAAAUACGCAUAAAACAACGUCGAACCUUAAGUGUGCAGACCCUACGGGUUCGAGAACUAUGUAGACAUGACCCGAGAGACUCCUCGGUCAAUAUCCAAUAGCGGGACCUGGAUGCCCAUAUUGGAUCCUACAUAUUCUACGAAGAUCUUAUCGUUUGAACGUCAGUGCCAAGGAUUCAUAUAAUCCCGUAUGUCAUUCCCUUUGUCCUUCGGUAUGUUACUUGCCCGAGAUUCGAUCGUCAGUAUCCGNNNNNNNNNNNNNNNNNNNNNNNNNNNNNNNNNNNNNNNNNNNNNNNNNNNNNNNNNNNNNNNNNNNNNNNNNNNNNNNNNNNNNNNNNNNNNNNNNNNNUAUUGCUAACAUGAUUCUGACGGACUUAAGCAUCGCUACGGGUGAGAAGGUCUCAUCAUAGUCAACUCCUGGAACUUGUGAAAAACCCUUUGCCACAAGUCGAGCUUUAUAAACGGUCACAUUACCGCCAGCGUCCGUCUUCUUCUUAAAGAUCCAUUUGUUCUGAAUAGCCUUGCGGCCCUCAGGUAGUAUCUCCAAAGUCCACACUUUGUUCUCAUACAUGUAUCCUAUCUCGGAUUUCAUGGCUUCCAGCCAUUUGUUGGAAUCUGGGCCCACCAUUGCUUCUUCAUAAUUUGCAGGUUCAUUCUUGUCUAACAACAUGAUUGACAAGACGGGAUUACCGUACCACUCUGGAGCAGCGCGUGAUCUCGUCGACCUGCGUGGUUCAACAGAAACUUGAACUGGAGUUUCAUGAUCAUCAUCAUUAACUUCUUGCUCAACCGGCGUCGCAACGACAGAGGUUUCCCCUUGCCCUGCGCCACCAUUUAGAGGGAUGAGAGGUUCGACAACCUCGUCAAGUUCUAUCUUCCUCCCACUCAAUUCUCUCGAGAGAAACUCCUUCUCAAGAAAAGUUCCGUUCUUAGCAACAAACACUUUGCCCUCGGUUUUGAGAUAGAAGGUGUACCCAACUGUCUCUUUUGGGUAACCUAUGAANNNNNNNNNNNNNNNNNNNNNNNNNNNNNNNNNNNNNNNNNNNNNNNNNNNNNNNNNNNNNNNNNNNNNNNNNNNNNNNNNNNNNNNNNNNNNNNNNNNNAUAACCCUUAUCGGUCACAAAGAUAGGUGAAGUGGCAAACUUCGGGUCGUAUUUCAGCCUAGCGUUCAAAGUUUUUUCUUUCCACUUGCGCAGAAGUUUCUCAACAUCAUAGCUAUCCUCACACGCAAGAAAAUCCUCAGCUAUCUCUCCCUCCAUAACAUAGCGCAUAUCAGGCAUAACAGGCAAUUCAGGCAUAGUAGCAGUUUCUACUUCAAUAGUAUCAGCAGUUUCAGAAUUAUCAUCACAUCUAGCAGCAAUUCUAGCAAGUUGUGCAUCAAGGAAUGCACCAAGUGGCAAAGCAAUAUCAAGCAUAGCAUCAUCAGGCAUAGUAUCAAGCAUAGCAUCAUCAGGCAUAGUAUCAAGCAUAGCAUCAUCAUAAGCAUCAUGGGCAACAGAAGUAGCAUCAUCAAGCACAUGCGACAUAUCAAGAUUUCUAGCAGGAGGUGAUGUUGCAAACUUACUCAAAACUGAAGGUGAAUCAAGUGUAGAGCUAGAUGGCAGUUCCUUACCUCUCCUUGUAGUGGAAGGCAGUAUUUUAGUUCUUGGAUCUUUCGGAUUCCUCAUAGUGAUCAGCAGACGUCAAUCCCAAGUGAUUCAGAGAAUAUAAUUGUGCUUCCCCGGCAACGGCGCCAGAAAAAGCCUUGACAACCCACAAGCGUAUGGGAUCGCAGCAGUUUUCGAGGGUAGAGUAUUCAACCCAAAUUUGUUGGUUCACACAAGGGAAGCGAAAAAAUAUUCUCGAGUCUUAGCAGCUGAGUGUGUUAGAUUCAACCACACCUGAAAGAUUAGUGUCUGCAAGCAAAGUAUCAGUAGCAAAGUAUUAUGAUAGUAAUGGUGCCAGAAACGAUCUGUUGACGACAGACUAUUCCUAACUGUUGUAUCAAUGGCGCAGUAAACAACACGUUGACGGGGGACUAUUCUUCCCCAGCAACUGCUCCAGAAAAGGUCUUGCACUAAGUAGCGGGGUAGCAAGGAACAUCAGUAGCAGCAGCAAAGUGACAGCAGUAGCAACAAAGUGGCCCAAUCCCUUUUGUAGCAAGGGACAAGCCUAGACAAAGUAACGUAGCGAGGAGCAGUAGUAAAAGACUCGUAGGCAGUGGAUUGGUGAUGGAUGAGUGUGACGGAUGUGAUUCAUCAUGUAACAGCUAUAACACAGAGAGAUAUGUAACUAGCUCCCGUUCAUCAAUCUAAUGCAGACAUGUAUUCCAUAUGUAGUCAUACGUGCUUAGGGAAAAGAACUUGCAUGACAUCUAUUGUCCAUCCCUCCCGUGGUAGCGGGGUCCUAAUGAAAACUACGGGAUAUUAAGGUUCUCCUUUUAAUAAAGAACCAGACCAAUGCAUUAACACGCGGUGAAUACAUGAACUCCUCAUACUAUGGUCAUCUCCGGGAGUGGUUUCGGCUAUUGUCACUCCGGGGUUGCCGGGUCAUAACACAUAGUAGGUGACUACAACUUGCAAGAUAGGAUCUAAAACACACAUAUAUUGGCGAUAACAUAAUAGGUUCAGAUCUGAAAUAUGGCACUUGGGCCCUAGUGACAAGCAUUAAGCAUAGCCAAGUAGUAGCAACAUCAAUCUAGAACAUAGUGGAUACUAGGGAUCAAUCCCCGUCAAGAACUAACUCGAUUACAUGAUAGAUCUCAGCCAACUCAUCACCGUCCAGCAAGCCUACGAUGAGAUUACUCACGAACGAUGAAGAGCAUCAUGGAAUUGUCGAUGGAGAAAGGUUGAUGAUGUCGAUGGCGACGAUUUCCCCUCCCCGGAGCCCGAAACGGACUCCAGAUCUGCCCUCCAGAUGAAGAACAAGAUGUGGCGGCGCCUCCGUAUCGCAAAACGCGAUGAAACCUUCUCCCUGAUUUUUUUCCAGGCGAAAUGGAAGGUAUAGAGCUGAAUUGGGGGGUGGUGGUGCCACGUGGGCCCCACAAGCCUGCACGGCACGGCCUAGGGGGUGGCCGCGGCCUGUGGGCUUGUGGCCCACUCGCACGCCCACUCAGGUGGAUCUUUGUGCAGAUAUUUUUCUUUUAUUCCAGAAAAAAUCUUCGUAAAUUUUCAGGACAUUCCAAGAACUUUUAUUUCUACACAAAAACAACACCAUGGCAAUUCUGUUGAAAUUAUGCAAAUUAGAGUUCAAAACAAGGGCAAAAGAGUUCGGAAAAGUAGAUACGACGGAGAUGUAUCACCUCCCAACAAGCGCUAUUGUUUAACGCCCUUAGAUAGGCAUUGAUAAUGAAAUGAUGCUCACACAAAAGACCAGAAUUGAAGCACAACGAGAGCAUCAUAAUGCAUGUGAAAAUCACAUCUAAGUCUAACAUACUUCCUAUGCAUAGGCAUUUUAUAGGAAAACCGAUUGUCAAGACAACCAAUAGUUACCAAAUGCAAGGAAGAAGAAAGAGACAAGAGCAAUCUGAACAUAACGAGAGGUGAUUUAGUGAUAUGAAAGUUUCUACCACCAUAUUUUCCUCUCUCAUAAUAAUUACAUGUGGGAUCAUAUUCGAAUUCAACAAUGUAACUAUCACAUAGGAUAUUCUUUUCAUGAUCCACAUGCAUGCAAAGUUGACGCACUUCGAAAAUAGUGGGAUUAUCAUCAACUGAAGUCAUGACUUCUCCAAACCCACUUUCAAUCUUAAUGCAAAUAUCAUAUUCACCAUGAGGCUUAAACAAAUUUUCAAGAUCAUAAGAAAAAUCAUUACCCCCAAUCAUGAUCAUUGCAACAAGUAGUGGACAUAGCAAAACUAGCAUCCCCAAGCUUAGGGUUUUGCAUUUUUUAGCAUGAUUGACACUAAUAGGAUUUAUAGUGAAACCAUUGCAAUCCUGCUUUUCAGUCAAGGAGCCCCCGUGAAUCACUUCAUAAAUUUCUUCAUCACGAUUUUCAGAUUCACGCAUUUCAAGCAAAACUCCAAAGAGAAAGUUAAGUGCACUCAACUCACUAGCAAUUGGAUCAACAUAAUUGGAUCUCUUAAAGAGAUUAGCAAGUGGAUGAGGAUCCAUAUCAAUAGAUUUUCAACAUGCGAAGUGCAAGAAUAUUGACGACACAUAGCACACAAGCGAACAGAAAGCAAGCGAAGGAAAAGGGCAAACGAAAAAGGCAAAUAUAUUUUUGUAAUUUUUUGUUUUUCAGAAGUGGGGGAGAGGAAAACGAGAGGCAAAAAAGUAAAUGCAAGAGAUGAGUUAGCGAGAGUUACUUGAAUGAGUUCUUGACUUGAUACUCCCCGGCAACGGUGCCAGAAAUCCUUCUGCUACUUCUCAAACAACAGCGCCACAAAUUGACACGUUGACGGAGACUUGCUUGCGUUGGUUUUUCCCUUGAAGAGGAAAGGGUGAUGCAGCACACGAGCAGUAAGUAUUUCCCUCAGUUUGAGAACCAAGGUAUCAAUCCAGUAGGAGAAUCUCUUCAAGUCUAGAAUACCUGCACAAACACAAAAGAGCUUGCACCCAACGCUAUAAAGGGGUUGUCAAUCCCUUCAAGAUUGAUUGCAAAGUGAGAUCUGAAGGAGGAAAGUGCAACGAAGAGAAAGAGUAAGGCUGAAAAUAUGGUGUGGAGUAGACCCGGGGGCCAUAGUGUUCACUAGAGGCUUCUCUCAAAAUAGCAAAUAUUAUAGUGGGUGAACAAAUUACUGUCGAUCAAUUGAUAGAAUCGCGCAAAGUCAUGACGAUAUCUAAGGCAAUGAUCAUACAUAUAGGCAUCACGUCCGAGAAAAGUAGACCGAUACUUUUGCAUCUACUACUAUUACUCCACACAUCGACCGCUAUCUAGCAUGCAUCUAGUGUAUUGAGUUCAUGACGAACAGAGUAACGCCUUAAGAAAGAUGACAUGAUGUAGAGGGAUAAACUCAAACAAAUGAUGAAAACCCCAUCUUUUUACCCUUGAUGGAAACAACACGAUGCGUGCCUCGCUACCCCUUCUGUCACUGGGUGAGGUCACCGCACGGUAUGAACCCAAAACCAAGCACUUCUACCAUUGCAAGAAUCAUAGAUCAAGCUGGCCAAACAAAACCCAUAACUUGAAGAGAAUUACAAGGAUAUGAAAUCAUGCCUAAGAGAGAUCAGAAGAAACUCGAAUAAGAUUCAUAGAUAAUCUGAUCAUAAAUCCACAAUUCAUCGGAUCUCGACAAACACACCGCAAAAUAAGAUUACAUCGGAUAGAUCUCCAUGAGGAUCAUGGAGAACUUUGUAUUGAAGAUCCAAGAGAGAGAAGAAGCCAUCUAGCUACUAGCUAUGGACCCGUAGGUCUAUGGUGAACUACUCAUGCAUGAUCGGAGAGGUCAUGGUGUUGAUGAAGAAGCCCUCCGUAUCUGAAUCCCCUCUCCGAUAGGGCACCAGAACGUGCCCCAGAUGGGAUCUUGCGGAGAGAGAAGCUUGCGGCGGCGGAAAAGUACUUUCGAUGAUCUCCUGUUUUUUCUGGAUUUAUGGGAAUUAAUAGGCGAAAGACCUAGGGCAGAGGUGGCCCAGGGAGCCCACAAGCCUGGGAGGCGCGGCCCCCUGGCCGCGGCUAAGGGGCUUGAGGGGUCCCUGGUGGCUCCCUGCCUUGGUUCUCAAGCUUCCCGAUCUUCUUCUGUUUCGGAAAAAAUCUUUUCGGAAGUUUUAUUCUAUUUGGACUCCAUUUAAAAUCCUCUUCUGAAAAGGGUCAAAACACGGAAAAAACAGGAACUGGCACUUGGCACUGAGUUAAUAGGUUAGUCCCAAAAAAGAUAUAAAAGGCAUACAAAACAUCCAAAGUUUGAUAAGAUAAUAGCAUGAAACCAUCAAAAAUUAUAGAUACGUUGGAGACGUAUCACCAAGUCAAGAAUAUUCUCUCGUCAACGUGCUUUUUCUGGCGCCGUUGCCGAGGAAGCACAACUAUAUUCUCUGAGUCACUUUGGAUUUAUGUCUGCUGGUCACUAUGAGUAAUCCGAUAGAUCCAAGAACUAAAGUCUUGCCCUCCACUACGAGGACAUGUAAGGAACUGCCAGCUAGCUCUGCACUUGAUUCACCUUCAGUUAUGAGUAAGUUUGCGACAACACCUCGUGCUAGAAAUCUUGAUAUGUCGCCUGUGCUUCAUGAUGCUACUUCUGCUGCCCAUGAUGCUUAUGAUGAUGCUAUGCUUGAUACUGCUUUGCCUGAUGAUGUUAUGCUGGAUACUGCUUUUCCACUAGGUGCAUUCCUUGAUGCACAAAUUGCUAGAGUUGCUGCUAGAUGUGAUGAUACUUCUGAAGUUGCUGAUACUAUUGAAGCAGAACCUGCUACCUUGCCUGCUAGAACUAGCUAUCCUAGACAUGAAUUGCCUGAUAUGCCUGAGUGUUAUGUUAUGGAGGGAGAGAUAGCUGAGGACUUUCUUGCUUGUAAGGAUAGCUAUGAUGUUGAGAAAUUACUGCUCAAGUGGAAAGAAAAAUCUCUGAACGCUAGGAUGAAAUAUGACUCGAACUUUGCUACUUCGCCUAUCUUUGUGACCGAUAAGGAUUAUGAAUUCUGUGUCGACCCUGAAUUAAUCACUCUGGUCGAAUCUGAUCCUUUUCACGGUUAUGAGUCUGAAACGGUUGUAGCUCAUCUUACCAAACUGCACGAUAUAGCCACCCUAUUCACUAGUGAGGAAAAGAUCCGCCACUACUAUAUUCUCAAGUUGUUUCCUUUCUCGCUAAAGGAUGAUGCUAAGACUUGGUUCACUUCUCUUGCUCCUGGUUGUGUGCGUAGCCCCCAGGAUAUGGUCUACUAAUUCUCUGAAAAAUAUUUUCCUGCCCAUAAGAAGCAAGCUGCCUUGCAGGAAAUAUACAACUUUGCUCAAGCUCGAGAAGAGAGUCUCCCACAAGCUUGGGAGAGGCUCGUCCAUCUACUGAACGCUUUGCCUGAUCUCCCUAUUGAGAAGAAUGAAGUACUUGAUAUCUUCUAUAAUUGACUUACCAAUGCUUCUAGAGACCACCUAGAUAGUUGUGCCGGUUGUGUUUUUAGAGAACGAACUGUAGAACAUGUUGAGAUCCUGUUGAAUAACAUCUUGUGCAAUGAGAAUUCUUGGACUAUUCCCGAAUCACCUCCUAAGCCAAUUCCGAAGAAAAGAGGUAUUCUAUUCCUCAAUCCUGAAGAUAUGCAAGAAGCUAAGAAAUCUAUGAAAGAGAAAGGCAUUAAAUCUGAAGAUGUCAAAAAUCUACCACCUAUCGAAGAGAUCCAUGGUCUUGAUAACCCGAUACAGGUAGUAGAAGUAAAUUCUCUGCGUAGGUUUGAUGAGAGUGAUAUUCCUUUUGAUAAACCUGCUAGCCUAUGCCUGGAUGAAUUUGAUAACUUUUGCCAAACAACGGAGUUUCAAUGAUUAUGUUAGCAGACAAUUGGAACAGAAUGCUCGUAUUCUUAGUCAUUUAAGUGCUUGUGUGGACAGAAACGUCAAUGAUCUUAAGCUUCUGAGUAAACAUGCCUCUAUGGUUACUGCUCAAGUAGAACAAGUACUUAAAGCUCAGAAUGACUUGCUCAAUGAGUUGAAUGACAAUUCUGCCAGAGUCGUUACUAGAGGCGGUAGAAUGGCCCAGGAACCUUUGUAUCCUGAGGGUCAUCCAAAUAUAAUUGAACAAGAUUCUCAAGGAGUUAGCACUGAUGCACCUAGUCAUCCUAGAAAGAAGAAGAAAGAUGAUAGGAACUUGCACGCUAGCAACCCAGAUGUUGAUAUACCUGAGAAUCCAAAUGAUGUCUCUGUCUCUGAUGAUGAAACACAAUUUGGUGAUGAACAUGAGCCUAAUGAUAAUAUCAAUAGUGAUGUUCAUGUUGAUGCUCAACCUAGCAAUGAUAAGGAUGUGGAGAUUGAACCUGAUCUUGAUAAUCCACAACCUAAGAAUAAGAGAUACGAUAAGAAUGACUUUGCUGCUAGGAAGCAUGGUAAAGAAAGGGAACCAUGGGUCCAGAAACCCACGCCCUUUCCUCCCAAACCAUCCAAGAAAAAGGAUGAUGAGGAUUUUGAGCGAUUUGUUGAAAUGACUAGACCUAUCUUUCUGCAAAUGCGUUUGACAGAUAUGCUCAAAAUGUCUCCGUAUGCUAAGUACAUGAAGGAUAUUGUGACUAAUAAGAGGAGGAUACCCGAGGUUGAGAAUUCCCCCAUGCUUGCUAACUAUACCUUCAAGGGUGGAACUCCUAAGAAACUAGGUGAUCCCUGAUACAUCCAUUUUGCAUCAUGCUUUCAUGUUGAUAUUUAUUGCUUUAUGGGCUGUUAUAUUACUUUGUGGUGCCAUAUUUAUGCCUUUUCUCUCUUAUUUUGCAAGGUUUUAUUUGAAGAGGGAUAAUUCACGCAGCUGGAAUUCUGGACUUGAAAAGGAGCAAAUCUUAGUCCACUAUUCUGCACAUCUCCAAAUGCCGUGAAAAGUUACGUGGAAUUGUUUGGGAUUAUAUAAAAAAUACUGGGCGAAAGAAGUACCAGAGGGGGCUGCCAGGGCGCCACAAGCCCUGCCACCACCACCCCCUGGUGGCGGAGGGCAAGCUUGUGGGCUCCCUGAUGGCCCACUAGCCCCCCUCUUUUGCUAUAUGAAGGGUUUCGUUCCAGAAAAAAUCAUUCGGGAUCUUUUUCGUGGUUUCGCCACCGCCACGAGGCGGAACUUGAGCAUAUCCAAUCUAGAGCUCCGGCAGGACGAUCCUGCCGGGGAAACUUCCCUCUCGGAGGGGGAAAUCAUCGCCAUCGUCAUCACCAACACUCCUCUCAUCGGAGGGGAGGCAUCUUCAUCAGCACCAUCUCCUCUCCAAUCCCUAGUUCAUCUCUUGUAACCAAUCUUCGUCUCGCGACUCCGAUUGGUACUUGUAAGGUUACUAGUAGUGUUGAUUACUCUUUGUAGUUGAUGCGAGUUGGAUUACUUGGUGGAAGAGUUUAUGUUCAGAUCCUCGAUGCUAUUCAUUACACCUCUGAUCAUGAUUAUGAUUAUGCUUUGUGAGUAGUUACUUUUGUUCCUGAGGACAUGGGAUAAGUCAUGCUGAUAAUAGUCAUGUGAAUUUGAUGUUCAUUUGGUAUUUUGAUAUGGUGUAUGUUGUCUUUUCCUCUAGUGGUUUUAUGUGAACGUCGACUACAUAACACUUCACCAUACUUGGGCCUAGAGGAAGGCAUUGGGGAGUAGUAAGUAGAUGAUGGGUUGCUGGAGUGACAGAAGCUUAAACCCCAGUCUAUGCGUUGCUUCAUGAGAGGCUGAUUUGGAUCCACUAGUUUAAUGUUAUGGUUAGACGUUGUCUUAAUUCUUCUUUUGUAGUUGCGUAUGCUUGAGAGAGAGGUUAAUCAUAAGUGGGAUGCUUGUCCAAGUAAGGGAAGUACCCAAGCGCCGGUCCACCCACAUAUCAAGCUAUCAAAGUAACGAACGUGAAUCAUAUGAACAUGAUGAAACUAGCAUGACAGAAAUUCCCGUGUGUCCUCGGGAGCGUUUUUCCUCCUAUAAGACUUUGUUCAGGCUUGUCCCUUGCUACAAAAAGGGAUUGAUCCACUUGCUGCACCAUUGCUACUACUUGUUACUUGUUACUUCUCGCUUGCUACGUUUCACCUCACUACAGCAUCACUUGUUACCGCUACUUUCAGUGCUUGCAGUUAUUACCUUGCUGAAAACUGUUUAUCACAGCCUUCUGCUCCUCGUUGGGUUCGACACUAUUACUUAUCGAAAGGACUACGAUUGAUCCCCUAUACUUGUGGGUCAUCAAGACUCUUUUCUGGCACCAUUGCCGGGGAGUGAAGCGCCUUUGGUAAGGGGAAAUUGGUAAGGAAACAUUUUUAUACUGUGCUGAAAUUUAUUAUCACUUGUCACUAUGGAAACUGUUCCUUUGAGGAAAUUGUUCGGGGUAUCUUCACCACGAACGGAAGCAUGAGGAGUUGUUCCUCAACCUGAGGUACCUACUGAAAAUAUCUUUUAUGAAAUUCCUUCGGGUAUGCUUGAGAAACUGCUUGCUAAUCCUUUUACAGGAGAUGGAUCUUCACAUCCAGACUUGCACCUGAUCUAUGUAGAUGAAGUUUGUGGUUUAUUUAAGCUUGCAGGUUUGCCCGAGGAUGAGGUAAAGAAUAAAGUCUUUCCUUUAUCUUUGAAGGAUAAGGCGUUGACAUGGUAUAGGGUGUGUGAUGAUGCUGGAUCAUGGGACUACAAUCGGUUGAAAUUGGAAUUUCAUCAAAAGUUCUAUCCUAUGCAUUUAGUACAUCGUGAUCGGAACUUUAUUUAUAACUUUUGGCCUCGUGACAGGGAAAGCAUAGCUCAAGCUUGGAGGAGGCUUAAAUCAAUGCUAUAUUCAUGCCCCAAUCAUGAGCUCUCGAGAGAAAUCAUCACUCAAAACUUUUAUGCUCGGCUUUCUCAUGAAGAUCGUACCAUGCUUGACACUUAUUGUACCGGUUCUUUUAUGAAGAAGGAUAUUGAUCACAAGUGGAAUUUAUUGCAGAGAAUCAAACGCAACUCUGAAGAUUGGGGGCUGGAGGAAGGUAAGGAGUUAGGUAUGAAUUUCCAGUUUGAUUGCGUUAAAUCUUUUGUUGAGAUAAACACUUCUAGAGAUUUUAGCACUAAGUAUGGACUUGACUCUGAGAUAGUAGCUUCUCUAUGUGAAUCUUUUGCUGCUCAUGUUGAUCUUCCCAAAGAGAAGUGGUUUAAAUAUCAUCCUCCUGUAGAAAGCAACAUAGCCAAAAGCAAUCUAGUUGAGGAGAAAGUCAUUGCUUUUAGUGAUCCUGUUGUUUCUUGUGCUUACACUGAGAAACCACCAUACCCUGCUAGGAUAAAGGAUUAUUCUAAAGCUCCAAUUGUGAUACGUAGGGGUUACAUUAGACCACUUGGACCCCCUGAGGAGAUUAGAGUUGAACCUAGUGUUUCUAUUAUCAAAGAUCUCUUAGCUGAAGACGUAGACGGGCAUGUUAUCAAAUUCUGCGAGGACUCUGCUAGAAUUGCUAAACCUCACGCGAAAGACAAACACAGACCUGUAGUUGGCCUGCCCGUUGUUUUUGUCAAGAUAGGAGAUCACUAUUACCAUGGUUUAUGUGAUAUGGGAGCUAGUGUUAGUGCAAUACCCCGUUCCUUAUAUGAUGAAAUCAAAGAUGAGAUUGCACCUGCUGAGUUAGAACCCAUUGAUGUCACUAUUACGCCAGCUAAUAGAGACACUAUCUGCCCUCUGGGAAUUGUGAGAGACGUAGAAGUCUUGUGUGGUAAGACGAAGUAUCCUACUGAUUUCCUCGUCCUUGGUACUGGACAAGAUAGCUUUUGUCCCAUCAUAUUUGGUAGACCCUUUCUCAACACUGUCAAUGCUCACAUUGAUUGCAUUAAGCAGACCGUCACUGUUAGUUUCGAGGGUGUGUCUCAUGAAUUUAACUUCUCCAAGUUUGGAAGACAACCACAUGAAAAAGAGUCAUCUGGUAGGGAUGAAAUCAUUGCUCUUGCCUCUAUUGUUGUACCUCCUACUGAUCCUUUAGAGCAAUAUCUGCUUGAGCAUGAAAAUGAUAUGCAUAUGGAGGAGAGAGAUGGCAUAGAUAAAAUUGUCUUAGAACAAUAUCCUAUUCUCAAGAAUAAUCUGCCUGUUGAACUGCUUGGGGAUCCUCCCCCACCAAAGGGUGAUCCUGUGUUCAAGCUUAAACAGUUGCCUGAUACUCUUAAGUAUGCAUAUCUUGAUGAGAAGGAUAUAUAUCCUGUUAUUAUUAGUGCUCUCCUCUCAGAGCACGAAGAGAAGAAGUUACUAAGAACUCUGAGGAAGCACCAUGCUGCUAUUGGAUAUACUCUUGAUCAUCUUAAGGGUAUUAGUCCCACUCUAUGUCAGCACAAGAUUAAAACCGAUCCUCACUUUAAACCAGUUGUUGAUCAUCAAAGGAGAUUAAAUCCUAAGAUGAUAGAGGUCGUUAGAAAAGAAAUAUUAAAGCUUCUGGAAGCAGGAAUCAUUUAUCCUGUUGCUCAUAUUUGAUUGGGUAAGUCCAGUACAUUGCGUACCUAAGAAGGGAGGUAUCACCAUCGUUCCUAAUGAUAAGGAUGAACUAAUCCCACAAAGGAUUAUUACCGGCUGUAGGAUGGUGAUAGACUUUCGGAAAUUGAACAAGGCAACGAGGAAACACCAUUAUCCUUUGCCGUUUAUCGACCAAAUGCUAGAAAGGCUAUCAAAACACACACACUUCUGCUUUCUAGACGGUUAUUCGAUUUCUCGCAAAUACCCGUUGCACAAUCUGAUCAGGAGAAAACCACUUUCACCUGCCCCUUCGGUACCUUUGCUUAUAGACGUAUGCCUUUUGGCUUAUGCAAUGCACCUGCCACCUUUCAAAGAUGUAUGAUGGCUAUAUUCUGUGACUUCUGUAAAAAGAUUGUUGAGGUUUUCGUGGAUGACUUCUCCGUUUACGGGUCUUCCUUUGAUGAUUGCCUCAGCAACCUUGAUCGAGUCUUACAUAGAUGCGAAGAUAUGAACCUUGUCUUGAAUUGGGAGAAGUGUAACUUUAUGGUUAAUGAAGGUAUCGUCUUAGGACACAAAAUCUUUGAAAGAGGCAUUGAAGUUGAUAAGGCUAAGGUUCAUGCAAUUGAGAAAAUGCCUUGCCCCACAGAUAUCAGAGGUAUACGAAGUUUCCUAGGUCAUGCUUGUUUUUAUAGAAGGUUCAUUAAAGACUUCUCUAAGAUUUCUAGGCCUCUUACCAACCUCUUGCAGAAGGAUGUUCCUUUUGUUUUUCAUGAGGAUUGUGAGGAAGCUUUCGAAAUACUUAAGAAGGCUUUGAUAACCGCACCUAUUGUUCAAUCACCUGACUGGAACUUGCCCUUUGAAAUCAUGUGCGAUGCUAGUGAUUAUGCUGUUGGUGCUGUUCUAGGACAAAGAGUUGACAAGAAGUUGAAUGUCAUUCACUACGCUAGUAAAACUCUAGACAGUGCCCAAAGAAACUAUGCCACUACGGAAAAGGAGUUUUUAGCAGUCGUGUUUGCAUGUGAAAACUUCAGAUCUUAUAUAGUUGACUCCAAAGUCACUAUUCACUCUGAUCAUGCUGCUAUUAAGUACCUUAUGGAGAAUAAGGAUGCUAAGCUUAGGCUGAUCAGAUGGGUUCUCCUGCUACAGGAAUUUGAUUUGCACAUCGUUGACCGAAAGGGUGCUGAUAACCCUAUAGCAGAUAACUUGUCUAGGCUAGAGAAUGUCCUUGAUGACCCACUACCUAUUGAUGACAACUUUCCUGAUGAGCAAUUGAAUGUCAUCCGCACUUCACAUAGUGCAUCGUGGUAUGCCGAUUAUGCAAAUUAUAUCAUAGCCAAAUACAUACCACCCAGUUUCACUUAUCAUUAAAAGAAGAAAUUCUUCUUUGAUUUGACACACUACUUUUGGGAUGAUCCUCACCUUUAUAAGUAUGGAGUAGAUGGUGUUAUUAGACGUUGUGUGCCUGAACAUGAACAUGGACAGAUCUUGCAGAAGUGUCAUUCCGAAGCCUACGGAGGACACCAUGCUGGAGAUAGAACUGCCCAUAAGGUAUUGCAAUCAGGUUUCUAUUGGCCCACUCUCUUUAAGGAUUCUCGUAAGUUUGUCUUGUCUUGUGACGAAUGCCAAAGAAUAGGGAAUAUCACUAAGCGUCAAGAAAUGCCUAUGAACUAUUCACUGGUCAUUGAACCAUUUGAUGUCUGGGGCUUUGAUUAUAUGGGACCCUUCUCGAAUUCCAAUGGGUGCACUCACAUCUUAGUUGCUAUGGAUUACAUUAAUAAGUGGGUAGAAGUUAUCCCCACUAAAAAUGUUGAUCACCACACCUCUAGUAAGAUGCUUAAAGAAGUCGUUUUCCCAUGAUUUCGAGUCCCUAGAUAUUUGAUGACUGAUGGCGGUUCACACUUCAUUCAUGGUGUUUUCCGCAAGAUGCUCGCUAAGUAUGAUGUCAACCAUAUAGUUGCAUCUACUUAUCAUCCUCAGUCUAGUGGUCAAGUGGAUUUGAGUAAUAGGGAGAUAAAAUUGAUCCUACAAAAGACCGUCAAUAGAUCUCGAAAGAAUUGGUCUAGCAAACUUGACGAUGCACUAUGGGCUUAUAGGACCGCUUAUAAGAAUCCCAUGGGCAUGUCACCAUAUAAAAUUGUUUACGGUUAGGCCUGCCAUUGACCUCUUGAGCUGGAACACAAAGCUUACUAGACAAUCAAAGAGCUCAACUUUGAUUUCAAACUGGCCGGUGAGAAGCGGUUGUUUGAUAUCAGCUCGUUAGAUGAAUGGAGGGCCCAGGCAUAUGAGAAUGCCAAGUUGUUCAAGGAAAAGGUUAAGAGAUGGCACGACAAACGAAUAUAGAAACGAGAGUUCAAUGUAGGUGAUUAUGUCCUGCUAUACAAUUCUCGUUUAAGAUUCUUUGCAGGCAAGCUUCUCUCUAAAUGGGAAGGUCCUUAUGUUAUCGAGGAAGUAUAUCGUUCCGGUGCCAUCAAAAUCAAUAACACGGAAGGAAAAUUUCCUAGAGUGGUAAAUGGGCAAAUAAUCAAGAAUUACAUCUCUCGUACUCCCACAAAUGUUGAGACUAAUAUCAUCAAUGUCAUAACUCCAGAGGAGUACAUAAGGGAUGUUUAUCAACUUGUUUCAGACCCUGAAAACGAAGAGGUAUAUGUUUCGGUAAGAAAUUGGACUCUGAUGCUUUUCCAAUAGGAAAUUUCCUCCGUUUUGGAUUUUUUGGAAAAUUAGAAAAAUAAAAAGUAGUCCGAAGAGCGCACAAGGCGGCCACAAGCUUGGCCACCGCCACCCCCUGGUGGCGGAGAGAGGGCUUGUGGGCACCUCGUGUGCCUCCCGGACUCCUUUUUCUUGCGGAGCACUCCUUCUGGUCCAGAAAAAAUCAAUAUAUAUUCGCCUGAAGGUUUUGAUCUCCGUAUCGCGCAGUUUUCCUCUGUUUUCAUUUCGAGCCUGUUUUUGUGGCAGAUCUAGAUCAUCAUGACUUCCCCAAACGCUCCUAAGGACAAGAUCUUCGAGAAGGUCAUCAAUCCCUACCUCACGAAAGUGCUGAAACACUCUCAAUCUAUCAAGAUGAGCGAGGGGAUGUUGCACAUCCGUGAUGUUGAGGGGCCUAAGAAGAUCGGAAGCAUGGAGACGAGGCUCGAAGCAAUGGAGCAACAAGUCUUCAAGUGCCAAGGGAUGGUGGAUCGUGGACUUAACGCCAACCACAUGAUGAUCACGGAGUUCACUAGCAAUCACAAGAUCGAUGCCAUUGACAUUGGGAAACACCUCUAUAGGCUCUAUGACACGGUUGAUCAACUUCAGGGUCAGAUCUAUGACCUGCAGAACCAAAACUGUGAGUAUGAGUACAGAUUUAAAUCAAUAAGGUUGGCUGCAGAUUUGAGGAUUCCGGCGACUUGUUCAUCCUGCCAUGAUGGGGCACCUAUGCCUUGGAAGAUGGAGGAUCAGACUACUCCAACAACUCCACCACCAUCACCACCAAAGGAAGACAACUAAGCAUUGGUAUGGGCAAUCCCCUUGGCUUCUGCCAAGCUUGGGGGAGUUGCCCUGGUAUCGUAUCACCUUUAUAUCUUUUUCUUUUACCUUUGUUUUAGUUCUUUCCUUUUCAGCUUUUAUUUCUUCUCUUAGAGGAAUAAGUCUUUAGUGUUUAGUUUGAGUCUUUUGCUUUUGUCUCUCCCCCGAUGUAUUCGGGCUUGCGAGCUAUAUAAUAAAGAGUAUCUUAGUCAAGGGCUUUGCUUUGUGCCAUGAUCAAAAGUAUGAAAAGAAUGAUAGCAUGAAAGAUCAUGAGACGAUCUUAUGGAAAGUGAUAACUUCAGAUAUGACACGUAUGAUGAUUGGAACUUGUUGAGAAUAAAACAACAUAGACCUCAGUCAUUGUUGCAAUUAAUAAGAAGUAAUAAGGAAAGAGAGGUUCACACAUAAAUAUAUCAUCUUAGACACUUUUUAAAAUUGUGAGCACUCACCAAACUAUUACAUGCUUAAGAGUAGAUGUUGGACAAGGAAGACAACAUAAUGAAUUGUGUUUGCCUGGUUCCAAACAAUGUUAUAUGAUUAGAGAUACCUUAGCAUGUGACGAUUGCUUCCACAUCACAUUAGCCAGAACUCCCGUGACAGGUGGAGAUACUACUUGUGCAUCCAUAAACCUCCAACCCAGUUUUGCCAUGAGAGUCCACCAUACCUACCUAUGGAUUGAAUAAGAUCCUUCAAGUAAGUUGUCAUCGGUGCAAGCAAUAAAAAUUGCUCUCUAAUAUGUAUGAUCUAUUAGUGUGUGGAAAAUAAGCUUUGUACGAACCUGUGAUGAGGAAGACAUAAAACUGACAGACUGCAUAAUAAAGUUCUUUAUUACAGGAGGCAAUAUAAAGUGACGUUCCUCCGCACUAAGAGGACACACAUUCAAACCUCAAAAGCGCAUGACAACCUGUGCUUCCCUCUGCGAAGAGUCAUGGUGAUCUUCACCAUUUCCCUAUUUUGCCUUUGUCUUGGCUACCGUCACAUGCUUGGGAAAGAUCUAUAUUCAUAUAUCAACUUGGAGUUGAGUACUUAUGCUUUAUUAUUGUUGACUCUACCCUUGAGGUAAAUCGUUGGGAGGCAAAACUAUAAGCCCCUAUCUUCCUCUGUGUCCAGCUGAAACUUUGACACCAUGAGUAACUCGUGAGUUGUAACAAUUGUGGAAAACAAAAGAAAUGAUUGAGUAUGUGGAUUUGCCUUACAAGCUCUUACUUGACUCUUUCUGAUGUUGUGAUAAAUUGCAAUUUGCUUCAAUGACUUUGGACUGUUGUUGGUUACUUCUCGGUAAGGUUUUUGCUUCAUGCUUUGCUUUGUGAAGUAAUUGUUACUUUCCCAUAACAAUCUUUAUGAUGUAUUGUUGUUCUAUGUGUGAUCAUGAUGCGCUCAUGUCUGUAUUAUGUUUUAUCGACACCUUCGUCCCUAAACAUGUGGACAUGUUUAUGGAACUUGGUUUUCGCUUCAGGACAAGCGAGGUCUAAACUUGGGGGAGUUGAUACGUCCAUUUUGCAUCAUGCUUUCAUGUUGAUAUUUAUUGCUUUAUGGGCUGUUAUAUUACUUUGUGGUACCAUAUUUAUGCUUUUCUCUCUUAUUUUGCAAGGUUUUAUCUGAAGAGGGAUAAUUCAGGCAGCUAGAAUUUUGGACUGGAAAAGGAGCAAAUCUUAGUCCACUAUUCUGCACAUCUCCAAAUGCCUUGAAAAGUUACGUGGAAUUUUUUGGGAUUAUAUAAAAAAUACUGGGCGAAAGAAGUGCCAGAGGGGGGCUGCCAGGGCGCCACAAGCCCUGCCACCGCCACCCCCUGGUGGCGGAGGGCAAGCUUGUGGGCUCCCUGACGGCCCACUAGCCCCCCUCUUUUGCUAUAUGAAGGGUUUCAUUCUAGAAAAAAAUCAUUCGGGAGCUUUUUCGUGGUUUCGUCGCCGCCACAAGGCGGAACUUGAGCAGAUCCAAUCUAGAUCUCCGGCAGGACGAUCCUGCCGGGGAAACUUCACUCCCGGAGGGGUAAAUCGUCACCAUCGUCAUCACCAACACUCCUCUCGUCAAAGGGGAGGCAUCUUCAUCAACAUCUUCAUCAGCACCAUCUCCUCUCCAAUCCUUAGUUCAUCUCUUGUAACCAAUCUUCGUCUCGCGACUCCGAUUGGUACUUGUAAGGUUCCUAGUAGUGUUGAUUACUCUUUGUAGUUGAUGCUAGUUGGAUUAUUUGGUGGAUGAGUUUAUGUUCAGAUCCUCGAUGCUAUUCAUUACACCUCUGAUCAUGAUUAUGAUUAUGCUUUGUGAGUAGUUACUUUUGUUCCUAAGGACAUGGGAUAAGUCAUGCUGAUAAUAGUCAUGUGAAUUUCAUGUUCGUUCGGUAUUUUGAUACGUUGUAUGUUGUCUUUUCCUCUAGUGGUGUUAUGUGAACAUCGACUACAUAACACUUCACCAUAUUUGGGCCUAGAGGAAGGCAUUGGGGAGUAGUAAGUAGAUGAUGGGUUGCUGGAGUGACAGAAGCUUAAACCCCAGUCCAUGCAUAGCUUCGUGAGGGGCUGAUUUGGAUCCACUAAUUUAAUGCUAUGGUUAGACGUUGUCUUAAUUCUUCUUUUGUAGUUGCGGAUGCUUGAGAGAGAGGUUAAUCAUAAGUGGGAUGCUUGUCCAAGUAAGGGCAGUACCCAAGCGCCGGUCCACCCACAUAUCAAACUAUCAAAGUAACGAAGGCGAAUCAUAUGAACAUGAUGAAAUUAGCAUGACAGAAAUUCCCGUGUGUCCUCGGUAGCGUUUUUCCUCCUAUAAGACUUUGUUCAGGCUUGUCCCUUUCUACAAAAAGGGGUUGGGCCACAUGCUGCACCAUUGCUACUACUUGUUACUUGUUACUUCUCGCUUGCUACGUUUCACCUCACUACACCAUCACUUGUUACCGCUACUUUCAGUGCUUGCAGUUAUUACCUUGCUGAAAACCGUUUAUCAGAGCCUUCUGCUCCUCGUUGGGUUCGACACUCUUACUUAUCGAAAGGACUACGAUUGAUCCCCUAUACUUGUGGGUCAUCAAUCCCGGAGUGACCACUAUACCUUGCUCCAUUAAAGGAAACUAUGUUAGAACUGCUUUAUGCGACCUUCGAGCCGGUGUUAGUGUUAUGCCGUUUUCUCUUUAUUGUAGGCUUGAACUGGAUAACUUGACACCCACUGAAGCCUCUCUGCAAAUGGCCGACAGAUCAACUGCUUUUCCUAUUGGCAUUUACGAGGAUGUGCCUAUUGUGGUUGCCAACGUUACUAUCUUAACAGACUUUGUUAUCUUGGAUAUUCCCGAGGACGAUGCCAUGGCGGUCAUCCUCGGAAGACCCUUUUAAACACUACAGGGGCUAUUAUACAUUGCAACAAAGGCAAUGUCACUUUCCAUGUCAACGGUAAUGAGCAUACGGUGCACUUUACGAAGAAACAAUAUUGAGUACAUUGCAUCAAUGCUAUCGAAAAAACUUCAUCGAUUCUUAUUGAGAGCUUUGAAUGCCCUAUACCUCCUGUCAAGAUGAAGUAUGAUUUGAUUCUUGGGGAUAUGCACAUGGCUACUUCUCAAACAACAGUGCUGGAAAUUGCCACGUUGACGGAGACUUGCUUGCGUUGGUUUUUCCCUUGAAUAGGAAAGGAUGAUGCAGCACAUCAGCAGUAAGUAUUUCCCUUAGUUUGAGAACCAAGGUAUCAAUCCAGUAGGAGAAUCUCGUCAAGUCUAGAGUACCUGCACAAACACAAAAGAGCUUGCACCCAAUGCUAUAAAGGGGUUGUCAAUCCCUUCAAGAUUGAUUUCAAAGUGAGAUCUGAAGGCGGAAAGUGCAACGAAGAAAAAGAGUAAGGCUGAAAAUAUGGUGUGGAGUAGACCCAGGGGCCAUAGUGUUCACUAGAGGCUUCUCUCAAAAUAGCAAAUAUUACGGUGGGUGAACAGAUUACUGUCGAGAAAUUGAUAGAACCGCGCAAAGUCAUGAUGAUAUCUAAGGCAAUGAUCAUACAUAUAGGCAUCACGUCCGAGACAAGUAGAUCGAUACUUUAUGCAUCUACUACUAUUACUCCACACAUCGACCGCUAUCCAGCAUGCAUCUAGUGUAUUGAGUUCAUGACGAACAGAGUAACGCCUUAAGCAAGAUGACAUGAUGUAGAGGGAUAAACUCAAACCAAUGAUGAAAACCCCAUCUUUUUACCCUUGAUGGCAACAACAUGAUGCGUGCCUCGCUACCCCUUCUGUCACUUGGUGAGGUCACCGCACGGUAUGAACCCAAGACCAAGCACUUCUGCCAUUGCAAGAAUCAUAGAUCAAGCUGGCCAAACAAAACCCACAACUCGAAGAGAAUUACAAGGAUAUGAAAUCAUGCAUAAGAGAGAUCAGAAGAAACUCAAAUAAGAUUCAUAGAUAAUCUGAUCAUAAAUCCACAAUUCAUAGGAUCUCGACAAACACACCGCAAAAGAAGAUUACAUCGGAUAGAUCUCCAUGAAGAUCAUGGAGAACUUUGUAUUGAAGAUCCAAGAGAGAGAAGAAGCCAUCUAGCUACUAGCUAUGGACCCGUAGGUCUAUGGUGAACUACUCACGCAUCAUCAGAGAUGUCAUGGUGUUGAUGAAGAAGCCCUCCGUAUCCGAAUCCCCCUCCGGCAGGGUACCAGAACGUGCCCCAGAUGGGAUCUUGCGGAGACAGAAGCUUGCGGCGGCGGAAAAGUACUUUCGAUGAUCUCCUGAUUUUUUUUGGAAUUUAUGAGAAUUUAUAGGCGAAAGACCUAGGGCAGAGGUGGCCCAGGAAGCCCACAAGCCUGGGAGGCGCGGCCCCCUGGCCGCGGCUAGGGGGCUUGUGGGGUCCCUAGUGGCCUCCUGCCUUGGUUCUCAAGCUUCCCGAUCUUCCUCUAUUUUGUAAAAAAUCUUUUCGGAAGUUUUAUUCCGUUUGGACUCCGUUUAAAAUCCUCCUGUGAAAAGGGUCAAAAACACGGAAAAAACAGGAACUGGCACUUGCACUGAGUUAAUAGGUUAGUCCCAAAAAAGAUAUAAAAGGCAUACAAAACAUCCAAAGUUUGACAACAUAAUAUCAUGAAACCAUCAAAAAUUAUAGAUACGUUGGACACGUAUCAAGCAUCCCCAAGCUUAACUCCUGCUCGUCCUCGAGUAGGGAAGUGAUAAAGACUGAAUUUUUGAUGUGGAAUGCUACCUAGCAUAAUUGUCCUUUGCAACCUCUUUCGUGUGACAUUAAUGUUCAGAUCCGUAAGAUUCAAAACAAUAGUUUUCUAUUGACAUGAAAACAAUAAUAUUGCAAGCAAACUAGCAAGGUAAUCAUGAACUUUCGAAAUAACAAGGCCAAAGAAAGUUAUCCCUACAAAAUCAUAUAGUCUGGCUAUGCUCCAUCAACCUGACACAACUAAUUUAAAGCAUGCACAACCCCGGUAUUGGCCAAGUAAUUGUUUUUGCACUCUUACUUUCUCAAACCUUUCAUAACUAUCACGCAAUACAUGAGCGUGAGCCAUGGAUAUAGCACUAUAGGUGGAAUAGAGUGUGUGGUGGUUGUGAGACAAAAAAGGAGGAGAUGGUCACAUUGACUCAGCGUAUCAAAGGGCUACGGAGAUGCCCAUUAAUAUAUAUCAAUGUGAAUGAGUAGGGAUUGCCAUACAAAGGAUGCACUAGAGCUAUAAGUAUGUGAAAUCUCAAAAGGAGAACUAGUGGGUGUGCAUCCAACUUGCUUGCUCAUGAAGACCUAGGGCAAUUUUGAGGAAGACCAUCAUUGGAAUAUACAAGCCAAGUUAUAUAAUGAAGAUUCCCACUAGCAUAUGGUGGUGAAGAAACGAGAGGCUCUCAAUCAUGAAGAACAUGGUGCUUUUAUGAAGCACAAGUGUGGAAAAAAGAUAGUAGCAUUGUCCCUUCUCUCUUUUUCUCUCCGUUUUUUUUAUUUGGGCUCUUGGGCCUCUGUUUUUUGGGAUCUUUGGCAUAUUUUUUUCCUCACAUGGGACAAUGCUCUAAUAAUGAUGAUCAUCACACUUUUAUUUACUCACAGCUCAAAGCUCAGAACGAUUAUGACUCUAUAGGAAAUGCCUCCGGCAGUGUACUGAGAUGUGCAACGAUCUAGCUUGGCGUAUGACGUUGGAACAUCUCGCUAGCUAUCUUACGAUCAUGCAAUGGCAAUAUGAGAGUGACGACACAAGUCAUGAGACGGAACGGUGGGAGUUGCAUGGCAAUAUAUCUUGGAAUGGCUAUGAAAAUGCCAUAGUAGGUAGGUAUGGUGGCUGUUUUGAGGAAGCCAUAUGGUGGGUUUGUGCACCGGCGAGAAUUGCGCGGCACUAGAGAGGCUAGCAAUGGUGGAAGGUGAAAGUGCAUCUAUACCGUGGACUCACAUUAGUCAUGAAGAACUCACAUACUUGUUGCAAUAGUUUUUAUUAGUAAUCGAAACAAAGUGCUAAAUGCAUACUCCUAGGGGAAGGGUUGGUAGGUGUUAACCAUCACGCGAUCCCGACCGCAACACAAAGGAAGAAAAUCAAUAGAUCAAUUUUGCUCCGACUUCCUAACAUAGCGGUUCGCCAUACGUGCAUGCUACGGGAAUCACUAACUUCAACACAAGUAUUUCUAGAUUCACAACACCCUACUAACAUAACUCUUAAUAUUACCAAAUCCACGUCUCAAAACUAAUUGAGAGGAAUCAAAACUUCUCUUUCUACUCAACGCACAUGAAGAUGGAGGUUUUUGUAUCCUCUUUGGGUACCUAUCACCUUUGGGACUACUUUCAUAGCACAAGCCAACUACCAAGUUACGCACCGCCGUGCUCUAAAAGAUCUAAGUGAAGCACAUAGAGCAAAAUUAUCUAGCUAAAAAGAUAUAAGUGAAGCACGAUGAGCAUUCUAGCAAAAUCACAAUGAGUGAAUGUCUCUCUCAAAAUUUGUGCAACAAGGAUGAUUGUGACACAACAAAAGAGAAAAGACUCCUACGAUACAAGAUGCUCCAAGCAAAACACAUAUCAUGUGGUGAAUAAAAAUAUAGCUCCAAGUAAUGUUACCCAUGGAUUGAAGACGAAAGAGGGGAUGCCUUCCCAGGGCAUCCCCAAGCUUAUGCUUUUUGGUGUCCUUGAAUUUGGCUUGGGAUGCCUUGGGCAUCCCCAAUCUCGAGGUCUUUCCACUCUUUAUCUCUUUUUCCAUGAGAACAUCACCGAAAACUUGAAAACUUCACAACACAAAACUUAACAGAAACUCAUGAUAACAUUAGCACAAGAAAACAAACUACCACCUCUUUAGGUACUGUAGAAAGCUUAAUUUCUAUUUAUAUUGGUGUUAGAUUACUGUAUUCUCACUUUUGCAUGACUAGUACCCCCCGAUACUAUCCAUAGUUUCAUCAAAACAAGCAACCAACUCAACAAAAACAGAAUCUGUCAAAAACAGACCAGUCUGUAGCAAUCUGUAUACUUCGUAAACUUAUGGUACCUCAAAAAUUCUGAAAAAUUACGACUGCCUGGGCAAAAGUCAUAUCAACCGGCAGCAAAGAGAAUCAACUCAAAAUCUCUUUCUAAAUAAAAAUAAAAAAUAAUCUCGUGAGCGAAAAGUUUCUGUCUUUUUCCAGCAGGAUCAAACAACCAUCACCAAGACUAGUCAUAAAGGUUUUGCUUGGCUCAAACACAAAAAGAAACACAAAAAACACAAUCAUAACAGAAUUAUGAUGGUGUGGACGCAACAAAACAGAAAGAAAAAGAUAGAUUCAUUGGAUGGCCUCCCAACAAGCGCUAUUGUUUAACGCCCUUAGCUAGGCAUUCAUAAUUCAAUGAUGCUCACACAAAAGACAAGAAUUGAAGCACAACGAGAGCAUAAGCAUUUUAUAGGAAAACAUAUUGUCAAGACAGCCAAUAGUCACCAUAUGGAAGGAAGAAGAAAGAGACAAUAGCAAUCUCCACAUAAUGAGAGGUAAUUGGGUAACAUGAAAGUUUCUACCACAAUAUUUUCCUCUCUCAUAGCAAUUACAUGUGGGAUCAAAAUCAAAUUCAACAAUAUAGCUAUCACAAAGGAUAUUCUUUUCAUGAUCCACAUGUAUGCAAAGUUGACGCUCUUCAAAAAUAGUGGGAUUAUCAUCAACUAAAGUCAUGACUUCUCCAAACCCACUUUCAAUAUUAUUGCAAAUAUCAUAUUCAUCAUGAGGCUUAAACAAAUUUUCAAGAUCAUAAUAAAAAUCAUCACCCCAAUCAUGAUCAUUGCAACAAGUAGUGGACAUAGCAAAACUAGCAUCCCCAAGCUUAGGGUUUUGCAUAUUUCUAGCAUGAUUGACACUGAUAGGAUUUAUAGUUAAACCAUUGCAAUCAUGCUUUUCAUUCAAGGAGCCCUCGUGAAUCACUUCAUAAAUUUCGUCUUCACGAUUUUCAGAUUCACGCAUCUCAACCAAAACUCCAUAGAGGAAGUCAAGUGCACUCAACUCACUAGCAAUUGGAUCAACAUAAUUGGAUCUCUUAAAGACAGUAGCAAGUGGAUGAGGAUCCAUAUCGAUAGAUUUUCAGCAAGCGAAGAUGCAAGCAUAUUGAAGGCACAUGGCAACACAAGCAAACAGAAAGCAAGCGAAAGAAAAGGGCGAACCAAAAAGGAAAAUUAAAACGGCAAAUAUAUUUUUUUGUAAAUUUUUGUUUUUCAGAAGUCGGGGAGAGGAAAACGAGAGGAAAAAAAGUAAAUGCAAGAGACGAGUUUGCGACACUUACGUGGAUGAGUUCUUGACUUGAUCCUCCCGGGCAACGGUGCCAGAAAUCCUUCUGCUACUUCUCAAACAACAACGCCAGAAAUUGACAUGUUGACAGAGACUUGCUUGCGUUGUUUUUUACCUUGAAGAGGAAAGGGUGAUGUAGCACACGAGUAAUAAGUAUUUCCCUCAGUUUGAGAACCAAGGUAUCAAUCCAGUUGGAGAAUCUCGUCAAGUCCAGAGUACCUGCACAAACACAAAAGAGCUUGCACCCAACACUAUAAAGUGGUUGUCAAUCCCUUCAAGAUUGAUUGCAAAGUGAGAUCUGAAGGCGGAAAGUGCAACGAAGAAAAAGAGUAAGGCUGAAAAUAUGGUGUGGAGUAGACCCGGGGGCCAUAGUGUCCACUAGAGGCUUCUCUCAAAAUAGCAAAUAUUACAGUGGGUGAACAAAUUACUGUCGAGGAAUUGAUAGAACCGCGCAAAGUCAUGACGAUAUAUAAGGCAAUGAUCAUACAUAUAGGCAUCACGUCCGAGACAAGUAGACCGAUACUUUCUGCAUCUACUACUAUUACUCCACACAUCGAACGCCAUCCAGCAUGCAUCUAGUGUAUUGAGUUCAUGACGAACAAAGUAACGCCUUAAGCAAGAUGACAUCAUGUAGAGGAAUAAACUCAAACCAAUGAUGAAAACCCCAUAUUUUUACCCUUGAUGGCAACAACACGAUGCGUGCCUCGCUACCCCUUCUGUCACUGGGUGAGGUCAUCGCACGGUAUGAACCGAAAACCAAGCACUUCUCCCAGUGCAAGAAUCAUAGAUCAAGCUGGCCAAACAAAACCCACAACUCGAAGAGAAUUACAAGGAUAUGAACUCAUGCAUAAGAGAGAGUAGAAGAAACUCAAAUAAGAUUCAUAGAUAAUCUGAUCAUAAAUCCACAAUUCAUCGGAUGUCGACAAACACACUACAAAAAAAGAUUACAUCGAAUAGAUCUCCAUGAAGAUGAUGGAGAACUUUGUAUUGAAGAUCCAAGAGAGAGAAGAAGCCAUCUAGCUACUAGCUAUGGACCCGUAGGUCUACGGUGAACUACUCUCGCAUCAUCGGAAAGGUCAUGGUGUUGAUGAAGAAGCCCUCCGUAUCCGAAUCCCCCCUCCGGCAGGGCACCAGAACAUGCCCCAGAUGGGAUCUUGCGGAGACAGAAGCUUGCGGCGGCGGAAAAGUACUUUCGAUGAUCUCCUGAGUUUUUUCUGGAAUUUAUGGGAAUUUAUAGGCGAAAGACCUAGGGCAGAGGUGGCCCAGGGAGCCCACAAGCCUGGGAGGCGCGGCCCCCCUGGCCGCGGCUAGGGGGCUUGUGGGGUCCCUGGUGGCCCCCUGCCUGGGUUCUCAAGCUUCCCGAUCUUCUUCUGUUUUGGAAAAAAAAUCUUUUUGGAAGUUUUAUUCCGUUUGGACUCCGUUUAAAAUCCUCCUUUGAAAAGGGUCAAAAACACGAAAAAAAAACAGGAACUGGCACUUGGCACUGAGUUAAUAGGUUAGUCCCAAGAAGAUAUAAAAGGCAUACAAAACAUCCAAAGUUUGACAAGAUAAUAGCAUGAAACCAUCAAAAAUUAUAGAUACUUGGAGACGUAUCACACAUCCCCUUUGAGGUAACCUAGUGACUAUUCGAAAAUUCUCCGCUUCCUUUUGCGAUUCGAAAAAGUUUGUCAAGGAGACUUGAUCAACCUCAUUGACGGAUUUCUUUCGAUGACCAUGAGAUGGAUGAAUUGAGGAGUCACAAUCCUCUGUUCCAAGCUUUCACCUUCGGUUGCUUAAAAGAAAAAUGAUAGGUUUAGUUUGGUUUUCCCUGUUUUCUGCAUUUAGCGUCCCGUAGAAAAGUACCCCGAAAAUAAAAAAUUUCCGAACUUCCUGAAAAUCAAGUAUGAUUUUUUCUGGAAUUUUUGAAAAAUACUGAGACGAAGAGCUAGUCUGGGGGAUGCGCUAGUGGGUCACAAGCCCAGGAGGCCCGACCACCCCCCCUGGCCGGGCCUGGCAGGCUUGUGGGGACCACGUGUACCCCCUCCACUCAUUCUAUCUCUCAUCUUCUUCUCCUACCUCCAGAAAAAAUCGUUUCGCAGCUCUAACCCGUGUUCUUGCACCUCUUGCUGAGAUUCUCGAUCUCCUUUCUCAAAGCACUAUUCUCCGAACUGUUUUGGGGAAAUUUCUCCUUGGUAAGUGACUCUCCAUUGGUCCAAUUAGUUUUUCCUCUACUGCCUUAUACUUCGCGUAUAUUUGCUGCCUUAGUGACCAUGUUCUUGAGCUUUGCAUGCUAAUUUUAGCUGGUCCCAAGUAGUUUUGAUGCGUAAUAUGGCCUCUAGGCACUUGUGGGAGUAGUUGCUACGAGUUUAGUUGAGCCUUGUUCACUUUUGCUUAGAAUUACUAAAAUUUGAGAAAUUUUCAGAGAUAGAAAAGGGAAAAGAUGAGGAGGUUCUUAAGAGGCUCUUCAAGCCGUGACCCCAAGGAUGAUGGAAGUGAGAAGAAACCCAAGUAUCCGGUCCCUCGAGUUGCAGAAGUUCGAGCGUGCGAGUGACCAAGCGAUGUGUUCUUACGCACCGCUGGACUUUAUGAGGACUUUUACUACUUGGUGGAGAAUGCAGGCCUUACCGCCUUCGUUGAAGAGAAGUGUCCGCAAUACCUCCUCCUCACUAAUAUCUUCGUACAUAGCUUUAACUUCUAUCCGAGGAAGAAUCCUCCUAUGGUUGAGUUCAAACUUUAUGAUAUCCCCCAGCGCAUGUCACUCCAGGAUUUUUGCAAUGUUUGCAAAUUACCUUACGCUGGGGAUAUGCAUGAACCACGUCCACGGGACUUGGAAGCUUUCAUCGACACUAUUGAUGUAGGAGAGGAGAGAGGAGUGUCUUGCGCUAGAGCUGCUAGCAUACAUUUUCCCGUGUUUCGGUACUUCUCAUUAUUUGUGGGAAAAUGUUUGAUUGGCCAUGGGAAAGCUGGGUCCCUUAGCUUUAACUCCUAUCCAAGAAAGAAUCCUCCUAUGGUUGAGUUUAAACUUUAUGAUAUCCGCAGCGCAUGUCACUCGAGGAUUUUUGCAAUGUCUGCAAAUUACCUUACGUUGGGGAUAUUCAUGAACCUCGUCCACGAGAUCUGGAAGCUUUCAUCGGUACUAUUGUUGUAGGAGAGGAGAGAGGAGUGUCUUGCGCUAGAGCUGCUAGCAUACAUUUUCCCGUGCUUCGGUACUUCUCACUAUUUAUGGGAAAAUGUUUGAUUGGCCAUGGGAAGGCUGGGUCACUUAUUUCCCCAGAUCUUGCGGUCUUGCGCGAAGCCCUUUAUAAUUAUAAAACUUAUUGCUUGGGCGCUAUAGUAGCUCAACGGUUGAACACGAACCGUUCUAAAGGUGUUGUCUAUGGAGGUAUCUAUGCUACUCGUCUUGCUAGACAUUUUGAGAUACCUAUUAGACUAGACGAGAAGAAGAGAUUCUUCUUCCUGAGAGAUAUCUAGAUUAUGAUAGCAUGGUUCACCAUGACUUUCUUGAUAGAGAUAUAAAUAGAAGGUUGAUUUAUAACCUGGUAUUUAGUUAGGGUACUCGUGAGACUAUUACUUUGCCUGCUCCUUUUUUGUUCAAUCUUCAUGCAUGCAGGUACAUUAUUAUGCCCUCAGACAUCUACGCAUAUUGGGGCUUAGCCCAACCACAGUUGCCCGUGCCCGAGCCACCAGUCGAGUACCAGACGCCGGUUUAUCAGUGGGAGCCAGAGGAGCUCACACAGCAGUGGCAUCCUCAGUCCACUCCGGAGUACCCCGGAGCUGGUUAUUUCCCUCCAUGGGAGUAGACCAACUUAGGCCAAAAGCCUAAGCUUGGGGGAGUACGUGUUUCUCAUCGACUUUAUAUUCUUGCUUAUGCUUUCACUCUGUUAGUCGGUGUACACACUUUGCCACUGUUUCAUCCAUGCUAGUUUAUUUCUUUUUCUCGUUAUCUUUUCGUGUGUUUGUCUAGUUUGAGAAAACCCAAAAAGAUUUUCUUUUGCUUCUUUUGUUUGUUGGGAGCUUUCUCGUGAAAAUAGUUUUCUUUUUCUUUGGGUCAAGGUAGAAGACCAUCGUUACAAUGUUUAGUGGCUCUCGCAUGCAUAUCUGCUUAUCUGUUAAAGAACCAUAUUACUUUGUCUUCUCCUUUGUGUUUGCAUGCAGAUUCCAGCUUAGUCCAAUGCACGAGCACUCUUAUUAUUGUUCACAUCAUUCGGUUGUGCAAGUGAAAGGCAAUAAUGACGAUAUAUGAUGAAGUGUGUGAGCCUGGAAAAGCUGGUAUGGAUUCGAUCUAUUUUGUUUUUGUAAAUAUGACUAGCUCAUCAUUCCUGAUUCAGGUUUGUUGUGAGAGAAACAUGUUUGCAAUGACAACUUAGAGAUCAUAGUUCACGAUGCCAUGCUUAAUUAGCUAGGAGCUUAUAAUGGUUUGUCUUGGAUGCCCACAUGAUUAUUGAGAUGACUAUGAUGUAGUAUGAUAGGAUGGUAUCCUCCUUUGAAUGAUUCAAGUGGCUUGACUUGGCACAUGUUCAUGCAUGUAGUUGAAACAAAAUCAACAUAGCCUCUAUGAUAUUCAUGUUCGUGGUGAUUUAUGUCCUACUCAUGCUUGAACUCAAUGUUAGUUAAUCUCAAUGCAUUUUGAUGACUGUUGUCGCUCUCUAGUUGGUCGCUUCCCAGUCUUUUGCUAGCCUUCACUUGUACUAAGCGGGAAUACUGCUUGUGCAUCCACUUCCCUAAACCUAAAGUUGUUCCAUAUGAAUCCACUAUACCUACCUAUAUGUGCUAUCUACCUGCCAUUCCAAGUAAAUUUUCAUGUGCCACUCUCUAAACCUUCAAGAAAUAAUCUGUUUUGCAUGCCCGAACCGCUCAUGUGGUGACAGGGGGCUAUCAGUAUCUUCCAUGCUAGGAGUGUUAUCCUUGAUAUGUGUUUAUUCACUAUCAUUCAAGAGAAAGGGGUCGGUAAUUGGAAUGCCUAGUUCCAUGCUGAAAUCGAAAAGACAAUUGCAGAACAAAACUCCCCCUGGAUUGAUGUUGGUAUGGACGGCACCCGAGUAUUCGGCUAGUCGUGGAGUUGAUUGAUUGGUGGUGGGGGAGUCAAAACUUUACUUUUCUGUUUGGGAACCGCCUAUAGCAUGUGUAGCGUGGAAGAUGGUGAGAACUCUUAGUCAAUGCGUUGACAAUGAAAGCAUGCCACCCAAAAUUAUUAUCUCUGUUUUCAAAGCUUGAGCUCUGGCACCUGUGCAAAUCAAUGCUUCCGUCUGCGAAGGGACUGUCUAUUUAUGUUCCUGUUGAGUCAUCCUCUUCUUAUCAAAGCACCAAUUAGAGAGCACCUUUCUCAUUUUUAUGCUUUACUUUUAACUGUGUUGAGUAUGACUGUGACUCGAUCUUCUUUGCCAUGAAUUACAAUGUUUAGUCAGCCUUUGGUCUUUGAAGGUGCUCUGCAUUUAUGUUUUGCAGUCUCAGAAAGAGCUAGCGAGAUACCAUCUGUUCACACUGCUUCAUGAUUGUUUUGAUUGAAGUGUUGACGUUUGAAACUUAUUAUUAUUGCUUGCUAGUUGAUUAUGCCAUUGAUAUGAGUUUACCGUCAGACCUAGAUGUCAUUUGCUUUUGUGGUUUGCUUAUGAUCUUGCUAAAAUUCUGGAUAUGAGUUAGGCAUAAUUGCAACAACAAGAUCAAACAGAGUUUGUAAAAGUUUUUAUUUUGUCUCUUUCAGUUUGUCAACUGAAUUUCUUGAGGACAAGCAAGGCUUUAAGCUUGGGGGAGUUGAUACGUCUCCGUCGUAUCUACUUUUUCAAACUCUUUUGCCCUUGUUUUAGACUCUAAUUUGCAUGAUUUGAAUGGAACUAACCCGGAUUGCCGCUGUUUUCAGCAGAAUUGCCAUGGUGUUGUUUUUGUGCAGAAAGAAAACUUCUCGGAAUGACCUGGAAAUUUACGAGGAUUUUUUGUGGAAUAUAUAAAAAAUACUGGCGCAAGAAUCACCUGGAGGGACGGAGCCAGGAGCUCACAAGUCCACCAGGCCCACCCCCCCUGGCCGGGCCUGGCAGGCUUGUGAGCCCCUCAGGGCUCCGCCACCUCCAAUUCCAGAUCUAUGUAUCCUCCUUCGACCGGACAAAAUUCAAGGAGAAGGGUUCAUCAUGUUUUACGAUACGGAGGCGCCGCCACCUCGUGUUCUUCCUGUGGAGGGAAGAUCUGGAGUUCGUUCUGGGCUCCGGAGAGGGGAGAUCGUCGCCAUCGUCAUCACCAACCUUCCUUCAUCGCCAAUUCCAUGAUGCUCUUCACCGUUCGUGAGUAAUCUCACCGUAGGCUUGCUGGACGGUGAUGGGUUGGAUGAGAUCUAUCAUGUAAUCGAGUUAGUUUUGACGGGGAUUGAUCCCUAGUAUCCACUAUGUUCUCAGAUUGAUAUUGCUACUACUUUGCUAUGCUUAAUGCUUGUCACUAGGGCCCGAGUGCCAUGAUUUCAGAUCUGAACCUAUUAUGUUGUCCCCAAUAUAUGUGUGUUCUUGGUCCUAUCUUGCAAGUUGUAGUCACCUACUAUGUGUUAUGACCCGGCAACCCCGGAGUGACAAUAGCCGGAACCACUCCCGGAGAUGACCAUAGUAUGAGGAGUUCAUGUAUUCACCAAGUGUUAAUGCAUUGGUCCGAUUCUUUAUUAAACGGAGAACCUUAAUAUCCCAUAGUUUCCAUAAGGACCCCUCUACCACGGGAGGGAUGGACAAUAGAUGUCAUGCAAGUUCUUUUCCCUAAGCACGUAUGACUACAUACGAAAUACAUGCAUACAUUAGAUUGACGAACUGGAGCUAGUUACAUAUCUCUCCGUGUUAUAACUGUUGCAUGAUGAAUAGCAUCCGGCAUAAUCAUCCAUCACCGAUCCAAUGCCUACGAGUUUUUCCUACUGGUCCUUGCUACAUUACUUUGCCGCUACUGCUGUCACUUCUGCUACUGUUACUCUGUUGCUACUACUGUUACUUUGCUACUACUGCUGUCACUUUGCUGCUACUCGUUACUGUUGUUACUGCUGCUAUCAUACUGCCUUGCUACUGAUACUUUGUUGCAGACACUAAAUCUUUCAGGUGUGGUUGAAUUGACAACUCAACUGCUAAUACUUGAGAAUAUUCUUUGGAUUCCCCCUGAGUCGAAUCAAUAAAUCUGGGUUGAAUACUCUACCCUCGAAAACUGUUGUGAUCCCCUAUACUUGUGGGUUAUUGCUACUGCGACAACAGACCUUCCCUGGUACGGCGCCAGGAAUCUUGCUGCUACGGCUACGCCUUUAGGGACUUCCUUGGCAAAUAUGCAAAGGAUUUCCCCGUGGCCUUGGAGCCUUGCAUUGGUGUUCCCUUGAAGAGGAAAGGGUGAUGUAGCACAGCGGCGGUAAGUAUUUCCCUCAGUUUUGAGAACCAAGGUAUCCAACCAAUGGAGGAUCUUGUCAAGUCACAAGUACCUGCACAAACACAAAGAGCUUGCACAAAACGCAAUGAAGGGGUUGUCAAUCCCUUAUAGAUUGUUUCCAAAGUGAGAACUGAAAGCAACAAAGAGUAAACAAAGCAAAGUAAAAGUGAAAGUGGAAACGAUAGGUGUGAAUAGACCCCGCGGCCGUAGUGUUCACUAGUGGCUUCUCUCAUGAAAGCAAGUAGACAGUGGGUGAACGAAUUACUGUUGAGCAAUCUAUAGAACCGCGCAAAGUCGUGACGUAAUCUAAGGGAAUGAUUAUAUCUAUAGGCAUCACGUCCAAAACAAGUAGACCAAUACUUUCUGUCUCUACUACUAUUACUCCACAAGUUGACCGCUAUCCAGCAUGCAUCUAGUGUAUUAAGUCCAAAAGAACAGAGUAACACCUUAAGCAAGAUGAGAUGAUGUAGAUGGACAAUCUCAUAUCUACGAUAAAAGCCCAUCUUGUUACCCUUGAUGGCAACUACAUGAUGCGUGCCUUGCUACCCCUUCCGUCACUGGGAAAUGUCACCACACGGUAUGAACCCAAAACCAAGCACUUCUCCCAUUGCAAGAAUCAUAGAUCUAGUUGGCCAAACAAAACCCAAGACUCGGAGAGACUUACAAGGAUAUCAACUCAUGCAUAUAAGAAAUCAGCAAAGACUCAAAUAUAAUUCAUAGAUAAUCUGAUCACAAAUCCACAAUUCAUCGGAUCUCGACAAACACACCGCCAAAGAGGAUUACAUCGGAUAGAUCUCCAUGAAGAUCAUGGAGAACUUUGUAUUGAAGAUUCAAGAGAGAGAAUAAGCCAUCUAGCUACUAACUAUGGACCCGUAGGUCUGAAGUGCACUACUCACAAGUCACUGGAGGGGCGAUGAUGUUGAUGAAGAAGCCCUCCAACUCCAAAGUCCCCUCCGGCAGGGCACCGGGAAGGGUCUCCAGAUGAUAUCUCACGGAAACGGAAGCUUGCGGCGGCGGAAAAGUGUUUUCGUGGAUGCCCUCAUUUUUUUCUAGAUUUUACGGAAUAUAUAGGCUAAAGAGCUAGGUCAGGGGGGCGCCAGGGAGGCCACAAGCCUGGUAGCCGCCGCCCCCUGGUGGCGGCUACAGGGCUUGUGGGCCCCGUGUGGCUCUCCUGCCUUGGCCCUCAAGUCCCAUGAUCUUCUUCCGUUCUGGAAAAAUCAAUUUCGGGGAUUUUAUUCCAUUUGGACUCCGUUCCAAAAUCAGACCUGAAAAGAGUCAAAAACACAGAAAAAACAGGAACUGGCACUUGGCACUGAAUUAAUAAGUUAGUCCCAAAAAAGAUAUAAAAGGUAAACAAAACAUCCAAAGUUGACAAGAUAACAGCGUGAAACCAUCAAAAAUUGUAGAUACGUUUGAGACGUAUGAAGCAUCUCCAAGCUUAACUCAUGUUCGUCCUCGAGUAGGGAAGUGAUAAAAAUGAAUUUUUGAUGCUUUUAUGCUCCCUAGCAUAGAUGUCCUUUGUAACUCCUCUUAUGUGACGUGAAUGUUCAGAUCCAUUAGAUUCAAAACAAUAGUUUGCUAUUGAUGUGGAAACAAUAAUAAUUCAAGCAAACUAGCAAGGUAACCAUGAAAUUUUAAAAUAACAAGGCCAAAAGAAAGUUAUCCCUACAAAAUCAUAUAGUCUGGCUAUGCUCUAUCAUCAUUGCGCAACGAAUUUAAAUCAUGCACAACCCAGGUAUUGGCCAAGUAAUUGUUUUCACACCUUUACUUUCUCAAACUUUUUCAACUCUCACGCAAUACAUGAGCAUGAGCCAUGGUUUUAGCACUAUAAGUGGUGUGGAGUGUGGUGGAGGUUGCAAGACAAAUAAGGAGAAGAUGGUCACAUUAACUAGGCAUAUCAAUUAGCUGUGGAUAUGCUCAUCAAUAGAUAUCAAUGUGAGUGAGUAGGGAUUGCCAUACAAAUGAUGCACUAGAGCUAAGAGUAUGUGAAAGCUCUUAAGGAAAACUAGUGUGUGUGCAUCCAACUUGCUUGCUCACGAAGACCUAAGGCAAAUUUGAGGAAGCCUAUCAUUGGAAUAUACAAGCCAAGUUAUGUAAUGAAAAUUUCCCACUAGCUAUAUGGUGGAGACAAAACGAGAGACUCUCAAUCAUGAAGAUCAUGGUGCUUAAUAAGCACAAGUGUGGAAGGAUAGUAGCAUUGUCCCUUCUCUCUUUUUCUCUCAUUUUUUGGUGGACUCUUUGGCCUCUUUUUUUAUAUUUUUUUAUUUUGGUGGGCAUCUUUGGCCUCUUUUUGUAUAUGGGCUUCGCUGGCUUCUUUUAUUUCCUCACAUGGGACAAUGCUCCAUCAAUGAUGAUCAUCACACUUACAACUCAAAACUUAGAACAAUGAUGACUCUACAUGGAAUGCCUUCGGUAGUGUACCGUGACAAUGAUCUAGCAUGGCAUAGACAUUAAAGGAAACAUCAUGUUAGCUAUAUUACGAUCAUGCAAUGGCAAUGUUGAAGUGGUGAGACAUGUCAUGGUGGUAGUCGUAUGGCAAUAUAUCUCGGAAUGACUUUGAAAAAGCCAUAGUAGGUAGGUAUGGUGGCUGUUUUGAGGGAGGCUAAUGGUGGGUUUUGUGCACCGACGAAAGUUGCGCGACACUAAAGACGAUAGUGAUGGUGGAAGGUGAAAGUGCAUCUAAACCAUGGUCUCAACAUUNAAAAAGUUUUAGUAGUAAUCGAAACAAAAGCAUUCAACACAUACUCCUAGGGGAAGGGUUGGUAGGUAUAAAUCAUCGCGCGAUCCCGACCGCCACACAAAGGAUGACAAUCAAUAUACUAAUCAUGCUCAGACUUCAUCACAUAGCGGUUCACCAUACGUGCAUGCUACAAGAAUCACUAACUUCAACACAAUUAUUUCUAGAUUCACAACACCUUACUAAUAUAACUUCAAUAUUACCAUAACCACAACUCAAAACUAAUUGAGAUGAAUCAAACUUCCCUAACUAUUCAAUGCACAUGAAGGUGGAAGUUUUCAUAUCCCUUUGGAUAACUACCCCUUUUGAGACUACAUUCAAAGCAUAGAUCAACUACCAAGCCACACACCGUCAUGCUCUAAAAGAUAUAAGUGAAGCACAUAGAGAAAAAUCAACUAGCUUAAAAGAUAUAAGUGAAGCACAUAUGAGCUGGAUUGUCUAACCAAAGGAUAUAAGUGAAGCUCGACAAAAUCACGGUGAGUGCAUGUAUCUCUCUCUAGGUGUGCAGCAAGGAUGAUUGUGACACAACAAAAAUAAAAGACACCUACGAUACAAGACGCUCAAAGCAAAACACAUAACAUGUGGUGAAUAAAAAUAUAGCCCCAAGUAACGUUACCGAUGGAUUGAAGACGAAAGAGGGGAUGCCUUCCCAGGGCAUCCCCAAGCUUAGGCUUUUACGGCAUCCUUGAAUCAUCUUGGGGUGCCUUGGGCAUCCCAAUCUUGAUCUCUUUCCACUCUUUAUCUUUUUGUCCAUAAGAACUUCACCCAAAACUUGAAAACUUCACAACACGAAACUUAAACAGAAACUCGUGAUAACAUUAGUAUAAGAAAGCAAACCAUCACUUCCUUAGGUACUGUAGCAAACUUAAAUUCUACUUAUGUUGAUGUUGGGUUACUGUAUUUUCAAUCUUCCAUGGCUAAUACCCCCCGAUACUAUCCAUAGUUUCAUCAAAAUAAGCAACCAACACAACAAAAAGAGAAUCUGUUAACAGCAGACCACUCUGUAGCAAUCUGUAUACUUCGUAUACUUCUGGUACUUCAAAAAUUCUGAAAAAUUACUACAGUCUGAAGAAUUUGCGUAGCAAUCAGCAGAAAAAUGAAUCAACUCAAAAGCUCUUACAGAAAAAAAAAAUGAAAAUUCUUUUCUUGAGCAGAAAGUUUCUGUCUUUUCCACCAUGACCAAACGAUCAUCCCCAAGACUAAUAAUAACGGUUUUGCUUGGCACAGACACAAAAAGAAACACAAAAAAACACAAUUAUAACAGAAUUAUGAAAGUGUGGAAAACACAAAACAGAAAGAAAAAGGAUAGAUUUGUUGGGUUGCCUCCCAACAAGCGCUAUUGUUUAACGCCCUUAGCUAGGCAAAAGGUGAUGGAAUCACGUAUAGUCAUCUUUGGUGCUCAAACCAUAAGUAGCCCUCAUCAUAGAUUCAUAAGGCAAUCUUAUUUUCUUUCUAGGAAAAUGCUCCAUGCCCUUCUUUAGGGGAAAUUGAAAUCUAAUAUUUCCUUCCUUCAUAUCGAUGAUAGCACCAAUCGUCCUUAGGAAAGGUCUACCAAGAAUAAUGGGACAUGAAGGAUUGCAAUCUAUGUCAAGUACAAUGAAAUCCAUGGGUACAUAGUUCUUAUUUGCAACAAUAAGAACGUCAUCUAUCCUUCCCAUGGGUUUCUUGACAGUAGAAUCCGCAAGAUGCAAAUUAAGAGAACACUCUUCAAUCUCAUGAAAACCAAGAAUAUCACAUAAAGACAUUGGAAUCACGAAAACACUAGCACCCAAGUCACACAAAGCAUUGCAUUCAUAGUUUUUGAUCUUGAUUUUUAUAGUAGGUUCCCACUCAUCAUGAAGUUUUCUAGGUAUAGAGACUUCUAAUUCGAGCUUCUCUUCAAGAUAUUUCAUCAUAGCAUCUACGAUAUGAGCAGUAAAAGCUUUGCUUUGGCUAUAAUCAUGUGGAGAGUUUGCAAUGGAUUGCAUCAAGGAAAUGCAUUCAAACAAGGAGCAACUAUCAUAAUUGAAUUCCUUGAAAUCCAAAGUGGGAGUUUUAUUACUACCCAAAAUUUUGAUUUCUUCUACUACACUCUCCACACCUUUAUCAUCAAGAUAGGUGGACUCCGAAUCAUUGGGGCGUUUUUCAACCAAAGUGGAUUCAUAUCUAGACCCUUCAUCAAUAGGUUUGACACGAGAAAACAAAGAUUCAAGAGGAGUCACACCAAGCAAUUUAAGAUCUUCGUGAUUUGCAUCACUAGAACGCACCCUUUUACACCAUUCAUGCCUAGCGCGAAUUUGGGCGGUUCUUUCUUUGCUCUCAUUCAUGGAGAGACACAUAGAUUUUAAAGUUUCAUCCAAGUUGACCUUGGGAGGAGCACAUCUAACUUUCAAAGCAUCAAUAUCACAAGACAUCCUAUCAACGCUCUUAGCCAAGUCGUCAAUUUUGAGUAGUUUUUCCUCUAUGGACGAAUUGAAAAUCUUUUGAGAGUUGAUGAACUCUUUGAUAUUACUCUCUGAAUCAGAGGGUAAUUUGUUGUGAUUUCCAUAAGUGUUGUUGUAGGAAUUUCCAUAAUUGUUAGAGGAGUUACUAGGAAAAGGCCUAGGAACGUAGUUUCCUCUAAAAGCAUUGUUGUUGCCAAAAUUGUUCCUACCAACAAAAUUAACGUCCAAACUAGCGUUGCUACUCUCAAUCAAGGAAGAUAGUGGCAUGUCAUUAGGAUCUAAAGGAGCAUUUAUACUAGCAACCAAAUUCAUCAAAUUGUCCAUCUUAGCACUAAGCGAGUUAAUUUCUUUUAUAGCGUGUACCUUUUUGCUAGCAGGUGACCUUUCAGUGUGCCACUGAGAGUAGUUGGUCAUGAUAUUGUCUAGGAGUUUUGUAGCGUCUUCUAACGUGAUUUCCAUGAACGUUCCACCUAAGGCGGAGUCCAAGAUAUUGCAAGAAGAAAAAUUCAAACCAGCGUAAAAGAUUUGUAUAAUCAUCCACAAACUCAAGCCAUGAGCGGGACAAUUUCUAAUCAUUAACUUCAUCCUCUCCCAAGAUUGUGCAACGUGUUCAUGAUCAAGUUGCUUGAAAUUCAUGAUAUCGUUACCUAAGGAGAUAAUCUUAGCCGGCGGAAAAUACUUGGAUAUGUAAGCAUCUUUGCACUUAUCCCAAGAAUCGAUACUAUUUUUAGGCAAAGAAGAAAACCAAGUUUUUGCGCAAUCUCGCAACGAGAAAGGAAAAAGCUUCAACUUAAUCACGUCAUUAUCCACAUCUCUUUUCUUUUGCAUAUUGCAAAGCUUAAUGAAGGUAUUGAGAUGGGACGCGGCAUCUUCACUAGGAAGUCCAGAGAAUUGCUCUUUCAUAACAAGAUUCAGCAAAGCUGUGUUGAUUUCAUAUGAUUCCGCACUAGUGGCGGGAGCAAUCGGAGUACUAAUAAAAUCAUUAUUAUUGGUACUCGAGAAGUCACAAAGUUUGGUGUUUUCAGCCAUGAUGACUUCAACAAACAAACAAGCACACAAGCAAGCAAGAAAGCCAGCAAAGGAAAACGGCAACAAGGCAAAAGGAAAAGGCAAAAAGGCAAAAGAAAAAGGCAAAGGAAAACGGCAAAUGUGAAGUGGGGGAGAGGAAAACGAGAGGCAACUCGCAAAAAAGGUAAAUGCAAGAGAUGAGUUUGUGACACCUACUUGGAUAGAUGACUUGAUCUCUCCUCCUUGCUCCAGAAAUCAGCACGUUGAAGAGAGACUAUUCUUGACUUGAUCCUCCCCGGCAACAGCGCCAGAAAUCCUUCUGCUACUGCGACAACAGACCUUCCCUGGUACGGCGCCAGGAAUCCUGCUUCUACGGCUACGCCUUUAGGGACUUCCUUGGAAAAUAUGCAAAGGAUUUCCCUGUGGCCUUGGAGCCUUGCGUUGGUGUUCCCUUGAAGAGGAAAGGGUGAUGUAGCACAACGGUGGUAAGUAUUUCCCUCAGUUUUGAGAACCAAGGUAUCGAACCAAUGGAGGAUCUCGUCAAGUCACAAGUACCUGCACAAACACAAAGAGCUUGCACCCAACGCUAUGAAGGGGUUGUCAAUCCCUUAUAGAUUUUUGGCAAAGUGAGAACUGAAAGCAACAAAGAGUAAACAGAGCAAAGUAAAAGUGAAAGUGGAAACGAUAGAUGUGAAUAGAUCUGAGGGCCAUAGUGUUCACUAGUGGCUUCUCUCAUGAAAGCAAGUAGACGAUGGGUGAACGGAUUACUGUCGAGCAAUUGAUAGAACCGCGCAAAGUCGUGACGUUAUCUAAGGCAAUGAUUAUAUCUAUAGGCAUCACGUCCAAAACAAGUAGACCGAUACUUUGUGCAUCUACUACUAUUACUCCACACGUCGACCGGUAUCCAGCAUGCAUCUAGUGUAUUAAGUCCAAAAGAACAGAGUAACGCCUUAAGCAAGAUGACAUGAUGUAGAUGGACAAUCUCAUAUCUACGAUAAAAUCCCAUCUUGUUACCCUUGAUGGCAACAACAUGAUGCGUGCCUUGCUGCCCCUUCUGUCACUGGGAAAGGUCACCACACGGUAUGAACCCAAAACCAAGCACUUCUCCCAUUGCAAGAAUCAUAGAUCUAGUUGGCCAAACAAAACCCAAGACUCAGAAAGACUUACAAGGAUAUCAAAUCAUGCAUAUAAGAAAUCAUCAAAGACUCAAAUAUAAUUCAUAGAUAAUCUGAUCACAAAUCCACAAUUCAUCGGAUCUCGACAAACACACCGCCAAAGAGGAUUACAUCGGAUAGAUCUCCAUGAAGAUCAUGGAGAACUUUGUAUUGAAGAUCAAAGAGAGAGAAGAAGCCAUGUAGCUACUAACUACGGACCCAUAGGUCUGAAGUGAACUACUCACGAGUCAUUGGAGGGGCGAUGAUGUUGAUGAAGAAGCCCUCCAACUCCAAAGUCCCCUCCAGCAUGGCACCGGGAAGGGUCUCCACAUGAGAUCUCGCGGAAACGGAAGCUUGCGGCGGCGGAAAAGUGUUUUCGUGGAUUCCCUCAUUUUUUUCUGGAUUUUAGGGAAUAUAUAGGCGAAAGAGCUAGGUCAGGGGGCGCCAGGGAGGCCACAAGCCUGGUAGCCACCGCCCCCUGGUGGCGGCUACAGGGCUUGUGGGCCCCCUGUGGCUCUCCUGCCUUGCCCUCAAGUCCCCUGAUCUUCUUCCGUUCUGGAAAAAUCAAUUUCGGGGAUUUUAUUCCGUUUGGACUCCGUUCCAAAAUCAGAUCUGAAAAGAGUCAAAAACACACAAAAAACAGGAACUGGCACUUGGCACUGAAUUAAUAAGUUAGUCCCAAAAAAGAUAUAAAAGGUAAACAAAGCAUCCAAAGUUGAGAUGUAACAUCCCAAAAUUAUAAAUUUUUGGAAUGUUAAUAUAAUUAUUAGAUUGAUCAUUUGUUGGUUGCCUGAGUGAUUGAAACUUGUGUGAAAUUUGAAACUUUUCGAAACUUUUGAAAGAGAGGGAAUAAAAUGACUUUCCCCUUCUCCGGUGAAUUCAAAUUCAAUCUUUUAAAAGCAACGAGAGAAGAUGACAUGACUUCUUCAACCACAAAGAAUUUGAACGGAGAUAUUUGCAUUGAAUUCUUUUGCAUUUCCAUUUCUUCCUCCUCGCACGAAAAGCCCGGAAAAUACUCUCUUGCACGCAAGAGAGAGAGCGGAGGAAAAUGACCCUCCAACGCACGGGAAUUUUUGAAAUGUUGGAGCCAAGAAAAUCCAGGGAUUAUUUGCAAAAAUAUUUGCAAAGAGAAAUAAAGCAAUUUAGUGAAUUUCUGGAAAAAAAACAUUUUUUAGAAGUUUUUAUUUUGGCUUUAAAAAAAUGUUAUUCGGGUAGAGAUUCUUUUUCUGAUUUUUUUUGGUAUAUAAUACCAUAUAUAAAUUUUUUUAUUUACUUUCUUUUUUUAGCUUUUAUUUUUCUGUUUUGGAAAGGUUAGAUAAUAGGAAAGAUUUAUUUUUUUUCUUGCAGCCGCCGUCGGGCGCUAGAUAGCCAAGCUCGGCCGAAUCCCACUUACCAGGGAUCCCAAAUCCUUUAAAUCGGCCACUGCCCCCCUGUCUUUUCCCUCCCUCCUCCUCACUGCCAGUGGCCCCCCACCACCCGAGCAUCUCCCUCCACGUCACCUUCUCCUUCCCUCCCUCUCUUUCCUUCUUCUCCCAGACCGAGCCGCACCACCAGCGAUCUCCUUCCCCACUGCCUCCCUCUCCUUUCCAUAGCCCACCCCCUCCGAAGCCUAUAUAUACCCCCCCACCUCAGCCGACCCCUUACCCAACCCUAGCCGCCGCCCCACUCCCCUAGCCACCGCCCCAUCCCCUAGCCACCGCCACCACGAGCUGCCGCCGGAGUAGCAGCAGCAGCAAGCUACUGCCUCUCCUCGGCCCGCCCCUGGGAGCAGCCCCCNNNNNNNNNNNNNNNNNNNNNNNNNNNNNNNNNNNNNNNNNNNNNNNNNNNNNNNNNNNNNNNNNNNNNNNNNNNNNNNNNNNNNNNNNNNNNNNNNNNNGUUAAUUAUUUAGUUCACUCCCGGUUAUCUACACGGCAAUAUUAAUGUUGUCAAACAUGCAAGAGGUGACGCGAAAAUUAAACUACCUAUCUAGGCAUUUUAAGUGAGGUCGGAAAUGACAUAUAGCACCUCUGAAACGCCUCACAUGUUAAAUUACAAUUCUGUACAGAUCUGAAUUAACGCAUUUAAUUAGUUGUUAAACAGCAAAACAAAGAGGUUCACGUGAUUCUACGCGUCAAGGCAAGCAACCUACAUGUGAAGAACAUCUCCAAUGGAGCUACGGAUCAAAAGAUACAAGCACCGCAAGAUAUGAUGGCAUGAAUGCAAAAUGUGUGCAACGACGGUCACGAGCACUUCAAAACAAACAACCAGCAAGAGAAAAAGAAACUACACAAGAUUCUAAGCAAGUUUCAUGUAGGACACGAUCUAAUCGGAGCUACGGUUCAAAAACUACGAGCAAAACAAGAAAUCACUCCAAUCUGCCAAAAUCAGCCACAUAGCAUAUUCUACGCCUCACAACUACGGCUACACAACUCCGAUAAACUCAAUCAAGGCAUGGCAUGGAAGAGGGCAAGAAGCACUACUACAAACAACUAACAACAACUAGCAUGGCAGCAAGGAGCACUAGGGAAAGAAGACACAAAAUGGCAUCUCAUGCACUAUUUCAGACUUAGUGAAAAUUACACCUCAUGAAAGUGCAGUUUUCAGCCUGAAGGCAUAUUGACAGCAGCAAAAACCUAAGCUACAGGACUCCAAAUGGCAUGAAACUUAACAGCAUGCUAGAGAAACAUGAGGGGUACGACUAACUCCAUUGGACCAACCCCAAAAGAGCUACAGAUCACAAGAUGCAAGCAAGACAAGACAGCAACAAAAUAUAACAGAUUCCAGACUUAGAAAUAUUUCAGCUCCUCUAAAACAGCACUAUUUCUAGCAACUUGAGAGCAAGAAAACAACACCUAAACAUGCAUUUCUAUUGCAACUAAAAAUACCAGGGGCUAAACAAAACAUCCAAGAUCAACUCUCCAGUUGACAACUCCGUCAAACGACGCACGGAAUAAAUCCUACGAAUUAAACAAAAGGGCAACACGGCAAAAUAUCGCGCGAACUAACUUCCUCAAAAGCUAAAAGUAAUUGCACAGAAAAAACAUAUAAAAUAUGUGGGGUUUGCAGCACGAAAUAAUGCCACACAUUAAUGCGAGAGAAUAACCUAUAUACGGGAAAAUAAACUAGAGGCAAUUUCCUACACGUAAAAAUACAAUUGACCGCUCUAAAAUACAUGGAAAAUAGCUCCCUAGAGCAUGGACAUUUAUCCUACGUCAUACGAACAACCCGGACACGCGCGAAAAAUAACUACGGAUCGGAACCUAUUGUAACAGCACGCAAAACAAAGCAUUAGGCACCCUAAACAGCGUUAAACAAUUAUGCAUGUUUCAAAUUCGUAUUCUACGCGCGAAACUACCACAAAACCAUAUAUAACACGUCUCGAACCGGCUUACGGUUUAAAAGUUACGGGGGUUUUAAUACAACUAUAUUCCUAAAAAUAUUAAAUCGCGGAUAAAAUCUCUAAAAUUCCAGUCGGGCCGAACUGGGCCAAAAGGGCNCUCGACGGGCAACUGGGUCGUCGGCCAGCGCGAGGUCAAGCUCCCACCGAUCCGGUACGGGAGCGGCGACUGGAUCGCGGAGACGCAGGGGCGUGAGCUCGCGUUGGCAGCUGCAGGAGCGGUUCGGGCCUGGCGGGCCUCGCGUGGGCUGGAGGGGUGCUUAAAUAGGAAAAAGGGGCUAGGGUGCAGGGUAUCUGGGGGUUUUUCGACCCUCCGGUCGCGUUCGUGCGAUCCGAUCGGAGGGGCGGGUUAGGGUUAGGUGUGCAGAGUGGCGUUGGCUAAGAUGAGAGGGAUGUGGUGCAGCGCGGCAUCGACUUUUAAAACACCGACAGACGUCCGAUGAAUAACCGAAGACGGUGCCGCUACGGGCGACCGUUCGGGUACCAGACGGCCUCCGAUCGUGACGAAAUUCGACAGGCGGCCUGGCUCUAUCUAAUCGCGACCGCGUGCCAAGUUUCACCUCGAUCAGAGAAAGUUUUAAACACACUUUAAAAACAGGGUUUCGACGGUGCCGCGGGCGCAUCCGAGUGCGGUCGGACUCAGGACGGACGACGUCGAGAACCGGCAACUACUAACGAAUGCAAGUUUUGAAAACUGACAGCAACGGAGAUGCCGAUGCAAUGCAGAUGAUGCGCAUGAUGCGAUGAUGAUGCAACAAAAUAAAACAGACACGCGACGAAAACGGAAAGAAAGGGGAAUCUUCUGGAACGUCGGCAUCGGGCUGUCACACCUAGGUCUUCGCUCUAGUAUUUUUUAUAUUUUCCAAAAAUAUUCUACGUAAAUUUUCAGUCCAUUCCGAGGACUUUUAUUUCUACACAAAAAUGACGCCAUGGUAGUUCUAGUGAAAACAACGUUAGUCUGGGUUAGUUCUAAUAAAAUCAUAUAAUUUUUUUGUAAACAUGGCAUGAAUACUUCACAAGUUAUAGAUACGUUGGAGAUAUAUCACCAUCGCCAAGCUUAAUUCCAUCUUGUCCUAAUAUAUGAAGUGUGAAUGCUAGCAAGUGCACAAGUUUGAUCAAUGAUACUUCCAAUUACUUUUUCUAGAAUCAAUAUAAACCAUAAAUAGUAGCUCAUCUCAUAAAACUUCUCAUGAUCAAGUAACAAGCUAUUCACAUGUUAAAGUAUAGACCAAAAAGUUUCUUCAAAACUAACAAACCAUAAUCCUAGUUAUCGAACAAUUGCAAUUCAUGUUAUUUUCAAGAAGGGUCUAUGUAAGAGCUUUGAUUUAGCAAAUUCCACAUACUCAACUAUCAUAUAGUCUUCCAUGAUUGCUAACACUCAAAGCAUACUUUUAGAGCAAAUGGCAUCCGUCGAACACACAGAAAGAUAGGGGCUUAAAGUUUCGCCUCCCAACUUAUUUAUCAUAUAGAUAAUUGUCAACCAUAAUAAUUCAUGGUCACAUAUAUUUGAAUAGCCAUAUAUGCUUGGAUCUUUCCACACUACAUGAUGCUUGCCAAGAGAAAAAGGCAAAAUAUAGGAAGUGGUGAAGAUCACCAUGACUCUUGUAUAAAGGUAAUCCCUUCGCAGAGGGAAGCAUUAAUUUGCAGAGGUGCCAAAGCUCAAGCUUUUAAAUCAGAGACGAACAAUAAUUUUGAGUGGUAUGCUUUCAUUGUCCACAUAACAAUCGAGAGAUCUCGGUAUCUUCCAUGCUAGAUACAUUAUAGGCGGUUCCAAACAGAAUGGUAAAGUUUUUUACUCCGCCUCCACCAAUCAAUCACACUCCACGGCGAGCCGAAUCCACGGGUACCGUCCAUACAAACAACAAUCCUGGGGGAGUUUUGUUUCAUUACAUUUUGAUUUGAUUUUUUUAGCGUGGGACUGGGCAUCCCGAAUACCAGCCACAUUCUCGAGAAUGAUAGUGAAUCAACACAUAUCCUAAGGAUAACUCACCUAGCAUGGAAGAUACUGACAUCACCUAGUCACUAUAUUGAGCGAUUCGGACAUACAAAACAGAAUAUUAUUUGAAGGUUUAGAGUUUGGCACAUGCAAAUUUACUUGGAACGGCAGGUAAAUACCGCAUAUAGGUAGGUAUGAUGGACUCAUAUGGAACAACUUUGGGUUUAAGGGUGUUUGGAUGCACAAGUAGUAUUUCCACUUGGUGCAGAAAUUUUGGCUAGUAUGAGGUGGAAGCAAGCACCACAUGUUGGAGGAUCCAUAACAAUAUAACUUCUAUACAAAUAUACCCAAGCAUAACUCAUUACUUUGUCUUCCUUGUCCAACUUCAACUAAUUUGCUCAAGUUUGAAAAUAAUUAACGGGUAUUCACUGUCAUAGAAUAUUUCCAAGAUAGUAUAUUUAUAUGUUAAAUCUCUCUUCCUUCAUUAUUCUUUCAUGAAUUGUUCAAGUGACCAAUGCGGUGUUUGCUAACUUUCAAUAAAUUUUACCACCUAUACUUCUUAUAUGCGAAGUCAUUACUCCACAUGUGAUAAGCAUAUAAAACAUAUAUAAUUUCAGAUUUAUGAUAUUCAAUUCAUUCAACCAUUUAGUCAUAGGAUAUAAGUGAAGCACGAGAGUAAAUGAGAAAACUACUCCAAAACAUAUACGUGAAGAUUAAUGAGUAGUCAAACAAUUAAGUAGCUAUGUGAGGACUUUCUAUCUCUCUCUUAAUAAAUAUUUUCGGAUCUGAGUAUUUAAUUUAAACAUCAAUCAAAAUAAAAAUAGCACUCCAGGAAUAGGACGCAUCAUGUGAACAAAUAAAAAUUUAGGCUCAGCAUAGGCUAACCCAUAGUCGACGAAGAGAGGUGGGAUGCGUAGCAUCCCCAAGCUUAGAUGUUUGACGCUUCUUGAAAUGUUUACUUGGGGUGCCUUGGGCAUACCCAAUCUUGAGAUUUUGUAUCUCGUUCAAUCCUCUCAUGUCGUGGUUUCACCUAUUCUCAAAAACAUCUUCCACACAAAACUUGAAAAGAACUCAUGAGAUAGGUUAGUACACAUAAGAAUAAAUCAACUCUUUAUGUACUUCCAAGACAAGUUCCAUAAUAAUUGAAAACAUCAUCCACUGUUUACUAUCAUUUCCACUAUUUAUAUCUAUCAAUAUAGGCUAUGGAAACUAUAGGAUAAGUGGAUAACCAAACUAUGACAACAAUCUGUCCAAACAGAACAGUCCGUAGAAAUUUAUGAAAACAGUGUACUUAUAUAACUCAAAAAAAUAUAAAAAUUUAGAAAAUGCUAUAAUAUUUAUAUUACAGCACUGUGUAAAAAUUUCAUAAAAUUUCAUGUUCGAGUAAAAUAAGAAAAUUCAAACACUACAACACCAAUUUCUAUUUUUACACAUCACCAAUCAAAGCAUGCAAUGCAAGCAUCCUAAUGCAAUUCUUGGAAAUUUUUAUUGAAAAACAAGAUUAUAAAUAACACCUAACAGAGAACAACAAUAUAAAAUGACGCUCCAAGGAAAACUCAUACUAUGUGACGAAUAAAAACAUAGCUCCAAGUAAGAUAUACCGAUAAUGUUGAAGACGAAAGAGGGGAUGCCUUCCGGGGCAUCCCCAAGCUUAGGCGCUUGAGUCUUCCUUGGAUAUUACCUUAGGGGUUCCUUGGGCAUACCCGAUCUUAGGUUCUUGUCACUCCUUAUUCUCCUCAUGUCGGUAUCUCACCCAAAACUUGAAAACUUCAAUCACACAAAACAUAACGGAACUUCAUGAGAAGGGUUAAUAUAAUAAAUAACGAUCAUUCGCUUAGGUACUGUGAAGACAAGAUUCAUAAUUGUUCCGAAAUGAUACCUACUGUAUUCUACUAUUCCCAUAAUUUAUAUGACUGAAUAUAAGCUAUGGGAACAUUAAAACAAGCAAACUAUGCAUGCAAAACAGAAUCUGUCAAAAAACAGAACAACCUCUGCAAAUCUGUAGUGUAACCAUACUUACCUGUCUCCCAAAAUUCUAAACAAUUAGUAAAAUCCAGUCAAUUUGUAUAUAAAUCACGUGUAAAAAAUUCAGAUCAAAAUCACGUUCCAGUGAAUUUACAUGAUUCCUGGACUUAGAGCAAAUGUUUCUGUUUUUGCACAGAAUCAAGUCAACUAUCAUCCACACUAUCCCAAAGGCUUUACUUGGCACUUUAUUGAAAUAAAAGGCAUAAAACAUGAUUACUACAGUAUUUUAAUCAUGUUAAAACCAAAAAACGAAAAGUAAAAGGGUUGGGUUGUCUCCCAACAAGCGCUUUUCUUUGAAGCCUUUUAGCUAGGCAUGAUGAUUUGAAUGAUGGUCACAUAGGAAUAAUAAUUAUAACAUACAAAAGAGCAUCAUGAAUCUCAUAACAAGCACAUUUAAGUCUAACCCACUUCCUAUGCAUAGGGAUUUGGUGAACAAGCAAUUUAUGGGAGCAGAAAUCAACUAGCAUAGGAAGGCAAAACAAGCAUAACUUCAAAACUUUGAACACAUAGAGAGGAAACUUGAUAUUAUUGCAAUUCCUACAAGCAUAUGUUCCUACCUCAUAAAAUUUUUCAGUAGCAUCAUGAAGGAAUUCCACAAUAUAACCAGCACAUAAAGCAUUAUUUUCAUGAUCUACAAGCAUAGAAAAUUUAUCACUCUCCACAUAAGCAAACUUCUUGUCAUUCAUAAUAGUGGGAGUAAACUCAACGAAAUAACUAUCAUGAGGUACUUGAUUGACAUAACCACUUUGAAUAUUAAAAUCAUGAUAAAAAGUUUCAUGAUUACUGUCACUCUUUAUAGCAUACAUGUCAUCGCAAUAAUCAUCAUACAUAGGAGGCAUGCUAUCAUCAUAAUAGUUUUGCUCAUCAAAACUUGGGGGAUUAAAAAUAUAAUAUUCAUCAAGCAUAGCAUCCCCAAGCUUGUGGCUUUGCAUAUCAUUAGCAUCAUGAAUAUUCACAGAAUUCAUACUAAAAAUAUUACUAUCUUUCUCAUGACUCAAAGAUAUAGUGCCAAACAUUUUAAUAACUUCUUCGUCUAACACUUGAGCACAAUUUUCCUUUCCAUCAUUUUCACGAAAGACAUUGAAAAGAUGAAGCAUAUGAGGCAACCUCAAUUCCAUUAUUUUGUAGUUUUCUUUUACAAAACCAAACUAGUGAAAAACAAGAAUCUAAAAGAUUUAAUUGCAAGAUCUGAAGAUAUACCUUCAAGCAGUCACCUCCCUCGCAAUCGCGCCAGAAAAGAGCUUGAUGUCUACUACACAACCUUCUUCUUGUAGACUCGUGUUGGGCCUCCAAGCGCAGAGUUUUGUAGGACAAUAGAAAGUUUCCCUCAAGUGGAUGACCUAAGGUUUAUAAAUCCAUGGGAGGCGUAGGAUGAAGAUGGUCUCUCUCAAGCAACCCUGCAAUCAAAUAACAAAGAGUCUCUUGUGUCCCCAACACACCCAAAACAAUGGUAAAUUGUAUAGGUGCACUAGUUUGGCGAAGAGAUGGUGAUACAAGUGUAAUAUGGAUGGUAGAUAUAGGUUUUUUAAUCUGAAAAUAUAAAAACGACAAGGUAUCAAAUGAUAAAAGUGAGCACAAACGGUAGUGCAAUGCUUAGAAACAAGGCCUAAGGUUUAUACUUUCAGUAGUGCAAGUUCUCUCAACAAUACUAACAUAGUUGAAUCAUAUGUAAAUACCUCUCGUGCGAAAAAGAGUUCACUCCAAAGUCAAAAAUAGUGGAGAAAUAACGAAGAAAUUAUUGUAGGGUACGAAACCACCUCAAAGUUAUCUUUUCUGAUCAAUCUUUUGAGCUAUCCCUAUAAGUGUCACGAACAUCCCUAGAGUUCGUACUAAAAUAGCACCUUAAGACACACAUCAACCAAAACCCUAAUGUCACCUAUAUACUCCAAUGUCACCACAAGUACCCAUGGGCUUGAUUAUACGAUAUACAUCAGACAAUUUCAGAUUCAUCAUGUUCAAUCCAACACAUAGAACUUCAAAGAGUGCCCCGAAGUUUCUAUCGGAGAGUCGAGACGACAACAUGCGCCAACCCCUAUGCAUAGAUUCCCAAGGUCAUGGAACCCGUGAUGACCCACAAGUAUAGGAGAUCAAUCGUAGUCCUUCCAAUAAGUAAGAGUGUCGAACCCAACGAGGAGCAGGAGGCUCUGAUAAACGGAUUUAAGCAAGGUAAUAACUGCAAGCACUGAAAGUAGCGGUAACAAGUGAUUUUGUAGCGAGGUGAAACGUAGCAAGCAAAGAGUAACAAGUAACAAGUAGUAGAAACGGUGCAGAAAGUGUCCCAAUCCCUUUUGUAGCAAGGGACAAGCCUGAACAAAGUCUUAUAGGAGGAAAAAUGCUCCCGAGGACACACGGGAAUUUCUGUCAUGCUAGUUUCAUCAUGUUCAUAUGAUUCACGUUCGUUACUUUGAUAGUUUGAUAUGUGGGUGGACCGGUGCUUGGGUACUGCCCUUACUUGAACAAGCAUCCCAUUUAUGAUUAACCUCUCUCGCAAGCAUCCGCAACUACAAAAUAAUAAUUAAGACAAAGUCUAACCAUAGCAUUAAACUAGUGGAUCCAAAUCAGCCCCUUACGAAGCAACGCAUAGACUCGGGUUUAAGCUUCUGUCACUCCAGCAACCCAUCAUCUACUUACUACUUCCCAAUGCCUUCCUCUAGGCCCAAAUAUUGUGAAGUGUUAUGUAGUCGACGUUCACAUAACACCACUAGAGGAAAAGAUAACAUACAACAUAUCAAAAUACCGAACGAAUAUCAAAUUCACAUGACUAUUAUUAACAUGACUUAUCCCAUGUCCUGAGGAACAAAAGUAACUACUCACAAAGCAUAAUCAUAAUCAUGAUCAGAGGUGUAAUGAAUAGCAUCAAGGAUCUGAACAUAAACUCUUCCACCAAGUAAUCCAACUAGCAUCAACUACAAAGAGUAAUCAACACUACUAGCAACCUUACAAGUACCAAUCGUAGUUGCGAGACGAAGAUUGGUUACAAGAGAUGAACUAGGGGUUGGAGAGGAGAUGGUGUUGAUGAAGAUGUUGAUGAAGAUGCCUCCCCUCCCACGAGAGGAGUGUUGGUGAUGACGAUGGCAACAAUUCCCCCCUCCGGGAGGGAAGUUUCCCCGGCAGGAUCGUCCUGCGGGAGCUCUAGAUUGGAUCUGCUCAAGUUCCGCCUCGUUGCGGCGGCGAAACCACGAAAAAGUUCCCUCUUGAUUUGUUCUAGACCAGGAUGCCUCAUAUAGAAAAAGAGGGGGGCUAGUGGGCCGUCAGGGAGCCCACAAGCCCCCACUCCACCACCAGGGGGGUGGCAGUGUCAGGGCUUGUGGUGCCCUGGAAGCCCCCCUCCGGUAGUUCUUUCGCCCAGUAUUUUUUAUAUAAUCCAGAAAAAAUCCACGUAACUUUUGACGGCAUUUGGAGAUGUGCAGAAUAGUGGACUAGGAUUUGCUCCUUUUCAAGUCCAGAAUUCUUGCUGCCUGAAUUCUCCCUCUUCAAAUAAACCUUGCAGAAUAAGAGAGAAAAGGCAUAAAUAUGGUACCACAAGUAAUAUAACAGCCCAAAAAGCAAUAAAUAUCAACAUGAAAGCAUGAUGCAAAAUGGACGUAUCAACUCCCCCAAGCUUAGACCUCGCUUGUCCUCAAGCGAAAACCAAGUUCCAUAAACAUGUCCACAUGUUGAGGGACGAAGGUGUCGAUAAAACAUAAUACGGACAUGAGGGCAUCAUGAUCACACAUAGGACAGCAAUACAUCAUAAAGAUUCUUAUGGGAAAGAAACAAUUCCUUCACAAAGCAAAGCACGAAGCAAAAACCUUACCAAGAAGUAACCAACAAUAGUCCAUAGUCACUGAAGCAAUUGCAAUUUAUCACAAAAUCAGAAAGAGUCAAAAAGAGCUUGUAAUGCAAACCCACAUACUCAAUCAUCUCUUUUGUUUUCCACAAUUGUUACAACUCACGUGGUACUCAUGGUGUCAAAGUUUCAGCUGGACACAGAGGAAGAUAGGGGCUUAUAGUUUUGCCUCCCAACGGUUUACCUCAAGGGUAAAGUCAACAACAAUAAAGCAUAAGUACUCAACUCCAAGUUGAUAUAUGAAUAUAGAUCUUUCCCAAGCAUGUGACGGUAGCCAAGACAAAGGCAAAAAGCGAAUUGGUGAAGAUCACCAUGACUCUUACAAAGGGUAAAAAGUAAAGGUACAAGAUAGGCCCUUCGCAGACGGAAGCAGAGGUUGUCAUGCGCUUUUGAGGUUUGAAUGCGUGUCCUCUUAGUGCGGAGGAACGUCACUUUAUAUUGCCUCCUGUGAUAAAGAACUUUAUUAUGCAGUCUGUCGCUUUUAUGUCUUCCUCAUCACAGGUUCGUACAAAGCUUAUUUUCCACACACUAAUAGAUCAUACAUAUUAGAGAGAAAUUUUUAUUGCUUGCACCGACGACAACUUACUUGAAGGAUCUUAUUCAAUCCAUAGGUAGGUAUGGUGGACUCUCAUGGCAAAACUGGGUUGGAGGUUUAUGGAUGCACAAGUAGUAUCUCUACUUGGUGCGGGAGUUUUGGCUAUUAUGACGUGGAAGCAAUCGUCACAUGCUAAGGGAUCUCUAAUCAUAUAACAUUGUUUGGAACCAAGCAAACACAAUUCAUUAUGUUGUCUUCCUUGUCCAACAUCUACUCCUAAGCAUGUAAUAGUUUGGUGAGUGCUCACAAUUGCAAAAAGUGUCUAAGAUGAUAUAUUUAUAUGUGAACCUCUCUUUCCUUAUUACUCCUUAUUAAUUGCAACAAUGACUGAGGUCUAUGUUGAUUUAUUCUCAACAAGUUUCAAUCAUCAUACAUGUCAUAAGUGAAGUUAUCACUUUCCAUAAGAUCGUCUCAUGAUCUUUCAUGCUAUCGUUCUUUUCAUACUUUUGAUCAUGGCACAAAGCAAAGCCCUUGACUAAGAAACUCUUUAUUAUAUAGCUCGUAAGCUCGAAUACAUCGAAGAAGACAAAAGAAAAAUACUCAAACUAAAAACUAAAGACUUAUUCCUCUAAAAGAAGAAAUAAAAAACUGAAAAGGAAAGAACUAAAACAAAGGUAAAAGGUGAUACGAUACCAGGGCAACUCCCCGAAGCAUGGCAGAAGCCAAGGGGAUUGCCUAUACCAAUGCUUAGUUGUCUUCCUUUGGUGGUGAAGGUGGUGUUGUUGUCGCCUUUGAUUCCAAAAGAGCUAUCAAUCUUUGAUUUAUACCUUUGAGAUCUGUGACAUGGUUUUCCAGCAAAACAACUUCACGAGAAAGGGAAAUAUUGCGAGCACGAGUUGUUUCGCAAAACCUCAAGAGUUCAAUCAAGGAUGGAGACAACAUGUGGAGGAAGGGUUGGAGAAAGUCUACCCCUUCAACGUCUUCAAUGUUGAACAUAGGUUGAACUUCCUCCCUAACUUGGGUUUUCUCCCUAGCUUGGUCCCUGGCUUCUGUGACUUCUACUCUUUUCAUAUCAUAAUCUACUUCCUCAUGAAUUUGGUGAAGAUCAUUCUCCCCAACAGAUUCCUGAGACAUCUUUGCUCUAAAUCUGCAGCAGACAACAAGCUCGAAACGAAAACAGAGGAAAACUACAUGAUACCGAGAUCAAAACCUUCGGGCAACUAUAUAUGGAUUUUUUCUGGGCUAGAAGGAGUCCUUCGCAAGAAAACGGAGUCCGGGAGGCACACGAGGUGCCCACAAGCUUGCCCUCCGCCACCAGGGGGGUAGGGGGGCAGUGGCAGGGCUUGUGGCUGCCUCGUUCGCUCUCCGGACUGCUUCUUAUUUUUCUAAUUUUCCAAAAAUUCCAAAACGGAAGAAAUUUCCUAUUGGAAAAGUAUCGGAGUCCAAUUUCUUACCUAAACAGAUACAUCUUCGUUUUCAAGGUCCUAAACAGGCUGAUAAACAUCCCUUAUAUACUCCUCUGGAGUUAUGACAUUGAUGAUAUUGGUCUCUACAUUUAUGGGAGUACCAGAGAUGUAAUGCUUGAUUUUUUUCCCAUUUACCACUCUAGGAAAAUUUCCUUCCGUGUUAUUGAUUUUGAUGGCACCGGAAUGAUAUACUUCCUCGACAACAUAGGGACCUUCCCAUUUAGAGAGAAGCUUGCCUACAAAGAAUCUCAAAUGAGAAUUGUAUAGCAAGACAUAAUCACCUACAUUGAACUCUCUUUUCUGUAUUCGUUUGUCGUGCCAUCUCUUAACCUUUUCCUUGAACAACCUCACAUUCUCGUAUGCCUCGGCUCUCCAUUCAUCUAACGAGCUGAUAUCAAACAACCGCUUCUCACCGACAAGUUUGAAAUCAAAGUUGAGCUCUUUGAUUUGCCCCUAAAAAAGCUUUUGUGUUCCAGCUCAAGAGGUAAAAUGACAGGCCUUACCAUAAACCAUUUUAUACAGUGACAUGCCCAUGGGAUUCUUAUAAGCAGUUCUAUAGGCCCAUAGUGCAUCGUCAAGUUUGCUAGACCAGUUCUUUCAAGAUCUAUUGACGGUCUUUUGUAGGAUCAACUUGAUCUCCCUAUUACUCAACUCCACUUGACCACUAGACUGAGGAUGAUAAGGAGAUGCAACUCUAUGGUUGACAUCAUACUUAGCUAGCAUCUUGCGGAAAACACCAUGAAUGAAGGGUGAACCGCCAUCAGUCAUCAAGUAUCUAGGGACUCCAAAUCUUGGGAAUAUGACUUCUUUAAGAAUCUUAAUAGAGGUGUGGUGAUCAGCAGUUUUAGUGGGGAUAGCUUCUACCCACUUAGUAACGUAAUCUACAACAACUAAGAUGUGAGUGUACCCAUUGGAACUCGGGAAGGGUCCCAUAUAAUCAAAGCCCCAGACAUCAAAUGGUUCAAUGACAAGUGAAUAGUUCAUAGGCAUCUCUUGAUGCUUACUGAUGUUCCCUAUCCUUUGGCAUUCGUCUCAAGACAAAACAAACUUACGGGCAUCCUUGAAGAGAGUGGACCAAUAGAAACCUGAUUGCAAUACCUUAUGGGCAGUUCUAUCUCUAGCAUGGUGUCCUUCGUAGGCUUUGGAAUGACACUUCUGCAGGAUCUGUCCCUAUUCAUGCUCAGGCACACAACGUCUAAUAACACCAUCUACUCCUCCCUUAUAAAGGUGAGGAUCAUCCCAAAAGUAGUGUCUCAAAUCAAAGAAUAAUUUCUUCUUUUGUUGAUAGGUGAAACUGGGUGGUAUAUAUUUGGCUACGAUAUAGUUUGCAUAAUCGGCAUACCACGGUGCACUAUGUGAAGUGCGGAUGACAUUUAGUUUCUCAUCAGGAAAGCUAUCAUCAAUAGGUAGUUGGUCAUCAAGGACAUUCUCUAGCCUAGACAAGUUAUCUGCUACAGGGUUAUCAGCACCCUUUCGGUCAACGACGUGCAAAUCAAAUUCUUGUAGCAGGAGAACCCAUCUAAUCAGCCUAGGCUUAGCGUCCUUCUUUUCCAUGAGGUACUUAAUAGCAGCAUGAUCAGUGUGAAUAGUGACUUUGGAGUCAACUAUGUAAGAUCUGAACUUUUCACAUGCAAACAGGACUGCUAAAAAUUCCUUCUCCGUAGUGGCAUAGUUUCUUUGGGCAUUGUCUAGAGUUUUACUAGCAUCAACUUCUUGUCAACUCUUUGUCCUAGAACAGCACCAACAACAUAAUCACUAGCGUCGCACAUGAUUUCAAAGGGCAAGUUCCAGUCAGGUGGUUGAACAAUAGGUGCGGUUAUCAAAGCGUUCUUAAUUAUUUCAAAGGCUUCCUCACAAUCCUCAUCAAAAACAAAAGGAACAUCCUUCUGCAAGAGGUUGGUAACAGGCCUAGAAAUCUUAGAGAAGUCUUUAAUGAACCUUCUAUAGAAACCAGUAUGACCUAGGAAACUUCGUAUACCUCUGAUAUCUGUGGGGCAAGGCAUUUUCUCAAUUGCAUCAACCUUAGCCUUAUCAACUUCAAUGCCUCUUUCAGAGAUUUUGUGUCCUAAGACGAUACCUUCAUUAACCAUAAAGUGGCACUUCUCCCAAUUCAAGAUGAGGUUGGUUUCUGCGCGUCUCUGUAAGACUCGAUCAAGGUUGCUGAGGCAAUCAUCAAAGGAAGACCCAUAAACGGAGAAGUCAUCCAUGAAAACCUCGACGAUCUUUUCACAUAAGUCAGAGAAUAUAGCCAUCAUACAUCUUUGGAAGGUGGCAGGUGCAUUACAUAAGCCAAAAGGCAUACGUCUAUAGGCAAAGGUACCGAAAGGGCAGGUGAAAGUGGUUUUCUCUUGAUCAGAUUGUGCAACAGGUAUCUGUGAGAAACUUGAAUAACCGUCUAGAAAGCAUAAGUGAGUGUGCUUUGAUAGCCUUUCUAGCAUUUGGUCGAUAAACAGCAAAGGAUAAUGAUCUUUCCUGGUUGCCAUGUUCAGUUUCCGGAAGUCUAUCACCAUUCUAUAGCCGGUAAUAAUCCUUUGCGGGAUUAGUUCAUCCUUAUCAUUAGGAACGACGGUGAUACCUCCCUUCUUAGGUACGCAAUGUACUAGACUUACCCAAUCACUAUGAGCAACAGGAUAAAUAAUUCCUGCUUCCAGAAGGUUUAAUAUUUCUUUUCUAACAACCUCUUUCAUCUUAGGAUUUAAUCUCCUUUGAUGGUCAGCAACUGGUUUAAAGUCAGGAUCGGUUUUAAUCUUGUGCUGACAUAGAGUAGGACUAAUACACUUAAGAUCAUCAAGAGUAUAUCCAAUAGCAGCGCGGUGCGUGCUCAGAGUUUUUAGUAACUUCUUCUCUUCACGCUCUAAGAGGAGAGCACUAAUAAUGACAGGAUAUAUCUCCUUCUCAUCAAGAUAGGCAUACUUAAGAGUAUGAGGCAACUCUUUAAGCUCGAACAUAGGAUCUCCCUUUGGUGGGGGAGGAUCCCCAAGCAGUUCAACAGGCACAUUAUUCUUGAGAAUAGGAUAUUGUUCUAAGACAAUUUUAUCUAUCUCAUCUCUCUCCUCCAUAUGCAUAUCAUUUCCAUGCUCAAGCAGAUAUUGCUCUAAAGGAUCCGUAGGUACGACAAUAGAGGCAAGAGCAAUGAUUUCAUCUCUACCAGACGACUCUCUUUCAUGGGUUUGUCUUCCAAACUUGGAGAAGUUAAAUUCAUGAGACACACCCUCGAAACUUACUGUGACAGUCUGCUUAAUGCAAUCAAUGUGAGCAUUGAUAGUGUUGAGAAAGGGUGUACCGAAUAUGAUGGGACAAGAGCUAUCUUGUCCAGUACCAAGGACGAGGAAAUCAGUAGGAUACUUCGUCUUACCACACAGGACUUCUACGUCUCUCACAAUUCCCAGAGGGCAGAUAGUGUCUCUAUUAGCUAGCGUGAUAGUGACAUCAAUGGGUUCUAUCUCAGCAGGUGCAAUCUCAUCUUUAAUUUCAUCAUAUAGAGAACGGGGUAAUGCACUAACACUAGCUCCCAUAUCACAUAAACCAUGGUAACAGUGAUCUCCUAUCUUAACAGAAACAACGGGCAGGCCAACUACAGGUCCAUGUUUGUCUUUUGCGUGAGGUUUAGCAAUUCUAGCGGAGUCCUCACAGAAUUUGAUAACAUGCCCGUCUAUGUCUUCGGCUAAGAGAUCUUUGAGAAUCGCAACACUAGGUUCAACUCUAAUUUCCUCAGGGGGUGCAAGUGGUCUAAUGUAACCCCUACGUAUCAUAGUUGGAGCUUUAAAAUAAUCAUUUAUCCUAGCAGGGUAUGGUGGUUUCUCAGUGUAAGCACAAGGAACAACAGGAUCACUAAAAGCAAUGACUUUCUCCUCAACUAGAUUGGUUUUGGCUAUGUUGCUUUCUACAGGAGGAUGAUAUUUAAAUCACUUCUCUUUGGGAAGACCAACAUGAGCAGCAAAAGAUUCACAUAGAGAAGCUACUAUCUCAUAGUCAAGUCCAUACUUAGCGCUAAAAUCUCUAGAAGUGUUUGUCUCAACAAAAGAUUUAACGCAAUCAAACUGGAAAUUCAUACCUGACUCCUUACCUUCCUCCAGCUCCCAAUCUUCAGAGUUGCAUUUUAUUCUCUCCAAUAAAUUCCACUUGUGAUCAAUAUCCUUCUUCAUAAAAGAACCGGCACAAGAAGUGUCAAGCAUGGUACGAUCUUCAUGAGAAAGCCGAGCAUAAAAGUUUUGAGUGAUGAUUUCUCUCGAGAGCUCAUGAUUGGGGCAUGAAUAUAGCAUUGAUUUAAGCCUCCCCCAAGCUUGAGCUAUGCUCUCCCUGUCACGAGGCCAAAAGUUAUAAUAAAGUUCCGAUCACGAUGUACUAAACGCAUAGGAUAAAACUUUUGAUGAAAUUCCAACUUCAACCGAUUGUAGCCCCAUGAUCCAGUAUCAUCACAUAGCCAAUACCAUGUCAACGCCUUAUCCUUCAAAGAUAAAGGAAAUACUUUCUUCUUUACCUCAUCCUCGGGCAAACCUGCAAGCUUAAAUAAACCACAAACUUCAUCUACAUAGAUCAGAUCCAAGUCUGGAUGUGAAGAUCCAUCUCCUGUGAAAGGAUUAGCCAGCAGUUUCUCAAGCAUACCCGAAGGAAUUUCAUAAAAGAUAUUUUCAGUAGGUACCUCAGGUUGAGGAGAAACUCCUCGUGCUUCCGUUCGUGGUGAAGAUACCCCGAACAAACUCCUCAGUGGAACAGUUUCCAUAGUGACAAGUGAAUAAAUUUCAGCACAGUAUGAAAAUGUUUCCUUACCAAUUUCCACUUACCAUAGGCGCUUCACUCCCCGGCAACGGCGCCAGAAAAGAGUCUUGAUGACCCACAAGUAUAGGUGAUCAAUCGUAGUCCUUUCAAUAAGUAAGAGUGUUGAACCCAACGAGGAGCAGGAGGCUCUGAUAAACGGAUUUCAGCAAGGUAAUAACUGCAAGCACUGAAAGUAGCGGUAACAAGUGAUUGUGUAGCAAGGUGAAACGUAGCAUGCAAAGAGUAAAAAGUAACAAGUAGUAGCAACGGUGAAGCAAGUGGCCCAAUCCCUUUUUUAGCAAGGGACAAGCCUGAACAAAGUCUUAUAGGAGGAAAAACGCUCCCGAGGACACAUGGGAAUUUCUGUCAUGCUAGUUUCAUCAUGUUCAUAUGAUUCGCGUUUGUUACUUUGAUAGUUUGAUAUGUGGGUGGACCGGCGCUUGGGUACUGCCCUUACUUGGACAAGCAUCCCAUUUAUGAUUAACCUCUCUCGCAAGCUUCCACAACUACAAAAUAAGAAUUAAGAAAAAGUCUAACCAUAGCAUUAAACUAGUGGAUCCAAAUCAGCCCCUCACGAAGCAACACAUAGACUGGGGUUUAAGCUUCUGUCACUCCAGCAACCCAUCAUCUACUUACUACUUACCAAUGCCUUCCUCUAGGCCCAAAUAUGGUGAAGUCUUAUGUAGUCGACGUUCACAUAACACCACUAGAGGAAAAGACAACACACAACAUAUCAAAAUACCGAACGAAUAUCAAAUUCACAUGACUAUUAUUAACAUGACUUAUCCCAUGUCCUCAGGAACAAAAGUAACUACUCACAAAGCAUAAUCAUAAUCAUGAUCAGAGGUGUAAUGAAUAACAUCAAGGAUCUGAACAUAAACUCUUCCACCAAGUAAUCAACUAGCAUCAACUACAAAGAGUAAUCAACACUACUAGCAACCUUACAAGUACCAAUCGGAGUUGCGAGACGAAGAUUGGUUACAAGAGAGGAACUAGGGGUUGGAGAGGAGAUGGUGCUGAUGAAGAUGUUGAUGAAGAUGCCUCCCCUCCGACGAGAGGAGUGUUCGUGAUGACGAUGGCGACGAUUCCCCCCUCCGGGAGGGAAGUUUCCCCGGCAGGAUCGUCCUGCCGGAGCUCUAGAUUGGAUAUGCUCAAGUUCUGCCUCGUGGCGGCGGCGAAAUGACAAAAAAGCUCCCUCUUGACUUUUUCUAGACCAGGACGCUUCAUAUAGAAAAAGAGGGGGGCUAGUGGGCCAUUAGAGAGCCCAGAAGCCCCCACUCCGCCACCAGGGUGCUGGCGGUGUCAGGGCUUGUGGCGCCCUGGCAGCCCCCUCCGGUAGUUCUUUCGCCCAGUAUUUUUUAUAUAAUCCAGAAAAAUCCACGUAACUUUUCAGGGCAUUUGGAGAUGUGCAGAAUAGUGGACUAGGAUUUGCCCCUUUUCCAGUCCAGAAUUCUAGCUGCUUGAAUUCUCCCUCUUCAAAUAAACCUUGGAAAAUAAGAGAGAAAAGGCAUAAAUAUGGUACCACAAGUAAUAUAAUAGCCCAAAAAGCAAUAAAUAUCAACAUGAAAGCAUGAUGCAAAAUGGACGUAUCAACCCGCAAGUUGACAACCAAAACAUACAUAAAGUGGAUCAAUAGAACACCCCGUUGUCACCAUGGAUUUCCCAUCGCAAGACAUCCAUCAAGUGUUCUCAAAUCCUUAAAGACUCAAUCCGAUAAGAAAAUUUCAAAGGGAAAACUCAAUUCAUCACAAGAAGAUAGAGAGGGGUAAACUCAAUAUGAUUCAUCUAUAUUAAUAAAGCUCGCGAUACAUCAAGAGCGUGCCAUCUCAAGAACACAAGCGAGAGAGAUCAAACACAUACCUACUGGUACAUACCCUCGGCCCCGAGGGUGAAAUACUCCCUCCUCGUCAUGGGGACCGCCGGGAUGAUGAAGAUGGCCUCCGGUGAUGGUUUCCCCCUCCGACAGGGUGCCGAAAUGGGCUCCCGAUUGGUUUUUCGUGGCUUUGGAGGCUUGUGGCGGCGGAACUCCCGAUCUAGGUUUCUUUUUGGAGGUUUGGGUAUUUAUAGGAGUACUUAGCAUUGGAAUCAUGUGAGGAAGGUUCCUGAGGAGGUCACAAACCACACGGCUGCGACCAGGGGGCAAGCCGCGCCUGACAGGCUUGUGACCUCCUCGUCCACUUCCUGGCCCAGCUCUUCACUCUAGUAUUUUUUAUAUUUUCCAAAAAUAUUCUCCGUAAAUUUUCAGCCCAUUCUGGGAACUUUUAUUUCUGCACAAAAACGACAUCAUGGUAGUUCUGCUGAAAACAACGUGAGUCCGGGUUAGUUCUAAUAAAAUCAUACCAAAAUCAUAUAAAAUUGUUGUAAACAUGGCAUGAAUACUUCAUAAAUUAUAGAUACGUUGGAGACGUAUCACCGGCUCGUCAUCUUGGUUGUAGGUAAUGAGUGUGUUUGACCAGGGGUUUGUCUCCACUACAUGGUUGAUUUGAUUGAGCUUUCGAAAGGCCCUCUUUCGCCAGUUUGCCAAGGGGAAUGUUUCAUAGAUCGUUAGGAUCUGCGCAUUAUUGCUUGGUGGUUCCCCAGGCCCUUCGUGUCUUGAUAUCUAGAGGAUUACUUCCCCACUUUCUGCGACUUGUCACACAACUCAACAAGCUCGAAGGUUGUGUGUGGAAAGUGUGUCCGACAGGACAAAGUGUAUGGGGGCAUGGCUUGUCCAGUAGUGUGUCGAGAAUCGACUUGUCCCUUGAUUUUGACUUAUUUCUCUUUUCCGCAUGCUCGGAGGUAGCCUGUCACGUAAACGGGGGUGACUGCUUUAUCCGAAUUCGCCUGCCAUGCUCGAUGUGAUUAGGCUCGAUGCACAUCUUUUGCAUUUGCGAGGUGCUCUCCAUGGCACAUUACUUGAACACAAGGUUCGAUAGUUCCACGAAGGUUUGAACCCGGCAACAGGCUAGGGCGUUGAGAAUGACCUCGUCCCCACAAUUUGUCCGGAAGGCAGUCUUGAUAACUGAUACGUUUCAAACGUAUCUAUAAUUUUGAUGGUUUCACGCUCUUAUCUUCUCAUGUAGCGACCCGACUCAAGACGAGUCAAGCCUCUGUGUUUCUGUGCCAUCCCUGGAUCAGUAUGCUGGCACACACAGUACAUCGAUGUAUAUAUCAAAGUGCAAUCACAUGUAAAUAGCGUAAAACUGAUAUAUACCUUAAAUAUCUCAGCGGAAGCAGUCGAGGGAGUGGAGUCCCAAUAAACACCAACGGCAAGUUGAGUGUAGACCGUAACCCUGAAUCGUACUCUUACUCGUCGAAGAAAAAUAUCUGCAACAUAAGACGUUGCAGCCGUGUAGGUCAGCAUACUGAAUAUGCCGGCAAGUCACAUAAGAGAGGGGUGAAAAGCAAUCAUCUAUAUUAUAUGCAUAUAGGGCAGGUGGGGCUAUAAGUUUUUGCAUAAAGCCAAUUUUAUCUACAACAAGAGGGGCUGAAAGCAAAAUAUUACUACAUUGUUGGUUGUUAACGAGAUGGUUCCACCAACCAGUUCUCGUACCCGAGUUGUCAAUAAUUACCCUCAUCAAAUAUAUAUAAUGGUGUUGAGAAAUCCAGAUAACUUUAGUUCCUUUGGCUCAAGUUGUCCAUGACCGUAGACACGGCUAAUCGAUUAGGUCUGAGUACUCUGCAGAGUUUUGCACACGUUCCCCACAAGAUUUGAUCGCCUUCGAGUAUGUCCUCGCACUUCAGGGUGUUUGAAGACCGGAUGAUCAAAACAUGGUCUUUCAACGGGUCCCUCUGAAUCCCUUUCGGUGCCCAUCCAUUCCUACCGUUCGUCUACAUCUGCUAGCACCGCCUGUCCAGAGUCGCCGCGUUGUCCAACCAAGCCAGAGCCCAUAAUGACUUGUGGCUGUGCAGGUAAGCCUUGGGUCUUGAAAAUAUCCGUCCAUCUCUUUGAGCCUGGGUGAAGCUUUCCGCAGGAUGACAUGGCCUCUCCAGCAUCCCGGGAUCCACUGGGUUUUCCAGGGAGCCGAUCAACCGUCCUUCACCCAGAGUUGCAUUGCGUCCGAGGUCUUGAAAAUCUUGUCUUAGUCUAGUCUUGAUUAUUAUAUCAACCUCGCAUCACUCGUGGUAUACACUCAACCGAUAACCCGUCUACUCAAGCAUAGCAUUAAGAAUUUGUCGUCCCGGGGCCAAGUAUCGGGGUUGUUGUGUGCCUACCACAUGAUACUACAAUCUAUACUAAAGUUUCCAAGUACCUAGGCAGCAUGCAAAUGGGCAUAGGAUGGUAGAACUACGAUGCAUAAAAACAUAGGUGAUAGUAUGAUCAAAGUGACUUGCCUGUGAUGUUGACGAAGAAGAAUUUCUCGAGAAAAUAACUUGAUAGACUACUCAUCACUCUCUGAUGAAAUCUAUAUAACAAACAUAUCAUUUACAUAAGCACUCAUACUAGCAAUCAUUCUAGCAAUCAAAACAAAAGAGAGAGCGAAAAGAAAUCCGAAAGAAACUUCAAAUAAGACUAGGGAGUUUUCUACUACGUCAAACACUAAAUAGUUUUGUCUAGUAGAAAAUACUAACAAGGAACUAAGAUAUAAAUCUAACUCAGAUAAAAUAAAGUAUUUUUCACAAAACUUUUUGAAAGUAUUCCCAAACGGGAUUUGAAACAACGGUGAAACCAAUUGCAAGUUACUAAGGAACUAGAAUUGAUUUCAUGAAAAUAAAUAAAAAUAAAAUAAAAGCUUGUUGCAAAACUACUGUUUAUCUAACAGAAACAAAACAUAAUAUUACUGAAAUAAUAAAUAAAGUAUUUUAAAACAAAGAUAGAAAAGGAACUAGCCGAAAUCCUAAAAGAGGUGAAACAGAAAUUGUUUCACAUGAAACAGUGAGCUAAAAUAUUCAAACAAAUCUGAACUUUUUACCACUUAUAUAUAAGAUCACUAGUGAUCAGUACCAAAAGGAAUCAAAUUAAAAGCUAUUUUUAAACUCCUGGAAUAGGCAAAACAAGGUUUAAACUAAAUCUGCUCUAACUUCUAUUUGCAAAAUUCAAACAUAGACACAUUAUAUGUUUUUAAAAACUACAGGAAAUUUGAGAGCUACUGGAAAAAGAAUCAAUGUCAUUGGACUUCGGGAUCAAAAGUUGUGGCCAAAACACGAUUGAAAGUUGCUGUUUUUGCUAUUUUUGACAGAAAAACUGCAGCUAGCUAGUACUAACAAAGGGGUACACUUGUCCUGAUGCUAUUGGCUGCGGUGGUGUUUGUUGCAUGGCUUCGGGCAAACGGCCUACGGCUAGCAAAGAUGGCUGGUUAAUUCCUAAGUGAAAAUAAAACCCACUGGUUUUCUAAGAUAAACCGAAGGGGUAUCUAGUGAUUUAAUCCAGGCCGUUGCAUGAAGAUCUAAGGGCUAAAAAGAAUGCAUGCNGUGGCGAGGCCGAGGGGUGGUGCAGCCUUGCACCGGCGAGGGAUGUCGCGGUCGGCGAGGGAGGAGCUUCGGGGCGGGGUUGGACUUCGGGGGGAGGCGGCGGCGGAGUGCUCCUCCUCGGGGGGAGAGGGGGCGACGGGAGCUGCUCCCAGGGGCGGGCCGAGGAGAGGCAGUAGCUUGCUGCUGCUGCUGCUGCUCCGACGGCAGCUCGUGGCGGCAUCGGCUAGGGGAUGGGGCGGCGGCGGCUAGGGUUGGGAAGGGGUCGGCUGAGGUGGGGGGUAUAUAUAGGCUUCGGAGGGGGUGGGCUAUGGAAAGGAGAGGGAGGCAGUGGGGAAGGAGAUCGCUGGUGGUGAUGCUCGGUCUGGGAGAAGAAGGAAACAGAGGGAGGGAAGGAGAAGGUGACGUGGAGGGAGAUGCUCGGGUGGUGGGGGGCCACUGGCAGUGAGGAGGAGGGAGGGAAAAGGCACGGGGGCGGUGGCCGAUUUAAAGGAUUUGGGAUCCUUGGUAAGUGGGAUUCGGCCCACCUUGGCUAUCUAGCGCCCGGUGGCGGCUGCAAGAAAAAAAAAAUCUUUCCUAUUAUCUAAUCUUUCCAAAACAGAAAAAUAAAAGCUAAAAAAAGAAAGUAAAUAAAAAUAUUUAUAUAUGGUAUUAUAUACCAAAAAAAUCAGAAAAAGAAUCUCUAACCGAAUAACAUUUUUUUAAAGCCACAAUAAAAACUUUUAAAAAAUGUUUUUUCAAAAAUUCACUAAAUUGCUUUAUUUCUCUUUGCAAAUAUUUUUGCAAAUAAUCCCUGGAUUUUCUUGGCUCCAACAUUUCAAAAAUUCCCGUGCGUUGGAGGGUCAUUUUCCUCCGCUCUCUCUCUUGCGUGCAAGAGAGUAUUUUUUGGGCUUUUCGUGCGAGGAGGAAGAAAUGGAAAUGCAAAAGAAUUCAAUGCAAAUAUCUCCGUUCAAAUUCUUUGUGGUUGAAGAAGUUAUGUCAUCUUCUCUCGAUGCUUUUAAAAGAUUGAAUUUGAAUUCACCGGAGAAGGGGAAAGUCAUUUUAUUCCCUCUCUUUCAAAAGUUUCGAAAAGUUUCAAAUUUCACGCAAGUUUCAAUCACUCACGCAACCAACAAACAAUCAAUCUAAUAAUUAUAUUAACAUUCCAAAAAUUUAUAAUUUUGGGAUGUUACAAACUACCACACUUAAAAUGAAUCUCGUCCUCGAGAUUCGAAGAGGCUAGAAAGAAAGGUUAGGGUUUGGGGGUCUUCUAGCAAUCCAAUCUCCUGCCGAGUGGGAUGCUACCACACUUAAAAUGAGAGAUACUUGUCCCUCAAAAUGCUUUAACGAUCUUCUGGGGUUUUGGCAUCUGACAUCACACAGUCUUCAUAUUAAAUCCUUUGGUGAUGCUCUCCCGUGGAUAUAAGCUUCUUUCGUCACUGGGUCUUCUUAACUGACAGUCUCGUGGUCAAUUCUAAAUAACAUAUCGAUGGUUGUCAUGGUGGUCUACCAUUUGUGGUUAUCCUGCAGAGUGAGAGGUCUUGGUUUCAUCCUCACCGUAAAAUUUCCUACGUGUGACAACAAGUGCCAUGUACAUGGGCUUUUCUUAUACCACUCUAAGGCUUAAACAAAAGCUUCAAAGAACGUCGUCUCUCUAUAUGGGUAAGUCUCUCAGAUUUACCAUUCCAAAUAGCAAGAUAAAUGAUAAGAGUAAGUCGUCAUGGUGAUCAAUCCAUUCCGCACCCAAAUCAUUUCUCUGUAUAAGGUUUAGCAAAUCUCGCAUUCUAACACUUGGGCAUCCUCACAAGCGUUGCAGAAUUUCUCUUGUCCACGAACGAAGUUCAGAUAAAUCCAAUGAUUCUGCAAGCUGAACAAACAUCUAUCGUUUCUUCACAACUCUCAGGUUUUCUUAUGCUCCUAAGAAAACGUUUGCUGAAACAAGUUUCCUUCUCCAAAAAGAUAGUACUUGAUCCUUGUUAGUUCCGGGGUCUCUGGGUUUCAGGCAUACUUGGGGUAAAUGUGACAUUGAGCUGGGUAGUGGGUGGUCCCUUCACAAAGGAAACAAGUCACCUGACUACUUGGGCACUCCUCAGCUGGGUGAUUUUCUUCACAAUGAGUGCAUCCAUCCUUGUGUUCUUCCUGGGUGUGUCCUAUUUCUCCAUAGAUCUUGCAUGCACAAGUCUUCUCCUUCGGAUUAUCAUAGCACUUUCGAAUGAGAUGGGAUCUUAACAGAGUCCUUGAAUUCUUCCCAACUUUCUGCUCCGCUAAAUCCUUGUAUGGCAUGGUGCAUUUUCCACCAGAUAGCAGCACUUUGGGUAAAGUACUGGAGAGCGUGUUCCACUUCGUACUUCCUUGAGAUCAAGUUGCUCCCGAAGUGGUUCUCCAUGUUCUGAAUCCAUGUUUCAGCUUCCAGCUGGGUCAUUGGUCCAGAGACUACAAGUCCAGCUUCAUACUCCAUCUAGUAGGGUUGAGGUUUUGGGGAUGAGACAGGUAAGAGUGGGAGGAAGAUACAAAGAAUAUUUUUGAGAAUAGGUUUUAUUUGUGGCCAUCGGAAAACACACACCAAUGACGGCUCACAAAUCAUCGUAUCUAACGUGGGUACAUAAAAGGGGUUUGGACAUCUAAUGGUCAUAUAAUUAUUCGAACACUUCAGGGUCUUCGAGUUCUUCGAGUCUUGAGAGUCUUCAAUUGGUGCACCUUCAAUUCUUCAAAUGCAUGUUGAAAUCCUCUUUACUUUGAAGUAGAGCUCCGUUGAUUCUUCAUGAGGUCAAAGGGGUAAGGGCAUUGUCUAAUUAUGUGAGGUGAGAGAGAACGUUUGAUGAAAUCAGAAGAGAUGAGAAGUGAAAGGUGUUUUCGAAAAUAAGAUUUUUGAGAGGUCCUAUCCUAAGAAAUUUUCCAGUUUCUAGGGGUCACGUCCUACAGUCAACAUGUGCUCUGAUACCAUCUCUGUAGCGACCCGACUCAAGACGAGUCAAGCCUCUAUGUUUCUGUGCCAUCCCUGGAUCAGUAUGCUGGCACACACAGUACAUCGAUGUAUAUAUCAAAGUGCAAUCACAUGUAAAUAGCGUAAAACUGAUAUAUACCUUAAAUAUCUCAGCGGAAGCAGUCAAGGGAGUGGAGUCCCAAUAAACACCAACGGCAAGUUGAGUGUAGACCGUAACCCUGAAUCGUACUCUUACUCGUCAAAGAAAAAUAUCUGCAACAUAAGACGUUGCAGCCGUGUAGGUCAGCAUAUUGAAUAUGCCGGCAAGUCACAUAAGAGAGGGGUGAAAAGCAAUCAUCUAUAUUAUAUGCAUAUAGGGCAGGUGGGGCUAUAAGUUUUUGCAUAAAGCCAAUUUUAUCUACAACAAGAGGGGCUGAAAGCAAAAUAUUACUACAUUGUUGGUUGUUAACGAGAUGGUUCCACCAACCAGUUCUCGUACCCGAGUUGUCAAUAAUUACCCUCAUCAAAUAUAUAUAAUGGUGUUGAGAACUCCAGAUAACUUUAAUUCCUUUGGCUCACGUUGUCCAUGACCGUAGACACGGCUAAUCGAUUAGGUCUGAGUACUCUGCAGAGUUUUGCACACGUUCCCCACAAGAUUUGAUCGCCUUCGAGUAUGUCCUCGCACUUCAGGGUGUUUGAAGACCGGAUGAUCAAAACAUGGUCUUUCAACGGGUCCCUCUGAAUCCCUGUCGGUGCCCAUCCAUUCCUACCGUUCGUCUACAUCUGCUAGCACCGCCUGUCCAGAGUCGCCGCGUUGUCCAACCAAGCCAAAGCCCAUAAUGACUUGUGGCUGUGCAGGUAAGCCUUGGGUCUUGAAAAUAUCCGUCCAUCUCUUUGAGCCUGGGUGAAGCUUUCCGCAGGAUGACAUGGCCUCUCCAGCAUCCCGGGAUCCACUGGGUUUUCCAGGGAGCCGAUCAACCGUCCUUCACCCAGAGUUGCAUUGCGUCCGAGGUCUUGAAAAUCUUGUCUUAGUCUAGUCUUGAUUAUUAUAUCAACCUCGCAUCACUCGUGGUAUACACUCAACCGAUAACCCGUCUACUCAAGCAUAGCAUUAAGAUUUGUCGUCCGGGGCCAAGUAUCGGGGUUGUUGUGUGCCUACACAUGAUACUACAAUCUAUACUAAAGUUUCCWAAGUACCUAGGCGAGCAUGCAAAUAGGGCGAUAGGAUGGUAGAACUACGAAUGCAUAAAAACACGNUAGGUGAUAGUAUGAUCAAAGUGACUUGCCUGUGAUGNNNNNNNNNNNNNNNNNNNNNNNNNNNNNNNNNNNNNNNNNNNNNNNNNNNNNNNNNNNNNNNNNNNNNNNNNNNNNNNNNNNNNNNNNNNNNNNNNNNNCGGCCUCACAAGUGAUUGAUCGAUCUGAUAGAGCUAUUAAUUCGGYYUGACAAGUUAACACGAUGAAUAGGCACUAAUCGAUUCGGUCACCCAACGAGUAGCGAUUAACUGGCAAGUUAACUGAUUAAUCGGGCGAAUUCUUGAAUAGUGCAUAAUGUUGGGGAACGUCGCAUGGGAAACAAAAAUUUUCCUACGCGCACGAAGACCUAUCAUGGUGAUGUCCAUCUACGAGAGGGGAUGAGUGAUCUACGUACCCUUGUAGAUCGUACAGCAGAAGCGAUUAGAGAUCGCGGUUGAUGUAGUGGAACGUCCUCACGUCCCUCGAUCCGCCCCGCGAACAAUCCCGCGAUCAGUCCCACGAUCUAGUACCGAACGGACGGCACCUCCGCGUUCAGCACACGUACAGCUCGACGAUGAUCUCGGCCUUCUUGAUCCAUCAAGAGAGACGGAGAGGUAGAAGAGUUCUCCGGCAGCGUGACGGCGCUCCGGAGGUUGGUGAUGAUCUUGUCUCAACAGGGCUCCGCCCGAGCUCCGCAGAAACACGAUCUAGAGGAAAAACUAUGGAGGUAUGUGGUCGGGCAGCCGUGAGAAAGUCGUCUCAAAUCUGCCCUAAAAGCCCCAUAUAUAUAGGAGGAGGGAGGGGGACCUUGCCUUGGGGUCCAAGGGAACCCCAAGGGGUCGGCCGAGCCAGGGGGGAGGACUCUCCCCCCAAACCGAGUCCUACUUGGUUUGGUGGGAGGGAGUCCUUCCCCCUUCCCACUUCUUCCUCCUUUUUUUUUCUUCCUUUGAUUUUUUCUUCCUUGGCGCAUAGGAUUUGGUGGGCUGUCCCACCAGCCCACUAAGGGCUGGUGUGACCCCCACAAAUACCUAUGGGCUUCCCCGGAGUGGGUUGCCCCCCUCCGGUGAACUCCCGGAACCCAUUCGUCAUUCCCGGUACAUUCCCGGUAACUCCGAAAAACCUUCCGGUAAUCAAAUGAGGUCAUCCUAUAUAUCAAUCUUCGUUUCUGGACCAUUCCGGAAACCCUCGUGACGUCCGUGAUCUCAUCCGGGACUCCGAACAACAUUCGGUAACCAACCAUAUAACUCAAAUACGCAUAAAACAACGUCGAACCUUAAGUGUGCAGACCCUGCGGGUUCGAGAACUAUGUAGACAUGACCCGAGAGACUCCUCGGUCAAUAUCCAAUAGCGGGACCUGGAUGCCCAUAUUGGAUCCUACAUAUUCUACGAAGAUCUUAUCGUUUGAACCUCAGUGCCAAGGAUUCGUAUAAUCCCGUAUGUCAUUCCCUUUGUCCUUCGGUAUGUUACUUGCCCGAGAUUCGAUCGUCAGUAUCCGCAUACCUAUUUCAAUCUCGUUUACCGGCAAGUCUCUUUACUCGUUCCGUAAUACAAGAUCCCGCAACUUACACUAAGUUACAUUGCUUGCAAGGCUUGUGUGUGAUGUUGUAUUACCGAGUGGGCCCUGAGAUACCUCUCCGUCACACGGAGUGACAAAUCCCAGUCUCGAUCCAUACUAACUCAACUACCACCUUCGGAGAUACCUGUAGAGCAUCUUUAUAGUCACCCAGUUACGUUGCGACGUUUGAUACACACAAAGCAUUCCUCCGGUGUCAGUGAGUUAUAUGAUAUCAUGGUCAUAGGAAUAAAUACUUGACACGCAGAAAACAGUAGCAACAAAAUGACACGAUCAACAUGCUACGUCUAUUAGUUUGGGUCUAGUCCAUCACAUGAUUCUCCUAAUGAUGUGAUCCCGUUAUCAAGUGACAACACUUGCCUAUGGCCAGGAAACCUUGACCAUCUUUGAUCAACGAGCUAGUCAACUAGAGGCUUACUAGGGACAGUGUUUUGUCUAUGUAUCCACACAAGUAUUGUGUUUCCAAUCAAUACAAUUAUAGCAUGGAUAAUAAACGAUUAUCAUGAACUAAGAAAUAUAAUAAUAACUAAUUUAUUAUUGCCUCUAGGGCAUAUUUCCAACAGUCUCCCACUUGCACUAGAGUCAAUAAUCUAGUUCACAUCACCAUGUGAUUCCUACGAAUCCAACACCCAUAUAGUUCUGGGGUCUGAUCACGUCUUGCUCGUGAGAGAGGUUUUAGUCAACGGUUUUGAAACUUUCAGAUCCGUGCGUUCUUUACAAAUCUUUAUGUCAUCUUAUAGAUGCUGCUACUACGUGCUAUUCGGAAAUGCUCCAAAUAUCUACUCUACUAUACGAAUCCGUUUCACUACUCAUAGUUAUUCGGAUUAGUGUCAAAGCUUGCAUCAACGUAACCCUUUACGACGAACUCUUUAACCACCUCCAUAAUCGAGAAAAAUUCCUUAGUCCAUUAGUUACUAAGGAUAAAUUUUGACCGCUGCUAGCGAUUCAAUCAUGGAUCACUCUCUGUACCUCUCAACAUACUUUGAGUCAAGGCACACAUCAGGUGCGGUACACAGCAUGGCAUACUUUAGAUUCUACGGCUAAGGCAUAGAAGACGACCUUCGUCUAUUCUCUUUAUUCUGCCGUGGUCGGGUUUUGAGUCGUACUCAAAUUCACACCUCAUAACGCAACCAAGAACUCCUUCUUUGCCAGUCUAUUUUGAACUCUUUCAAAAACUUGUCAAGGCAUGCAUCUUGUUGAAACUUCUAUUAAGCGCUUUCGAUCUAUCUCCAUAGAUCUUUGAUGCUCAACGUUCAAGUAGCGUAAUCCAGGUACUCCUUUGAAAACUUCUUUCAAACAACCUUGUAUGCUUUACAGAAAUUCUACAUUACUUCUGAUCCACAAUAUGUCAACCACAUAUACCUAUCAGAAAUUCUAUAGUGCUCCCACUCACUUCUUUGGAAAUACAAGUUUCUCAUAAACCUUGUACAAACCCAAAAUCUUUGAUCAUCUCAUCAAAGUAUAUAUAUUCCAACUCCGAGAUGCUUGCACCAGUCCAUUGAAGGAUCGCUGGAGCUUGCAUACUUGCUAGUAUCUUUAGGAUCGACAAAACCUUCUGGUUGUAUCACAUACAAUGUUUGCUCAAGGAAACCGUCGAGAAAACAAUGUUUUGACGUCCUACGUGCAAUAUUUCAUAAAUAAUGCAUCAACAACUAACAUAAUUCUAACAGACUUUUAGCAUCGCUACGAGUGAGAAAGUCUCAUCAUAGUCAACUGUUUGAUCUUAUCGAAAACAUCUUUGCGACAAGUCGAGCUUUUCUUAAUAGUGACUUAUCACCAUCAUCAUCUGUCUUCCUUUAAAAAUCCAUCUUUACUCAAUAGUCCUAUGACCAUCAAGUAAUUCUUCCAAAGUCUACACUUUGUUUUCAUCCAUGGACCCUCUCUCGGAUUUCAUGGCUUCCAGCCAUUUGUCGGAAUCUGGGCCCACCAUCGCUUUCUCCAUAACUCGUAGGUUCACUGUUGCUCAACAACAUGACCUCCAAGACAGGGUUACCGUACUACUCUGCAGUAGUACGCGACCUUGUCGACCUACGAGGUUUGCAGUAACUUGAUUCGAAGCUCAAUGAUCACCAUCAUCAGCUUCCACUUCAAUUGGUGUAGGCGCCACAGGAACAACUUCCUGCGCCCUGCUACACACUGGUUGAAGUGAUGGUUCAAUAACCUCAUCAAGUUCUACUACCCUCCCACUCAAUUCUUUCGAGAGAAACCUUUCCUCGAGAAAGGAUCCGUUUCUAGAAACAAACACUUUGCUUUCGGAUCUGAGAUAGGAGAUGUACCCAACUGUUUUGGAUAUCCUAUGAAGAUGCAUUUAUCCGCUUCGGGUUCGAGUUUAUCAGACUGAAACUUUUUCACAUAAGUGUCGAAACCCCAAACUUUCAAGAAACGACAGUUUAGAUUUCUCUAAACCUCAGUCUAUACUGUGUCAUCUCAACGGAAAUACGUGGCGCCCUAUUUAAAGUGAGUGCGGUUGUCUCCAAUGCAUAACCCAUAAACGAUAUUGGUAAUUCGAUAAGAGACAUCAUAGUAUGCAUCAUACCAAAUAGUGCGUGGCUAUGAUGUUCAGACACAUCAUCACACUAUGAUGUUCCAGGUGGCAUGAACUGCGAAACAACUUCCACAUUGUCUUAACUGCGUACCAAAACUCGUAACUCAGAUAUUCAUUUCUAUGAUCAUAUCGUAGACAGUUUAUCUUCUUGUUACGACGAACUUCACUCUGAUACAGAAUUGAACUUUUCAAUAUUUCAGACUUGUGAUUCAUUAAGUAAAUACUCUAGUAUCUACUCAAAUCGUCAGUGAAGUAAGAACAUAAUGAUAUCCACUGCGUGCCUCAGCACCCAUUGGACUGCAUACAUCAAAAUGUAUCACUUCCAACAAGUUACUAUCUUAUUUCAUCUCAAUGAAAACAAGGCCUUGCUCAUGUGGUAUGAUUUGCAUGUCACUAGUGAUUCGAAAUCAGGUGAGUACAAAGAUCCAUCAGCAUGGAGCCUCUUCAUGCAAUUUAUACUAACAUGACUCAAGCGGCAGUGCCACAAGUAAGUGGUACUAUCAUCAUCAACUCGUAUCUUUUGGCACCAAUAUCAUGAACAUGUGUAACACUACGAUCGAGAUUCAAUAAACCAUUGAAGGUGAUUAUUCAAGAAAAUAGAGUACCCAUUAUUCUCUUUAAAUGAACAAUCGUAUUGCAAUAAACACGAUCCAAUCAUGUUCACGCUUAACGCAAACACCAAAUAACAAUUAUUUAGGUUCAACACCAAUCCCGAUGGUAGAGGGAGCGUGCGACGUUUGAUUAUAUCAACCUUGGAAACACUUCCAACACUUAUCGUCACCUCGCCUUUAGCUAGUCUCCGUUUAUGCCGUAGCUUUCAUUUCGCGUUACUAAUCACUUAGCAACCGAACCGGUAUCCAAUACCCUCGUGCUACUAGGAGUACUAGUAAAGUACACAUCAACAUCAUGUAUAUCACAUAUAUACUUCUCUCGACUUUUGCCAGCCUUCUUAUCCACCAAGUAUCUAGAGUUGCUCCGCCUCAGUGACUGUUCCCCUUAUUACAGAAGCACUUAGUCUCGGGUUUGGGUUUUAAUCUUGGGUCUCUUCAUUAGUGCAGCAACUAUUUUGCCGUUUCACGAAGUAUCCCUUUUAGCCCUUGCCUUUCUUGAAACUUAGUGGUUUUACUAACCAUCAACCAUUGAUGCUCCUUCUUGAUUUCUACUUUCGCAGUGUCAAACAUUGCGAAUCACUCAAAAGAUCAUAGUAUCUAUCCUUGAUAUGUUAUAGUUCAUCACGAAGCUCUCAUAGCUUGGUGGCAGUGACUUUGGAGAACCAUCACUAUCUCAUCUGGAAGAUUAACUCCCACUUGAUUCAAGCGAUUGUCGUACUCAGACAAUUUGAGUACACGCUCAACGAUUGAGCUUUUCUCCUUUACUUUGUGGACAAAGAAUCUUGUUUGGAGGUCUCGUACCUCUUAACAAGGGCACAGGCAUGAAAUCACAAUUUCAUCUCUUCGGAACAUCACUUAUGUUCCGUGACGUUUUACAACGUUUUCGGCGCCUUGCUUCUAAGCCAUCAAGUAUCUUGCACUGAACUAUCGUGUAGUCAUCAAUGACGUGUAUGUAGGAUGUUCAUAGCAUCCACAGACGACGCUCGAGGUGCAGCACACCGAGUGGUGCAUUAAGGACACAAGCCUUCUGCGUAGCAACGAGGACAAUCCUCGGUUUUACAGACUCAGUCUGCAAAGGUUGCUACUAUCAAUUUUCAACUAAAUUUUCUCUAGGAACAUAUAAAAACAGUAGAGCUAUAGCGCAAGCUACAUCGUAAUUCGCAAAGACCAUUAGACUAUGUUCAUGACAAUUAGUUCAAUUAAUCAUAUUACUUAAGAACUCCCACUCAAAAAGUACAUCUCUCUAGUCAUUUGGGUGGUACAUGAUCCAAAUCCGCUAUCUCAAGUCCGAUCAUCACGUGAGUCGAGAAUAGUUUCAGUGGUAAGCAUCUCUAUGCUAAUCAUAUCAGCUAUAUGAUUCAUGCUCGACCUUUCGGUCUCAUGUGUUCCGAGGCCAUGUCUGCACAUGCUAGGCUCGUCAAGCUUAACCCGAGUGUUCCGCGUGCGCAACUGUUUUGCACCCGUUGUAUGUGAACGUUGAGUCUAUCACACCCGAUCAUCACGUGGUGUCUCGAAACGACGAACUGUAGCAACGGUGCACAGUCGGGGAGAACACAAUUUCGUCUUGAAAUUUUAGUGAGAGAUCACCUCAUAAUGCUACCGUCGUUCUAAGCAAAAUAAGGUGCAUAAAAGGAUUAACAUCACAUGCAAUUCAUAAGUGACAUGAUAUGGCCAUCGUCACGUGCUUCUUGAUCUCCAUCACCAAAGCACCGGCACGAUCUUCUUGUCACCGGCGCCACACCAUGAUCUCCAUCAUCAUGAUCUCCAUCAACGUGUCGCCAUCGGGGUUGUCGUGCUACUUAUGCUAUCACUACUAAAGCUACAUCCUAGCAAAAUAGUAAACGCAUCUGCAAGCACAUAUGUUAGUAUAAAGACAACCCUAUGGCUCCUGCCGGUUGCCGUACCAUCGACGUGCAAGUCGAUAUUUCUAUUACAACAUGAUCAUCUCAUACAUCCAAUAUAUCACAUCACAUCAUUGGCCAUAUCACAUCACAAUCAUACCCUGCAAAAACAAGUUAGACGUCCUCUAAUUUUGUUGUUGCAUGUUUUACGUGGUGACCAAGGGUAUCUAGUAGGAUCGCAUCUUACUUACGCAAAUACCACAACGGAGAUAUAUGAGUUGCUAUUUAACCUCAUCCAAGGACCUCCUUGGUCAAAUCCGAUUCAACUAAAGUUGGAGAAACCGUCACUUGCCAGUCAUCUUUGAGCAAAGGGGGUUACUCGUAACGAUGAAACCAGUCUCUCGUAAGCGUACGAGUAAUGUCGGUCCAAGCCGCUUCAAUCCAACAAUACCGCAGAAUCAAGAAAAAACUAAGGAGGGCAGCAAAACGCACAUCACCGCCCACAAAACCUUUUGUGUUCUACUCGAGAAGACAUCUACGCAUGAACCUAGCUCAUGAUGCCACUGUUGGGGAACGUCGCAUGGGAAACAAAAAUUUUCCUACGCGCACGAAGAACUAUCAUGGUGAUGUCCAUCUACGAGAGGGGAUGAGUGAUCUACAUACCCUUGUAGAUCGUACAGCAGAAGCGAUUAGAGAUCACGGUUGAUGUAGUGGAACGUCCUCACGUCCCUCGAUCCGCCCCGCGAACAAUCCUGCGAUCAGUCCCACGAUCUAGUACCGAACGGACGACACCUCCGCGUUCAGCACACGUACAGCUCGACGAUGAUCUCGGCCUUCUUGAUCCAGCAAGAGAGACGGAGAGGUAGAAGAGUUCUCCGGCAGCGUGACGGCGCUCCGGAGGUUGGUGAUGAUCUUGUCUCAACAGGGCUCCGCCCGAGCUCCGCAGAAACACGAUCUAGAGGAAAAACUAUGGAGGUAUGUGGUCGGGCAGCCGUGAGAAAGUCGUCUCAAAUCUGCCCUAAAAGCCCCAUAUAUAUAGGAGGAGGGAGGGGGACCUUGCCUUGGGGUCCAAGGGAACCCCAAGGGGUUGGCCGAGCCAGGGGGGAGGACUCUCCCCCCCAAACCGAGUCCUACUUGGUUUGGUGGGAGGGAGUCCUUCCCCCUUCCCACUUCUUCCUCCUUUUUAUUUUCUUCCUUUGAUUUUUUCUUCCUUGGCGCAUAGGAUUUGGUGGGCUGUCCCACCAGCCCACUAAGGGCUGGUGUGACCCCCACAAAUACCUAUGGGCUUCCCCGGAGUGGGUUGCCCCCCUCCGGUGAACUCCCGGAACCCAUUCGUCAUUCCCGAUACAUUCCCGGUAACUCCGAAAAACCUUCCGGUAAUCAAAUGAGGUCAUCCUAUAUAUCAAUCUUCGUUUCUGGACCAUUCCGGAAACCCUCGUGACGUCCGUGAUCUCAUCCGGGACUCCGAACAACAUUCGGUAACCAACCAUAUAACUCAAAUACGCAUAAAACAACGUCGAACCUUAAGUGUGCAGACCCUGCGGGUUCGAGAACUAUGUAGACAUGACCCGAGAGACUCCUCGGUCAAUAUCCAAUAGCGGGACAUGGAUGCCCAUAUUGGAUCCUACAUAUUCUACGAAGAUCUUAUCGUUUGAACCUCAGUGCCAAGGAUUCGUAUAAUCCCGUAUGUCAUUCCCUUUGUCCUUCGGUAUGUUACUUGCCCGAGAUUCGAUCGUCAGUAUCCGCAUACCUAUUUCAAUCUCGUUUACCGGCAAGUCUCUUUACUCGUUCCGUAAUACAAGAUCCCGCAACUUACACUAAGUUACAUUGCUUGCAAGGCUUGUGUGUGAUGUUGUAUUACCGAGUGGGCCCUGAGAUACCUCUCCGUCACACGGAGUGACAAAUCCCAGUCUCGAUCCAUACUAACUCAACUACCACCUUCGGAGAUACCUGUAGAGCAUCUUUAUAGUCACCCAGUUACGUUGCGACGUUUGAUACACACAAAGCAUUCCUCCGGUGUCAGUGAGUUAUAUGAUCUCAUGGUCAUAGGAAUAAAUACUUGACACGCAGAAAACAGUAGCAACAAAAUGACACGAUCAACAUGCUACGUCUAUUAGUUUGGGUCUAGUCCAUCACAUGAUUCUCCUAAUGAUGUGAUCCCGUUAUCAAGUGACAACACUUGCCUAUGGCCAGGAAACCUUGACCAUCUUUGAUCAACGAGCUAGUCAACUAGAGGCUUACUAGGGACAGUGUUUUGUCUAUGUAUCCACACAAGUAUUGUGUUUCCAAUCAAUACAAUUAUAGCAUGGAUAAUAAACGAUUAUCAUGAACUAAGAAAUAUAAUAAUAAGUAAUUUAUUAUUGCCUCUAGGGCAUAUUUCCAACACAUAAAACAUCCAAAGAUGACAAGAUAACAUCAUGAAACCAUCAAAAAUUAUAGAUACGCUUGAGACGUAUCAUUGACCUAAAAGACCCCAACCCGCGACGCCAGUGACCCUCGACCCCCAACGAUACUGACCCACAUAGUUAUGAGUUAGGUCACAUAGUUAUGUUAAUUAUAAAAACAUCAUAUUUGUGUUGAUCUUGUGAUUUUCAAUGUGCAGUUGUUCGACAACCUCGACGUGCGUUGGACGAGCUCCGCCCUUGCAUUUGUUGGUGAACACAAAUGACUUCUCCUCCUACCCCCUUAAUUUUCUCUAUCCCGGUCUUCGUGCCGAUGAAACUUGCUAGCUAUAGGUUUCUUCAAUCAUGAGUAUGCGUGACCAGCAUGCGUCUCCCGUUCGAAAGGGCGACAUCUAUAAAUAUGCAUUUCUUUGCAUAUUUAUAACCACCAUCCUUUCGAAUUGUCCAACAUUAUCCAUGGACAGCUCGAGUAUGUGUAGAUUGAGUUCGUUUUCCCAUAUGCUGUGCUCUGGAUCCGGUGCAGAAUUUUGUCAGUGCCUCCCUGUUGUUCUCUGGGUACACAUCCUCUCUGCUUAUUGCCGAGAUGUGUAUCAGGAGAACAUCGGGGAGGUGCUGCCGAAAUUCUGCGUCGCAUCUGGAGCAGAGCAUGGGAAAACGAACCCAAUCUACACAUACUCGGGUGGGAUUAGGACCUAUCUUUACCUAUUAGCGUGUAGGUUGCAUGGACGUAAUAAAACUGACAAACUUGAUUAACGUAUGAAUAUAGAGGAUGAGUUAUAUAUUUAUUUCUUGUGCCCCAUAGGUAGCUCGACAACAUGAGUGAUCGUGCUUGGAUGUACACUGGUCACCCUAGUCAGAAAGACAUGACCCAUGAAUAGUUAACAAAAACCAGGGGGUUUGUGAGAGCCGCAUUUGCAAAUGGCCAGCAAAAAACAUGGUGCCCCUGUCCCAACUGCGACAACUGGAAAAAGCAGACAGAGUUUGAAAUGGGUAAACACCUACAUAAGUGGGGUUUUACGCCUAAUUAUAUGGUGUGGACUUUUCAUGGUGAGUAUGACCAACGUGCUAGAGCUGAGGUGAUUCGUCAUCGCACCGAUGAGCAUGGGACCGGGAUUGAAGACAUGGUGCAAGACUUUGAUGAUGCUCCGAAUUCGGACGAUGAGAUGGAGGAAUCUGCAAAGGCCUUCUAUGAAAUGUUGGAGUCUUAAAAACGUCCUCUCCACGAGCAGACUGAGCUGUGUCAGCUAGAUGCCAUCGCGCAAGUAAUGGCUCUGAAGGCUCAAUUCAACCUAGGCAGAGAAUGCUACGACGCGAUGAUGAUGAUAUUUGGACGCUUUCUACCCAAAGGCCAUGUACUGCCUGCAAACCUGUACCAGUCAGAGAAAAUCCUCCAUGUACUUAAGAUGCCCUAUGAGAAGAUACAUGCAUGUGAGAAUGGAUGUGCCUUAUUUAGGCUUGAGUAUGCGGCCUUGAACUAUUGCCCCAUUUGCAAUUCUUCCACGUAUAUUGUGGUAGACAACGGUAUGGGUGAGAAGAAUCAGACCAAAAUCCUCAUUAGUGUUCUUCGGUAUCUGCCAAUCGUACCAAGACUUCAACGUCUUUUCAUGGUCGAAGAGACGGCCAGACAGAUGACAUGGCACAAAUUGGGCAAAAGAACCGAACUAGAUGCGGAUGGGAACAAGAUGCUGGUACACACUUCAGAUGGUUUUGCAUGGAGGCACUUCGAUGCAUUACAUAAGGAUAAAUCGGAAGAUCCCAGGCAACCUAGAGUUGCCAUCGGCAUGGAUGGGUUCAAUGUGUAUGGUAUGACGGCAACACAAUACAGUUGUUGGCCUGUAUUUGUCAUUCCAUUAAAUUUGCCACCCGGAGAGAUUAUGAAAAGAAAGAACAUUUUCUUGACGUUGAUAAUUCCAGGGCCCAACUAUCCGGGGAAGAAUAUGAAUGUGUACAUGCAGCCGCUUAAGGAUGAGUUGCAAGAAGCCGGGGAUAAUGGGAUCAAGACCUACGACGCGGCUACCAAAACAAAUUCCAAAAUGCAUGUGUGGUACAUGUACUCGACGCAUGAUUAUCCAGCGUUUGCACUAUUCGCUGGCUGGUGUGUGCAUGGAAGGUUCCCGUGCACCACAUGCAAGGCAGCUCUUCAGUUCUGUUGGCUGCAGGCUGGUUGCAAGUAUUCCUGCUUCAACAUGCAUAGACAAUUCCUGGAUCCCGACCAUAAGUUCAGAAAAGACAAGAAUAAUUUCAUCAAAGGUAGAGUUGUCAAAAACACUGCACCAGCUGCGUUGACAGGCCAACAGACCCUUGAUCAGUUAAACGCUCUCGAGCCUGAUCCUUUGCGUCCAGGAUACUUCAAAGGGUAUAAGACAAAACACGCCUGGACUCACAAGUCAUGCUUAUGGGAUCUGCCUUACUUCAAAGACCUCCUUUGCCCACACAACAUCGACAUGAUGCAUAGUGAAAAGAAUAUUGCGGAGGCCAUUUUGGUACAUUGUUCAACAUAGAGGGGAAGUCAAAAGACAAUCCUAAGGCUAGAAUCGACCUGGAGGCUCUAUGUGAUAGACCAUUGCAAAACUUGCGACAACGGAAAGGAAAGCAAAGCAUAGCGAAGCCAAAGGCAUGGUUCAAUCUUGAAAGGCCAACUAUGAGGGAAAUGCUAUUGUGGGUGAAAAUGCGUUUGAUGUUCCCCGAUGGGUAUGCUGCGAAUCUAAAGAGGGGAGCAAGUCAUGAGAAAUUGAAAAUAUUUGGUCUCAAGAGUCAUGAUUGGCACAUAUGGAUUGAGCGGGUAAUGCCGGUGAUGUUGCGUGGCUUUAUCCCUAAGGAUGAAUGGCUAGUACUGGCAGAGCUGAGCUAUUUCUUCCAUUCUCUUUGUGCGAAAGAACUAUCGACUGGCGUUCUAGAUGAAAUGGAAGAGUUGGCGCCGGAGUUGAUCUGCAAAUUAGAAAAGAUCUUUCCACCGGGCUUCUUUAAUAAAUGCAACAUUUGAUUUUGCAUCUCCCGACCGAGGCAAGAAUGGGGGGGGGGGCUUUAAAAUCGAUGGUGCUACUCAACUGAGAGGAUGCAGAAGACGCUUCGAGCUAAGUGUAAAAAUUAACGUAGAAUUGAAGCAUCGAUGGUCGAGGCAUUCAUUACUGACGAAGCGGCAAACUUCGGGACAACACACUACGAAGCCAAAAAUCAUCAUUUGCAUAACCCGGAGCCUCGGUACAAUGCUGGCGACCCAAAAAAAGUUCAAUCCAACCUCAGCCUAUUCAAAGGUAAGCUCGCACAAUCCGGUGCUUCGAAAGGGAAAUCGUUGGAUGUCGAAGAAUGGAGGACCAUUUAAUUGUAUAUCUUCACCAACCUAAUGCUACUUCUCAAACAACAGCGCCAGAAAUUGACACGUUGACGGAGAUGGGCUUGCGUUGGUUUUUCCCUUGAAGAGGAAAGGGUGAUGCAGCACAGGAGCAGUAAGUAUUUCCCUCAAUUUGAGAACCAAGGUAUUGAUCCGGAAGGAGGGUCUCGUCAAGUCCAGAGUACCUGCGCAAACACAAACAAGCUUGCACCCAAGGCUUCAAAGGGGUUGUCAAUCCCUUCAAGAUUGUUUGCAAAGUGAGAUCUGAAGGUGGAAAGUGCAACGAAGUAAAAAGUGUAAGGCUGAAAAUAUGGUGUGGAGUAGACCCUGGGGGCCAUAGUGUUCACUAGAGGCUUCUCUCAAAAUAGCAAGUAAUACGGUGGGUGAACAAAUUACUGUCGAGCAAUUGAUAGAACCGCGCAAAGUCAUGACGAUAUCUAAGGCAAUGAUCUAGCAUAUAGGCAUCACGUUCGAGACAAGUAGACCGAUACUUUCUACAUCUACUACUAUUACUCCACACAUCGACCGUUAUCCAGCAUGCAUCUAGUGUAUUGAGUUCAUGGCGAAGAGAGUAACGCUUUAAGCAAGAUGACAUGAUGUAGAGGGAUAAUCUCAAACCAAUGAUGAAACCCCCAUCUUAUUACCCUUGAUGGAAACAACACGAUACGUGCCUCGCUACCCCUUCUGUCACUGGGUGAGGUCACCGCACGGUAUGAACCAAAACCAAGCACUUCUCCCAUUGCAAGAAUCAUAGAUCUAGUUGGCCAGACAAAACCCACAACUCGGAGAGAAUUACAAGGAUAUGAAAUCAUGCAUAAGAGAGAUCAGAAGAAACUGAAAUAAGAUUCAUAGAUAAUCUGAUCAUAAAUCCACAAUUCAUCAGAUCUCGACAAACACACCGCAAAAGAAGAUUACAUCGGAUAGAUCUCCAUGAAGAUCAUGGAGAAAUUUGUAUUGAAGAUCCAAGAGAGACAAGAAGCCAUCCAGUUACUAGCUAUGGACCCGUAGGUCUAUGGUGAACUACUCACACAUCAUCGGAGAGGUCAUGGUGUUGAUGAAGAAGCCCUCCAUGUCCGAAUCCCCCCUCUGGCAGGGCACCAGAACGUGCCCCAGAUGGGAUCUUGCGGAGACAGAAGUUUGCGGCGGCGGAAAAGUAAUUACGAUGCUCCCCUGAAUUUUUUGGGAACAUUUGGGAAUUUAUAGGCGCAAGAUCUAGGUCAGGGGACCUCCAGGGGGCCCACAAGCCUGCAUGGCUAGCCCCCCUAGCCGCGGGGUGGAGGCUUGUUGGGCCGCUAGGGCUCUUCUGGCUUGGCUCCCAAGUCCCCCAAUCUUCUUCCGUUCAGAAAAAAUAUUUUCGGGGAUUUUCUUCCGUUUGGACUCCAUUUCAAAAUCUCCUCUGAAAGGGGUAAAAAACAUGGAAAAAACAGGAACUGGCACUUGGCACUGGAUUAAUAAGUUAGUCCCAAAAAAUAAGUAAAAGGCAUGCAAAACAUCAAAAGUUUGACAAGAUAAUAGCAUGAAACCAUCAAAAAUUAUAGAUACGUUGGAGACGUAUCACCUAACAGAAGUGUGGCCGUACAUCGAGUAAGUUCUCGGUGAAUUAUUGUUCCGCAACUUCUAAUUGCUUUGAACUACUCUUAUUCCCGGAUAUUUGAUGUAGUCAAUAAGUCGCCGAAUUCUCGGAUGGAGCGGUCAUCGAAAAGGAUUCCGUCGAAGAGUAUGAGCUUCUCGCAAAGCAUGGAGGCGACUAUCCCGGUUUCAUCUCUUGCUUCAAACAAAGGGUAAUUAAUUACCAUUAAGGGCCCAUUUGAUUUCUUGGUCUAAUUUGCGGCUAAUGCAUUCAUUCUUUCGUAUUAAACUUGUAGGCUGAUGCAGAUUCUAUGGACGCCGAGUUGAGACAAGUCGCUAAUGGUUUUGACUAUAAGGUCCGUUCAUUUGACAAAUACAACAUCAAUGGGUAUCAGUUUCGUACCUUUGGCAAAGAGCUAUCUAUGCCCGACCUAAAGACUACAAAUUGUUCUGUCUCUGCUAUUGGCGUAGGAGGUACCGAGUAUUAUGGAAGAGUUGAAGCAAUUUAUGAACUUCUAUUCUAUGGUGAAAACCCACCGACCGUCGUAGUCUUCAAAUGUUAUUGGUUUGAGCCGAGGGAGACUAGAAGGACUCAUGAACAUAUAGGACUAGUCGAAAUCAACCAGAACACCCACUUAGAUGUUCCCGAUGUUUAUAUAACGUCUCAACAGGCGACACAAGUUUUCUAUCUACCGUGGGCCUGCCAAACUGAUCCAAAUCUCAAAGGUUGGGAUGUCAUUUAUGAAGUGCCACCACAUUUUAGACCACCUACCGUCAAUGAAGAGCAUUACGAACCUCACAUUAACCCAGACACAUAUGAAGGAGAAUUCUUCCAAGAAACACGUAUGUCCAAGAAACGUUUCAAGAACCGCUCUACUUCACCCCAGAACAUUGAAGUAGACAACGACAGUGAAUCCGUCUUAACCCCUGAGCCCGAACAGGAAGAGCUGGAAGAAGAAGAGGUUACUGCUGCGGAUGACCUGUCACUUCUUGACCGAUUACAUAAUGGUGGCCUUCCACAUGUUCUUCGUGAUAGUGAUGAUGAUGAUGCAUUUAUUGAUGAUACCGAUGAUCAUGAUGCAUUUAUUGACCCCGAAGCAUAUAUAGACGAGCACGAUUGUUAUUAGUUCAUGUCAGGUAUUCAACUAUUAUACUAUAUAUAAAUUUUGAGUUCAUGUUAGGUAUUCAAUUUUUAUUAGUCAUGUUGGUAUUUAUGAUGAUGAUACACUUAAAUUAUAUACAUUUUAUUACUCAUGUUGGUAUUUAUGUUGUACUAAUUUCAUUUACUCUUUGUCAUGACAGGUGUUGAAAGAUGGUGGGAAAGGGUCGAAAGCACUCCACGGCUCCUUCUUCGUCGACGGGUGAUGGGAUGGGUACUUCCAUUCCCGCCUCGCCUCUUCGGAGAGUGUUGCUCUCUACUAUGCAAGUAGCGCCCCCCGUGAGAGGAGGUCGACCCCCCGCGAAGCCGAGAGGUACUAAAGGUACAUGUUGUAUUCAUGUUGGUAUUUAUGUUUCACUCAUGUUGUAUGCAUAUUGGUAUUUAUAUACAUUUUAUUACUCAUGUUGGUAUUUAUGUUGUACUAAAAGUACACGUGGCCGCGGGAGAGGUAGGGUGGUGGCUGCCACGCCUUCUGAGGUGGAGGCUACACGGUCUCCGCCACCACCCCAAGCUGAUUCACGUGAGCACAAGACUUCUAGGGUGGAUUAGUCUGAGGUGGAGGCUACACGGUCUCUGGUUCACGAGCCUCGGGUCGACGAGCCUCAGGUCGACGAGCCUUCGACCCACGAGACUCGUGUCCUAGAGGCCUCGUUCCAGGCGACUCCAGAGCAAAUCAGGGAUGAGGGUACGUCCCGAGAGACCCAGUGGGAUACCUGGGCUGAGCCAAGUGGCCAUGCUGGUAGCGACGAGGAGCUGGGUGAGGGGGCUACCGUCUACCAGCGUGGUAGUUCGGGGCUUCCGCUCGUGCCGGCAACCCCCCAGAAGAGGUGGUCGAUUAGGCAAAUGGGGACAAGUAAGUUAAUUUACUCUUAUUUAACCUUUUUCCUUCAUGUUUUCUCAAAUAUCUAAUGUUUUGGCUAUAAUUUUUCAUACCGUAGGGGUUGGAUUGUUUCCAAGGGUGUCUGCAAGCCCAACAACAUCCUUGGUGUGCUUUGCCGUAAAAAAUUUCCAGGGUUUGUUACGUUGCCCGGCCAGGAGCGAGAGGUAGGAAUGACCUGGGAGCACUACUUGGGUGCCUUGGUCCCGCCGGAGGUGGAGAUCGACAGUGUUUUGUGCCACACGAGGGCCGACAUGGUGAUCCGACAGUUCUGGGUAAUUUCUCCUUCACACAAUUAUAAAUCAACCAUAGCUAGUUAUUGCACUAAUCAGUGUUGUCUCAUUUGCAGACCUACUACAGGUGUGAGGAGGGAUACGAGGAGGACGCGGCAAAGGUUAUCGAAACCGAAUGUCGCCGCCUACUUCAAAACUUUCGGCACGAGGCUCGGGUGCAGGCUGUUCGAGACUACUAUGCCACGCGGCAUAUUAGGAAGGACAAGGCGAACUGCCGUGAUUCUAAGAUGGAGAAUGAGCAUUACAUGAUGGUAAUUACAUAUUAUUAAGGCUUUGUAGUUAGUUUCCUUGAUUUGGUCCUUACGCGCUCAAAUUUCUCUUUGUUAACUUAGGUGCCCCCAAGAUGGUGUGUGGAUAAGAUGGAUUGUUGGGAGGCCUUGGUGGAUCAGUGGUGCACUGAAACGUGGGAGUGUUGGGGAACGUCGCAUGGGAAACAAAAAUUUUCCUACGCGCACGAAGACCUAUCAUGGUGAUGUCCAUCUACGAGAGGGGAUGUGUGAUCUACGUACCCUUGUAGACCGUACAGCAGAAGCGUUAGUGAACGCAGUUGAUGUAGUGGAACGUCCUCAUGUCCCUCGAUCCGCCCUGCGAACCGUCCCGCGAUCAGUCCCACGAUCUAGUGCCGAACGGACGACACCUCCGCGUUCCACACACGUACAGCUCGACGAUGAUCUCGGCCUUCUUGAUCCAGCAAGAGAGACGGAGAGGUAGAAGAGUUCUCCGGCAGCGUGACGGCGCUCCGGAGGUUAGUGAUGAUCUUGUCUCAGCAGGGCUCCGCCCGAGCUCCGUAGAAACGCGAUCUAGAGGUAAAACCGUGGAGAUAUGUGGUCGGGCUGCCGUGGAAAAGUUGUGUCAAAUCAGCCCUAAAACCUCCGUAUAUAUAGGGGGAAGAGGGGGAGCCUUGCCUUGGGGUCCAAGGACCCCUAAGGGCUUCGACCGAGCCAAGGGGGGGAGAUCUCCCCUUCCAAACCGAGUCCAACUAGGUUUGGAAGCAGGAGUCCUUCCCCCUUUUCCCACCUCCUCCUUUUUUUCUUUUCUCUUUGAUUUUUCUUCCUAUGGCACAUAGGGCUCUUUUGGGCUGUCCCACCAGCCCACUAAGGGCUGGUGCGCCACCCCCAAUGCCUAUGGGCUUCCCCGGGAUGGGUUGCCCCCCCGGUGAACUCCCGGAACCCAUUCAUCAUUCCCGGUACAUUCCCGGUAACUCCGAAAACCUUUCGGUAAUCAAAUGAGGUCAUCCUAUAUAUCAAUCUUCGUUUUCGGACCAUUCCGGAAACCCUCGUGACGUCCAUGAUCUCAUCCGGGACUCCGAACAACAUUCGGUAACCAACCAUAUAACUCAAAUACGCAUAAAAAACGUCGAACCUUAAGUGUGCAGACCCUGCGGGUUCGAGAACUAUGUAGACAUGACCCGAGAGACUCCUUGGUCAAUAUCCAAUAGCGGGACCUAGAUGCCCAUAUUGGAUCCUACAUAUUCUACGAAGAUCUUAUCGUUUGAACCUCAGUGCCAAGGAUUCAUAUAAUCCCGUAUGCCAUUCCCUUUGUCCUUCGGUAUGUUACUUGCCCGAGAUUCGAUCGUCAGUAUCCGUAUACCUAUUUCAAUCUCGUUUACCGGCAAGUCUCUUUACUCGUUCCGUAAUACAAGAUCCCGCAACUUACACUAAGUCACAUUGCUUGCAAGGCUUGUGUGUGAUGUUGUAUUUCCGAGUGGGCCCCGAGAUACCUCUCCGUCACACGGAGUGACAAAUCCCAGUCUCGAUCCAUACUAACUUAACGAACACCUUCGGAGAUACCUGUAGAGCAUCUUUAUAGUCACCCAGUUACGUUGCGACGUUUGAUACACACAAAGUAUUCCUCCGGUGUUAGUAAGUUAUAUGAUCUCAUGGUCAUAGGAACAAAUACUUGAAACGCAGAAAACAGUAGCAAUAAAAUGACACGAUCAACAUGCUACGUCUAUUAGUUUGGGUCUAGUCCACCACGUGAUUCUCCUAAUGACGUGAUCCAGUUAUCAAGCAACAACACCUUGUUCAUAUCAGAAGACACUGACUAUCUUUGAUCAACUGGCUAUCCAACUAGAGGCUUGCUAGGGACAAUGUUUUGUCUAUGUAUCCACACAUGUAUAUAAGUCUUCAUUCAAUACAAUUAUAGCAUGGAUAAUAAACGAUUAUCUUGAUACAGGAAUUAUAAUAAUAACUAUAUUUAUUAUUGCCUCUAGGGCAUAAUUCCAACAGGGAGGCCAGCCACAACAACGCCAAGGAGAGGCGUGGCAAAAUGGUUGGUGUGCCACACCAUCAAGGGAGCGUCAACUUAAUCCAAUUUGGCGAGAACUGGGUAUGUGGUUUGCUUCAUGCCUCAUGCAAUUCAUUCUUAAUGCUAUCUUGAGCCCUUUACUAAUACAAUUUUCCUCUCUCUCUCUCUUUUAGGCGCGUCACAAUAAGACGGAGGUGCCACAGAUGUACGACCUGUAUGCGAUGGCCCAUACUGCCUCGUACUAGAAGGUCAAGGCAUUCUCUGAGUCUGACCUCGAGCAUCCAGAAAACUUCUCCAACAUCUCCUCCCACCACAAGCUCGUGAAGUACAAAGAUAACGGGAAGACGAGGAAAGGGGAGGACUUUAACCCGAGCGAGGGGCCUAUUCAUCCACAGCUGGUGAUGAUAGCUGGCAACGGGAGGCCCCAUGGCUCGAUCGCCAUUGGAGACGGCCUUAUACGUUGUCCUAGCACUCUCCGACAGAUAAAGGCAUGCCAAACGAGCUCCUGUCCGGAGAUAACACCUCGUCCAUGGCCAGUCGAGCUCGCCAUCGAGGUUAGUUUAAUGGACUCAACUAUCUUUCCGCAUUAUGUUGUGCGUUGGAACCAAUAUGAUUACAAUGCUAACAAUGAGUUGUGUUGCAGGCUGCUAUUCAGAAAGAGAGAGAGGCAAUGCAGGCGGCUAUGGCGGAGAAUGAUAAGGAGAUGAGGGAGCUCGAGGAGGGGAUGACUGCAUUGGUGGAGGUGGAGAGGGCACGGAAUGAUGCGUCUAACAGGGCCAUAUACGAGCUCUUUGUGGUAAGUUUCUUCUUCAUGUUAUUUCAAAUCUUGCAUUUUAAUGUCCGUUUAGCUAAAAAAUGACCAAUUUAGCUAAAAAAUGAAAUAAUAAGCUCAAAAUGGCAUAAGAACCUUGGUUAGCUCAUGAAUAUUAUAUACUUAGCUCGGCUUCCACCUAAAUGAUAUAAUUAGCCAAUUUAGCUCCAAUAUGGCUUAAUAAGCAUAGUUAGCUCCAAAAUGACAUAUUUAACCCAAGUGAGCUCCGAAACGACCUAUAGUUGGCUAGGCUUACACCUAAAUGAGAUAAUUAGCUUAGUUAGCUCCAAAAUGACCUAGUUAAUAAAAAAUGACCUAUAGUUAGCUAAGUUCUCUCCUAAAUGACAUAAUAAUGGUUACGUAGCUGCAAGAUGACAUAUUCCCCCUAACUUAGGUAUUAAAUGGCCUAUAAUUAGCCUAGCUAGAUACAAAAUGGCUUAAUAAGCAUAGUUUGCUCCGGAAUGACACAUUUUACCCAAGUUACCUCCGAAACGACCUAUAGUUAGCUAGGCUUCCACCUAAAUGACAUAAUUAGCUUAGUUAGCUCCAAAAUGGUCUAUUUAAUAAAACAUGACCUAUUCUUAGCUAAUUAUCCUCGAAAUGACAUAAUUAGCUCCAAAAAGGCAUUCUUAGCUAAUUUAGCCCGAAGAAGGGGACAAGAGGAGAAGAAAGAGGAAAAAUGAAAGGAAGGAAGAAGAAGAAGAGAAGAAGAAGGAUAAGAAGAAGGAGAAGAAGUAGGAUAAGAAGGAGAAGGAGAUCCUCCUUCUCCUUCUUCUUCCUCCUUCUUCCUCCUUCUCCUUCUCCUUCUUUUCUUCUUCUUCUACUCUUCCUUCUCCUUCUCCUCCUCCUCCUCCUUCUUCUUUUACUUCUUCUUCUCUUCUUGCUUCUUCUCUUUCUCUUCAUCUACGUAGCUUAGACUCAUCCAAGAAAGACUAAAUUGGCUAAUUAUCAUACAAAAUGACAUAAUUAGCUUAGUUAGGUGAACACAUCAUAAGAACCUUGGUUAGCUCAUUAAAAUGACCAAUUUAGCUAAAAAUUGAAAUAAUAAGCUCAAAAUGGCAUAAGAACCUUUGUUAGCUCAUGAAUAUUAUAUACUUAGCUUGGCUUCCACCUAAAUGAUAUAAUUAGCCAAUUUAGCUCCAAUAUGGCUUAAUAAGCAUAGUUAGCUCCAAAAUGACAUAUUUAACCCAAGUGAGCUCCAAAACGACCUAUACUUAGCUAGGCUUCCACCUAAAUGACAUAAUUAACUUAGUUAGCUCCAAAAUGACCUAUUUAAUAAAAAAUGACCUAUAGUUAGCUAAGUUCUCUCCUAAAUGACAUAAUAAGGCUUAUGUAGCUGCAAGAUGACCUAUUCCCCUAACUUAGGUAUUAAAUGGCCUAUAAUUAGCUUAGCUAGAUCCAAAAUGGCUUAAUAAGCAUAGUUUGCUCCGGAAUGACACAUUUUACCCAAGUUAGCUCCGAAAUGACCUAUAGUUAGCUAGGCUUCCACCUAAAUGACAUAAUUAGCUUACUUAGCUCCAAAAUGUUCUAUUUAAUAAAACAUGACCUAUGGUUAGCUAAUAUCCUCGAAAUGACAUAAUUAGCUCCAAAAAGGCAUUCUUAGCUAAUUUAGCCCAAAGAAGGGGACAAGAGGAGAAGAAAGAGGAAAAAUGAAAGGAAGGAAGAAGAAGAAGAAGAGAAGAAGAAGGAGAAGGAGGAAGAAGAAGGAGAAGGAGAAGGAGCUUCUCUCCUCCUUCUCCUUCUUCUCCUUCUUGUUGUCCUUCUUCUUUUCUUCUUCUUCUCCUCUUCCUCUUCCUUCUCCUCCUCCUUCUCCUCCUCCUCCUUCCUUUUUUUCUUCUCCUUCUUCUUCUCUUCUUGCUUCUUCUCUUUCUUCUUCUACGUAGGUUAUUUUCCCCAACAAAGACAUACUUAGCUAAUUAUACUCCAAAAUGACAUAAUUAGCAUAGUUAGGUAAAAACAUCACAAGAACCUUGGUUAGCUCAUUAAAAUGACUAAUUUAGCUCCAAAAUGACAUAAUAAGGUCAAAAUGGAUUAAUAAUCAUAGUUGGCUACAAAAUGACAUAUUUUAUCCAAGUUAGCUCUAGAAUGACCUAUACUUAGCCAAGUUCUCUCCUAAAUUACAUAAUAAGGCUAUGUAGCUCCAAGAUGACCUAUUCCACCUAACUUAGCUAUUAAAUGGCCUAUACUUAGCUAAUUUCUCUCCGAAAUAACCUAUAUACUUCUUCAUCUAGUAUUAUUCUUCUAACUUUCUUAUUUGUCAUUUUGUAGAUUACAUUCACUUCACCGAAAGCUUGGAUUAUAUUGAUGGAAUGCUUGAAGAUGAUUUCUUGUACCAUGGCUUCACGGAAGCUUGUAUUGAAACUAUUAUAGUAUAUGGAUAUAUAUGAAACUUUGUGUGCAUGUGGAUGAAACUGGUGUAAUAUAUGGUUUGGUAUGGAUGGAACUUGCAUAAUAUAUAUGUACUAUGGAUGAAAUUUAUUUUAAUAUGGUUAUGAGUACGGAAACAAAUUUAUUUUUGUAAAAUAUAUAUAUAUAUAUACAUCCUGAUUAUUGUGAAAAAUGCUGGAUAUAAUAAGAAAUAAAAUAAAAAGGGGCUGGUUCCCCCCUUUGCCGUCUCGCCCCCACAUGGCNNNNNNNNNNNNNNNNNNNNNNNNNNNNNNNNNNNNNNNNNNNNNNNNNNNNNNNNNNNNNNNNNNNNNNNNNNNNNNNNNNNNNNNNNNNNNNNNNNNNUAGGGCGAAUUCAAGAGAAUUGCAUGUUAUUAUGUUUAAGAAUCCGCAACCUUAAUUUUUUUGUCCUCCGCCUCUGUCUUAGGUCUAUGUAAUUGUCUUCCUUUGAGAUCAUUCACUUUCGAUGGAUCAAUUGCACAAGUAAUAUUUUAACACAAAACAUACUAAUACUUGUAUAUUAUUGCCAUUACAUGACUUAGAAGCAACAUAACAACAUCAACAACAUGUAUAUGAAAUCUCAUGAACUACCCAACAUAGUAUGUCCGCACGUAAGUUAAGCCUAGUUAGAAAUGCAGUUAAAAAACAUGAAACCCAUGGUAGGGUCAGAGAAUAGAAUAGCAGAGAUGAGUCCGUCAUGGUAACAGGGGAGCAUGAUGACGGAUCACUGGAUGAUGUAGAGCUUGAUUUAAUCCUUCGUAUGCAUUGUGCAAACCAAUAGUUCCAAGUGUAAGAAGUUCUGUGCGCAAAUGGUCUAUAUCACCUCAAAUAGAACAUAAGAUAAGAUGGAACAUCUUAAACAUGUUAAAUGUGUACGUGUUAGGUUAAUUUAGAACAUAUUAAACCAAGAAGUAGAAAGGAGCUGCAAUUUAACAUAAGAAGACUGGACAACAGGGUCUGAUCAUGUAAAAAACAACAGUAUUUCGUAAGUCAAGACUUUAAAAAUGAUAUGCGCUUAAAGACUACCCAAAUAUGUCCCAAGUUAAAACAUUUUCAGAUAUAUACGAUCACGUAUAUGUAACAAACAAAACAUUGAUGUGUAAAUAAUUGAGCUGCUUAUUUCUACUUACUGAACGAAUGUAAGGAUAUUAGCUAGUGCAUAUGUUGGACUACACCGGCUCUGAAGGAUAUCUAUGCAUAUGUUUCCAUCAGGCAAAUACAGUUAAGUAUAAGAUCAACCCUAAAUCAGACAUAUAGUUCUCACCAAGAGAAUGAUGAGAUGAUUUUCUAAGAAACCAGACAAGUUUCCAACAGCAAUCAAACACCAUAUGUCAGCCAAGAAGAUAGAUCUACCUCAUUGCAAACAUAGAUUGCAACAGAAGGAUUAAUCAUCAAGACCACCAAGUGACAACAGCAUCGCAUAUAACCACAAUCAUCUAAUCUCGCCGGUGAACCAAAGCAUCGCAGUACAAAUCGAAAACAGAGUGUCAUCCAAGCAGUGCAGGCAGAGACCAAUCAACCAGGCAGCAACAACCAAUGCCACCUAAUCUACUCUAAACUGGGCACUAUCCAAGCCCUGCAGCCAUGUACUUCCCUAUCCAUGGUUGCAGAGGAACACCCACCCCCGUAAACAGAGGAAAAUCAAAUCAGCCUGCAGACAAACAGUGUAAGGGGGGAGAUCAGGUCAGGAGAUCUCACCAUGGACCAACAGCUUGCUGCAUAUGGGCAGCACCUGCAUGAAAGGCCCUAGCUUCUCGUGCUCGGCGAGCAGCUCGGCCAAGUACUGGCUGCAUAAAACCAUUAAUCGCACAGCAAUCACAUCACCAUCCCCAUUCAUUCAUUCAUCCGUCCAGCAAACCCAACAGGAAGAGGGGGAAAAACAGCAAAAUACGCCUAGAAAUUGUGGCCACCGAGCAGGCGAUUGGUGCUCUUGUGCAAGGAUGGGGGUCUUGCAAGCGAAAGCGGCAGGGGGUCCUCGGUCGCGCUAUGUCGUGCUCCCUGGGAUUCGUCCAUGGUUGUGCUCCCUAAGAUCCGACCAUGGCCGUGUUCCAUGGGUCGUGCGCCACCACCCUGAGAACCUCCGGCACGGUUCGAUGGUGCGGAUCCGAACGCUGGCCGUGAAGCGCAUCCCCCCUGCACGCUGAUCUACUCGGAUCGUGGUCGCUCCGCUAUGCCGUGGUCGCCGCCGCCGCCGCCACGACAAUCGUCCGAGAAGCUCGGGCACGGCUCGAUGGCGCGGAUCCAGAUGCCAGCGGGGAGGAGCAUCUCUGCCCGUGUGUCACCACCCGCCGCUCCGAGACACCACGGUAGCCUCCACCUCGCCCGCAUGCGGGAGGAAUCGCGCUCAGGGGGCUGGAUCUGUGCGAGGAGCCGCUGGGGCGUCCUCUAGCCGUGUAGUGGCAGAGCGUCGUCCGCUCCAAGUAAUUGCUAUGCGCACAUCUAACUCGGGAUUAGAAUAAUCUAGACGGUUAGAUCUAAUUAAACGGGGUGAUCCGAUGAUGCUAUAUUCUUGUGUAUGUUUUAUGGGGUGUCCGGAAGAAAGAAAAAGUUGGCUUGUUUAUUAGUAGUAUAGAUCAGGUUCAGGAAAGGAUAUUUCAGUGUGAAAUUGCGUGAUACAUACAUAGUAUUUUUACUCUGUUCAAAUGGCAUCCGGAGGAAUUCCUGGUGAUUUAAAUUUAGCUGUUAGACUGAAGAUGAAUGAGAUGUUGAUAUUCCCAGUCAUAUAAGAAAUUUGCAUUUCUCUCUGCAGUUAACCUUUUUUUAGACGCUCGGUGUAAUAACAUUGGCUUCAGACUUGGUAUGAUACUCCAUUUGAGAUGCAUUGCAUGUCGAUGCGGAUAAUCUUAUUAGCACGCAAUAAGAUGCUCGCUUUAGGUUCAUAAAUUUAAAAAUAUGAUGCUCGCUAUGAUUUGGUUUCGGGGUGAAAUUUCAUGCAUGUGGGAAGGAUAGACAAGGCAAGAAACUGAGAAAGAGGGUGAGAGCCCACAUAGGGACGUCAUGUUUGAUGCACAUGUUGAUGAAGUGGAAUAGUUUGUUAUUCUAUAGUAUCCCAUGUGUAUUGGACAUCAUGAAACAAUAUGUAUCAUGUUGCUACACAUGGUUAAAAUUUCAUAGUAGCUCUAAUGAUUCAGGUUUGUCUCAAAGUGCUAGCUCAUGGUAAACCUCUUCAGAAACAAGUCGUAAAAGUUGAAAAUCGCAUCCAUUUAUAUUAUGUUCUGCUGGAUAAUAUAACAAAUUGUCUAUCUCUUUUAGGGUGGUUUGCUAACUUAUUUGGCAUAACAUUUCUAACGACAUUAAUUGUCCUGGUUGACAAAUCUCAUGCCAGAUAUACAUGUACGUCUUGAUUAGGCUGCCUAAUCAAGAGAGCAAACUUUUGUAAUAUACUUGCAGUUCUCUCAAGCAUGAGCUAAUCAGAACUAUAUGUCCUUGGGGAAGCUUUAUCUAUCUAUUUCGGUGUCUGCAUAUAUGACAGGUCUAGACUGUACGGAGGGGGUGAUUGAUGUUGUCGUGGAUGUUAAGUUGUGCUUAACAAAUGUUAUUCUGCUUGAGAACAAAGAACUGGUCUGUCAAGACUUGCUUCUAAUGGUUACACCUUAGAUCAUGACAAGGUAAAGUGUCAAGCGGCUACAACAGAAAAUUGCUGGAAGACUCUUUCUUCUCUAUGUUACAGAUAAUCAUUCUGUAUAUGAAGCUGUAGUCUGCCUUGGACAUCCAACCGUAAAGAAGAUUGGGAUAAUUUUCAAAAUAUACAACGAUAUAGCAGGUGCGUAGGAUUAGAAAUAGACUGUGAAUUGGUGCUACAACAUUGUCCCUUGAAUAUUUUGACUCCCUUCCUAAGGUAAGGCGACGAAUGCAUGCAUUCUUUCUCUGUUUCCUCUUAUCCAUUUUUUAUUAAAAAUCAAUAGAAGAAACAACAUCGUCAAAGAUUUGGUAUAAAAACAUCAGGUCAUCAAACCCCAUUUGAGUAUAAUUUUCUUGGCUAAAGAUUAAGAUGAUGCGGAGAUGCGUGAACCCUGCAAAAAAACAUUCAUUGCAUCCUUCAUGUUAGUGGAGGAAAAACAAUAUUUGUGUUCUCUCAAAGAUAUGGUGAGUAGAGCAAGGGUGUGAUGAUCAGAUAGAUAAAGGAAGGAUGACGAAGAUUUAUAUAAUGAAGUGGAGCUGAGUUAAAAACAAACCCAUGUGUAGAUGAACAAAAUAAGAUGGAAAAGUAUGCCUUAGUACGUGUGGUAAUUGAAAGCUUUAGUUGACAUGAGCAUCAUUUUUUCAUGAAAGGGGUGCGAGCGUUUGUUUCUCCCGUUGCAACGCACGGGCAUUUUUCCUAGUAUUCCCUAAAACUCAUACUCCAUAUCCAGCAACCUAUUCAACUCCACCUCUUAUCUUACAGAGCAAAGGGUAACCUGCAAUGUUUCAGAGCAUGUACACUCCCAAGGUAUUUCUCUGAAGUAAAACAGAAACAUCCGUAUUCUUCUCCAUUUAGUCUUAAAAUCAGCUAUAAUUAAUAUGGGUAACCUUCUCCAAUGUUGGCUCAGUUUAUAUAUCCCCUGAAACUUAGACUAUAUUUCAAAUAAUAUAAUCAACUCCAGCUCUUGAGGAGAGCUUCCUACUCAAGUUAAUAAUGUAACUCUUCUGCGUAGAUUAUUUCCACUGGAGAGACAUUACGACACUGUCAUGCAGUGACUACAUUAACUACAGUAGUUUGCAACGGGCCUACAGGCUACAGACAAGUAGACCUUGACUCAUGAGGUAACAAACCGUUCCAUAACCUUUAAAUUAGUCAGCAACCAGUCGUGUGCACAUCAAAGGCACCGCCGUAUUGCACAGGAAAUAACAUUGACCACAUGAUGUCUCUACACAUGCUUUAAUCUUGGACUGACAACAGUUAAAAUUGUACUGCUAGGAACGAGCAAAAUUCACUGCUGAAAUUUCUACUUGUACAGUUCUACCCUGUAUUAUAUAUUGCGCUGAGCACUAGCUUGAAGUGGUAAAGCCUGUAUUUAUACACGGGUGCUUGUUAUCUUAAUCAUUUAUGUUUUCCUUGAAAAAACUACGCAAAAAAAAUUAGAACAGCAAUGAUCAUGGACCUGAGUCAAUUGCCGCAUGUAUCUACCACUACCACAAAAGAAAUUCCACUGAAUAGACCGUCAAACACCGCACAGCAACCAACACUUGAUACGCAGGACAGCAACAUGAACGUCACUAUAGUCCGCAAUCUACGGUGAUCUGUUGCGCUCGCAGCCUUAAGGCAUGACCAUCGCUCCACGAUGGACAGAUGCCCCAGCUGUCCACGUCGACCUGCUCGGUCCAGCGAAGCCAAACCUGAUGCUUGCAGGCCAGAACGACCUCUUGCAGAAGAGGCAGGCUCCUCACGGGCAAAAGCAUGAGAAAAUGAUAAAAAGGCAGGAACCGUGUACAAAGAGAGCUGGUCAUUAUGGUUUGUUUCUCACAUAAAAGAAAGGAAACUUUUCAGAGAAAAAGUUGAUGGUGGUCCACAUGUGAUGCCUGCGUUGGACAAGAGCAACUGUGACAGUAGUCUCAUUGUCUAUUUCCUCGCUGGAAGUACUGAGGCUACCGUAUAGUGAUGCUACCAUAGUUCAUGCCCUUAGAAGUGUAAAUCAUUCUCCAUCACCUUCUUCUGUGAUGAUGGAAAAUCUGUACAAUACCUUUCAAGGAAAAUUUGUACAAUACAGUUAAAAAUAAACUGCCAUGCAUAGCCUUGUACUCCCUCCGUUCCUAAAUAUAAGUCUUUGUAGAGAUUCCAAUGAAGACUAUAUACGGGAGCAAAACGAGUGGACCUACACUUUAAAAUAUGUCUAUAUACAUCUGUAUGUAGCCCUUAUUGAAAUCUCUAAAAAGACUUAUAUUUAGGAACUAAGACAGUAGAAAAAUGACUCCAACUAAACAGCAACACCUCCACGUCCUACUACUCCUGCUACUGCUAGUAUGCUUCUACUAGAUACUGCAGACAAACAUAACACCACUGUUUCUUGCCUACCAGAUCAUGCUUCUUCCCUCCUCCCGCUAAAGCGCUCAUUCAUCAACGUAGAUUCGAAUCUGGCGUCUUGGCAAGCUGGAAGAGAUUGCUGCCAGUGGGAGGGCGUCACCUGUGAUAUGGCUAAAAUAGAAACCUCAAUAUUCUUCUUCCUUCAGUCUCCAAAUCAGUUAAUUUAAUAUGUGUAGCCUUUCCUGAUGUUGGCUGGCUCAACUUAUAUCCCCUAAAACUCAGACUCCAUAUCCAGUAAUCUAAUCAACUCGAGCUAUUACCUUACAGAGCAAAGAGUAAACCUGCAAUAUUUCAGAACAUGUACGUUCCCAAGGUAUUUCUCAAACAAUAAUUUAUCUUCUAUUAUACCUGACUUUGGUAGAUACCUUCCCAAGAAGACCCACGGGAACUUGAGGUCCUGGACUUAUCAUACAACAAUUUUGGAGGCAGGGUGUUGUCCUGCCUAAAGCAAACUAGCAGCAUGUCGAUAUUGAAGUUGACAGAUAAUCGUUUCCGUGCGAUAUUACCUGGAAAUAUUGGAGAAGGAUGUAUGCUUCAGACAAUAGAUUUGAACAGCAACUGAAUUGAAGGGAAAAUACCCAGAUCGCUACUGAACUGCAGAAGUUUAGAGGUUCUUGAUAUUGGUAGAAAUCAAAUUCUUGAUACUUUUCCAUCUUGGUUGGGUAAGAAGUCUAAUCUUCGGAUUCUCAUCUUGAGAUCCAAUCAAUUAUAUGGCUCAAUAGGAGGCCCUGCUGAAAGUGAUGCGGCCAGUAAGCAUUUCUCGAGUUUGCAAAUUGUUGAUUUGGCCUCAAAUAAUUUUUCUGGGAGCUUAAGUUCAAAAUGGUCUGACAAGCUAGAAACAAUGAUGGUAAACUCUACUGGUGAGGGUUAUGCUCUAGACCUUCGAAGAUUAUACUACCAGGAAAUUCUCACAUUUCAAGGGAUUGAUCUCACAUUUACCAAGAUCCUGACCACUUUCAACAUGAUCGAUUUCUCAAACAAAGCAUUUGAUGGCCCCAUCCCAGACUCAGUUGGGAAGCUUAUUGCUCUACAUGACCUGAACAUUCACAUUAUGCCUUAACUGGAGGAAUCCCAUCAAAGCUUGGCUACUUGGCUCAACUCGAGUCACUAGACCUCUCUCAGAACAAACUCUCAGGGGUUAUCCCACAGGAUCUAACCAGCCUAACAUGUCUGGCUGUGCUGAAUCUCUCCUACAACAAUUUGACUGGAAUGAUACCAGAAGGGCCGCAGUACUCGUUGUUCACUAACAGCUCAUUUGAAGGCAAUGAAGGACUGUGUGGAAGGCUGCUUUCCAAACAGUGCAACAAUUCAGGUACGGGAACCCUCAACUCAUCGGUGUCUUUGCAAGACAGUGUUGGAACCAUAGUGUUGUUUGUGUUUGCGGGAUCCGGUUUCAGAGUUGGCCUUGCGGCAGCAGUGGUUUUGUCAGUGGUUUUUCAGGCCAAACGUUGGAACUGCAAUCGUUCCUUGUUCUACCAGUGAAAUGAUAUGACUUGGGGUGUGACAGUGUGUUUCUGUAUCAUGUAUUCAUAUGAGCUUGUAGGAACCUACUUAUUUAAAAGUUAAUGCACCUUUUCUCUUUUACAUACAUAAAUUGUAAAUUAAAGGAACAUAAUCAUACGAGCUUGUACCCACUUCUUUAGUGUUCAUACGGUUUGUAGGAUUUCCAUGGGAUUUUGACCCUCCUAUGUAUGACAGUUGUUUCACAGGAAUGGAGGUACUAAAUUUCAUUAGGAUUGUGCUUAAUUCCUCAGGAAUCAUUAGGAUUGUGCCUAAUUCCUAAUGGAGGUAAGAUUUAUUAGGAUCUUUUCUACUGCACAGUGUAUUUACCACAACCACAAAAGAAAUUCCACCGAAUAGGCAGUCAAACACGGCACGGCGACCCCUUGAUAGGCUGAAUCAGUUUAGGAGAGUAACAUAAACAUCACUAUAUUCUGCAAUCGGCAAUGAUGGGUUGCGCUCACAGGUUCACAAGUGUAAAUGCAAUUUCCAUCACAAAAACAGACAAGUCCCCUGAAGGAAAAUCUGUACAAUACCUUCAAGUUUAAACACAAACUGGCAUGCAUAGAAAUAUCUAUACACAUCCUACAUUCCCAUAUAUAAACGUAGUACAACAAGGUUCGUGUAUUACAUUGGUUCAGAACUAAAGUACAGAAGAGUCUAGAAUAAAGGAGGAGUGUGUUUUCAGUUUUGUGCAUAUUGUACAACAAGGCUCAUCUAUGUACACUGGUUGUCUGGUUCAAAACUAAAUGCAACAUGAAACCUAAUGCAGAUUAAUAUUAUUAUAUCUGCAAGGUUAAUAUACCCCUGUAAUAUAUAUAUUUUUAAUCAGAGAUGAGCAUGAAUAUCUAUUGACGACUUAAUAACAGCAUGGCUGCAUAUAUGUACAUUAUAAUUAGGAAGGAAAAAUAUGUUCUUCGCCAACUUUAUCCCCUCAACUCAUCCAUCCCUGAUGUAUCAUGAAAGAGAUUUUUUUUGUGCUCAACAGCACAUGCUCUAUAAUGAGACAUGUAUCACUGUUAAUAGAUAAAUUUAUUAGUUACUACCAAUAGUCCUUGCACGAACACGUGCCAUCUUUAAACAAAUGGAAACGUGUUCGGUCUCUAACAAUAAUUUCUCUCCCAUAUACUUUGGAUAUAAGUUUGGUGACAUGAUGACAAUCUUGGCAAACUCUGAGGUUCUUGACAAUCCGAAUGGGCAUAUAAUCUUCUGUACUUAUCAAAGCAAAUGCGAUUGCCAGCUUCUCACUGUGGCGGCUGAGUGCACUUUCCAUCUCUUCUUCUUCAAUGUCAAGCAAAACUUCUUUCUUGUCAGGCACAUAACCUUCCUCCAGCCUUAUCCUACUAUCUACCUCAUACCACUUUGUCAAAAUAUCUUUUAUGCGAGGAUGAGACAGAUCUCCAACGAUGAACUGGUGGAUAACUCCUUUUAUCUCCACAUUGCUACAUCCAGGUGUCUUCUCAACUCCCUUCUCACGCAUUAGGUUCCUAAUUUCCCUCGCAGACGCAUGCCUACCAGAGGCAGAAUAUAUGUUACCUAAAAGCACAUAAGCACCGCUUUUGUCUGGCUCCAAUUCAAUCCAGUGCUUUAUAACAUACUCAGCCAACUCCACAUUCUUGUGAAACCUACAGCCAGCCAUUAGAGCUCCCCAGAUUAAGGCAUCCGGUUUCAUGGGCAUUUUCUCAACCAUGUCCCUGGCCUCACUCAGCAAGCCAUUCCGUGCCAGGAGGUCUACCAUGCAUCCAUAAUGCUCAAUCUUUGGUUUAAUACCAUAGUUGUUCACCAUGGAAUUGAAAAGCUCCCGACCCUUGUCAACUAAUCCAGUAUGUGUGCACGCACAGAGAGCACCAAUGAAGGCAAUGUCAUCCGGCUUAACACCUGAGCUCUCCAUCUGGGAGAAGAGUGUCAAUGAGUCUGAGCCUCGGCCGUGCAUAGCCAGGCCCUUUAUCAUGGUAGUCCAGGCCAGCACAUUCUUGUCCUUCAUUCCUUCAAACACCUCCAUUCCAAGCUGCACCUCGCCACAUUUGGCAUACAUAUCAACCAGUGCAGUGCCCAAAAACACGGUCAUCCUGAUAUUGUUUGCUUUGAGGUAACCAUGCACCCACUUCCCCUGCUCCAGAGCACCCAGCUGCGCGCACGCGGCAAGCACCCCGACGAGAACCGUGUCGUCCGGGCGGACACCUUGUGCCUGCAUCUGAGAGAACACCCCCAGCGCCUCCCUCCCGUCCCCGGCCUGCACGUAUCCAUUCACCAUGGCGCUCCAGGACACGGCAUUCCUCUCAGGCAUUUCGUCGAACAGCGAGCGGGCGUCGGCGACUCGCCCAGCCCUCGCGUGCGCCGUGAUAAGCGUGUUGAACGUGGAGGCGUCGACGGCAGCCGAGGUGCGCAGCAGCAGGUGCGCGUCGGCCAGGCGGCCGAGCAGGCCCGCGUGGACGCGGAUGAGCGCGUUGUUCACGAGGAGGAACCCCGCGAGGCCGAGCCUGACGGCGUGGGCGUGGACGGCGAGCGCGAGGCGGCGCGCGCCGGGGACGGCGGGGGAGAGCGCGAGCGACUUGAGGAGGGAGGGGAGGGUGUGCGGGGUCGGGAAGAGGCCCGCGCGGAUGAGGUGCGCGUAGAGCGGGAGCGCCGCCUGCGGCCGCCCGGAGCUCGCGUGCGCCCGGAUGAGCGCGUCGUGGAGCUCCGUGCUGCGCCGGAGCAGGCCUGACGUGACCAGGGCCGCCUGGAUCCGCGCGAUCGGGCGCGCGUCCGCGCCGCCGCGGCACCGCGACAGCAGCUCCACGUACCGCCGGACGACCACCAUCGCAUCACGUAGUGGUGGUAUGUUUUCCUCUAAAAAUGGCUCAUUCACAGGCAGCCCCACGCGAUACGAAAUAUGAGAGGGGGGAGAGUGGUAGUUUGACCUGGUCUUCGCCGGUGAGCUCCCGCAGGCGGGACGGGGCCGGGGCGGCCGCCGCUGCGCGGGUGGACGAACGCGGCGAGGGGGUUCUCGGGGCCGUCGUCGGGCACGAGGGCGAACCAAAGGUUGGCCGCGGCGCCGGCCCCGGGGACUUUCCUCCGACGCGAAGGCGCCGACAGGUAGAAUCAUGUUUUACUGUAAUACUUUUUUCAGACAAAAAAUGUUUUACUGCGGUACGUAUUGGUUGCGCAUGUGCACACACGUCUAGUUUGACAGUAAUGUUAUUUUCAAGAAUAACCGCAGGUAAUGUUGAUUUCAAUAUUAAUUGUGUUAAUACUCCUUCCGUCCGUCCCAAAAUAAAUGUUUUAAACUUAGUACAAUUUUAUACUAAAAUUAAUACAAAGUUGAGACAAUUAUUUUGACACAGAGAGAGAGUAUGAUUUAGCCAUUGUAUGGUUGUAAAAUGUUUAUUGAAUUUAAAUGGCAUCACAUAAUGGAAACCUUGUAGCGUGCAUGGUUGCAUGUUAAGGUUUUUUUUCAUGCAUGGCAUACUAACGUGACAUGCUUAUAUGUUGAGAAAUAUGACCUAUUCAGUUAUAUAGGACAGUACACAUGGUAGAAUCAUGUGCAAUGUAGAAGAUAUCCAACGGUCAAUAGUGCUCGAAUUUGCCACCUCUUUACCAUCAGAUUGGCGUCAUCCAGUAUUCAAACAUAUUCUUAUACUAUAUAGAAGAACUUGACUAAGAAUAUGAAAUAAAUCCACUUUUCUUCUAGGAGUAGCUACAAACAUUUACGUUGAUAUACCUUUUAUCCAUUUUAAUUUAUAGUUUGGUAACGAAGAGGGAUUUAAUUGUUUCAAAUUGCCUAAAGAAAUAAAUUGGCACAUGCGUUCAGUAAAUAGUAAAUUAAUGGUAGAAAGCCGCAUUUUUCUUGCUAGUGGAACUUAGAGGGUGUUUGGAUACGUUUUAGUCUCAUGACUAAAAGUAGUGGGAUUAAAACUUGCUAGCAUCAUCCAUGCUUGAAUUGAAGUACUAAAGAAACUAAAGUCAAGUUAAUGAGCAUUUAUUAUCCUCCAAACCCUUCAAUCCAGAACUCACCGAUGUUAAAGGAGAGGAGUUAAAUGAGGAGAGAGAGGACAAUCUAUAUUUUAGUAGGGGUACCCUUGACUAAUUUUUUUAGCCUCAAGACUAGUUUUAGCCCCUUUUUAGUGGAUGCUUCAAACUUUAACCUCUUAAAGAGACUAUUUUUGGUUAGACUAGUUUAGUCCCUUGGAUCCAGCACUCUCUUAACUCUAGGUGUCAUGAUCAUGCGAUGUCACAAAACGACAUCUUUACGGAGUUUGCCCACGCCUUUGUUGAUCCUCACCUCAGAGAGUAAUAAUCAAGCUCCACUUUUGUUGAGUCAUUGCCAUGUAAAACGAUGACAUAUAGAAGUAAAAGGAUCGCAAUUGUCACAGGGCUACAGUUGGUUUGGGUUAAAAUCGUAUGACCAUACAGCCAAGGGCUAAGUGAUAUAACUUUUAAGUAAGAUGAUUCAAUGACGACAAUAAAGUUUUCAAUGAUUUACUUACAAUGACAACCACUUAUCCUGUUAAACUCAAACUCAGUUUAUAUAGUAGUCCCUUCGUUCUUAAAUAUAAAUCCUUUUAAAGAUUUCAUUAGGGGCUAUAUGCGAAGUAAAAUGAAUUAAUCUACAUUUUAAAAUAUGUCUAUAUACAUACAUCUAUAUGUAGUCCCAUAGUGAAACUUCUAAAAAGAUUUAUAUUUAGAAACGAAGGGAGUACGAUUUAAUUAAAAAACAUGGCUUUGCAUGUACACCUAAUUCGUUUUAUGCCCUUUUGUAUGGAAGCAACUUUUGAGGAGAUCUUUUUUAUGUAUGUAAGAAUAUACAUAGUGCAAACCAGAGGGAACUGUAAUGGCAACUCUAGCAGAGCCCGCAAAAUCUGAACCUGCAAAACGCGUUUGUGGUUUCACUUAGAUCUCGUUUACGGAUCGAAAAUGAACGCGACUGAACAGAAACCGUAAAUGAAACUGCAUAAUUUGAAAAUAUAGUUUCGCGGAAAGUUCACACUAUAUACUACAUAGAUUACAUACUACUCCCUCCGUUCGAAAUUACUUGUCGUAUAAAUGAAUAAAAAUGGAUGUAUCUAUAACUAAAAUACAUCUAGAUACAUUUGUUCUUAUGACAAGUAUUUCCGGACGAAGGGAGUACAUACUACAUCAGUGCGAGCUCAGUCCUCCUCAUCGAAGCUGCCGAGGUCGAUGUACAUCGCCUUCUGCUCCUUGCGGAUGCGCCGCCACUCGUCGUCCUUCGCCUUGGCGGCGAUGUUGGCCUCGACCGCCUGCCGCCACUAGAGGUCUUCGAUCUCCUCGUCGUGGCGCCGGCGCUCCGCCUCCUCGUGCAAGCUGCGCUCGGCAAUGGCGGCCGCAACCACGUCCACGUCGGCGACGAAGUCCUCCGGCCCGACGACUCCGUGGCGGCCGAGCUCCUCGGGCUCCUCCUUGACGGCGACGACGUCCUCCGGCUCCUCCGACUACUGCCUCUUCACAGGGAGAAGGCACGCGGAAAAGGAGGAGCUCGCGGCCGAGGACGAUCCCUCGGCGACCUGUCGACGGUCGUACUCCUCCGUCUUCCGGACGCGGAAGCUCGUCGGCGGCGACAUGCCGCGGUUGGUCCACCUCCGGGCCCCGCGCUUCCUCGCGGCGUCCAACCGGACGUGUCGCUCGCGCUCCGGGUCGCUUCCGCCGCCGGAUCUGCUGCGGAGCNUUCGACCCGCAAACGCGUCGCGGAACCGUAGAUAUAGUGGUCGGGGCGUGCGUUUUGCGGGCCACGGCAAUUUUUUUACGGGCCGGGCGAGUAUGCGGGCUCUGUUCUGCUCGAAAAAAUGGGCCUAACCCGCAUAUUCGCCGGACUUUUACGGGUUUGCCUCUUUUGCGGGGUCUGCUAGAGUUGCUCUAACUAUGCGAGGCCAGGUGGGCAUGCAACUUUAGUUUCAUGCGAAAAAUUACAAAAAAAAUGUAAAUGUGGACCAAGAAAAAAUGUAAAGCAGUCCAUGGAGGAGACGCUGGAGUCGCUGGAAGUGUGCACCUGUUCUCAUCCAUGGUGGUUUUAGCUUUAGUUUUCUGAUAGGCUUGUAAGCGAAAUAAAUUCGUAGCUUGAGGAAACUUUUGCUCUCAGUUAUGUUUUAGUGUUUUAGAUUUGUAGGGCCAUGAGGCCAGCAGUGCUUCUUUUAUCUUGCUGUUUUCCAAUUUUGAAGCAGGGGUGCUGAACGUUGUGCUGGACUGGUUUGCUUCAUUCUACAAAAAUGGGGCAGGGGAGAAACCCCUUUCAUUCAAAACAAAAAAAGCAGAAAGAAAAAAAUUGUAUGAAUCUUCGUCUAAUCUGGCGGACAUAGCAGUGAUUGGGAUUUAACUAAUUCUUAAUUGAUGGAGAAUUAGCAAAUCCGAAAUAAUAUUUACUCAAAGUAUAAAUAUAUUGUAUUGGGAAUAUUCUCAGGAUGACUCAAAAUGCACUAUUAUUUGAAUAAAUCAGCAAUAAUUAAUAUGAAUAGGAGGGGAUAUUUUUUUACAUGCGCUACCCGUGUAUAACUAAUGCGUUUGAAGUGAAAAAAGUAUCGGCACAAGACUUUUGUCCAAGGAAGAGGUCAGAAUAAAACUUAACUCCUUUAGCGUAUCGUUCUUUCCUCGACCAGGAGAAAAAGCGAUCUCGCCAUUCCUCGCCGUCGUCCUCCGGUGGCCCCCCUCCACCGACGACCUCGGUCAUCGGUGGUGAGGGAGGUCAUUGGAUUCACGCGUGUGGAUAGUUUUAGGACAAUAUAGCUUAGUUUUUCGGCUGUUUGUCGUCUUGCUUCGAUGGUGACGGCUAUGGCGGCGCAGAAUAAAUUUUCUUCAGAUACUACUCCGACGAAGCGAUCCGUCCUAUUGUUGGAGAUGAAUUUGGAGUUCAGUCUAUUCAAACAAGGGUGGUACGUUGGCAGCGGCAUCCUCGUUGUGGACAUGUGUCCUCGGGCUUCAUCAUUGCGAUCGCGUUUGCUUCAGCGCCGACGCAGAGCCUGGGAGGUAUACCAGGAGCAUAUGCAAAUUAUGAUCUGCAAUGGCGGCAUCUGAAAGAUGGUGAAUUGUGUGCUGGAUUCGUGAUAUGUGGAUGUCACGUAUGGUUUCCUCCUCUGAUAUCUUAGUCAUGUGCGGGUGUCAGAUCUGGAGUUUGAUGACGUGCGUGUGGUGUUGCCACAGUCUGGUUCGUUGAACGGUAGUGGUUUUAUCUUUGCGAGCCAUCUUUGAGAUCCACAAUGUUGCAUAUCAAUGGAGCCGCGUCGGGCUUGGGUAUGAAGGUGAUCCGUCAUUUUCUUUUAAUGGUUGGAUGUGGUGGUGUGGCAGGUGACAGGCGUUGGUAACCAAACUCUGAUAUUUCUUCGAUCUUGUUUGUAUUCUUAAAUGCUUGGUUGGUAUUUCUUUAUGCAAAGGCUAGCGCUUUUGGUUUUUUUCUAAUUCUAUCAGGUCGAUGUGUAUGUGACUUGAACUAUGAUCUCUAUGAUAUAAAUAAAACAUGUAUUACCAUGAAAUUUUCUAUUAAAAAACACAAUAAAAUUAUUCUAUUAAUAAAACAUAAGCAAUAAAAAACACAUGAAUAUUGCCUCGUUUUCAAUAAAAUAAGSSGGGGGGACCCUUUUCUUCAAAACAAAAAACAUAAAUACAUCAUUCAAACUCCCACGAAUUUUCCCAAGUUCAAAGCAGCCACGCAGGCGCAUAUCUAGCUUGCGCACGCGCGCGCGCGCGUACAUGCAAUUGAAAUCAACGGACGAAUCAGUAGUGGCGCCUUGGCGCGCAGGUGUCCGGCNCUCGCCGGACCACCGCUUGCCCUCGUGGCGGAGCGGCGCGCCCUCGAUGCCGUAGUUGACGUUGGUGAGGUCGUCGCACUUGCGGUCCGGUGACGCGAGCAGGCGCACGAAGCAGGCCUUAGCGGGGUCCCCCAUGUAGUAGUCAGCCUUCUCGGCGACGUCGAACUCGGCGAGGAAGUAGCCCUUGCCGUCGGCGACGGGCGUCCGCGACACCAUGACGCGGUUCUUGGCGUCGCGGCAGGUG
Molecule: long non-coding RNA, 299121 nt
Filed under: Hordeum vulgare
Lineage: Eukaryota; Viridiplantae; Streptophyta; Magnoliopsida; Poales; Poaceae
Description: long non-coding RNA (HVUL_LNC006490)
Source: RNAcentral